AAGAAUCUAAAUCAAAUAAGAAUCCUAAUCUAAGUAAAUAGGAAAGAAUUUAAACUAAAUCAGGAUCCUAAUUGUCUUAAAUGCCUUAUGUCAAUUACAUGGAAACUCGGCGAUUAAAAUAGAAAUAACUGAUUUGAUUCCCUAAUAGCCUCCUCAAGAAACGGGAAAGUAUCUGAAAAAAAAAGAAAAAAAUAUAUUUUCCCGCCAUAAUGUUUUUAAGCCAACUCCCUAUUUCAUGAAAGUGAGUAUUUGGAAACUUCAAGAGCCUGAAUCAUGCAUUUAUCAUGUGCGAUUCCUUCAAUGGACCUCCACGAAUUUGAUUGAGCCCAAGUUGCUUGAAUCAAUCCAUUAAGUGCUUCUUUCAAUUUCUUUGCUCGAGCUCUUGUAACGGGUUCGAUGGGAACUUGAAUAGGAUCUGAAUAUACCUCAUCCCAUGUGCUUGUGAUAGUUUUAUCCUUAAUCUCAUCAUUCCCCUCCUCUUGAAGAGGAUUUGUCCUCAAAUCAUCACCUACAUCAAAAGGACUCAAAUCAGAAACAUUAAAAGUAGCACUUACAUUGUACUCACCAGGCAAAUCUAGUUUGUAUGAAUUGUCAUUGAUACGUUCCAAAACUUGGAAUGGGCCAUCCCCUCGAGGUAAUAACUUAGAUUUUCUUUGUUCCGGAAGUCGUUCCUUACGCAUGUGUAACCACACCCAAUCACCGGGUUCAAAGACUAGCUUAUGUUGCCCUUUAUUGGCUUGUUUAGUAUAUUGCUCAAUUCUCCGCUCAAUGUUGAACUUCGCCUUCUCAUGUAUCUGUUUAACAAUUUCAGCAUUUUUCUUAAGAUCUAAGUUAACACGCUUAGAAACAGGUAAUGGAGUUAAAUCCAAUGGGGUUAAAGGAUUAAAACCAUAAACAAUUUCAAACGGUGAAUACUUAGUAGCAAAAUGAACGGAACGAUUAUAAGCAAACUCAACAAGUAGUAAAUAAUUUUCCCAAGUUUUGAUGUUCUUUUUAAUGAUAGCUCGCAACAGAGUAGCUAAAGUUAUAUUCACAACUUCUAUUUGACCAUCAAUUUGAAGGUUUUCCAAAAGUAACUUAAAAACUUAGCAUCCCUAUUAGAAACAAUUGUCCUGGGUAUACCAUGCAACCUCACAAUCUCCCUAAAGAAUAGGUCAGUAACAUUAGAAGCAUCAUCCGUUUUGAGACAUGUAAUUAAAUGUGCCAUCUUUGAAAAUCUAUCUACAACCACAAAAAUUGAGUCUUUCCCUUGUCUAGACCUCGGUAAACCUAGUACAAAAUCCAUCGAAAUAUCAGUCCAAGGUGCACUAGGUAUUGGCAAAGGGGUGUAUAAGCCAUAAGGUUGCACUUUCGAUUUGGCUUGCCUACAAGUGACACAUCUACCACAAAGUCUUUCAACAUCUCGUUUCAUAUGUGGCCAAUAGAAGUGUUCCUGUAAAACUGCUAGAGUCUUUACAACUCCAAAAUGCCCCAUUAACCCUCCUCCAUGGGAUUCUCUCACUAACAAAUCUCUCAAAGAACAGUUAGGCACACAGUUUAUUCUCCCGAAAUAAAUAGCCAUCAUGCCUAAAGUAUUUACCGACUACGGUCUUUUCACAAGCUUGGUAUUCAACACUAAAAUCAUGGUCAUCAGCAUACAAUUCCUUAAUAUGUUCAAAACCAAGUAGUUUAGCAUUAAGUGUUGAAAUUAAGACAUACCUGCGGGAAAGCGCAUCUGCAACAAUGUUUUCCUUACCUUGCUUGUAACGAAUGACAUAUGGAAAUGUCUCAAUGAAUUCUACCCAUCGAGCAUGCCUCUUGUUCAACUUGUGUUGGCCUUUAAGGUGUUUCAAGGACUCAUGAUCGGUGUGAAUCACGAACUCCUUAGGCCAUAGGUAGUGAUGCCACGUUCCUAACGCUCGAACCAAUGCAUGCAACUCCUUAUCAUAAGUAGGGUAGUUUAAGGCUGCCCCACUCAACUUUUCACUAAAGUAAGCAAUUGGUCAUCCUUCCUACAUUAGGACUGUGCCAAUACCAAUACCUAAGGCAUUGCAUUCAAUUUCAAAUGUUUUAUUAAAGUUAGGCAAAGACAAUAAAGGAGCAUUGGUCAGCUUUUGCUUGAUUAUUUGAAAUCCCUUCUCUUGCGCUUCUCCGCACUUGAAUCCAACAUCUUUUUUUAUUACUUCAGUAAGCGAUACGACUAAUGUGCUAAAGUCUUUCACAAAUCAUCGAUAGAAACUAGCAAGCCCAUGAAAGCUUCUCACAUUACUUACACUGGUGGGAAUCGGCCACUCUUGGAUUGCACGUACCUUUUCCUCAUCAAUCUGUAUACCCUGUGCACUCACAACAAAUCCUAGAAACACAAGUUUGUCAGUGCAAAAAGUACACUUCUUCAGGUUAGCAAACAACUUUUCUUUUCUAAGCACAUCUAAAACAUAUUUCAAAUGUACUACAUGAUCGUUUAUGUUUUUGCUAUAAAUGAGGAUAUCAUCAAAAUAACCAAUAGCAAACUUGCCAAUAAAAGCUUGCAAGACAUGAUUCAUAAGUCUCAUAAAAGUGCUCGGGGCAUUAGUUAGACCAAAAGGCAUGACUAACCAUUCAUACAAACCAUAUUUUGUUUUAAAAGCAGUUUUCCAUUCAUCUCAUUCUUUCAUUCUAAUCUGAUGAUAUCCACUUUUCAAAUCAAUUUUGGAAAAUACACAAGACCCAUGUAAUUCAUCAAGCAUGUCAUCUAGCCUAGGAAUGUGAUGUCGAUACUUUACCGUUAUGUUGUUGAUGGCUCGACAGUCAAUACACACCCUCCACGUCCCAUCCUUCUUAGAAACUAAUAAAACAGGAACUGCACAUGGACUCAUGCUUUCACUCACGUACCUUUUUUCCAUUAAUUCCUUAACCUGCCUUUGAAGUUCCUUGGUCUCCUCCGGAUUGCUCCUAUAGGCUGGUCUAUUUGGAAUGGCUGCACCGUGCACAAAAUCAAUCUAAUGCUCAAUCCCUCGGAUUGGAGGUAAACCAUGUGGUGUUUCCUCAGGAAAGACAUCCUCAUACUCCUACAAAAGAGAAGUAAUAGAACUAGGCAAAGUAGGGUCAAAUUUAUUAGUGUUUAAAAAUGCCUCUUUGUACAAAAGUACAAUCAUCGGCUGAUGUAAAAACAACACUUUUUUUUUAUCUCACUCGCUCUCGCGUAGAAAUUCUUUUGUUUUCCAUCUAAUUUUCGCUCAAUGGCUGUAUUUUUCUUUGGUUUUUCUCGCACAUUUUCCUCGGCCUCUUUUUAAAUUUCACUCUCUUUUUCUCUCCUUUUCUUUUCCUCACUCUCUCUCUGUAGGCUCACUUGGUCUCCAUAAACCUGCUUUGGUGUCAAUGGAACAAGAGUGAUGUUGCAUUGAUUAAAUACAAAUGAAUAUUUGUUAGUGAAGCCAUCAUGUUUCACACGUAUGUCGAAUUGCCAAGGCCGCCCGAGUAACAAGUGUCCAGCCUGCAUUGGCACUGCAUAACAAAGCACCUUAUCUUCAUACUUGCCAUAAACCAAAAGAGUCUGUGAUUACUCUUUAACCAAGCAAGCAUCAAAAGUAAAGGAAAGCACAUACAAUGUGGCUAUUUGCAAAAACCCAAUGUUGAAUGGAAUCUCUCCACUUAGCUGGUUGUAGGAUAAGUCCCUACCAAUAAAAAUAAAAGAUCAUAAAUGAACUAACCAAGUUAGGCAUCCUAAAGAAAAAAAGACUUAAAAGAAAAAAAAAAAAAAGAUAGUGGUGCAAUACGAUGAAAUGGGUGUUCCUGUAGGGGAUGAAGCCACUGAGUUGGCUUCCUUUCUUGGGGUAUUAGCUUGUGCAUCAGUUUCAAUUCUUUAUUCUGAUUGGUGUAAAGUUCCUUUAGAGACAAAUGAGUGUUUAUAGAAAUCAGUUCUGGCAAUUCUUAAAAGCUUGUUGCAUUUUACUUAAAGCUUUUCUUGUCAUUUUUCAUUAUUAGUUGUAUGAUUUCUAUUUUUAUUAAUUGACACUUAAACAAUCUUACUCUAUAUUUAGAGUCGUUUCAUUGUUCAUCUUAGAAGUAGAAAGCAGGUAAAAAAAUCAAUUGGAACAACAUUUCUAAACUUCAAGUAUAUGCUAAAAAAAAACUUUAUCUAGAAGUUCAGAAAUGAUAAAAAGAAAUUGUAUAGACCCUCAAUUGAUUACCCCCAAAUAAAGCGGCUAGUUUAGAUAAAGUUUGUCAACAAACAUUUGUCUGAAUCAUUUGAAACAAGUAUUCUAAAGUUAAGACAAGCAAUAUGUUGAUAGUUACAUCAUAUUUACCUUAUAUUAAAAUGAUGUUUCUUCUUUUGCAGAAAACCAGUCAUGUCAAUAAGAAUACGUGAGCUUUGAACAUGUAUUAUCACCACCUUAGUCGAAAAGGAUAUGUAGGAUUAAUGAAAGAAAUUGUAAGUGCAUAUAUAUCGAUAUAAAGGGUAUUUUUAACUAUUAAUUUUUUUACUAGUUAACCAAUCUAAUUUCUUUAUCGAAGUAGGCAGUGCAGAAUUGAGUCUUUCUAAAGACUUAAUUGAUAGGAGUCAACUAUGACAGUGAGCUCGGAUGCUAAAGGAUGGAGGAUACGACCUUGACACUUAACAAGUCAUUAAGAAAUUGGUAAUCAAGUUUAACUAGAACAAAAAUCGUUAUUAUUUUAGAUUUAUUCUUAUUUAAUAAUAUUAGUUUCUUUAUAGUGGGGUGCUAGGAAAAGCUCAAGGAGGACUAAAAAGACUCUUUGACUUCGGAUGCAAGAAAUGACUUACUUGCACAAGUAUUGGGAAAGCUUUCUCGAACUGGUCAUAUGCAAUGCCUGGACAAAUUUAUAUAUGCUUAUGUGUACUUUCAUACCAUUCGUGGACCCAUCCGAAGUGAGAGAGAGGGGACCUGGAGCUUUGAAAAAAUCAGUUGAUGAUUACUUGUAAGAAAUUUGUAGAGAAUUAAAGAGGACACCUCGUCAUUCAGAUGUAGGAAGUUCCGCUUUCCCAUAUAAUAAAGUCAAUGAUAACGACAGUGAGGGCGAUGUACAUCAGGUUAUUUUAUUUAUAAAUUUAACUAAAUUUUUCCUGGUUUAAGAUACUUUUCCUUGUAUAUCUCCCACUUAAUACAUUUUAAUUUACUUACCUUUUACUGAUAAUGCCGACAAGAGCUAGAUAAUUUGGGCAAGUCAACUGAGAAGAAGAGGAAAUGAAAGUCUAGUCAAAAGGAAGAACAACCUAAAGCAUCAACAUUGAGAAAAUAGGGAGAAGAUUAGAAGAAAGAAGAGACACCAAAAAACACUAUUGUUGCCAUUUCGAUGAAGUCUUCUGCCAUUUCGAUGAAGUAAGCAAAAAAUGAUGAUUACGAUAACGAUAGUGAAGAAGAUGCACAGAAAGUUAGUUUAUUUAUAAAAUUAGCUAUAUUUUUCUUGGUUUAAUUAAUUAAUAUUCACAGGAGCUAGAUAAUUUGGGCAAGUCGCUUAGAAAUGCUACAACAACCAUUUUGAGGAAAAGUCCAAGACUGAAUCCUUCAAUUCCAAAGGAUUAUGCAAAUGAUCAAAAGAAAAGAGUUAGAGACAGUAAAAAACAAUUGGAGUUUGACUAUGCUAAUAGUAUAACCAAAAAUCCUAUUGGUAUUCAAAUCUUCCCAAAUUGUGUUAUCUGGACAAAAAUCAUUAGUUCAAAACUCCCUAAUAAGGAUAUCUUAUUAGGAUUUGACAUCAUCCACUAGAUAAAACAUCUUCAAAUUCUUUCCAAUGGAAUCAGGGGCAGAUCCAUGUUCAAAUCUUUCACAGAGAUCCUUAAACUCUACAGUCUGUCUCAAUCUCCACCAUCUUACCAAGAUAUCUUAAUCAAGCUCCUAAAAUACUGUCCAGAAUUUCAUUCUGACUUCAUCCACCCAAAUCCUUUGUGGAAAAACAAGUAUUUCUUUAUUUAGUUACCUUUCAAACUGAAUGAAGACAUCAAUCCUACUAAGGCUACUUAUCCAAGAAUGAGCCCAUUUGACUUAGCCUUAGCCCAAAAGAAAUGUUCACAACUCUUGGCCCAAGGACUUAUCGAACUAACAAAUUCUCAAUGGGCUUGUCAAGCGUUUUAUGUGGAAAAACGUUCGGAACUUAUUAGGGGAAAAAACAUCUUCACUUAUCUAAAAAAUGCCUAGAUCUAGUGCAUGAUUUUGUAACCGAUACACUAUUUGGUGAUGAAGAGUGGCAAGCUACUCAAUAUAGAAAAUUAGAGGCGAGCGUCUCAUUUUUAACCCAAAAUGUCAACCAUGCUUCCACCAUUCCCAGACCUUCACUCAAAAUGUCCAAAGCUGUUCGUCUCAUACAACACCUUCAACAUUCUUCCCUAUUGGUAUUCAAUUUUUUCCGAAUUGUAUAAUUUGGAAAAAGAUUGAACUGUAGAGAUGACUGAAAUAUCCUCAGAAUCUGAAGAUUCUGCGAUGAUGAAAGCAGUUUGGUCAUCUUGUCUUAUUUGAUCUCCUAGAAGAAGAUUAUCCUCAUCUACUCCUCCGGUACCUCCUGAAGAUUACCUAAACAUGGAAACAACUUCAUCUUCAGCCUCAACACCUUCAUCGUCUUCAUCCCAUAUUUCAAGUCAGGUUUUUGGCAAAUUGGCAUUAAACCCUUAGAAAGAUACAAAACCGCUUUUUGCAUCCCUAAUGGUCAUUAUCAAUGGACAGUUUUACCCUUCGACUUGAAAACUACCCCCUCCAUUUUUCAAAAAGCCAUGGUCAAAAUCUUCCAACCCAUCCUACAUCAUGCAUUGAUUUAUAUUAAUGAUAUUUUGUUGUUUUCAAGCACACAUAAAGAACAUCACCAAUUAUUAAAUCAAUUUUUUGAUAUCAUCCAGACUUACGGAAUUAUGUUAUUAGCCAAGAAAAGCACCAUUGCAAUAGAUAAUAUUGAAUUCCUUUGAAUGAUUAUCAAAGACGGACACUACCAGCCAGGAAAGCACAUUGCCCAAUAAUUGCUCCACUUUCCAGAUCAACAACUCACCAGGAAAUAGAUACAGUAAUUCCUUGGAAUCAUCAAUUACAUCAGAGACUUUAUUCCUUAUGUCGAUCACCAUACCAAUCAGCUUUCAGCUUUAUUAAAGAAAAAGCCACCAGAAUAGAAUGAUAACCACACACUUGCUGUCACCACUUUGAAAAAGAUUGCUCAAAAUCCACCACCAUUAAAGCUCAUCACAGAUGGCAAACAGAUACUCCAUACAGAUGCAAGUGACGAAUCAUGGGGUGCUAUUCUUCUCGAAGAAAUAAAUGGCAAAGAAAGCUUUAUUGCUUACGCUAGCAGACAUUUCUCUGACACACAACAGCACUACCACAAUGUGUACAAAGAAAUCUUAGCUGUAAAGAAAUUUGAAUACCAUAUUAUCGGCUAUCAUUUUCUUAUCCGAAUGGACAGCUCAACAUUUCCCAACAUCAUGAAAUUCAAGGGGAAAACAGUUCCAGAAAAGAUGUUGCUCAGACUUAAAGACUGGUUCUCAAAAUAUGACCUCUCUAUGAAGCAUAUAAAAGGAACCCAGAACCUCAUUCCAGACCUACUCUCAAGACUUGCAAAACCAAUAUCACCAUUGCAUUACAUAUCCACAGGAUAUCACUUUCCCAUCAUUUUCAUGGCCACCUCUUUACCAAACCAAGCCUUAACCCACAAGACUUUUCCUCUCGGACAUCCAAGAAUUUGCAAAAAGAUAUGUUUUUAGGUUUUUCAUGAAAGCCUACAUGUUAGCAGAUUCAUUUCCUUUCUCAACUUUCCACCCUGAAAACUUGUUUCUCACAGGUCUAAACAUUGACCCUUCCAGAGAUGUGGCUGAAGAUGAGUUAUGGUACAUCUGGUGCCUAACUAUUCUUUACACCACAAAGUUAAUUCUCCCUGUCAGAACUACCCUGAAUCAUCUCAUGAAUCCUGACAAAUCAACCUCAUUGACCUGGACCCUUCUUGAGUGGUUCUCUGCACUUCCCUAGUGGAGAAGAAAGUUACAGCAAUUAUCCACGGUCUACAACCUUGAUCCAAUGCCUGAAUCAGAAACAAAUAUGUUCACCUCAGUGUUCAUUAUCCACAGGCCAUAUUUCCAGUAUCGAAACACCAACUCUUUUUGGACACAAGACCAAGUGUUCGAAUGGUUCACAACACCACACCCAACAAUCCUUGAACAAGAUAAUAACAUCCAGAAAAACCUUCAGAAUUUCUUUUGCCACCUCAAUCACCUGAACCACAUAAAGACAUAUUCCAUACGUCUUUAGGUCCACAACAUGACAUCAUUAUGAUUCCAACUCCUUCGUCCAUUUCAAAACCAAAACCCACAGGUAUCAUCAUCAAAGAAGAAAACCAAAACCCUUGGACUGACUUCCUACCCUUAAGCCAACAUCUCCAACAGCUCCAAUAUCCAUCGCAACUGGAAGAACCUUCAUUAUCUAGAGCUAGUACUAGCACUUGUCCACCUAAAGUUCAGCCAACCAAUCAGAUGGUGACAUUCCCCACUCAUUGUCCAACAGCACAAUAUUGCCCAUGGCCACCAUGUGGUCCCACUUGCAAGCAUCCAAAGAAAAAAUUAGCAAAAGACGACACAGAUAGCUCCUCUGAUGAAGAUUACAUGAAUCUUUCGUCCCCAUAGCUAUAAGUUUGUCAUGUGUAAUUAUUAAAGUAUGCUGAGUCAUGCUUUAAUUAUUAAAGUUUGCUUUUAUUACUUUAACUUUUAUGAAGUAAAGUUUGUCGUGUGUAAUUAUUAAAGUAUGCUGAGUCAUGCUUUAAUUAUUAACGUUUGCUUUUAUAAAGUAAAGUAUCUUGAUAAGGGUCCUGUCUUAUCAAGCUUGUCUCCUCCUCAUCCUAUAUAUAGGAUGAUCUCUUCCUUUGUAAAUCAGAAUCGGAGAUCAAGAAAUAAAAGCGUGUGUUUCCUAAACAUGAAGUUCUAAACUUUCUUUCUUUUCUCUGUUAAUGAAGUUCUAACAUUCUAAAAGUAAAUGGGAAGAUUUAAAUCUAUUCAUUUUGAAAUUAAGGAAGUAUGCUCUACACUUGUUUUUCAUAAGGAUCCUGUGCAUCAGAAAACUUUUAAAGAUUUUUAUCUGGUUUGGUACCCUGUUUUAAGACAAAAGAGUCUGUUUUGGGUUGAAUAACCUCAAAUGAAAAUGUUGUAAGUUUUCUGUUUUUCCAUCUAAAUAUAUUGGCUGGAAACCUAAGCAUGCGGACUAUUGGUCCAAAUGACGAUCUUUUCGUCAUUGCUUUGGUCUAACAACGCCACGUACUUCAUUGCCUAUUCUGGUAUCAGAGCCUCAAACUUACAAAAGUGGUAUGAUAAGAGUCUUCCCUAUUUCUUUGAAAAAUAUUUAGGCUUCAGAAAUCAGAGAGAAAUUUUCACUCAUGGCAUCUACUUCAUCUAAUGACGCUUCUACUUCUACGAUCACUCCAAUCUCUCUUUCUUCUACUCUGUCCUUACCCAUAUCUUGCACCAAACAAAUUGCCAAUAAAAUAGAAAACCUUGUUGAAUACUCAUAUAUCCCUAAGUUAGUCCAGAUCAAUGAAUCUUCAUUCCCUGUUCUUAGUCAUUAUCAGCUUUACAAGAGAGGAAACUCUUUUACUAGAAGUAUAAGAACCCUUAUCUCUACUAAAAGACCUCAUCCAAAAAAAUACAUCCAGUCCUCUAGAUUAGAUCAGUGCACUCUUCAAGCUAUCACAGCUGGGCAAUAUGUUACUUUGGAAAUGCCUCCAGAAUUGAUUUCCAACUAGAAAAGGGAGGGUUAUACUCAUCUCCAUCUUGGGGGAGUGAGAUUAAUCCUUACCUUACAUGGAAUAAAAGGAUUGCCUGUUACAGCCAGAAUUGCUAUGCUUGACACCAGAUUCAAACAGUAUCAAGAUGCAGUCGUAGGUACUGUCCUGACCACUUUACAUGCAGGAAGUGUUCUUCUCACUUUCUACCCCAAUUUCAAUCUAUCUCUCCAAGAUACCAACCUGUCAACUGCCUUGAAAGUUCAAGUUCAAAUUCAAGGAGCAGAAUAAAUCUCCUCAGCAAAAAUGGCUACCUUACACCAUCAGUUGGUCUAUAGGCUUCAAAAUCACGCCUUAGAUCUUUCCACACCUAACAACCACUCUGAUGCUCUUAUGGUGUUAGCAGAAUCAGACCAAAUUCCAACCAUCAUCCAAAUCCCUAAACAGAUCCUUCACCAUGAACUCAUAAAACUCAUGCCUCUGGAAUGGAUUUCAAAUUAUGAGAAGUUCCAUAACAAUACAGCCCCCAUUCAGACAUCAGAAAGUAUGUUUGAAAGAAGGCCAGAUGGUAUUGUCAGAAUGACUUUUCGGCCUCCACCAAGUACCCUUCAACAAAAACCUAGUGCUCCUCAAGAGCCUCCAAGGUUAUCAUUCAUUUAUUCUUCAAUGAUUACGGUUGUUCAAACAUCCCAAAAAAAUCUGCCAAUCGUAGAAUUUAACUCCGAAGGGUACCCAGUAUACCCUACGAAGUUAAACAGACACUUUCUAUGGGAUGCUCCAGGAUCUGGAAGGUGCGACCCAAAUUGUCCCUGUUGGGAUGAUUGGGAAGAGGACGAUCAAGACUCCAAAAGGAAAAGAAAACCAAAAAAGAAAACUCAUUCUCCUUGUAACCACACAGAAGCAAAACCGCCAUAUGAACCUCCACCUCCACCAGCUCCAUUACCCAUAUACAAAAAAGAACUCAAAUGGAUUGCAAAACAUUGCAAACCUGAAACCUUUUCACCAAAUCUACAUCAGACCUCUACUCCUCAACCCAUUGCAUGCAUGAUGUUUUCUCAUCAUCCCAAGACUAUUCUUUGAAUUUCCCAUCCUUAGAAGCCUAAUCUGAUUCACAAAAAAAGGUUGCGACAAAACCUUUCAUUCCUUCAGCCAUAAUCUUUGGUGGUCACCUAAAAGAACCUAAACCAUUUGAAUCAGUCCUCAACUGGUAAACAUAGAAUGCCAGAGCACAAAAUAAUACAUUGGUAGACAUCCACAAAAGGGUUGAUAAGAUCAAUUUACAAAUUGACCAAAUCGAAACCAAGGUUGACUCAAUAACCUUGCAAAUGCAGCAGAUCUAUCAAAAUUUACAAUCCCAAAUCUCUCAACUUGAUGCAGACUUAAGAGUCAUGCUUAGUCAAAGAUACUAUGGCCCAGAGUUUGACCAAAAGGAGAGAGAAAUUAGACGGCUAAAGGCAGAGCUUGAUCAGAUUGAAUCCAAAAAACACAGGCCUACACUCUUCACCAAAUCACCUCCCAUACCUACAAUCAGUCCAACUUACCAUCCAUUUAGUCCCAUGCUUGCCCCAAUGAAACCGUAUGAUCCUUCCAAACUAUUUGGAUUGACACAUACCCUUUUCAAAAAUAUGCCACAACCACCUCAGCCAAAACCAAAACCUAAGCCCCAACCAAGACCUAUCAAAAUUCAUCAACUAAUCUCCACUACCACACAACAACAAGAUUCUCCAGAACAUACUCCUAUUUUUACCCCACAACCAUCUCAAUCUAAGGAUAAAGAACCCAUGCAUCAAUAUGCUUCCCAUCACAUUGAAGUUUCCACUGAUUCCACAGAAACUGAUACUUCUGUGAUAGAAUCUGAUACAGAAUCUUCACCUUCAACCACUGAUUUGGAAAAGGCUUAUGCAGAUAUUACUAAACUUUUGAUGGCACAACCCGAAGAAACAGAACCAGCACAACCAUCCCAACCAGAAUCAUACUUUGAAAUAACCUCAGACAUUGAUGAGCCAGCUGAAUCCUCAACUAAUCAACCACCUCAGCCUCAAGCUCAAAAUACAUACAAACCAUAGAACGGUCCAUGGUUUACGUUUGAUGACAUUCCCACAGUCAAAUGGAGAGAGAAGUUAUCUGAAAUGUUAGCCUGGUUAGAUCUCCAAAUGAUAAGAUCAGGUGCGACCAUAGAAUUGGUCCUCAAAGAGUUCAUCACCCGUUUCACGGGAUCUCUAAGAGACUAGUUUGACAAUCUUGGCCCCUACAAACAAUUACAGUUUGUGCAAUUGCCAAACGUCUCUAGUGCUCUUGCUAUUCUGCACGAACAGUUUAUUGGAGAACCAUCUGCAGUUUUUGAAGCAGCAAGAAGAGACUAUCUCAACAUGAAGUGUAGUUCUUUGAAUACUAAAGAUCUUGAUUUCCGUUACAAAAGAAUGUCAAUCCUGUUCUACAAGCUUAAUGGAUUCAACUAUCAGAAGCAUGUGUUUUUGGCUUCUUUACCUACGAAAUUGCAACUAGAAAUCAACCGACAACUUACAGUGCACAACUUUUACCUUGACAACAUCUCAUUGGGAAAAAUCUUUCAGAUAGCUAAGGGAUGUUUGGAAAAACUUUGUGAGCAAAAACAGUUCUUCAAAGAACUGGUAAAAGACAAAGAGCCUUUCAGAAACGCCUGUAAGAAACCCUACUUGCAGAUCAAAUGCAAAGAUAAAAAAGAUUGUGACUGCAGUCAUCCACGGAAAAGGCAUUUCAAGAAGAUUAGACAUCCAACUUCCUUUUCUAAACCAAAGUCUAGGAAAUGGAAGAAACCAUACAGAUUCUUCAGAAAAAAAAAAUCUUUCUCUUCCAAAGAACAGGGCAGGAAAAAAUCUAGCAGAUGCUUUAUUUGCGGGAAAAAAGGCCACUAUGCAAAGGAUUGUCCAAACAAAAAAGAAAAGGAAAUGAGAUUGGUAAAGCAUUUACAAGUUGUUACUGAGUAUUCUGCUGAAAAGGAAGUAGAAUCUUACUUCUCAUAACAAGAAGACCCUACUGAUGAAACAGUAUUCGCACUGGAAAACUCAUCUGAUGAUUCAAAAAACGAUGAGUUUCAAUCUAUUUUUCAUCAACAAUCGUUGUCCCUAAACACUACCAUUUCCCUCCAUUAAACUCUAAAUCUUACCUUCAAAGUUUCAAUGACCCAUACCAGCAAUAGGAUUUCUAAAUAUUGGUGCCCAAAAAAGCAUGAUGAAUUCAUAGAUUCUUCCAGCUCAAAACUGGAAACCUCAUACAGAACAUUUCAGAGCAGCUGAUGGAAAAAUGUUCACCACAUAAUUGAUUACCAAAAAUCUCAUUGGUAUUCAAAUCUUCCCAAAUUGUGUUAUCUGGAAAAAAAUCAUUGGUUCAAAACUCCUUAAUAAGGAUAUUUUAUUAGGAUUUGACAUCAUCCACUAGAUAAAACAUCUUCAAAUUCUUUCCAAUGGAAUCAGGGUUAGAUCCAUGUUCAAAUCUUUCACAGAGAUCCUUAAACUCUACAGUCUGUCCAAAUCUCCACCAUCUUACCAAGAUAUCUCAACCAAUCUCCUAAAAUACUAUCCUUUGUGGAAAAACAAGUAUUUCUUUAUUCAGUUACCUUUCAUCCACCCAAAUCCUUUGUGGAAAAACAAGUAUUUCUUUAUUCAAUUACCUUUCAAACUGAAUGAAGACAUCAAUCCUACUAAAGCCACUCAUUCAGGAAUGAGCCCAUCUGACUUAGCCUUAGCCCAAAAGUAAUGUUCACAACUCUUGGCCCAAGGACUUAUCGAACCAACAAAUUCUCAAUGGGCUUGUCAAGCGUUUUAUGUGGAAAAAUGUUCGGAACUUGUUAGGGGGAAAAAGUGAUUAGUCAUUGACUAUCAACCCUUAAACAUGUUCUUACAAGAUGACAAGUUUCAUUUGCCAAAGAGACAAAGCAUCUUCACUUAUCUAAAAACCCAGCCGCUGUAGGUUUUGACAAUUACCAAACCCGCAAUGGUACCCGAUGGAUUUUUUGCGGGUUCUUACAUUUAAAAUCACAAAUGUUUAAUAUGUAAUUUUAUAUUAAUAAUCUAAAAUUCCACAUAACAUACUCAAUUCUAAAUUUAAUCAAUGUAAAUAGAAAAUUAAAAUUUCAAUAUCAAUUCAAUACAAUUUCUCAAAUUUAAGUAUGAAAUACACAAAUCCAUUAAAAAAAACACAAACUAGUAUUAAAAAUAAAAAUUACAUUUCAUAUUAUCAUUUAACACAAGCUCCAAGAGAAGGUUUUCAUUUCAUUCACCACCAUUAGCACCCAUCCAACAUGAUGCCUACAAUAAUGAUUAAAAUUAAUAUUUUGCAAAGAACAAUACUUUUCAAAUACUAUUCCAAACAAAAAAAAUUAUAAUAAUGAAAUAAUUCAUGCAAAAUUAAAAUAAGUAUAUAAUAAUCCAUGAAUUAAGUUAAAGAAUUGGAAACUUAGUUCUUUUUUACCUCAUCAACAAUAUCUUCAUCUUCGAAGAAUUUGCUAUUUCCUACUUUAUUAGAAGAAUUUGCUAUUUCCUACUUUAUAUGCAGUAAAGGAAGUUGGGCGUUGGCUCACUGUCAUAAGCUCACGACUAAAGAAGUGAAGAAUGAAGAUAGAGAUGAGAGAUGGGUGCGCUGCUCAAGUUGAAAUCCCUUUAGUUUUGUUUAGGUUAUGACUAUUAGGGCCAUGUAUGCUACUUGCAUUGUUAUACACAGUAUAUGCAUUUACAUUUUGGUUAUUUGGCACUUUGCAUAAUUGCAUUAUUUUCUUUAUUUAUUUUUUAGAUUUAAUUAUUUUUCAAUUAAAAUUAAAUUAAAAAUAUUAAAAAAAAUUACGGGUCUGGCGGAUAUCCAUGUAGAUAUUCGCCGGAUAUUAGGCUAAUACCAAACCCACCCACAUUCAAGUGUAGGUUUCAAUUUGUAAUACCAAACCCGCCUGCAACCUGCAAAAUUAUCUGUAGCGGGCAGGUUUGGGAGGGAUUGCGAGUAUAAUUAUCAUCCCUACUUAAAAUGUUAUUGCAAGGAUACCUAGGACAGAAAUUUUAACUAUCACAAGACUAAUUAGAGCCUAGUAAGGUCUUUGCUAUUUUUAUUGAUCUUUUAAAACACAGUUCUGGUAGCCAGUGACUUUGUUUGGUUGUAGUUAAAAAUCAUAGAAUAGCUUUAUUUUUAACAUAAAUGAUCUCAAUUAAAUGUUUGGUGUAAAUUUGUAAAAGAGCGGAGUUAUUUGCACUCAAAAUGUUAUUUUGAAGGAUAAUCUUUUAUCAGCCAAUAUAAUAUAAUUACUUUGAAUACUCAUAUUGUACACCUGUUCACUUUAUAAUUAUCUUUCUUUAAACCCUAAUGAUCCCCUUUUGAUUCUUCAAAAUAAUAAUAAUAAUAAUAAUGCUAGAAAAAAUUUCUUUGAAAUUAAUUUUUUUUAAAACUGUUUUCUAGCCUCACAUUAAGACUUGGUGAGCAAAGAAUUACACUGCUCAGAUAGCUCCUAACAUAUCAACGGCUUCGACCUUCGGGUACGCGGCAAGCAAAUAUACCAAGAUGAGUUUUUCCUUAUAAAAAAAUGGCAGAAAUUAAGCUCCUCCGAUGCCCUAAUUAAUCCAUUCAUGAUUAGCUUUGGUUUUAUUACUUUUCAUUUUGGGAAGAAAAAUUAAUGCUUAAGCAUAUAAAUCUCUAUGUAAUAUUAACUUGAUUAUCUUCACCAGCAGACUGGUAUGUUGAAUAGUUUCAAUAGUUUUAUGAGUGCAUAGAGAAAAAAAAAAGAUUGUUAAUCUAAAUAGAUAUUUUUUACAAUUUAAUGAGUGUAUAGAGUAAAAAUUAAUUUUUUAAAUUUAGUUAUGAGUGUACAAAGUAAUAAAGUGUUUAGAAUAAUAUUUUUAGAGCACAAAAAAGGCCCUACCUUUGUAAAAAUCUUAUCAAAUUUGUGACAAGUUCAAAUUUUGACUAGGGAUGGCAAUGGGGUGGGGUGGGAGUGGGGAGACCUAACCCAUUCCCUACCCCAUUAAAAAUUUCACCUACAUUCCCCCACCCCUUCCCCAAUAAAUUUAGUAGGGCAGGGAUGGGGAAUCCGCACGUGGGGAAUGAUUUCCCCAUCCUCACCUCAUUCUCUAUUUAAUUAUUUUAUAGUAGGUAUAGAUAUAUAUUUCAAUAAAUUAAAAAUUAAAGAAUUAAAUAAAAUCUUUACCAUAUUGAAAAAUUUCAAAAUAAUAUCUUGAAAAGAUAUUAAAAUUGAAAAAUGUUUGAAGAGAGCAACACUUUAAGAGAGAAAAUAAAAUAUAACAAUAUUUUGGGGUUGAAUAAGAAUUAUAUUAUAAGGUUUUCUUUUAUUCAUAGCUUAUUUAUUAAAAUAAAAAGAAAAUUUAUUAAAAAAUAUUUAUAUGUAAUGGGGAUUGGGGUGAGGGCAUUGCUUAUAAGCUCUGGGCAGCCCUCACCCUUUGAGAGUUCUUUUGGGGUUGAGUUAGGCCCAGGCCCAACGUAGUAUCAGAGCCUUUGCCCGAGAGAGCGGGGAAUACCAUUCGAGGAGAGUCCAGAGAAGGUCUGGUGAGAACUCAAGAGACUACUGGACACAAGACUUGCUAGUGCAUGAUUCUGUAAUUAAUACACUAUUUGGUAAUGGAGAGUGGAAGACCAAACCCCACCCUAUAAAGAAGUUGGGGAUUAUUUUUCUUCCAUUUCCCACCCCAUUGUCUAAAAAGUAUUAAAAAUUCACCCUAAUUAGGGUGGGGAACCAUGGAGGCCCAAACCCAUAGAAAAUUUUAUCAUCUCUAAUUUUCACUACCAUAAUAAAAAAAUCUGCAUGGAAACGCAAUAAAAAAAUUGUAAAAAAAUUUAGUACAUAAGCAAUCAAACUGAGGGUAAGUGAAUAAUUUUUUUAAAAAAUAAAAUUUUAGUUUAAUACGCUAAUUGCUAGUGCUCUGCUCAACCAACCUCUCAAGACUGAGCCUGGCUCAACUCCGAGCAUGAAUGGGCCAAAAGUUUUCAAAUUAGACUUGGACUGCCUCGCCCAAUUUACGCAUAUUGCCCCAUGCAUGUUUGUUCAUUUAUUUAUUUAUUGUUUUUAUUGAUAGAGCACGUUUACUCAUUUUGUGUGUUCAUCUCAAUUUGGGCGCUAAGGGUUCUAGUUCGAGCACUUGUGUUGGGGCUCACAUAAUUGAGUAGAAGUAAUUUUUUUUUUUAAUAAUUGAAUGGAUAGAAUAACUAUAUCACUCUAAUUUAGAGACCCCCAUACAUUCUAAGAGACAGGAUGGAGUGCCCCAAACGGAUCCUUAAAUAAAACUAACACUUGGUAGGAAAAGAGUGCACACAAACUUUCACUUAUUAUCUAGUUUGCAUUUUAGAAUUUCAGUAGGAGUUUCUACGAACAGCUUCUUUCUUCAAAUUUUAUAUCACGUACAUUUAUAUGUACUGUAGCAACUUCUUUAAUUCUUCAAUAAUGAGGUUGGAACUUAAUUAGCUGAUAAUGAAUUUGAGUUGCAAGUAGGGUCGUUUUUACAGCAAGCUAACAAAACCAUCAAGGGGGGUUUGUGGGGCCUGGGAGUUCCAACUUGUGUUUUACUGCUUACGUAAAAUGAAAGGCUAAAAUAUAUGAUUGCUCGUUGGUUCUUUUAUAAAAAGAAGAGACUUUUGAUCUUUGAGAUUUGAUGCGUUUUGACUUUUGGACUUGCACCGGCAAACUUCUCUUUUUGGAUUUAAAGAUAAAUUUCCCCACUCACAUGGUUUGUUUCCGGAGCCAUCACUACUCAACUUUUGCAGAAAUUUCUGAUCAAAAGAUGCCCAAAUUGAAGGGCCCAAGCUCUUCAACAUUUCCAUUCAUGAUUAGGGUUUGUUGGGACUAACUUUUUUCUUCAUUAAUAAUAUAUUUUCUUUGUUCAUAGCACAAGAAAAAAUAUUAAUUAUUUUUCAUUAUAUAAUACACGUACAUAACAAAUCCCUCUUCUUUCGAUCCUUCUUCUGCAAAAGAGUGCGUCAAUUCUUGGAAGCUUUUUUCUUUUUUUGUAAAUAUUAACGCUUUUUCUUAUCUUUCUUCUUUCUAGUGUUUUAGACAUGCUACCACUUACAACCUCUUUUUGGUCACUUUCUGUUUGUUUUUCUCUUUUCUUUAAUUGAAGGCUUUUCCAACCACAUGAGCAUGAAGAUUCUAUGCUUUUGUACUCAGAUCAUGGCCAAAUACUUGGAACACGUACGUGCCAUUCAUUUGACCUUGAUUCCAUGAAAAUUCCUGCCCUAGGACGUCUUUCCGGAAAUUCCUUUAUCAUUUCGUCCAAGAGAAAUAAUUCCUCUAAUUCUAUGAAUUUUUCUAGAAUAGCCUUUUCUUGAAUAUCAUUCAAAAAGGUUUCGGAUUGACUAGUAUUCCACCAAUUAGUAACCCAGGAUUCCAGACUUUUAUUAAAUGAGAGAGGGAUCCACCAGGGCAAAAAUACUACAAAUACUAUAGAUGAAAGAUAUCUAAGGGGAAUGGAUGCGUUAACCACUCACAGUUCCACCAUCCUUCACCUCUUUGGAAAAAUGAACAAUUCUUCAUUCACCUUCCCUUCAAACUCAAUGAAGACAUAAACCCCACAAAAGCAUCACACCCGGGUAUGUCUCCUUCAGACCUCUUACUUGCCAAGCAAGAAUGCUCUCAGUUACUCCAACAAGGUCUUAUUGAGUGAUUAGGUGAUUUUUCAACAUUCCUUUCAGGGGGAUACAAAUCGCGGUUCAAAAAUUUCAAGAAACUUAUUUUCUUGCUAACUCAACGGUAGAGUACUCGGCUUUUAAGUACGGCUAGCAUUAAAGCUAUUCACCGAGCACAAGGAGAGAGAGGGAUUUGAACCCUCGAUAGUUCUUUGGUAAAAAUGCUACUUUAAUCUCUAUAGCUCGAUCCAAAUAUCUAGAGAUGGCCAAUGGAAACAAGGUCCCUGUGUGUUCGUGCCCGUGCCGUGCCGUGCUUAAAUUUUUUUACUUAGGCCUGGCCCAGCACACGUGUCGUAUUCAUUCAUGUCGUGCCCACACGUGCCAUAAAUUUUUUUCUUUUUUUUAAAUUUUUUAAGAGCGCAUGGUAAACUAUUGGCGUAAUUUUUUCAAGUCUAUAUAUUUUUCUUAGGUUUAUGCCUUUAUUCAAAUUUAAUAGAAUUAAAAAUUCAAAACUCAAGUCUAUAUUUAAUAAUAAUAAACUAAUAAUAGUAAGAAAUGUAAUAUUGAUUAAUAAUAAAAAUUUUCUUAAGGGUUAACUUAAUUGUUAACUUGGACUUACAUAGAGUCAUAAAUUAUAGUUCACAAUAAUAUUAAUGCAUAUUUAUAAAACCAUGAUAUUUAUAAAUUUAUUCAUUAAAAUCAUGUUAUCAAUUAUUUAUUUAAUAAAUUAUAAAUACAAAUCAAUUAUAGUAAUUUUUUUAAAACUAAGAAUAAUUUAAUUUAAAAAAAUCCAAUUUCCAGUUAUUUGUAAAAUUAUAAAAUUUUAAAUUUACUUUCAUUCAAAAAUAAAACGUGCUUAUUGCGGGUUUUUUUAUCAUGCCGUGCUUUUAAGGCCCACGAGCCUAAAAUUCUAAGCGUGGCCUGACCCACAUACGUACCAUGCUGUACUGUGUGCCUCACCGAAACGUUCUCAUGUCAUGCCAUGCUGUAUGGACACGUGAUGUCCAACCCAUUGGCCAUCUCUACAAAUAUCAAGUUACCCUUGUAUUUUCAAAAUUACACAGAAGCUCUUUGUUGUAUAUUUGUUUUCAACAAAAAUGGAGCCAAAUACUUGUAUUCUUUGCAAAAAGUAAGUGAGACACCCGUAAUAUUUUAAAACUCAUCCAAACUACCCUUAUUUCUCUUAAGUGUCAACUUUAUUUAUCAUUUUACAAUUUUAUUCUUGGUGAUGGUAAAGCUUAAAUAUUUUGGGAUAUGAAGAAAGUAAAAAUGACUUAUAUACCAUUUAUAAAAUUGACUGAAUGAAAAAAAUGAAAAUUAUGGGGAACGUUUGAAAUAAAAAAGAAAAGUUGUAAAUACACAUAAUAUUACCCAUUUUAUUAUCAAAAUGUUGCCAAGUUCACUAGUACCCAAACAUUGUCUAAUUUGUAUUUAUAAGAUGUUUUAUUUGAUUCAUGGUCCUAAAACAUUGAUGCAGAGUAAGAAAUUGAAGAAAUCCUAAUUAGAUAGAAAUUUAUAAUAUUUAGAAAUACUUUAAUUAGUUUUCUAGUUUAAUUGGUUGUCUAUUUAGAGUUUUAUUAUUUUGGCAUUGGUUGUUUGAGUUGCAUUUCUAAUUUAGGCCUAAGUUGUAGUUCAUAUAAAUAAGCAUUUUUUGUAGCUUUUACAAGUAAGCAUUGAUUUUUUUGUCAUUGAUUAUUUUGUCAUUAGUUAUUUAAAAAAAAAAAACUAUAGAUUUGAGUUCAAUAAUAUUUUUAGUUCUGAAAGCUCUAUGUGAGUUUUUCAGUUUAGUUAAUUCCCAACAUUUUGCGAAAUCAAUGAUUGUUAACCCCCUAAAUUCACAAUAUUUUUUUGAAUGAAUGCAAACUGUAGAUUUUGAUGUUUUCAAGAAUCAACGAAGUAUUAGAACAUUAAACUUCCACUGCAGCAAUUUCAGCUUCAACACAUACCAUUUCUCUUUUUUUAAUCCUUAAUCUGAUUUGGCUUUAAAACAAAAACAGUACACCAUAAUCACCACAAAAGCUGCCAUGCACAGCCUCCAUUAGUCUAGCUCUUUUUCUGUUGAUCAACCACCACCACGAUAGUUAAAAGAAGCUGACCACUAAAAUUAACCAUGAAUGUAACCUUUCGCCACUAAAUCACCAACAAAAUGAUUAAAAUCCAUACACUGCCAUAGCUUUCGUUCACUCAAUUUAACCGUUCGUUGGCCAAGGCCUCCACUAUACACUACCACUAUCAAUCAACUCCUCUCCAUAAGUACAUCCUUUCUAACUAUUCACCACUAUCGAUUGAUGCACCGAUCACCGGAAUCAAAGCCAACACAAACCGUUGUUACUUGUCUCAAACUUUCGAUCAAACUACCACUUUUUCAGACAAACGACCACCACCAUCACACUUACCAUCGUCAGAUCUUCUAGAUCCACCCUAUCCUUAUCCAAUUUUUUAUUACCAUCACCGGUAAUCCUAUCUUUUACUUAUUUAUAGUAUUACCAUAAUAUUUUCUAAUCAUCAUGAAGAUUUAUCUUCAAAGAAGGUAUUUUGACUAGAUUGUUGAGGGCUUAGCGAUUGAUUGCUCAAGAUUUAGAGAAACUACAAAAUAGGAAAUCAUACACAUAAAGUAGAGAUAUAGUUGACGAAUUGACGAAGUUGUUUGUGAUGAUGCAAUUAUAAAGAUAAUAUUAUUAAGGUAAACUAUGACUUUGCUUUGUCAAUGUUACUUCAUCCAAUGAGCAUAUUGAUUGGCCAUUUGCCAACCUAAAUUUCUCAAGAUCCUCUAACAAAUUCAAAUCAACCGGCAAAAUUUGAUGAUUAUGUUGAUAUUGUUGAGCAAGUGGCGGUAACUAUUGAUACAUCUUAUGAUCUUGUAGAGUGAAGAGAUGUACUUUUUGAUAUAAUCUCAUAUGGUUCUCUUGAUUUGCCUAAAGAAGACAAAAAGAGUUGUUGUGUUAUCUUUCAACAGUCAGUAGAUUAUGAAAAGAAAUUAUUGUCCUCAACUAUGUUAAAGUUCAAAGCAAAAGUACGAGAAGGUAAUGUUAGCUAUUGGAGUGAUUGGAUGGACAUUGUUACCAAAGUUAGAAAAUUCAAAGUUCGUUGUCUACAUCAAGGAUCUAUUUUAAAAAUUAAUCCUUAUAGAUGUGAAGAUAAUCUUAGAGAUUAUAACAAGAAAAAUUCAACAAAGAAUUUUCUCCAGCACAAUGGGAAUGAUGCAAAGCAAAAAAUUGAAGAAAUCCUAAUUAUAUUGAAAUUUAUAAUAUUCAUGAAUACUUUAAUUAAUUUGUAUUUUAGUUUCAUUUGGUUGCUAUUUAGAGUUAAGUUUUAUUGUAUAGGCAUUACUUAUUUAAGUUCUAUUCCUUAUUUAGAUAUAAGUCCUAUUAAAACAGGUUUUCUAAUCAAAUUAAAAUAAGUCGUAGUUAGUAUAAAUAAGUGUCUUUUGUAACUUUUUACAAGUAGGAUUUGGUUAUUUCGUUAUUGAUUAUUCCUUGCAAUAAACUGUAGAUUUGAGUUCAAUAAUAUUUUCAGUUUUAAAAGCUCUGUGUGAGUUUUUGAGUUUAGUUAAUUCUCGGCAUUCUGUGGAAUCGAUGUGUCUUAACACUUAGGUUCAUGUAUUCUUUCGAAUCAAUGUGAACUUAGACCAUUCAUGUGUUCCAAUGUUCUAAAAAAUCAAUGGAAUAUUAGAGCAUUAAACUUUUGUUACAUAAAAUAUUUAAGAUUUACAUCCAUGAAGGAAAAUUUUGUAAAAUGAUAAUAAAUUUGACACUUACUAGAUUUCAGGGUGGUUUGGAUGGGUUAUAAAACAUGAGGGAAACAUCUUUGGUAUAUUUUCUCUAGAUGACAUGGGUAUUGAUGAGAUUAAGGAUAAAACUAUCACAAGCACAAGGGAUGAGGCAUAUUCAGAUCCUAUUCAAGUUCCCGCCGGACCCGUUACAAGAGCUCGAGCAAAGAAAUUCAAAGAAGCGCUUAAUGGAUUGAUUCAAGGAACUUGGGCUCAAUCAAUUUCGUGGAGGCCCAUUGAAGGAAUCGCACAUGAUAAAUGCAUGAUUCAGACUCUUGAAGUUUCCAAAUACUCACUUCCAUGAAAUAGGGAAUUGGCUUAAACAUUAUGGUGGGAAAAUAUAUUAUUUUCCUUUUUCAGAUACUUUCCCGUUUCUUGAGGAGUCUAUUAGGGAAUCAAAUCAAUUAUUUCUAUUUUAAUCGCCUAGUUUCCAUUUAAUUGAAGUAAGGCAUUUAAGACAAUUAGGAUCCUGAUUUAGUUUAAAUUCUUUCUUAUUUACAUAGAUUAGGAUUCUGAUUUGAUUUAGAUUCUUUCCUAUAAGGGAAGAUUUAGAUUCAUAUUUGAUUUUUGGGUUAGGAUUUAUUUCCAAAAGUUCUUGUAACCAACCUUAUAUAAAGUACUCAUAUUCAAUAAACAAAAAAGAAGUUUUUUUGAUGCAAUUGGUGAGAGAGUUAAUUCCCUUUGGUUCUUUACGAACUCUUUGAACUUAUUGAAUUUCUGUGGCGUUCAAAUUCUUGACUUAUCAAUCAGACCAUCCAUAACUGAUUGUGGCGUCUUUACAUACAAAGGUUCGUGCUUUCAAUAAGCAUUGGGUCGAGGUUCCAUUCCAUUCCUGGUUUAGAUUCGAUCUUGGGAACUAAAUUGACUAGGGUCGCAUCAGUUCUUGACGGGGUUCAUAUCAUCUGGUAUUAGAGCCUAGGCUUCAAGGUCAGGAUCCAUCUAUCUUUGUUGUUUUUCAUUCUUGUUUGAAUUUUUCAUCUUGUUGUAGUAUCUAUAAAAAAAAAUAAUAAUAAGUCGUGAAAUCUCUUGAAUAGUUCCGCAUGAACAGUAUUUUUAGAGUUUUCUUUUAAAAUCAAUUUUGCAUCUUUGUGGUUUAAUUCUCCUUAAAUCCACAAGUUUUACCUAUUCCUUUUCCUUAAAAAAAAAAUUCAACCUCCUCUUAAAAUCUUUCAUUUGUUUUUCAUUAUUUGUGUCUUGGAAGUAUAAAAUAAGUUUUACCCCAUCGGUGAAAAUUUUGCCCAAAAUCAAAACUCGACUUUCGUACACUUGCCUUCUUACUCUUGAAAUUAAAUUCUCCUUAGUUGUCAUCUUUGUGAAUUGCUUUUGAAAUCCUAAUAUUGCUUUGAUUAGUUUGAUAAAAAUCGAGUGAGGAUUAAUAAGAGUGAUUGUACUAUUUUGAUUAGUUUGAUAAGAACCUCAAGGCAAAGAGCAAAACUUUAUGAAUUAAAUAAAAAAAUCUAUUUAGGGAGACAUAUUAAGUCUCAUCUCUUAAAAGAACCAUGCUAUAAAAGUAGAACAGAAAACACAAUGAACGUCACUAAAAACAAAUAUGAACUCUCCUUCAGAAUCAAUAUUGGUGAGAAUCGGUGCAUGUGGUAGAAUGCUUAGUAAAAGCAUGAGCUCAUGUACAAGAAAUAUAAAACCUACCAAGGGUGAGAGACCUAAAUUUGAAAAUGCAUCAGUCACAUUAACCCCAAAUUUCGAAAUAAUAUUUCUAUAUAAUAUCAUAUAAAAUAAAAAAAAUAUAACUCUAACAUGAAAAAAGUGGAAAAAGAUAAUAAUUAAAUAUACAUAAAGGUAAAUGAGCCAUACCUGAUACGAACCCCGUCAAGAACUAACGCGACCCUAAUCAAUUUAGUUCCCAAGAUUGAAUCAAAACUAGGAAUGGAAUGGAACCUCGACCCAAUGCUUAUUGAAAGCACGAACCUUGGUAUGUGAAGACACCACAAUCAGUUAAGAAUGGUCUGAUUGAUAAGUCAAGAAUUUGAACGCCACGGAAAUCCGAUAAGUUCAAAGAGUUCGUAAAGAACCAAAGAGAAUUAACUCUCUGAUACGAACCCCGUCAAGACCUGACGCGGCCCUAAUCAAUUUAGUUCCCAAGAUAGAAUCUAAACCAGGAAUGGAAUGGAACCUCAACCCAAUGCUUAUUGAAAGCACGAACCUUGGAAGACUAGGGGUGGGCACAAACCCACAACCCAUGGGUUUACCCAAACCCAAACCAAAUUAAAUGGUUUGGGUUGGGUAAAUCAUGAAAAUGGGUUAGAUGUGGAUUUUAUAUAGAAAACCAUUUCAUUAUGGGUUGGGUAUGGUUUACCCAUGGGUCAUGGACAAAACCCCAACACUCAAAUUUUUCAAAUGAAAUAAAUGAAAACAAAAUAAAUGAACACAAAUAAGUGAAAGGCCACCAUUAAAUUUUUUACGGCGUGAUCAAUUGUCAAUAGUUAGAAAAUGAAAAUAACAUGUAAAAAUAAAUUUAAAUUAAAUAAAUAUUGUUGUAAAUAACAUAAAUUUUUUUUCUUAUUUACAAAAAUAAUUCCUCCCACAUGGAAGGAUCAUCAUAGAAAGAGCAGGAGACUCUACUAGUGAUCAAUAAUAACUCGGCUUGGACUGGAUCCAAUAUGCUAGAUGGCGGCUAAUUUUUGGUCAAUAAUUGAAUGUAAUGCCCAUAUUAGGCCCUGCACAAAACUUUGCUUACCAUAUAAUGAAAUUAGAACAUAAACCAUACACACUAUAUAAUAAUAACGCAAAACUACCAAAAUGAUAAAUAAAAACAAAUAUUGCAUAAUUAAAUAAAUAAAAAGUGGCAAAAUUUAUUAUUAGAUUGUUAAUGUCAUGUUUGUGAAAGUUUUAAUUAAAGUGUACGUUCUUAUUUAUUGAGAAAUAAUAAUUUUUGUGAUUAAACUUUAUUUUGAUUUUCUAGUAUUCUUUAAUUUAAGGAUUAAGUUAUUGUAAAAUUUAUAAUUUUUAUCCACUAUAUUUUUUUAUAUUUUAAUAUCAAUUUAAUAAUUAAUAACAAUUAAUAAUUAUUAUAAUUUUGAUAUAAUUAAAUUUUAUUAAAAUAAAAAUUAUUUUGAUAAUAAAAUUCAAACCAAACCCAAAUGGUUUGGUUUGGGUUGGGUUAAAAAUAUUUGGGUUGGAUCCAAAUUUUUAUGGUUUGGUUUGGGUUGACUUAAAAUCCAACCCAAACCAACCCAUGCCCACCCCUAGGCUGAAGACGCCACAAUCAACUAUGGAUGGUCUGAUUGAUAAGUCAAGAAUUUGAACGGCACGGAAAUUCGAUAAGUUCAAAGAGUUCGUAAAGAACCAAAGAGAAUUAAUUCUCUCACCAAUUGCAUCCAAAACUUUUUUGUUUAUUGAAUAUGAGUACUUUAUAUAGGGUUGGUUACAAUAAUUUUUGGAAAUAAAUCCUAACCCAAAAAUCAAAUAUAAAUCUAAAUAUUCCCUAAUAGGAAAGAAUCUAAAUCAAAUCAGAAUCCUAAUCUAAGUAAAUAGGAAAGAAUUUAAACUAAAUCAUGAUCCUAAUUGUCUUAAAUGCUUUACAACAAUUAAAUGGAAACUAGGCGAUUAAAAUAGAAAUAAUUGAUUUGAUUCCCUAAUAGCCUCCUCAAGAAACAGGAAAGUAUCUGAAAAAGGAAAAUAAUAUAUUUUCCCGCCAUAAUGUUUAAACCAACUACCUAUUUCAUGGAAAUGAGUAUUUGGAAACUUCAAGAGUCUAAAUCAUGCAUUUAUCAUGUGCGAUUCCUUCAAUGGACCUCCACGAAAUUGAUUGAGCCCAAGUUGCUUGAAUCAAUCCAUUAAGCACUUCUUUGAAUUUCUUUGCUUGAGCUCUUGUAACGGGUCCGACGAGAACUUGAAUAGGAUCUGAAUAUGCCUCAUCCUAUGUGCUUGUGAUAGUUUUAUCCUUAAUCUCAUCAUUCCUCUCCUCUUGAAGAGGAUUUGUCCUCAAAUCAUCACUUACAUCAAAAGGACUCAAAUCAGAAACAUUAAAAGUAGCACUUACAUUGUACUCACCAGGCAAAUCCAGUCUGUAUGCAUUAUCAUUGAUAUGUUCCAAAACUUGGAAUGGGCCAUCCCCUUGAGGUAAUAACUUAGAUUUCCUUCGUUUCGGAAAUCGUUCCAUGCCAGUCACCAGGUUCAAAGACUAGCUUAUGUCGCCCUUUAUUGGCUUCUUUAGCAUAUUGCUUAGUUCUCCGCUCAAUGUUGAACUUCGCCUUCUCAUGUAUCUGUUUAACAAUUUCAGCCUUUUUCUUGCCAUCUAAGUUAACAUGCUCAGAAACAGGUAAUGGAGUUAAAUCCAAUGGGGUUAAAGGAUUAAAACCAUAAACAAUUUCAAACGGUGAAUACUUAACAAGUGGUAAACAAUCUUCCCAAGUUUUGAUGUUCUUUUUAAUGAUAGCUCGUAACAGAGUAGAUAAAGUUCUAUUCACAAAUCAUCGAUAGAAACUAGCAAGCCCAUGAAAGCUUCUCACAUUACUUACACUUGUGGGACUCGACCACUCUUGGAUUGCACGUACCUUUUCCUCAUCAACCUAUAUACCCUGUGCACUCACAACAAACCCUAGAAACACAAGUUUGUUGGUGCAAAAAGUACACUUCUUCAGGUUAGCAAACAACUUUUCUUUUCUAAGCACAUCUAAAACAUAUUUCAAAUGUACUACAUGAUCGUUCAUGUUUUUGCUAUAAAUGAGGAUAUCAUCAAAAUAAACAACAACAAACUUGCCAAUAAAAGCUCGUAAGACAUUAUUCAUAAGUCUCAUAAAGUGCUUGGGGCAUUAGUUAGACCAAAAGGCAUGCUAACCAUUCAUACAAACCAUAUUUUGUUUUAAAAGCAGUUUUCCAUUCAUCUCCUUCUUUCAUUCUAAUAUGAUGAUAUCCACUUUUCAAAUCAAUUUUGAAAAAUACACAAGACCCAUGUAAUUCAUCAAGCAUGUCAUCUAGCCUAGGAAUGGGAUGUCGAUACUUUACCGUUAUGUUGUUGAUGGCUCGACAGUCAACACACAUCCUCCACGUCCCAUCCUUCUUAGGAACUAAUAAAACAGGAACUGCACAUGGACUCAUGCUUUCUCUCACGUACCCUUUUUCCAUUAAUUCCUUAACCUGCCUUUGAAGUUCCUGGUCUCCUCCGGAUUGCUCCUAUAGGCUGGUCUAUUUGGAAUGGCUACACCGUGCACAAAAUCAAUCUAAUGCUCAAUCCCUCGGAUUAGAGGUAAACCAAGUGGUGUUUCCUCAGGAAAGACAUCCUCAUACUCCUACAAAAGAGAAGUAAUAGAACUAGACAAAGUAGGGUCAAAUUCGUUAAAAUGCUUCUUUGUACAAAAGUACAACAUUAUCAUUGAGCUUUAAAUUCAUUCUUAAUUCAUUUAUUCACACAUUGAGCAUAGAUUUAUAAUCAUAUAUUUUGUGUGAGGGAAAAACACAUUUGUAAUAUUUGUUUUGAGUGAUUGUAAGUGUUGGGAUACACUUGGGUUAAGAGAUUAGUGAUAAUCUCUUGUUGUAAAGGUCUAUUGACACCUUGGAAGUCAAUUAUAAGCGUUUGAAGACUUGGGAGGCUUGGAUAGUGAAAUCCUCAAGCUCAGUGUGCUUGGAGGCGUGGACGUAGGCGGGUAUUAUCGAACCACAAAAAAAUUCUUGUGUUUGUUUUCUCUUCCCUCACUCUUUUAUUAUUGUACUUGAUUGAAUUUAUUGUUUUCGAUUCCAUUAAGACAUUAGAUUGAAUUGUUGUGUGGUUUGCUAUCUUAAUUUUUAAUAUCCCAAUUCACCCUCCCCUCUUGAGUUGCUUAAUUAGUAUUUCAUUUGGUAUUAGAGCGAGGUGCUCUUGUGUAGACUUAACCGUCUAGUGUUAAAGAUCUACAGCAACCCAAAUUAGCUCAACCUUCAUGGAAGGCCAAUCUACCACUAGACCUCCAUUCUUUGAUGGUAAUGACUAUCCUUAUUGGAAAACUAGGAUGAAAGUAUUUUUACAAGCCUUAGACUAUGAAAUUUGGGAAAUAGUUUGUAAUGGUUCAUUCAUUCCUGGGAAGAAUGUUGUAAGUGAGUUGGAUAAGAAAAAUAUGUUUUUAAAUUCCAAGGCUAUGAAUGCUUUAUUUUGUUCCUUAGAUAAAAAGGAAUUUCAUAGAGUUUCAAAUUGUUCUAAUGCUUAUAAAAUUUGGAGAAAACUUGAGGUUGUGUAUGAGGAGACUACAAACGAGGAGGAAUCUCAUGAAGUGUCGAAUUUGGCACUUAUGGCAAUUGGAGAUGAAUCGAAUGAUGAACUUGAUGAGGUAAGCGAUCUUCCUACUUAUGAUGAAUUACAUGAUGCGUUUAAAGAAUUGCAUGAUGAGUGGAUGAAAAUUGGUAAAAAGAAUGCAUGUCUUAAAAAGAAAAUGGUAGAGCUCACAAAUGAAAAUGAAUCUCUAAGUGCAAAGAUUAUAUGCCUAGAACUAGAGAAUAAAACAUUGCAUGAUAAAGUUGCAUUAUCAAAUGAGAAAUGUAGCACUUCGCACAAGCAUCUAGAAUCAAAUGAAAAAGAUGCCCUGCAAAAAUACAAUGUUUCAUUAAAUGAAAAGAUCAAAGAAUUAGAAUUAGAUAAUGAAAUGUUACAUGAUAGGAUUGCAUCAUUUAAAUGUAAACAAAGUACUUCAUAUGAGCAUGAGAAAUCACAUAUUGAUGAAUUAAUAAAAGAAAAUGAAGUGCUUAAGAAGAAGAGCAAUGAGUUAAAUGAGAUUGUCUUAAAAUUUACAAAUGGACAAAAGAUGUUAGAUAACUUGCUUAAUUCACAAAAAUGUGUGUUUGACAAAGGAGGUAUUGGCUAUAAGCCUAAUUUGAAACAAAAGUAUUAUAAGAACUACUUUGUGAAGAAUACCUCCAUUAAUGAUCAAAUUGUAUGUCAUUAUUGCAAUCAAAAUGGUCUUAUGAGUUUUAGAUGUCCAGUUAAGAGAAAUGUAUAUUUUGGAGUAAAAUGUAUUUGGGUUCCAAAAGGAACAAAAUCUAACACUCAAGGACCCAAGAGUAUUUGGGUACCAAAGGGCACAACGUGAAUGUUUUCUUUGUAGGUACCACAAUUAAGGAAUGGUGGAGAGUUCCUUGAUGAAAGCUUAUGAGGAUAAUCACUUGAUCACUAUCUAAGCUUAUCUUGCCUAUUUAUUAUGUUGAGUGGAUCAUGAUAAAUGGAUAAUAGCUUGAAUUUGCGAAAGUAUGCUUGUAUGUUUACAUGAUGAAAUUAUCAUUGUGUAUAACAUUGAGUGAUUUAUCAUGAUGCCUUUAUUUGAUUUUGAUGAUUGUGUGAUCUUCUUAAUUGUCUAUCAUCAUUGUCCAUCUCUUAUGUAUGUGUGAAUUCAUAUGCCAUUAAUUGUGUUAUAUUAUUUAUAAAAUUCACAGUAAUGACUUAUUGCGCUUAUGAAUUUGAUCACUUGUUCUUUGCUCAUAAUAAUGGCUUAUCUUAAUAGCUAUGUUGAUUUUGAUGAUCUAUAUAUUGCAAUUACACACUUAUGUUUUGCUUAAGAUUUGAGAUAAAGAAUAUGCUAUGAUGAUUACAUGGUGUGUAUGAUGAUUUAUGAUAAUUUGGGAGUGAUAUUACUAAACUUGUAUUUGAGGUGAUGCUUAUUGUUAGGGGGAGAUUCUAUCGAAAUUUCUACUCAAACGAUAUGGGUAACAACGUUUCCACUCUUUUUCUUUUCCAAUAAAUUUUCUUUUUGAUGAUGAGGGGGAGAAGAAUAUAGCAAUCAUUCUUUAAAUACAUGAAAUGUUUGUCAUCAUCAAAAAGGGGGAGAUUGUUAGCAUAUAUGUAUCCAUAAUGUUGAUUUUGAUGAUAACAAACAAGAUUAAGAAUGAUUAAGUUUUUAAAAGCUCAAAUGAUUUUAAAUAAAUCAUUAUUUUCAUAAUAUAAAUGUUUAUAUUUAAUGGAAAAAUGAUUCUAUGAAAUUGGUUAUUCUCAUGUUAAUGGUUUCAAUUGAAAAAGCUUUGAGAAUUUUGAUAAAUAACAAGUAUUGCUUAAAAUCCUAAAAAUGGACCUAUUUGAUAAGUUUUAUAAAGUUUUGGGUCAUAGUAUAUUUUUAUAAAGUUUUAGGGCCAAACUGUAACUUUACAAAAUAGUUCACUGUAGCAGUCACUGUAGAAAACGACGAUCCGACAUCUCGAUAACGGCGAUUCGACAUUGAGAAGAAUUGAAGAGUAGCCUCUGAACACUAACGGCGAUCCGACAUUGAGCAGAAUUGAAGAGUAGCCUCCGAACACUAACGGCGAUCCGACAUCUAGAUAACGGCGAUCCAAAAAUUUAAAAAUUCAACCCAACAGUCAUAUUGACUAGUCAAACGACGAUCCGACAUCUAGUUAACGGCGAUCCAACAAUGAGUAGAAAGUCAAUAACGGCUAGUUUUCAGCUCCAACUAUAAAUAAGCUCAAUCAAAUUCAAACAAAUGUGGAUCACAACAUUAUCAUUGAGCUUGUAAUCGAGAAUACAACAUUCAUUGAGCUUUAAAUUCGUUAUUGAUUCAUUUAUUCACACAUUGAGCAUAGAUUUGUAAUCAUAUAUUUUGUGUGAGGGAAAAACACAUUUGUAAUAUUUGUUUUGAGUGAUUGUAAGUGUUGAGAUACACUUGGGUUAAGAGAUUAGGGAUAAUCUCUUGUUGUAAAGGUCUAUUGACACCUUGGAAGUCAAUUGUAAGCGUUUGAAGCCUUGGAAGGCUUGGAUAGUGAAAUCCUCAAGCUCGGUGUGCUUGGAGGCGUGGACGUAGGCGGGUAUUGCCGAACCAUGAAAAAAUUCUUGUGUUUGUUUUCUCUUCCCUCACUCUUUUAUUAUUGUGCUUGAUUGAAUUUAUUGUUUUCGAUUCCAUUAAGGCAUUAGAUUGAAUUGUUGUGUGGUUUGCUUAUCUUAAUUUUUAAUAUCUCAAUUCACCCCCUCUUGGGUUGCUUAAUUAGUAUUUCAGUUGAAUACCCUAAAUAAAAGGAAAUUGGGCACAAUCGACAGCACAUGUCUUUGUGAGCAGGAGGUUGGUAUUUGAUAACAUUCUUUCUAAGAUUUGCGAUUGUAUGUUAUUACAGGUUUACUUUUCUGAGGAAUAAAUUAAUAAAUUUGUUUAUAAAUUAAUUAAUACCUCUUUAUUAAUAAAUUUGAUACGUAACAAUCUAUUAAUUUAUGGAGGUUCUAAUAUAUAUACAUAAAUAUAGGUAUAAGGUUAUAAUAAUGUAUAUUUAUUCAUGGAUAUGUUUGUGUAUGUGUGUGUCCACUGCUUAUUGGUGUUUGUCUUACGUGUGAGAAUGAGAUGAUCGUCAUUCAUCCACUAUCACAUUUGAUGCACAUAUCAUGUUUCAUGCACAUAGGGGUGGCUCAACCAAUUUUGGGGCCUUAGACGAAGUGUUUCAAUUAGAUUUUCGAAAAAAAUUAUUAAUAAAAAUUCAUUUAUUUAAAAUCAAAUUUCCUAGCUUUAUGAGAUGCAAAAUUAUUGAUCAAAUUUUUAUAUUCUAAUUUCGCUAGUAUAUUUUUCUCAAUAGAUAACAUAAUUAAUCCAUUUAAUCUUUCUUGUGACAUGGUUGAUAUUAAAUAAGUUUUUAUCAAUUUUAAUUUUGAAAAGCUUCUUUCUGCAGAAGUAACUGUUAUUGGUAUUGUUAAUAAUAUUCUAUAAGCAACAUAUGCAUUUGGAAAAGAAUCAAAUUUUUUCAAAUAAUUAAGUACAUCAAGUGGGGUAUUUUUUUCACUUUUAAAAACUUCUUUUAAAAAAGAAACAACAAUAAUAAAAUAAUAUAAUUAAUUAAGAAGAGAAUAAAAAGAAAAAACCUAGAUAUUUAAGAAGUUUAAUUUUGAUGGAUUGAAACUUUAUCAGCAGUAAUUAAUGGAUAACAUUAAUUAAGAUACCCUAAGAUCCAAAAAAAGGGAUAACAUGAGCCAAUCAUAUCCAAAGGAAAAAUAAUAAAAAUAAAGAAAAAUAAUUAAAAAAAUAAAUUAUUUAUACUUUGAUGGAGGAGAGAUUGAGACCAAUGAAGGAAGUUGCCAAAGCCUUUAGUUUCCGAAAUUGAAAGAGAUUGAGAACUGUCGUGGUGCUUUUUUCUUUUAAUCGAUAAAAACUAGUAAUGGAUAAUAAUAAGUUAACAAAUAUUUGGAUUUUAUAGAGUUUUAAAUGAAAUAAUGUUAAUUAGAGAUUUUAUAGGAAUAAAUAGAAUAAAAAUUGUUAAUCCUAACGUUAAAAAUAGAUUUUGUAUGGAUUUGAUAAUUUAUUUAUAGAAAAGAUUAUUAUAAAAUAAUAACAAUAUAAUUUAAAAAAAAAAUUGAGACCUUUAUCUAUUGUGAGACCCUAAGCAAUUGACUAGUUGUAUAGAGAAAGAGCCGCUACUGCAUGCACAUGAUGACCAAGAAGGUCAUGAUCUUCCAUAAAAGGGUAACAUAUCACAACCAAAAAGAUAAAGAGGAAAAGCGGAAAAGUUUGGACAACCCACGCCCCUUGUCUCAGCAGAUAAUUGAACUUUAACCCUAUUUGGUUUUUUAUUUUCUUAUUGGAUCGAAGAAUAGGGAAUCAUUGAAAGAGAGAGAAGUGAAUGUGUGUUUAUAAUGGCAUUGGGCAAAAGAACAAACUCAAGCACAAAGCACAAACAGAAUCAUAAUAAGAAACCGACUUCUUUUGCUUGCAAGUGACAACCUUUCCAUACAAUUCGCUGGAAUUUUAUUUCUGUCUCUUUCUUAUUUGGCUUAUACUUCGAAGAAGUUUCUGCUCCUUCAUUUCUGAAGGUUCUUUGUAAUCCAUUGAUUGCUCGUAUUUUUAUGCUUACGAAAUUUUUUUAUUAAUUUAUUUACUUUUCUUUCUUUCUUUUCAGGGGUAGUGAAGAAUGAUGAAAGUUCUCCGUCUUUAUAGUGAAUGAUCAAAUAAUAAUCGUUUUAGUGAAUGAUUACUAAAUUAUAGGAAAAUGCUCAAAUUCACAACCCCCUCCUUUGUUAAAAUUAAUCAUAUUUCCUUUGGGUUUUAAAAUCUAUCAAAAUCUCCAUAUCAUUUAAAAAAUUUAGAACUUAUUUGGUAAUCCUAUUACUUUUUAAAUAAUUAAUGUUAGCUAUUAUGUAAGAAUAAUUAAUUGUGAAAAGAAUUAGCUUUGGUAAAAUUUAUUUUUAAAUUGAUGUAAAUCUUAAAACCAGUCAUAGGUGUUCGUUAAAUUUUAUUGUUAAUCUAUUAUAAGAGUACAAGUGACCGAAAACAAUAUAAUGUUGAAUAAAAUUUAUUCACACAUUUAAAAACAUAUAUAAAUAAUAUUUUUUUAUUGUGUAUAUAAUAGUUGAAAGAUAAAAUAAAUAUUUUAAUUAUUUUUAUUUUAUUAUCAUAAUAUAAUUGGUAAUAACCAUAAUCUGUUAAAAUUUAAUGAUUUUAUUUUCUAAUUAAAUAAGGAUAAUUUUGAAUUUUUAUAUUAAGUGUAAAAACUGAUUAUCAAAAGUCAAAAUUUAAAAACUACUCCUUCUCUACUUUUCAAAAUCCGUUGUAGGAUGAAAUAAUUUUACCAAAAGUGAAAAAAUUACCAAACACUAGAAUUAACUUUUAGUUUUUCAAAAUCAUUUCUAAACCUCUCAAAAACAAACUUAAACGAACACUUAGUCAACUUUCAAUUUUUUAUGUUCUUUUAUUAUUUUACUCAUAAUACAAUAAAAUCUACCAUUACUUAAUGAAAGAUUUUGGAGGUAAAAUUGUGACAUAAAAAAGAAUAUGAAAAUUAACAAUUUUUUUUUUAACAACCAGAAAUUUUGAUGGGUUCUGAAACAUCAAGAGAAUGAUUGAUUUUAAAAACUAACAGCGAAGUUUUGAAUUUUAAUCAUUUGAUCGUAAACUUACAUAUUGAUCUUUGAACUGCAUAACUGCGAUAAAAUGUGAAAACAAAUGAAAAACUUGAAAUUUCAUGAAGAUGCCAUACCCGGCCGACAUCCCUCAACCGCCUCGUUUACGUUGAUCACGAAAUGCUUGAUGGUUGAUUGAAUUAUGAACAAGAUAUGUUUGUCUUCUGCAAAAGCUGUUAAAAGAUACAGACACAUUAUCAAAAUCAUGGAUGUACAUCUUAUUUAUACUUGUCCAUGUAUUAUUUGUUAUUGAUGCAACCUAGAAAAUGAGGAGGCAGGAAAAGACAUGCGGCUUCUAUCUGGACAUCCUUAUUCCAAGAUAAAACAAAUGAUAUCAUGCACAGUUAAAUUAACAAUCAAAAUGCCAACUGGGCCCUUCUUAAGACAAGACAAUUUAAGAAUAUUAUGUUUUGAAAGAUUUCACUUGCACUAAAAUUAUAAUAUGAUCCCACCACCCAAUCACCCAUGCAUCUCUCCAUCAUCAUUUGUCUUGCGAGCUAUAUAUAUUAUGUUUUUUUUUUCACCAAAUUAUCAUUUAGCGUGAUCAAGACCAAAUACAUUACCCAGUAAGAGAGAAAAUGAUAGGUCUAUAGCUAUCACAAUUACUUUUCAUGAUAAUUGGUAAUCAAAUUAGCUUAAGUUUUCAAAGCGGUAGUUUGAUAAUUGAUAUGGCUAUUCUAACAAUUUGCGACUUUAUAAUAAUCAUGUUAUGAAAAACUUCAUCUUUUACCCCUUUUUUUUCCGACUAUGUGAUGUUGUGAUGUUUCAGAAAGAUCACAAUGAACAAAAACUUUUUUCAAGUGCUUAAAAAUGCAUAUGCAUAAUACAUAGUCUCGUUAAUUUUCUUUCAGUUAUUUGAUAUUAUUUUGACGACCAAUUAUUUGCUUUAUUGUUUAUAUGUCCUGGAAAUAAAUAUAUAUCCAUAUCAUUAUCUCCUUCCCACACUAAUUCUGUCAUCCCAUUAAUAAUUAUCCAUUCAGUUUUAUGUUCUAUAAUCUAAUAUGUUUUAAACAAAAUUCAAUAAUUUUCAAUCCUCCACAUAUCAUAAAUAUAUUUUAUUAGUUUAAUUCAAUAUUAAUAAUCAUACUAAUAAGUAGUACUUAUACAUUAUUUAAAAAUAAUAAAUUUUGUAAGAAAAUAUUUUGAUGUUAAAAUGAUCAUACUAAUAAAGUGGUACUUAUACAUCAUUUAGAAACAAUAAAUUGUGCAUUAAAAAAUUGAUGUUAAAGUAAAUUUUAUCAAAAAGUGAACGGCCGAAAAGGAAAGAAAAAAAAAAAGAAAAAGAAGAGAAAGAAAGAAAAAGUGGCGGGCCGCGUAAGGAAAAAUAAAAUAAUAAUAAAUAAUAAAGUAAAAGGUAUGAAUAGUAACCAAUUUUUGGCUAUAAAAGGAGGAUGCUCCUUCUCAUUUCAAAAUUUAGUUUUGAAAGAAGCAUUUCCUGCAUUUAGAGAGUUGAGAGUAUUAAGAGUUUAAUAAACUCUUGAGUGAUUAAUCAGUGAGAGAUUGGGUGUAUUGAGGUUUUGGGUAGUAAGCCAAAAUAUUACAAUAUUUGUUAUUCUCAAAUCACUAGUAAAAUAUUUUUCUUCUGUCUUCGCCCAUGGAUAUAGGCUAAAAACCGAACCACGUAAUUUUUGGUGUUUCUAUAUAAUUCUAUUGUCUCAUUAUUUCUCAAUUUCACUUUAGUUAUGUAUCUGCUUUACCCAUCAAUUUCCCAACAAUGGUAUCAAAGCUAUUGGUUGUAUUUUUGGAGUUGGGUACUGUUCACAUAUACGGCACUAUGUUAUUCUAUUGUCUCAUUAUUUCUCAAUUUCACUUUAGUUGUGUAUCUACUUUGCCCAUCAAUUUCCCAACAAUGGUAUCAGAGCUAUUGGUUGUAUUUUUGGAGUCGGGGGUAUUGUUCACAUACUAUUUUCGUAUACAGUACUGUUCACGAGAAACGGUGGGAGCGAUCCAAGAAUUUUGCUGUGCAAAGUAGGGUGUGAGUGGAGUAACCAUGUGUUUAGGAAAGUUUUAUCACAAGGGCGAUAAGAGCCUAAGGAGUCUGGGUUUUAAGUGGGCCUGUUGUGACCCCUCCAGUCUUUCUUGAGAACUUUCCUGGUGUGCAUUUUCACACAUACUCACAACUAUUCAAGGUGGUACACUAGCUCAUUAGCUUGUGUGCGGUAUUUAUCAAUAAAAUGGUAGCAAAGUAUGAAAUUCAGAAGUUCAACGGGAACAAUUUCUUGUUUUGGAAAAUAAAGAUGAAGGCUAUAUUGAGAAAAAAUAAUUGCUUGGUAGCAAUUGGAGAAAGGUCCACGGAGAUAACUGAUGAUGACAAGUGGAAUGAGAUGGACGGCAAUGCCAUUACUGAUCUACACUUGACACUUGCAGAUGGGGUAUUAUCCAGUGUGGUGGAGAAAAAGACCACAAAGGAAAUAUGAGAUACUCUCACAAGAGUAUACGAGGCCAAAUCGCUACACAAUAAGAUCUUCUUGAAAAGAAAACUUUACACUCUUUAAAUGGCAGAAUCUACAUCGGUGACCAACCAUAUCAACACUUUCAAGACUCUAUUUUCGCAACUCACAACACUGGGUCAUAAAAUAGAGGAAAAUGAAUGUACGGAGCUUCUACUUCAGAGUCUACUGGAUUCGUAUGAUCAACUCAUCAUCAAUCUGACGAACAACAACCAAACAAAUAGUCUAGUCUUUGAUGAUGUUGCAGCCUCCAUAUUAAAUGAAGAGAGUAAGAGGAAAAAUAAGGAAAAGUUCGCAGCAAGCGGAAGUAUUAUUGGUGAUGAGAGGGAGAUUAACGGAACGUGGCCCCAAUGGGAGUCACAAUCAUGGUAGAUGAAAAUCGAGAAAUAAGAAGAAUGUCAAAUGCUACAAUUGUGGCAAGAAAGGGCACGUCAAGAAAGAGUGUUGGAAUAACUAGAAGAGAAGAGAAGGUAAAGAUCAUGAGUCAUCAAAUGCUUAGGGGUGUGUAGUAAGUACCCCGGAUGAUGGCGAAAUUCUUUACAACGAGGGGACAACUAUUUCAGAAGGCGGAAAAUAGUUAUCUGAUAUCUGACUUUGACCUCUCGGAGAGAAUGGUUCCACACAUAUGAACCUAUCUCUAGAGGAUCUACAUACAUGGGUGAUGCUCAUGCUUUGGAGAUUGUUGGUAUUGGUAAUGUCAAAACAAAAAUGUUUGAUGGUACAAUUCGUACAAUUGAGUAGGUACAACAUGUCAAAGGCCUGAAGAAAAAUCUAUUGUCUCUGGGACAAAUCAAUAGUCGUGGGUGCAAAACUCGUGUUGAAAAUGGGAUUAUGAAGAUUGCUAAAGGUGCGCUUGUAUUGAUGAAGGAAAAAAAGGAUCAAUGCUAAUAUGUUCAUGCUUAAAGGGGAAACACUAUAGGAAGCUGAUGCGUGUGUCACGUCAAAUGGAGAAGAAUCAACGAUGAUGUGGCACCUCAAACUCGGCCACAUGUCAUAAUAAGGUUUGAAGAUUCUCUCUGAGCGAAAAUUACUUUCGGGGCUUAAAUCGAUGAACUUACCAUUUUGCGAGCAUUGUAUUACAAGUAAGCAGCAUAUAUUGAAGUUUAGCAAAUCCACCGCUGAAAGUAAAAACAUUCUAGACUUGGUUCAUUCUUAUGUUUGGGAAUCACCAGAUAUAUCCAUAGGAGGCGCAAAGCACCUGGUGACUUUUAUUGAUGAUUAUUUCAAGAGAUGUUGGGUGUAUCCAAUCAAGAAAACGUCAGAUGUGUUUCCAAUGUUCAAAAAAUUCAAAGUGCGGGUUGAACUUGAAUCAGGGAAGAGGAUAAAAUGUUUGAGGACAGAUAACGGUGGAGAGUAUACAAACGACGAGUCUCUUGUUUUUUGUAAGCAAUAAGGUAUUCAAAAGCAGUUCACGGUGGCAUACACUCCUCAACAAAAUGGAGUGGCGAAGCGGAUGAACGGGAAUCUUAAAGAAAAGAAUAAGAGCUAUGUUGAGGAUUGAGGGCCUACCCAAUUCAUUAUGGGUAGAGCAGCCAAAACUACCUGUUAUAUAGUAAAUCAGUCGCCAUCUGCGACAAUUGGGUUGAAAACUCCGAUGGAAAUGUGGACUGGAAAGCCAACCGAUUACUCCCACCUACAUGCAUUUAAAUGUCCUAUGUACGUGAUGUAUAAUGCCCAAGAAAGAAUAAAGCUAGAUCCAAAACUCUAGAAUAUGUAUCUUCUUGGGAUAUGUUGAUAGAGUAAGGAGUAUCGUCUAUGGGAUCCCACUGUCCACAAGAUCGUCAUCAGCAGAGAUGUUAUUUUUGUAGAAGAUCAACUGUAAAGGAAAGAUGAAAAUGAUAGCACUGUGAAGGAAAAGUUAAAGAAUGUACCAGUAUAUAUGAAAAAUAAUCCAAGAGAUUCAGAUCUUUUGAAGCAGCACCAGAGCACGAGGAACAAGAACCAGUCGAGUUCGAGACCCCAGAAGUUCGAUGGUCAACUCAUGGGAGACGACCGCCAGUGUGGCACUCGAAUUAUGCUACAAAGAUUAAUGUUGCAUACUGUCUUCUAAUAGAGGAUGGAGAGUCAUCAACUUUCUAUGAAACUUUAAACAACUCAAAUGUUGCUUUGUGGAUGACAACAUUGUAGGACGAAAUUGAGGCUCUACACAAAAAUAAGACAUGAGAACUUGUAUAGGAGGUGAUUGUGCUAUCACCUUUAGCUGCUUGACAGCUUCUGUCUGAGCAGGGCCCCAUGGAGGGAAAGCCAUUGGUAACAAAUGGGUUUACAAAAUCAAGCGUGAUGGCAUUGACCAAGUGGAGCAGUUGAUAAUUCUAUGAAAUGAGAGUUAUCAUGACACUUUUUGACUUAAAUCAAUAUUACUUAGAGAGUAAAUGAUGUGUUAAUAAAUAUUCAUUUUGUAUAAAUAUUCAUUUUAGUUUAGUCUUAAUAAAUUCUGUUGGAUUUAGAAUAAUUCAUGAUUAGAUUGUAUGCAUAAUUGUAGAUGUCUAGAGCUCAUAUUUCAAGGAAGGAAUGUUGAUGCAAUAGGCUUGCAAAAAUGAGGAAUGAACAUGGCUACAAAAGAAUUGAAACAAAUCUGGAACAAUGUAGUCGUUGUAGCCGAUACUGUAGCAAACUUGGAACAACGACAGAGAAAAUUUCGCACGGGAUACCUGCAGAAUCGCAAUCUGCAGUUUCCUAAUCUGACUUAUGCGCGCCUGAGGCUUCCGUUUACUCUAAUUUUCAAUUAUAAAAGGAGCACGCAUCAUAUUGGAAAGGUGGCGGUAAUUAACAUCAAUGAAAUCAAGAGAAAAAGAAGGAAGAAGCAGAAUUCAAGGAAGAACAAGUCUGUACCAUUGAAGAAAUCUGCAGAAAUACUUGGAUUCAAUUUUCAUCAUUCUUUACUUAUUUCCUCAUUUAUUCUCUUAUUGAGACAAUGUAUUUCAUGGCAUAUAUUUUGCUGUUAGUUUUUCUUUUACAAGUUAUGAACUAAAUUUGAUUGUAGUUGAGUAACAAACAAUCUUAAUGGGUUCUUGACUGUUCUUAUGAGUUGCUGCAAGAUUACUGUAGCAUUUUGCUCUAAUAGCUUAUAUUACAAUCAUUAUUUCGGUUGACCUCCCAUUUAAUGGUUCAAGUUAAGAGAGAGUCGCAAAAGGGCCUGUCUUGGUGGAAAUUAUUAGAGUAAUAUUUGAUCUUAAUUUGAGUUUCCUGGAUUGAGUUUAACUUGAGUCCCAAAAGGGCCACACUUGAGUUAAGGUUUGUGAAGAACUAGAUAUAGGGAUUCACCUUGUAGGGUAGAGAGAGUAUAUGUUUGUAAUGUCAUUUCUUAUGUGAUGUAACAACUGGUCAUUGUUAGGUUGCAUAAGGGUAUGAAAAGUCCAACAAGCGAUAGCUGAGAAUGUAAAAUAAUUAUGCCCAGUGUUGUAGGAAUUACUGCAGCAACUGGUGUUAGUUUGAACAAAACAGUCAGCUCAUGAAGAGAGUUUGAUCAUUCAACUACCAUAUUCUUAUUAAAUUCUUUUUGCGCAAUUCAUCCAAUUUACUUUAUUACUGCAAUUAUUUUAUUAUAUUGUUAAUUUUAUUAGUCAAUCAACUUAAAUUAGAUUUUUCUUUAGAUAGAAGGAAGUUUGCACUAUCAUGAUUGAUGUAGCAUUUCUAGUAACAUCAGUCCCUUUAGAGAUGAUCUUGAAUAUUCAUCACUUUAUUACUUGUUGUGUAUACUUACACAUUGUCAUCGAUAGCAAUUGAGUUAAAUUAUCCAACAAGUUUUUGGCGCCGCUGCCGGGGACUGAUUUUUUAUUUUCGAAUUGUGAAGCUAAUCUUGACAGUGCCAACUUAAUUUAAUUCAUUCUAUUUAUUGACAUAUCAAAACCUGCAUGCGCAAAGACAGAUUUGUUGAAUUUCAAUUUGAUCCUGAGAUUGAAAGGAUUGUAAAGAGAUUGCGAAGAGAGCAAAGAAAUUCAAAAACUGCUUCAGAAAUGGAUAACUUGCAAGAUGUGGGAAACUUAGAUUCUCACGGGCCACUACAACCUGUCAAUGUUCAAGAAGGGCAAAAUGGACAUGUUAAUAUGAGACAACCAGGCAACAACAAUAUUAUUUACAUGGCAGAUGACAGAGACUGGGCUAUUAGAGAUUAUGUUGUGUUAACUCCUCAAGUUGUACAUCCUAGAAUAGUCAGACCUGAAGUGGAAGCCGCCAACUUUGAACUCAAACCAGUGAUGUUUCAAAUGCUGCAAACAAUGGGUCAAUUUAAUAGACUGCCAUCUGAAGAUCCUCAUCUCCAUCUUAAGUUGUUGUUGGAAGUGAGUGAUGCUUUUAAGAUUGCUGGAGCAACACAAGAUGCUUUGAGACUGAGGCUUUUUCCUUUCUCCAUCACUACAUGGAAUGACUUGGAUGACAAAUUUUUAAUGAAAUAUUUUCCACCAACCAAGAAUGCAAAAUUGCGGAAUGAGAUCACCUCUUUUCACCAACUUGAAGAUGAGAGCUUGUAUGAGGCUUGAGAGAUAUUUAAAGAGUUGCUCAGAAGAUGUCCUCAUCAUAGCAUUCCAUGUUGCAUACAGUUAGAAACCUUUUACAAUGGGUUGAAUCCAAGUACGAGAUUGAUGGUCGAUGCUUCAGCAAAUGGAGCCCUAUUAUCCAAAUCUUACACUAAAGCCUAUGAAAUUUUGGAGAGAAUUGCUAACAAUAACUAUCAGUGGCCAUCAACUAGACAAAUUGUUGCAAGAGGAGCAGCAUGGGUACAUAACAUAGACGCAAUUACAACACUUUCAGCUCAAGUAAAAUCAUUUACUAACAUGGUGAAAAUUAUGACUACUGCUCCAGCAGCAGUAAAACAAGUUGCUGAACUAUCUUCUGUGUAUUGUGGUGAAGAGCAUGUAUUUGACAACUGCCCAGGCAAUCCAGCAUCAGUAAACUAUGUGGACAACUUCAACAGACAGCCCCAGAACAACCCAUAUUCAAGUACUUACAACCCUGGAUGGAAGCAACACCCAAAUUUCUCAUGGAGCAAUCAAAAUCAGCAUGCUCCAGCACCCACUGGAUAGAACAGACAUGUUCAGCCACCUGGUUUUCAUCAACAGAAUCAAGGGCAGAAACACACUAGCAAUGAUCAAAUUACUUCAUUGAAAACACUUAUUAAGGAAUAUAUCGUGAAGAAUGAGGUAAUUGUGCAAAGUCAAGUUGUAUCUCUGAGAAACCUAGAAAACCAAAUUGGGCAACUUGCCACAGCAAUGAGUAGCAGGUCUUAAGGAAGUUUACCCAGCAAUACAGAAGAUCUAAGAAGAGAGGGUAAAAAACAUUGUAAAGUAAUCAACUUAAGAUUUGAAAAGAAUGUUCAUAUCCCUGUUGAUGUGGCUAAAAAGAUAUUGGAACUUAACUCCUCACAAGAACAACCUCAAGUUGAAAGGAUGUUACAGCAACCCAGCUAUCAAGAUACUGGUGCUAGUAGUCAAGCUACAGCAACCUUGGAAGGAAAUCACCCAAUGACUGUUGAAGAAAAUGUUGCAACACCAGUGGUGAUAACCCACAAUAAAUCAAAGGAGCAGAGAUUUGUACCUCCUGAAGCUGUAUAGCAAUUUAGGCAUCCACCUCCUUUCCCAUAGAGAUUCCAGAAACAAAAACAAGACAAACAAUUUAACAAAUAUUUGGAAGUGCUGAAGCAGUUACACAUCAACAUACCUUUUGUGGAAGCAUUGAAACAAAUGCCUAAUUAUGUAAAAUUUCUAAAAGAUAUUUUGGCAAGAAAAAGAAGGUUGGGAGAAUUUUAAAUUGUUGCUUUAACACAGGAAUGCAAUCACAUGCUUCAAAGUAAGAUUCCUAAAAAAUUGAAGGAUCCAGGAAGCUUCACAAUAUCAUGUUCAAUUGGAACUAGGUACAAUGGCAGAGCACUCUGCGACUUGGGAGCCAGCAUUAAUCUAAUGGUACUAUCUGUAUUUAAGCAAUUGGGAGUAAGAGAAUGCAUCCAAAAAUAGUCACUUUGCAAUUGGCUGACAGAUCUCAUGCAUAUCCUGAAGGAAAGAUUGAAAAUGUGUUGGUGAAGGUUGACAAAUUCAUCUUUCCAGUGGAUUUCAUUAUACUAGACUUUGAGUAUGAUAAAGAGGUACCAAUUAUACUUGGAAGACCAUUCUUGGCAAUCGGGAAGACUCUAAUAGAUGUGCAAAAAGGAGAGCUAACCAUGAGGGUGAAUGACCAACAAGUCACCUUCAAUGUAUUAGAAGCUAUGAAGAGUCCUAAUGAGGCAGAAGAUUGCAAUUUUAUGAGUGUCGUGAAUCUUGCUGUAACAGAAAGCAUAAAUAGAUGCUGCAGUAAAGAAGUUAUCAAAGCUGUCACUUUUGAAAGCUUUGAAGAAGAAAAUGUUACAGCAAACUAGAUAAAUUGGAUAGGAGAAAGGCAAUCUAACAGACAUAGCGGAUUUAUUGAACCUCUACUGAAUCACCUCCUACUCUUGAAUUAAAACUGUUACCUUCACAUUUGAAAUAUGUUUAUCUUGGUCAGAACAACACACUUCAUGUAAUCAUUUCAUCUUCUUUUAAUGCAGAUCAAGAAAGGAGUCUGGUAGAUGUGCUUGGGAAAUACAAAAAAAUAAUUGGAUGGACUAUGGCAGACAUUAAAGGGAUCAGCCCAUCCAUAUGCAUGCAUAAAAUUCGGUUAGAUGACUGCUACAACAAUUCAGUAGAGCAACAAAGAAGGCUAAACCCCAUUAUGAAGAAAGUCAUGAAGAAAGAAAUCAUCAAAUGGCUGGUUGCUGGGAUCAUAUACCCGAUAUCAGACAGUUCAUGGAUAAGCCCAGUACAAUAUGUUCCAAAGAAAUGAGGAAUAACAGUGAUAGCAAAUAAAAAGAAUGAACUUAUUUCUACAAGAGCAGUGACUAGAUGGAGGGUAUGUAUGGAUUAGUGGAAGCUCAACAAAGCCACACAGAAGGAUCACUUUCCACUUCCAUUUAUAGAUCAAAUGUUAGACAAACAUACUGGAAAACAAUACUAUUGUUUCCUCGAUGGGUAUUCAGGUUACAACCAAUUUGCUAUAGCCCCAGAGGAUUAGGAAAAAACUACAUUUACCUGCCCUUACGGAACUUUUGCCUUCAGAAGAAUACCAUUUGGUCUGUGCAAUGCUCCAGCAACUUUCUAGAGAUGUACGAUGUCUAUUUUCUCAGAUAUGGUGGAGCAAACAUUAGAAGUCUUCAUGGAUGAUUUCUUAGUCUUUGGCGAAACAUAUACAGAUUGUUUACAUAACUUGGAAGAAGUUCUUAAAAGAUGUGAGAUGACUAACUUAGUACUCAAUUGGGAAAAAUGCCACUUCAUGGUGCAAGAAGGCAUAGUGUUGGGUCAUAGGGGUCCAAAAAUGGCAUAGAGAUAGAUAAGGCAAAGAUAGAAAUGAUAGAUAAACUGCCACCUCCCACUUUAGUUAAGGGUAUUAGAAGUUUUUUGGGACAUGUUGGAUUCUACAAAAGAUUCAUAAAAGACUUUUCUAAAGUAGCUAAAGCAUUAUGCUCACUGUUAGAACAUGACAAGCCUUUUCAUUUUGAUAAACAUUGUCUUCAAGCUUUUAAAGAACUGAAGAAAGCUUUGAUCACUGCACCAGUGGUUAUAGCACCAGAUUGGACUCUACCUUUUGAGCUAAUAUGUGAUGCUAAUGACCAUUUUGUUGGGGGAGUGUUGGGGCAGAGAAAGAAUAAGGUUUUCCACUCUAUAUACUAUGCUAGCAAAACUCUUACUCAAGCUCAGAUUAAUUACACCACUACAGAGAAAGAGCUGCUAGCAGUAGUAUUUGCUUUCGAUAAGUUUAGAGCUUACUUGGUGGGUACUAAAGUGACAGUCUACACAGAUCAUGCAGCCAUCAAGCACCUAAUCUCCAAGAGAGAUGCCAAACCGAGAUUAAUAAGAUGGAUUUUAUUGCUUCAAGAGUUUGAUUUGGAGAGGAUAGAAAGGUGACUGAAAAUCAAGUAGCAGACUAUCUGUCUAGGCUAGAAGCAGAUACGAGCACAUUGACUAAACAAGACAUCACUGAAACAUUUCUUGAUGAACAACUGUUAGUGCUACAACAUGCACAAAUGCUACAACAACCAGGAUCUCUAUGGUAUGCAGAUUUUGCUAACUACUUAGUAAGUGGAUUGCUACCACCUGAGUUGACUUUUCAAUAGAAAAAAAAAAUUCCUUCACGAUGUUAAAAGCUACCAGUGGGAUGACCCAUACUUGUAUAAGUUAUGCUCAGAUCAUGUAAUACAAAGAUGUGUUUCAGAGGAAGAAAUUCCACAUGUACUGCAAUCUUGCCAUACUGCAGCAUAUAGAGGACAUUUUAGUGGACAAAGAACAACGGCUAAAGUUCUGCAAUCAGGUUAUUAUUGGCCUCCUGUUUUUAAGGAUGCUUAUGAGUUUGCUAAAUGUUGUGACAUGUGCCAAAAGACAGGAAACAUAACUCAAAGACAUGAAAUGCCAUUGACAAACAUUCCCACCAUCCUUUGGAAACUUAUAUAUCCUUGUUACUGUGGAAACAUUCCCACCAUCCAUCAAUGAUGCCAGAGUAGUGGUGAAUUUUCUUCAGAAAAAUAUCUUUUCCAAGUUUGGCACUCCACGAGCAAUUAUUAGUGAUGAGGGUACUCACUUCUGCAACAAAGUAUUUGUUGUAGCAAUGGCUAAAUAUGGAGUCAAGCAUAAAAUUGUAACAGCAUAUCACCCACAAUCCAAUGGCCAGACAAAAGUGUCUAAUAGGGAGAUUAAGAGGAUUCUAGAAAAGGUAGUGAAUCCUACAAGAAAGGAUUGGUCAUUGCGCUUACAUGACUCCUUAUGGGCUUACAGAAUAGCACAAAAGACACCAUUUGGCAUGUCUCCCUACCUAAUUGUGUAUGGGAAAGCUUGCCACUUGCCACUCAAGUUGGAGCACAAAGCAUAUUGGGCACUGAAGCAAUUAAACUGGGAUAUACAUGCUGCAGCAGAGCAGAGAAAACUUCAACUAUGUUAACUUGAUGAAUUAAGGUUAUUUUCGUAUGAAAAUGCAAGAAUCUAUAAGGAAAGGACAAAACAAUGGCAUGACCAACACAUCCAACAAAGAAAAUUAAUUCCUGGUCAACUAGUUCUUGUCCAUAAUACCAGGUUAAGACUAUUUCAAGGAAAGCUGAAAUCUAGAUGAUCUGGACCUUUAUAACUAUGGGGUUGUUGAUCUCUUUGAUGAAAAGAUAGGACAUGAAUUCAAAGUUAAUGGGCACUCAAGUGAACCGGCAGUGUGAGCUACAGAUUGCUCAAAGGAGGUCUUACUCCUUAGUGAACUGGCAGUGUGAGCACUCAAGGAAGGUCAGGCUGAAAGACCUUAAAUCAAGUGCUCAAUGAGAGGCAACCCAUUGCUGAGGCAGUCAUUUCGAAUGAAAUAGAUCCUCCAUAUUUCUGUUAUCAUAAUUUUUUUAAUUUUUUCUCUUAUUUUCAUUUUUAUUAUUUAGGAAUGUUUAAUUUUUAUCUUUUUUUUUCUUUAAAAAAAAUGCCAAGUCACGCAAUUCUUGGAGUUGGAUUCAAUACUAACAAUUGGUGUUGUAAUGUUAACAGAUUAAGAGGACAAGCUACUUCACAGCAGCCAUCUGAGGGAAUUGUUGUGCAAAUUGCUAGAGCACACAAUUUAUUGCUACAAUAACCAAUUUUACCGUUACAGUAACUUAAUUAUGGAGCCUCACAUUUUACCGUUGGAGAUAACAUGUGACAGCUGGUUGGGUGAAUUUGGAUAGAGAUUGGGGAAGGAUGCUUAAUCUCUUAAAUGACCGCAUCAAUAUCUCUUUCUUAUUUUUAUGGGAUAUGGUUAAUAAAUUCAAAAAAUUCUUCCCUAAUUUAUCUCUUUUACUGGAUUUGUUUUAAUUUAUUCCUACCUAUAUAAGGGUUUUACUGUGCAUAUUGACCUCUAACACUAUUUUCUUUUCCCUUCGCAGUCACAACCCCACUACCUCAUAAACUCUUCUUCUUGUUUCACUCUUGGGCAUAUUACUAUAGUCAUCCUACUACUGUAGCAAUGCCAAGGUAUAAAAUGACAGCCAGCCGACUAAAAGAUCCCUCACAAUUUCAAAGUUACCAUACGGAAGAGAAGUAUGAAGAAUUUAUUAAACCGCGCAAUAUUUUGGAAGAAAAAGGAUUUUAGUUCCCACUUCAACCCUCGGGAAUUGUGCAAUCAUUAUACGAUGCUGCAGCAAAGUGCGGGUGGCUAGAGUUUUGUAACCACCCCCGAGACCCUAUGUUGCCACUGGUGAAAGAAUUUUACGCCAACUUAUUAAGCCCUGGCCAGCAUAAUAUUUGGGUAAGAAACUUGCUUGUACCAUUAGAUUCACGAGUUAUUAAUGCCUUCUAUCACUUACCUUCUGAGAUUAAUUGCGAGUAUGUCAAGUUGCUUGGCAAAUUAACCUUACAAAGAUGGAACAAGAUUUUCACAACACUUACCGUAAAAGGUGCAUCUUGGGCUAAUGAAGAAGGGCGUAUGAUUAAUAGGAUGGAUUUGACACCCAUUGCUAAGGUGUGGGUGAAAUUUUUAAAAUCCAGAUUGAUGCCAACCACACACACCACCACUGUUUCACAAGAAAGGUUAGUACUUUUGUAUGUCAUUGUUAGAGGGUUACCCAUAGAUGUGGGAAGCAUUAUAGAAAAAGAAAUUCGAGACUGUGCCAUGAAAAACCACAAAGCGGUUGCCUUGCUAUUUCCUUCACUAAUCACCAGCAUUUGUGUGGUAUCGGAAGUCCACCUUGAUGCAAAAGAUGAACAUGUUAAGAAUGAUGGUGCUAUCACUGCACGCACUGUCGAACGAAUUGCCGGUGAUGUUGCUAGAGCCCCACCCGAACCAGCUGCUGUAGUAGGGGCAAGAAGAGUUGUUGGGUUAGAGCAGAUAAUCCACGCACUGAGCACCAGCAUCAUUUAAUGUACUGAAGUUCAGCAGAGGGAAAACAAUCAGUUUUGGAGCUAUUUACAGCACUUGGAGGACCACCUACACCAAUUUACUGUAUACAUGAAAAGUACCCGUCGAAAUUUCUCUGAUUCGCUGCUACAUCAGUUCAAUUUUGGUACCUCCACUACAGAUGCUCCAGCAGAAGUCAGUGAAGAUGCUACUGACAUAGAUGAACCAGGGGAAGAAGCUGCAGUAGAACCACAAGCAAAGGUUGAUACAAAUGCUGAUGACCAGUUAGACCAGCCUGAAGAAAAGGGUGUCAAGUCUAUAACUGACAGUUCCUCAACAGAGGAGGAGGUAGAGCCUAAGAAAGAACUCGAGGAACCCCCAACCAGGACUUCUUCCAAGACCAGGAAAAAACACAUCAUACCAGAAGAGGAAGAUGAACCUACAAAAGAGCCUCCCAUACCAGUCCUCUCUCAAAAUGGCAAAGAGAAAGUAAUGACCCCUCUUGUAUCCAACGAUGAAGCCGAGCACAUUGAUGCAGAGCUGGAAGCUACAGCAACCAGGGUUACUCGUACACCCAUAGAGACAAAGCAUCUGCUUGAUAUCAUUGCCGUAAUCACGGCUGAGGGAUAUGCAGCCGAAGACCCAGCUCUAGCUCCUUCACAGCAAACCCCUAGCAAACCUACUCUCGCUAGUCCUAAAGGACCCAACAAGAGAAAAUGGAGCACUUCUGGAGGCGUUGCGGCAACAAACACACUAGAAUAAAAAAGGACCAGAUCUGUUUCGUCCAGGUAGGCUGCACCCACUGCAACUCCUCCCACUGGCCCGUUGCAGAGAAAGAAAAAGACGUUGCCAGCUACCUCAUCGCAAGAAUCUCCUAAGGACCGGCUGCAGAACGCAUCCAAAAAGCGGUGAAUUGGUUGUUGCACCUUGUUGCAGCAAUGCCCCAGCAAUAGGGGAGUACCCCAUAUCCUCCAGUUUAUUUUACUUAUCUUUGCACAACUUUUCUUUCAUUCAAAUUUACUUGUCUGAUUCAUUCUGCUAGUCCUGUUGUUUUGUGUAUGCAUGUGUUAGUGAAAGUGUUUUUAUUUUUUGUGCUUGUGAGGACACAACACCUUUUAAGUUUUUGGGGUUGUGCUAUCAUAGUGUGUUAUUGAGUGUACUGCAUGUGUUGUGGUGUUGUUUGUUAAGUGAAUCUCUGUUAUCUACUGCUUGUGUAUGGAUUUGAAAGCCUAAUGAAGAUAAAUUGAGUGUUACUCAGUAUGUAUGAGAAUGCCCAGUAGGGAUAGUUAUAGAUGGAGGUUGAAAUUUUAUCCCGACACUUAGACUUUGGUUGAGAUUCAUGAAAAUGCAGCAGCAGAAUCAAGAAAACUAUAAAGAGUAGAAAAUAUCUCAAGGUUGGGGGAAAUUUUUGUGUUGAACUGUGCUUAUUUUGUAAUAAAGUCUGCUCCAAUGGCUUAAGUGCCUGAGUAACCAGGGCUGAGUAUGCACCCCAUAUGCAGACUUAAGUUAAAAGGCGACAAGAGUUAUGAGCAUUACUGUAGCAUUGCUGUAGCAAUUUAUAUAUAUAUAUAAAGUCCUCUGUCUAGGAGAUUGAGUAGCCAGGUCUGUUCAUGAGCCCCAUGUUCAGCCUUGAGUUAAAUAUAUCUUUAAAUAAGAUUAUGUUAGGACCAUUAUUGCAGCAACUCUGACAUGUACUUUAAGUGAGUAAUUCGGUGUCAUCAUUACAAGUGAUAGGCAUUCACAUGAAAGCUCAAUGUUGCAUUGAAGGGAUUAAAUGAAAAAAAAAUAAAAUAAUUAUGUUUUAUGUGGAGUUAUAUGCAAUAUCUCGGUAAUGUUGUAGCACCUCUGGAAUUUGAUCAAAGUGGCACACACACAUUUUGGACAGAAUGCAGUUUAAGUCUAAAAUUGAACUGCUAUGGCUAUUUUGCGUGAUUAAGAGUGUGAUUUAAGGGUGGAAGAAUCCUUGCAACUUUGAUGACAGAGCUGAGCUAUUUGUUGCAUGAUUGGGUGAUUGAAGUGUUAGCAUUGUUGUCAUUACUCGAGGACAAGUAAUAGUUUAAGUUUAGGGGUGUGAUAACUCUAUGAAAUAAGAGUUAUCAUGGCACUUUUAGACUUAAAUCAAUAUUACUUAGAGAGUAAAUGAUGUGUUUCUAUUGCAUUUUUGUUACAUUUUGCAUAAACAUUCAUUUUAGUCUAGUCUUAAUAAAUUUUGUUUGAUUUAGAAUAAUUCAUGCUUAGAUUGUGUGCAUAAUUGUAGUUGUCUAGAGCUCAUAUUUUAAGGAAGGAAUGCUGAUGCAAUAGGCUUGCAAAAAUGAGGAAUGAACAUGGCUACAAAAGAAUUGAAAUAAAUCUGGAACAAUAUAGUUGUAGCCGUUGCUGUAGGAAUCCUGGAACAACGAUAGAGAAAAUUUCGCGCAGGAUACUUGUAGAACCACGAUCUGCAGUUUUCUAAUAUGACUUAUAUGCACCUUAAGCUUCCGUUUACCCUUAUUUUCAAUUAUAAAAGGAGCACGCAUCAUAUGGAAAGGUGGCGGUGAAUUAACAUUAAAGAAAUCAAGAGAAAAAGAAGGAAGAAGCAGAAUUCAAGGAAGAACAAGUCUGCACCAUUGAAGAAAUCUACAGAACUAUUUGGAUUCAAUUUUCAUCAUUCUUUACUUAUUUCCUUAUUUAUUCUCUUAUUGAGACGAUGUAUUUCAUGGCUGAUAUUUUGCUGUUAGUUUUUCUUUUACGAGUUCUGAACUAAAUUUGAUUGUAGUUGAGUGACAAUCUUCAUGGGUUCUUGACUGUUCUUAUGAGUUGCUGCACGAUUGCUCUGGCAUUUUGCUCUAAUAGCUUAUAUUACAAUCAUUAUUUUGGUUGACCUCCCAUUUAAUGGUUCAAGUUAAGAGACAGCCGCAAAAGGGACUGUCUUGGUGGAAAUUAUUAGAGUAAUACUUGAUCUUAAUUUAAGUUUCCUGGAUUGAGUACUGGCUAUGUGUUUACACUUGCAGGAGGUGCCGUAAGCUAGGUUUCGAAACUGCAGAUCGUUGUGGCUCUAUCUACAACAUAACCAAAAUACAUGGCAGUUACACAAGCUUGCAAGGAAGCUAUUUGGAUACAAAGGUUAUUAGAGGAGCUCGGGCACAAACAAGAGAAAAUACUUGUGUUUUAUGACAGUCAGGGUGCCUUGCACAAUGCAAGAAAUCCAACCUUCAUUCUAGGACGAAGCACAUAGGAGUUCGAUACCACUUUAUUCAAGAAGUAGUGGAAGAUGGAAGUGUGGAUUUGUAAAAAAUCUAUACCAAGGAGAACGUAGCAGAUGUUUGGUCCAAGCCAAUCAAUGCUGAUAAGUUUGUAUGGAGUAGAUUCUCUUGUGGCCUAGUAGAAACGUAAGCAACAUGACUAUUGAAAAAACCAAAAAGAAUGGUGUGGAGAUUGAUUGGUUCCCAAUCUAAUCUCCAAGUGGAAGAAUGUCAAAAAGUGAACGAUGGCCACUGCUAGUACCCACCAAAAAGGAAAGAGAAAAAGAAAAAGAAGAGAAAGAAAGAAAAAAUGGCGAGCCGCGUAAGGAAAAAUAAAAUAAUAAUAAAUAAUAAAAUAAAAGGCAUGAAUAGUAAUUAAUUUUUGGCUAUAAAAGGAGGAUGCUCCUCCUCAUUUUAGCAUCCAAUUUUGAGAGAAGCAUUUCCUGCAUUUAUAGAGUUGAGAGUAUUAAGAGUUUAAUGAACUCUUGAGUGAUUAGUGAGUGAGAGAUUGGGUGUAUUGAGGUUUUGGGUACUAUCACUAGUAAAAUAUUUUUCUUCUAUCAUCGCCGGUGGAUGUAAGCUAAAAGCCGAACCACAUAAUUUUUGGUGUCCUUAUGUUAUUCUUGUUUAAAAAAAAAAAUUGUUUUUGUCAUAAAAGCUUUUAGGAUGGAUCUCAUACAAUACAUAAGAAUCUGUAAUCUAGAAAAUCAUACCUUGACAAUCCGACUUUGCUUUUUCACUUAAGUAAUCUAGGCUUCCAGAUCACGAUCCGUCACCACGACUCCUGUUAGGUCACGAUUUGUCACCACCACUUAUGUUAGAUCACGAUCCGUCACCAAAUAAUCUUCCACCCUAUGACUCAAGUUUGAUUAGCAGUAGAUGUGUGGGCAUAUGUUUAACUACUUUCGAAACAACCUGAUUCUUUUGCAAUGUUUUUCUCAAAAAGUAUAUUUUGAAAUCCCGUAUAUUUUCUUCUUAAGAAAAAUACACUUAUGUAAUAUUUAUUGUAAAACCCUAGAUAUGUAUUAUCCUUUAUUAUAAUUCAAAAUAAUAAAUAUUUGGAAUUUAAUAUUAUCUCUCCACUUACGUGAAAGUGUAGAUUAUGUGUAACCACUUUAGGGCUCAUCUUGUAAAAUAAUACAAGACCCCAUUUGCACAUGAAUAUAACCCAUAAGGUCUUAACAAAUAUUAUAAUUAGGUUUAUCACCUCAUAUGCCAGUUUUCUUAGUUUUAGGUCCAAUAGUGGUGUAGUCAAUUAAAUGAACUAACUCGGGGAUCAUUUGGAAACAUAUAAUAGCGGAUACAACAAUUAAGCAUGUAAAUGAACAAGCCUAAUCAUUUAAUUUCAACUCUACUUCACUAUAAGAUUGGAACUUAUCUCCAUAAUUGUAUGCUAGAAUAAUAAUUUUCCAAGCCACAUUGAUCUCUUUAAUGUAUAAUCCUUUGUACCACAUCGUUAAUUAAAUCGAUAUCUCAAUUGUCCAAUCAAUUUAAUUACAUCUUGUUCCUUGAUACUUAAUGGUUCUCUCUGAUGAUCAUUUUCAACAUACUAAAUAUGUUGACACACUCUAGCCACAGAAUUUUAUGAUCAAGUGCCGAAAACCUAUCAAGAGAUAUGUUGUACAAAUUCUAUAUUGUUAAUCUAUAACUUCAAUCCUCAUAAAUGCUCCCACCAAGAUAGUAGAUAAUCUUAACUACAAGUGUGUGUCGUGCCCAUUGGUAAGAUGUAGUCAUUCAAUGCCUAUGAGAUUUAAUAAGUCUGACAUUUAUUACAAAGUUAAUUAAAUCUCAUAUGUGAUCCUAUUCAAUGUAGUCAUACUACAUCAAUAAAUCCAUACAUGAUUAAGAAAAAUUAUUCAAUGAAUUUAUUACAGUCUAUACCUAAAUAAAGUGUCCAACUUUAUUUAUCAACUGCGAACUUAAUUUAUUUAAUCAUAAGAUAACUUGUAUUUAUGUCUUUUGUGAAUCCAGAUGGUAAUCACAUAAAUACAUAUAAUAUGAUUAAAUGAAAUUUAUUCAAAAUAUUAAUGCAACUAAGAUACUUGAAUAAAAUAUCUCAUUUAUUUUAUUAAUCAAAAUAAUUAUUUAUUACAAGUAAAUAAACACAUAUACUUUUAAAGAGCAUAUUUUCCCAACAAUUUUAUUGUCUUAUUAGUUCUCAAUUUCACUUUAAUUGCAUAUCUGUUUCACCCAUUAAAUUCCCAACAAAUUUUUAGGCAUAUUGGUCCUUUUACCUUAUGAUGGUAAAACAACAAUUAAAUUCAUUUUAAAACAACUUUAGUGGUCAAAUAUAAUAAAAACAUAUAUAGUUAUAAAAAAUAAAUGAAGAGAGAUUUAAUUAAUUAAUUCUCUAAAUUUUUUAUUAAAUUUUUAAAAAAAAUUAAUGUGAACUUAUUAUAAUAAUUUCUUAGGAUGAGUUUACAGAAGUUUCGAGUGAAAAUAUCUGCAUCCUAUUUUUUUGGAGAAAAAUGAGUAUAAUCCCUUAUUUUUUGGUUUCACUAUAUAAUACCCCGAUACUGUAAAAUAAGUUAAAAUCUUUCUAUCAUUGUAACAGUCCUAUCUUUAAUAAUUAUCUUAUUAUUUUUCCUUACGCCAGUUGACCAUAGUUUACCCACAAAUGGACAAAAAUGAAAAUCACAAAUUUUCCUCCCUUCUCAUUCAAUUUCUCGAAAGCCAAACAUAGCAAAUGCCUUGUCAGUGCAGGGGCCAAGUCCACCGGUGGUGCAGCGUGAACCACUAAGUGAGUGGUGCAGCCGGGCGUUUGGAUCUCUGAUUGCUUGAGCGAAGGCCUCAUUUGAAGUUCGAACAAAAGCGUGGAGUGGUGGUGGUGCUGCGGCGAGGUUCGAAUGGUUUCAUUCGCAGAUUGCAUUUUUCCAUUUAGGCAUUUGAGUUAUAAGUGUUUGAGUUGAUGGCUGUAGAAACCCCAAAAAAAAUAAGGAAUCUAUUAAAAUCAUUUUCAUGAAAUCUGGAGGCGUAAUGGAGUUGAUGAGAGAGAGAGAGAGAGUGAUUGCGAGGUUAGUGGAGAUUGAGGUGUUGAAAUGUUGAAUUUAGGAGAUGGGCUAAUUGUUUUCAUUGGUUUGAAUUUUUGUGUUCUCUUUUGAAGCAAUUGUUGUGAGAAUGUGAGAUGAGUGUUAAGAAUUUGAAGAAAAAUGUAAAAAGAUUGGUGAUUUGAAGUUUUCAGAAAUUGUUUAUGGUUUGCUUUCUGAAAUUUUGGUUAGUUUCACAAAAAAAAAAAGAAAAAGAAAUGAGGUUAUACUCAUUUUCCUUUUGCUGUAUUUGAUUAAUUAUUAAUUUAAAUUUUUAUUUAAGCAUAUUUUGUUAAUAAACUUUUUCUACCAUCGAAAUUUAGUAGAAAAAUAAUUUAUAUUUUUAUGGGAAGUUAAAGAAUUAAUAUAUAUAUAUAUAUAUAUAUAUAUAUAUAUAUAUAUAUAUAUAUAUAUAUAUAUAUAUAUAUAUAUAUAUAUAUCGUAUACAUUCAACAAGAUAAUUAAUUUGGUACAUUAACCCAAGUCGAGACCGAAAGAUUUUUAGUAUUUAAUUAAGGUUAUUCAUUUAUCGAAAGUUUAUUGUAUCUUGAUAUGCUAAUCCAUGUAUUCAAUCAAUUAAGUGAAUUAAUUAAUUUUUCCUUAACUCAAAUUCAUUUGAUUUGAAUCAAAUCGAAUCACUCAUCCAUUACACCUAAUUAGCUUGAUGAUGUGGAUAGGUGGGGGGAUUAAGCAUACCAGCUGGCACAAGGUCUACUCAUUCACAGCUAGAAGAUUGCUUUCGUUUUCCAUCUAGGGUUGUCAAAAUGCACACUAAAAAAUUAUUGGAACAAAAUUAAAAAUAAAUGCCAUGCAAAUCUUAAACGAGUAAUAAGAUAAAAUAAUUGAAUGUGUGGUAAUGUGUACACCAAAAUUUAAAACUUUAUUAAUAAUAAAAAUAACGAGUUUAGAAUAAGGAUCAAUCUCAUAAAAAGUAAGCUAGUUUUUUAUUCAAAAAAAAGUAAGCUAGUUUUAUUUAUUAUCAACUCUAAGACAAAGACUUAAAAUAAAAUAAUAGUGAUAACAAUAAUAAAAAUAUAAAUAUAAAUUAAUCUAAGUAAAGACAAUGUCAACCAUAUAAACAAAGAGGUUUUAUGAAUUUACUAACUGGCAAUAAAUAAAGACACUAAAACUAUAAAGAUAAUAAUUUAAUAGAAAUUCUAAUUAAAGGAGAAAGAAAUAAUAAUAAUGAAAAAUUUAGUCAAAAAAUCGUUCGCCAUCACCAAACAUUAACAUAAUCAAUAUAUCAAUUCUAUCAUCAAUUUCUAUUGAAACUAUUAACCGUAGACAACAAUAAGCUUUAUUAAUCUAUCUUUCCUUAAUAUUUCGUUAGACUUAAUAAGUUCUUCACCUAAUCUCUAACCAUUAAAUAAUUUUAAACAAUCUCUCUAAAUUUAAGAUAACAUAAGCAUUAAGUAGAGAAAGAUAUUAGGUUGAUUUAUGCAAUAAGCACACAAGCUCAGAUUAUUAAACCUAGGUUAUGUUCUUCAAUUGCGAUUCCAAUUUGCUACUAAUGAUUAAAAUAUUAAGACAAUUACGGAUCAAGUAUUUUAAUCUAGCAAUAAAAUUUAUUCAAGUUCUAUCCAAUUGGCCACUCAAAUAAGACAAGAAUAAAAUUAUGAACAUUAAUUAUAAACCUCAAUUAAAUAAAUUGAAUGAUAGAAAUUGAAUAUUAAUCAUAUGACAUGUUUAAGGUUUUGAAUUCACCCUCAACCAAAUAAAAAAUCUAACCUAACAUGACAAAAAAAACUUCUAUAACGUGAAAAUCCACGUGGCGGGCUGUGAUUUGGUGGCUGUGAGUUGUUGGAUUGUGGCUACUUUCAUGGCACGCUAAGAAAGGACACAAAACGGGUGCAUGGGAGCUCAAGUGGAGCGCAAAAUACGCAAUCCUUCACACUGGAGUUGUGGCCAGCAUUGGGGCCCAGCUAUAUUCCAUUUUUCUCUCUUUGAAUUUUUCACCCAUACUAAAAAAAAAAUUAAGGAUAAUUAAAUAUUUGAAAAGAGGAAUUAUUAUCAACUAAGUAAAAUGAAUUAUAAUUUAAACUAAAGAUGUAAAAUUUAAAUUAAAUCAAAAUAAAUUAUUAAAUUAAAAAUUAACUAAAAUAACUAGAAUAUUCAAAACAAAAACAAAAAAAAUGAAGAAAUUAAUAGUAAAAUAUAAAGAAGAUAUGCACUUUUCAUAUUCCCCCACACUUAACCUAUGCUUGUCCUCAAACAAAUCUAAAAUGAAAAAAAGAAAAAGAAAAAACUUAAACUAGUACACUUUCGUAGGAAAUCAUGAUUGCAUUUAGCAUAUGUAACAAACCUUUAAACCUUUAAACAGCCCUAGUGGACGAGUUAUAGUCUCAUGAGGGCUUCAGUGAUUAUAGCCACAAACAUCAUUUUUUUUUAAAAAAUAGCAUAAAAAGAACAAGACUUUAAAUAAAACAUAAAACUAGCCUUAAAGAUUGCAUAUAUUAAAUAGCUCAAAGAAAAUUUCAAAUGUUGUCUAAGUUCUAAUUUUAAUUCAAUAGUCAACCCCAUCUCUCUUUUUAUUCUUGUAGUGUGUGUGUGAAUUAAUUCAAUCAAAAUCCAUUCCCACAAUCUUCAAUAUCAAUAGAUUUUGUCUUGAAAAAAGAAAAGAGUAAGUCAAACUAAUCUUAUCAUAUUAAUCUUCAUAUUUUUUCACAAGCAUUUAUGUGCAUUUUUUAAUAAAUAUAAAGGCAGGAACUUUCACUCUACCCGCUAAGGUAGCCUUCUUCUAAAGGUAGAUUAUCCUCUACAUAUUGGUGCUUACAUAGACCCAAAUUACUCAGGAUAACUUCACUUUUAAUGGUUAUAAGUAGCUAUUUCUGACUAUUGUACCUGUAUAUACUACAUCUUGAAAAUAAAAAUCAAGACAAAUAGUCAUUUAUUCAAUCUAAAAUUCUAAACUUAGCAUGCAUCAAUCUCAAAUUUCAAGUCAAAAUUAUUAAAGAAUUAAUAUUAGUGCUUAUGAUGUUUAAAGAAUCUUAAUUGAGAGGAAAUUAACACAAGAAUCAAGUAUAAACUAAGACAAUAUUCAACCAUUUCUAAGAAUCAUAUUCAUUGUCAAUAAAGUUCUUAUCAUUGGCUUAUAUUUAAAACAAACAAUGCUUUUGUUCGGAAUCCUCCCCCCACACUUAAUUCCAACAUUGUCCUCAAUUUAAGCCUAAGCUAACAAAAGAAAAGAAUUAAACAUGGGGAAAUAAGAUGAGACACAUAAGCAGAAACAAAUUAAAUUAAACAUAAAAUGGAUAAAGUAAAUGACAGUGAGAGGGAGAAAGAUAAUCUAUUAUGGUGUGCUCUCAAAAUCUAUUCUUCAGCAGUUAGGUUGGCUCCCAAUAAAUGCCUGGUUUAUGGUCCUCAGCCUGAUGUGGUUCCCUUGUUUCACUUAUCAUGUACGUAGGUUCGUAAGGUGGAACCUCCUCCACAUUAAACGUCUAAAAGUUCUCAUAGUAAGGCUUCAACCUAUGACCAUUCAUCUUGAACUCCUUAUCUAUUUUAAGCUUUUAAUCUCAACUGCACUAUGAGAAAAAACAUUACUAAUAACAAAAGAUCCAACCUAUUGAGAACAUAAAUUAUUGUAAAAGACUUAAGGCAAGAAUGAAAUAAUAAAACUUUCUGUCCAACUUUUAAUGUUCUCUUUCAAAAUCUGCUUAUCAUGAAAAUCCUUAGUCUUUUCCUUAUAGAUUCAUGAACUCUCAUUGGCAUCAUUUUAAAUUUCCCUUAAUUCUUACAAUUGGAGCUUCCUAUAUUGACCAGUGGCGCCCAACUCCAUGUUACAUUAUUUCACAGCCCAUAAUGCUUUAUGUUUAAGUUCCACUAAAAGAUGACAAGGCUUACCAUGUAUCAACCUAUAACGUGACACACCAAUGGGCAUCAUGUAUGUGGUCCUGUAAGCUCAAAGUGCAUCAUCAAGCUAUAGACUUUAGUCCUUUCUAUUCGGAUUAACCAUCUUUACAAGGAUUGAUUUCACUUCCCUAUUAGACACCUCAGCUUGCCCAUUAGUUUGAGGAUGGUAAGAUGUAGGGACCUUGUGUACUUUCACAAGAUAGCUUCCAGUGACCUGUUACAAAGUGGGUACCUCUGUCACUGAUCAUGGCCUUUAGUAUUCCAAACCUUGCAAAAAUAUUACACAUUAUAAAAUCUACAACAACCUUAGAAUAAUAGCGAGAACAAUGUAAAGGUUACCAAAAGAAAAAGAAACUAGUUGUUGGUUAUUUUUAAUAAGUAAUUACUACCAAUGCCAAUGUGCAAGUAUACACAACAAGUCAUAAAGUGAUGAGUAUUCAAGAUCGUCUCCACAGGGAUUGAUGUUACUCAAAAUGUUAAAGCAAUCACAAUAGUGCAAAUCAACUUAGGACCGAAGCAAACAAUUGUAAAGUGAUUUCUAACGUAAUUAAGGAUUGUGAAAGAAUUAAAUAAAAUAAUACCGUAACAAAAUAAACUAGGUUAAAUGUGUCUAAGAUUCAAUUGAGAUUAUAGUAGUUGAAUGAUCAAACUUUCCUUAUGGGGUGACUGUUGUUUAUCAAGUUAGCACCGGUUGUUAUAACAAAUGCUGCAGCACUAGGCAGAAUAAAUCUACAUCCUCAGCUAUCGCAUAUUGGAAGUCUCAUACCCUUAAAUCUAUUAACAAUGACCAGUUGCUGAUAUACUUAUGGUAUGGCAUUAUAACUUUUAGUCUCUCCACCCUACAUGGUGAACACCUAUGUCUAUUGUGUCAUAAAUCUUAACUUCAAGUAUUGCCCUUACGGGAUUCAAGAUAACCUAAUCCAGGAAACUCAACUUAAGAUCAAGUAAUACUCUAAUAAUAUCCGUUAAGACAUGCCCUUUUGCUGCUCUAUCUUAACUGAAACUAUUAAAUGGGUGGUCAACAGAAAUAACAGUUAUAUUCAUAAAAACUACUAGAGUAAAAUGCUACAGUAGUACCAUAACAACAUAUAAGAACAGUCAAGAACUCAACUACAAGUAAAUUUAGUUUAUAAUCUGAAUGAGAAAUAUUGAUCUCGGAAUACAUCAAAACAAUUAAAGGAAGAAGAUAAAUAUAAGUUGAGCACAGUGAAAGACAAAUCCAAAUAAUUCUGUAUGAUUCUCCAAUGUUGCCGAAACAACACUCUUCAAUUCUGAUCUUCUUCUUCUUUCCUUUGUAAUUAUUCUAAUGAUAAUUCUCUUGCCGCCUUUUUAUGUGGUGCACGCCUCCCUUUUAUAUUGCAAAUUAGGGUAAACAAAAGCCCAUGAGCGUGCAUGCGCUAAAUUAGGAAACAAUGCAGAUUGCGAGUCUAUGGCUGACCCGUGCCUAAGUUUUCUCCCGCAUUGCUCCCAGAUUGCUACAGCACGGGUUGCUCUAACAUCCGCAACAGUACUGCAUCAUUCCCGAUUUGAGGUUUUCUUCUUUUGUGGCCAUCUUCUUUCCUCCUCUUGCUCAUCUAAUGUCUCAACAUCCCCUCAUGAAUUAAGACUUUCUGAGAACCUACAAUUAUGCACCUGUUUUUAGCACAAAUUACUUUGAUUCAAGUAAAACUUAUUAAGACUCAACUAAAAUGAAUGUUUAUGCAAAAUGUAACCAAAAUGUAAUAAAAACACCUUAUUUGUUCUCUAAGUGAUCUUGAUUCAAGUCUAGAAUUGAUGUAAUAACUCUCAUUUCCUAGAGUUAUCACUAGUCCUAUGAAAUCAAUGCCCCAAACAUAAAAAAUAUCAACUACAAGAAUGAGAGGCUGUGGCAUUUGAUUUCUAGGUCCUAAAUUAUCUGUUCUCCAACAACAAUCAUAAGAUUUGCAAAAGAGAUAUGCAUUCUUAAACAAUGACGACUAAUAAAAACCGCUCGCAAGUACUUUAAGGGUUGUUCUCUUUGGUUAAAAUGUCCUCAAUAAGCUAAAGUGUGAAAACAAAGGUGAGAAUAGAAGUAAAUUCAAUUUCGUGCAUGCAACUUUUAAUCACUUUAUUAGAGCAAUGCUUCUACAUGUAUGGCUCAUCCACACAUAGUACUUUGCAUCACUCAUCACAGGUUAACUCCUUAGGUAUUGUCCUGGUUACUAAGUAAUUUACUAUAUAUGCAUACUAAAGAGUAACCAUACCUACAUGUUGCAACAGCUCCUUCUGAAAGUUCUCAUGCAACGGAAGUGCAUCUUCACCAUGGAUAAAACAACUCAAAUGAUCUGCUAAAACUUCUCAGAAUUUCUCUUUUCUAGAAUCUCUAAGUCAAAUUAUUACAAGAGAAGUGUCCAUCGAAUAAGGCACAACUUGUCAUCCUCUUUGGUGAGCAGAUACCUAAGAGUUGUAUAGUAAGAAUAAACAAUUAUCUUAGAUCCAAUCAAAUAAGAGUGAAGUUUCUCUCCGGCAAAGAUAGCGCUAAAGGCUCUUAAGUUGUACAUCAUUCAACGUGAGGGAAGCAUAAUAGAUGACGUGAGGAAGCUUGCCAACGUGCUGACCUAACAUGGUUCCAACAGUAUAGUCAUUAAAAUCGCACGUGAUCUCAAAUGGUAGAUACUAAUUUGGCAAUUGAAUUAUAGAAGCCAAUGUCAAAACCUCUUUCAACUUCUCAAAGGCUAUCUGGCACUCAAAACCUCUUUUAACUUCUCAAAGGUUGUCUAGCACUUUCAUUAAAGUCAAAAAUCAUAUCUUUCUAAAGCAAGAAAUAGAGGGGCAACACUAUCUUGAAGAAAUCCUUGAUAAACCUGCGAUAGAAACUUGCAGGACUAAGAAAAGAACGAACUUCCCUCACAUUAGUGGGAGGUGGUAAGGAGCAAAUAAGAUAUCUUAGAUUUAUCAACCUUAAUACCCCUUUCAGAAAUAACAUGUCCUAACAUAAUACCUUAAUUAACCAUAAAAUGACAUUUUCUCCAAUUAAGUACAAGGUUAGUGUCAAUGAAUCGUUUAAGCACCAGUGUAAGGUUACCUAGACAUCUAUCAAAAAAUUCCAUAAACCGUAAAGUCAUCCAUAAAUACCUCAAUGAUCUUUUCCACAUAAUAUAAAAAGAAACUCAUCAUACGCCUUUCAAAUAUGGGAAGAAUGUUACAAAAGUCAAAUGGCAUGCACUGGUAAGUAAAUGUGGCCAAGGAGAUUGAAUGUCGUUUUCUCUUAGGAGGGAUGGGCAAAUUGGGUUUCGAUUUGGGUUGUUUGGAUUUUGGUUUGGGUUUCAACUUAUUCGGUUUGGAGAAUUCAACCUAAUCGGGUUCGAACUAUAAACUCGAACCAAGCCAAACCAAAUUUAAUUCAUUCGAUUUAAUUCAUCAGAUGAAGUGCUGCUCGCUCAAAAGACACAUUUUGGAAUCUCAUUACAAAAGGAUGAGUAUUCUUUUUUAUAAGCUGAAUGGGUUCAAUGAGCCAUGUCUCAAACAUGUCUUUAUAGCCUCACUUCCUUCUGAGUUACAACCUGAUCUUCAAAGGAAACUCACAGCCACUAAUCUCAGAAUAGCUGAUAUCUCUCUUGGAAAGAUUUUCCAAAUGGCAAUGCUAUGUCUCGACAAGAUCUGUGAGCAAAAAGAAUUUUUCAAAGAUCUCAUGGAAGACAAAAAAAUCCUUUUUUGAAGCCUGUAAAAAACCCUAGCUCAGGAUAGAGUGCAAAGAUGAAAAGAAGUGUAUCUGUCCAAUCAGAAAGAAGAAACAUUUUCAGAAACACUUCCAUAGAAAAUCAUCCUCCAAGAAACCUCUCCGAUAUUUCAAGAAAAAGGAUGCUUCCCAGUAUAGAAAGAAAAAACAUAACCAUUGUUUCAUCUGCAAGAAACACGGUCACUUUGCUCGAAACUGUCCUCACAAGUCUGCCAAAGCUGUUCGUCUCAUACAACAUCUUCAACAUUCUUCACUGUUAUCUGAGAAUGAAGAUGUUGAAUCAAAUUUUUCAGAACAGUCAGAACAAGAUGAUCAUACUGCUUUCAUUAUCGCAGAAUCUUCUGAUUCUGAUGAUAUUUCAGUCGAUGAUAUUUCAGUAAUUUCUAUAGUUCAAACUGUCAACCAUGUUUCAGCCAUUCCUAGACCUUCUCUAAAAAUAUUAAUUCUUCCUUCCAAAUUUCAUAAACUUGUUCCUGUCAUCGGGUUUAUUAACACUGGUGCAGAUACCAAUAUGAUUUAUCCUUUUGUCCUUCCCUCUGAUUGUUUGGAAAAACACUUGAAACUUUUCCGAGCAGUUAAUGGAGAAACUUUUGAAACCACUUUGAUUACCAAAAAACCCAUUGGUAUUCAAUUCUUUCCGAAUUGCAUAAUUUGGAAAAAGAUUGUAACAUCUUCACUCCUAGACAAAGAUUUACUCAUAGGUUUCGACAUUCUUCAUUUGGUUAAAAACCUAUUCCUCAUCAGUUCUGGGGUCCGCUACAAACAAAUGUUCUUGUCUUAUACAGAUGCACUACGUCUGUAUGCACUUUCAGAAACACCAUCUCCAUACCAUCAUAUUUCACAAAAAUUCCUAGAGUUUUGUCCAGAAAACCAUUGACAGUUCCACCAUCCUUCACCUCUUUGGAAAAAUGAACACUUCUUCAUUCACCUUCCUUUCAAACUCAACGAAGACAUAAAUCCCACAAAAGCAUCACACCCGGGUAUGUCUCUUUCUGACCUCCUACUUGCUAAGCAAGAAUGUUCUCAGUUGCUUCAGCAAGGUCUUAUUAAACCUACUGAUUCAUAUUGGGCUUGUCAAGCCUUCUAUAUUGAAAAAAGAUCUGAAUUAGUUCGCGGUAAAAAAAGGUUAGUUAUUGAUUACCAGCCACUUAAUUCUUUACUUAAGGAUGAUAAGUUCCCCCUUCCAAAAAUCCAGACCCUAUUUGUCCAUCUUCAAGGGGCUCGUAUCUUCUCUAAGUUUGAUCUAAAAGCUGGUUUUUGGCAACUUGGUAUUUCACUAGUUGACCGUCACAAAACUGCCUUCUGCAUCCUUGAUGCCCAUUAUCAGUGGACUGUUAUGUCUUUUGGUCUUAAAGUUGCUCCUUCAUUAUUUCAAAAAGCCAUAACAAAAAUCUUCAAUCCUAUCCUUCAUCAUGUUUUGGUAUACAUUGAUGAUAUCUUAUUAUUUUUCUCUGACCAUGAGAGCCACCUGAAACUCCUUUUGGAUUUCUUUCACAUUGUGCAGGAACACAGAAUCAUGCUUUCUGAAAAGAAAAGCAGCAUAGCAAAAGAAUCAAUUGACUUUCUUGGCAUGGUGAUUAAAGAUGGCCAUUAUCAACCUGGUCUACACAUUGCAACUGAAUUAUUAAAGUUUCCAGACACACAUCUCAACAAAAAGAAGAUCCAACAAUUCCUCGGGAUUGUUAAUUAUGUCUGUGAUUUCAUCUCUAAAGUUGCAAUCCACACAAGCUAGCUGUCUCGCAUGCUCAGAAAACAGUGCCCUUCAUAGGGACCAGCACAAACAGAAGUUGUCCAGUAACUAAAGGUGAUAGCCCAGUCACCUCCUCCUCUCCGAAUUCCCACAACUGGACAAUGCAUUCUACAGACCGAUGCCAAUGAUGAUUACUGGAGUGCCAUCCUUCUUGAAGAGAUAAAUGGUGCACGUCACUUCUGUGCACAUGCAAGCAGACAAUUCAAAGACUCUAAAAAGAAUUACCAUGUGAUCUACAAAGAGAUUUUGGCGAUCAAGUAUGGAAUCAAAAAGUUUGAAUUUUAUCUAAUCAGCCAUAAAUUCCUUAUCAACAUGGACAACUCAUCUUUUCCUCGAAUUUUUUACUUCAAAAAUAAGUUGCUCCUUGACAAACAGUUGCUCAUCCUCAAGAACUGGUUUGCUAAAUAUGAUUUUACUGUCCAACACAUAAAAGGCAAACAGAACCUCAUCCCAGACUUUCUUACACUUCCGGCUAUAAAUAAACCUUCACUUAUUUCCUUCAUCCACACCAUCCCAGUUAUAGCCAUGAAUCGUCAACUUCCUUUUAAAGCUCUCAACCAGAGAACCUUUCCUAUGAACAUUCCUUUUCAUUCAACCUACCAGAUCCAAGACUUUGCAAAGAAAUUCCUUUGCCGGUAUUUCUUCAAUGUUCAAAGCAAAAAGCAUGAUCUCUUUCCUUCCCUCUGUAUGGAAAACCUGUUUCUCACAGGUCUUACCCUGUCUUCUUUAACCAUCUGCGAAGAUGAGUUAUGGUACAUGUGGUGUCUCACUACCCUGUAUGCUACCAAACUGGUUUUUCCUGUUAAGCCAGUUCUCACACACAUCACCACUCCUGAGUUCUCAUCAGAUCUUCUCUGGACUCUCCUUGAAUGGUAUUCACCACUCACGUGGUGGCGAAAAUAACUCAAAAAUCUGUGUACUUUUCACGGAUUAGACAGAAUACCAGAACAAGAAGCCAACAUGUUCACUAUAGUCUUCAUCGUUCAUAGACCUUACUUUCAGCACCCAGAAACAAGAGACUUCUGGACACAAGAUAUGGCCUAUGAAUGGAAAACUUAUCCCCAUCCUUAUAUGGCCUAUGAAUGGAAAACUUAUCCCCAUCCUUAUACGCUCACCCAUGAUACAUCUGUUACCUCUACUCUCAAGUCAUACCUCAUGGAACUCAACAAUGUUCAGCCACCUGCCACAAACAUCCACCACACCUCUAUUAGACCAUCACACACCUUAGAAAUUGUCCCAAAGACACAAACUUGUACUCCAGGUUCCAGUUCCAAUCCUUAAGGAAUCCUUGUCAUAGAACAACGUCUUGAUUACACUAACGUCUUAUUCCAAGAUGCUUAGGAUCCAUGGGAAGAUUUUCAGUCUCUUCUCCAUACUGAAAAUCCCCAUUACACUGUCACAGACCCAGACCCUCCUGCUACAUCAGCCCCAAAAGAGAUGACUAAUGCUGAUGAAGAAGCCUAUCUGUAAGCUGAAGCUUAUCUUGAUCACAGAUAGAUCCGUCGUGCCAAACACCAAUAUGAGAAAGAAACUAGCCAUGUGUCUCCAUCACACUACCCAUCCACUCCAUGAUUACAGACACGCAUGGGAAUCUUUAGCUUUUGCUUUUUUAAUGUUUGCUUUAAUAAUUAGACAAGGGUCCAGUCUUGUCUAAAGUGUGUUUCUCCUUUUCCUUUUUAUUUUUGGCGUGGUGUGCUUUAAUCAUUCUGCUUUUGUAAAAGAUAAGGGUCCCACCUUACCUCUCCUUCCUCAAGAUCUCUAUAUAAGGAUCUCUCUUUCCAUUUGUAAGGCAGGAGUUAAUUUGGAAUAAAAAUUAGUUUUCUUCACAUCAUGUUUCUCUAAACCUUUUUCUCUCUUCUAGGAAUCAAAGAAAUUAUUUAGGGUUAAUAAUGAUACGCUCACUUUUAAUUUUCUAAACUGAGUAUGCUUUGCACUUGCCUUAAGCCUAAGGAUCCUGUGCAUCAGAAAGGUCCUGUUUUAUCCUCCAAAACUGAUUUUUAUAAAAUGAAAUUAUUUUCUCACAACGUUCACCCUCUUUGAAGGCCAAGAGUGCCGUGUUUUCGGGUGGUAUCGUGAAAAACUGAUUUCAAAAAUAAUUUUCGGAUUUGGUAUUUGAUGGAUAAGUGUAAAUCGGCUGAAAACCAGAACUUGCGGGCUAUUGGCCCUAAGAACAGACUUUGUUCUGUUAUAGAUCUGGUGUAACAACGCCACGUACAACUACCCACUGCUAUCAGAGCCACAUACCCAACGCAGAAGUGGUUUCAUUUUAUAAUUCUAAGUAAUAUUAUUUGAUCUCCUAGAAGAAGAUUACAUAAAUAUGGAAACAUCUUCAUUUCAAUCUCAACUCCUUCAUCAUCUUCCUCUCAUAUUUCUCUUUCCUCUACUCUAUCUCUUCCAAAGGCAUGUUCCAAACACAUAGCCUCCAAAAUUGAAAACCUUGUUGAAUAUUCCUAUAUCCCCGAGUCUGCCCAAAUUAAUGAAUCUCAGUUCCCCAUCAUGAGUCCUUAUAAUCUAUACAAACAAAAAACUUCUUUCACCAGAAGUAUUCAAACCCUGAUCUCCACCAAAAGACCACUCCCAAAAGAAUAUAUUCAGUCUUCUAGACUGCAUCAGUGUGCUUUACAAGCCUCUCACAGUGAGCAGUAUGUCACUUUAGAAAUACCCCAAGAUCUCGUCGUCAACUAGAAACGAGAAGGGUAUACGCAUCUCCACCUUGGUGGUGUAAGAUUGAUCUUCACCCUCCAUGGCAGAAAAGGUUUACCUGUUACGGCCAGGAUUGCUCUGUUAGACACCAGGUUCAAACAGUACCAACAUGUUGUUGUAGGAACCGUCCUAACCACACUCCAUGCUAGCAGUGUCUUGUUAACCUUUUACCCAAAUUUCAGCCUCUCUCUUGAGGAUCCCAACCUUCCCACUACCCUUAAGAUCCAAAUCUAGCUCCAAGGAGCAGAACAAACACCCACAUCAAAAAUAGCAACUCUUCAUUACUAAAUAGUGUAUCGAUUACAGAAUCAUGCACUCGAUCUUCCCACACCACACACCACAUCUAAUGCCUUAAUGAUCCUAGCAGACACAGACACAAUUCCAACCAUCAUCCAAAUUCCCAAACAAAUCCAGAAACAAGAAUUGCUCAAACUUAUACCUCUUGAAUGGUUGACCAACUAUGAGCAUUUCCACCAAAACUCUGAACCAGUUCAAACAACAGAAGCCACGUUUGAAAGACGACAAAAUGGUCAAGUCAAACUAUCUUUUCAAACACCUGAAACCAAGCCUGUUUCAGACACUUCACAGCUUUCCUACACUACUAUGAUAACAGCAGUUCAAACUGGUCAAGAAAAGAAACUUCCCAUUCACGGUUUCUCAUCAGAAGGGUAUCUGGUAUAUCCUGACAAAAUCAAUGGUCAUUUUCUAUGGGAUGUUCCUGAAGCCCAUAUGUGCAAUCCAGAUUGUCCUUGCUUGGAUGACACGGAUGUUGAUGACGAGCUAGAAGUUAUGAGGAGAAAGAAAAAGAAGAAGAAAAAACCUUCUCAUCCAAAAACAUCUUGCAAAUCCUUUUCUCCACAACCUCCACCAGAUCCCAAACCUCCUAUUCACCAAAUAAGAUCAUGCCUAAUGUUUUCAAGCCAAUCUUAUAAGGAAUCAUUUCUUCCGCUUGAAAAAUAGACAGACACACAAACUAGAGUUAUCUCAAAUCUUUUGUCCAAUCCCCAGUUACAGCCUCUGGGCAGCCUGAAGAACCAAAACAGUAUGAAGCUAUUUUGAAUUGGCAAACCAAAAAUGCCAAUGCUCAUAAUCAAACUCUUCAACAGCUUGAAAAGAAAAUUGAUCAAGUUGCUAGUCAAGUCUCUCAAACUGAAACUAAAGUUGAUUCAAUCAACAACCGUCUUGAUCAGAUAUACAUCCAUUUACAAGAUCGUAUCUCUUAGCUAGACACCGAUCUCAGGCGAAUGAUCAACAACCACAUCUGUGGUCCAAAGUUUAAUAAAAAGAAGCAGAGAUCAGAAAGCUCAAAGCUGAAUUGACAAGAAUUGAUGCUGAAAAGAUUCGACCUUCCCUUUUUACUCAAACAAAAACCCCACCAGUACCUCCUCCGAUCUUUGAAACUUAUGCACCUUUCUAUACACCAUCCAGACCUCAACAACCUGUUUACAAUCAGUUCUUUAGAUUCUCACACCUUCAACCAACUCCUCAACCAAAACCAUCUUCACCUAAAAAAUCAAAGUCCAAAGUCAAGAUCUCAGAACCAAAGUCAAAGGCCACUUCAUCUUCAUCUGUUCCUCCGGUACCACCAAAAGAUUCACCAAAAGCCACUCCUAAACCUCCCAAAAAAGACAAAGGUCCAAUGGAUGAGUAUCAUUAUCAUACUAUCCAAAACACAUCUUCUGACUCCUCUGAGCCAGAAAUAGUCUAUGAAUCAAACCCAUCAGAGUCCAACCCAUCUUCCUCUUCUUCAUCCACAAACUCAUAUGGUACCUCCACUGACUCUAAAUUCGAAUAUGCUGACAUUACAAGCAUAUUAAUGGCCACCAAAACUGAAGAUCCAAGAACUUCAACUGCCACACCUAUUGUUGAAGACAAUUCUUCUGAUGUUGAAAAUAAAGCAUCUCCCAUGGAACCAGAGCCAUCAAUGCCUCCACCAGUUCCUGAUCACUCAACAAAACCAUCUUCAGCAUCUUGGUUCACAUUUGAUGACAUUCCCUGUCAUAAAUGGCCUACUCGACUUCAAGAAUUUUCCGCAUGGAUUGACCUCCAAGGAAGCAAACCUAAUGCUCAACUUGAAGCUGUUCUCCGUGAAUUCAUGGCCCGAUCAACGGGUUCUUUACGUGAUUGGUUAGAAAGCUUGGGAGAAUAUCGUCAGCUCCAAUUCAUGCAAUCUCCAAUUGGCACAGCACUCAAUAUCAUUCAUGAAUAAUUCAUCGAAGAAAAAACUGCUUCUAUUGAUGCAGACAGAAAAGAGUAUCAUCAGAUGAAGUGCUGCUCGCUCAAAAGACACCUUUUGGAAUCUCAUUAGAAAAGGAUGAGUAUUCUUUUUUAUAAGCUGAAUGGGUUCAAUGAGCCAUCUCUUAAACAUGUCUUCAUAGCCUCACUUCCUUCUGAGUUACAACCGGAUUGCACAUAUGGGCUUCAGGAACAUCCCAUAGAAAAUGACAAUUGAUUUUGUCAGGAUAUACCGGAUACCCUUCUGAUGAGAAACAGGAGAGUCCAGAGAAGAUCUGAUGAGAACUCAGGACUGGUGAUGUGUGUGAGGAAUGGCUUAACAGGAAAAACCAGUUUGGUAGCAUACAAGGUAGUGAGACACCACAUAUACCAUAACUCAUCUUCGCAGAUGGUUAGAGAAGACAGGUCUUCUCCGCUUGAAAAACAGACAGACACGCAAACCAGAGUUAUCUCAAAACCUUUUGUCCAAUCCCCAGUUACAGCAUCUGGGCAGCCUGAAGAACCAAAACAAUAUGAAGCUGUUAAAAUGAUACCACUUCUGCGUUGUUUAUGUGGCUCUGAUACCAGUGGGUAGUUGUACGUGGCGUUGUUACACCAGAUCUAUAACAGAACAAAGUCUAUCUAAUCAGCCAUAAAUUUCUUAUCAACAUGGACAACUCCUCUUUUCCUCGAAUCUUUAACUUCAAAAAUAAGUUGCUCCCUGACAAACAGUUGCUCAGCCUUAAGAACUGGUUUGCUAAAUAUGAUUUUACUGUCCAACACAUAAAAGGCACUGCCUUCUGCAUCCCUGAUGCCCAUUAUUAGUGGACUGUUAUGCCUUUUGGUCUUAAAGUUGCUCCUUUAUUAUUUUCAAAAAGCCAUGACAAAAAUCAACCCUAAUUUUACAUUUCUCAUAAUCUCAACAAAUUAACUAAAUUACAUAAACAAAUUUAUAUUUAACAAUUAACAAAAUUUAACAAAGUAAAAUUAAGAAAUUAACUAAGAAUAAAAAAAUUACUAAAAUCAAUUAAUGGGAAAUCAGAAAAAGAAAAAUAAAUAUUUGGUAGUGGAGAAAGGAAAGAAGAAGAAGAAGAAGAAAAAGAGAAAAAGAACUAAAGAGGAAGAAAAAUAAGAAGAAUGAAGAAGAAGGAAGAAGAAGAUGUUUGGCAGCGGUGGAAGGAAAGACGAAAAAGAAGAAAAAUAGAAAAAGAAAAGAACAAGAAGAAGAAGAAGAAGAAGAAGAAGAAAAGAAGAUGAUAUUUGGCAGUGACAAAAGAAAAUUAGGAGAAGAAGAAAGAAGAAGUGAGGAAGAGUCAAGAUACCAGUUGAGAAAGAGAAGUGUGGGUGUGAGUUGUGAUGAGUUAGAGUUAGGAAAAUGUUUUAAAUUUUUUUAUUUGUUAGUUAACCUGAUCGAAUCAGCUAUUCGAUUCAGGUCGAAAUACAACCGGAUCGGAUUUGCAUUUUGAACCCAAACGGGUUAUAAGCUUCAACUCGAUCCGAACGCCCACGCUUAUCUCUUGGUCUUUUGAUGUAAUAAUGAUUUGAGUAUAACUUGAAUAACCAUCAAGAAAAUAGUAAUGAGAGUAACAAGUUAACCUUCCAAGCAUUUAAUCAAUGAAAGGUAAAGGAAAAUGAUCCUUGUGAGUGGUUGCACUCAGUUUGCGGUAGUCAAUGCAAACCAUUCACCUAGUUUGAACUAGAAACCAGCACAAGUUCGUUUUCUUCAUUCUUGACCAUAGUGAAAUGGGAUAGAUAAUCAUUACAUUAAAAAGCUUUAAAAUCUCUUUUUUUACGAAUUUUAUCAUCAGUGGAUUAAGACUGCAUUGUUCAUCUCUUGUAAGUUUAAAUCCUUCUUCUAGUAAAAUGCAAUGCAUACAUGUGGAAGGACUAAUACCCUUUAUAUCGGCAAUGGUCUAGCCAAUCAUCGUCUUGUGAUCCCAAAGUACCCUAAUUAGCUAUUCUUGUUGAAUUGGAGCAAGAGUUUUAGCAAUGAUGAUUGGAAUUAUUUCAUAAAGUAAAUAUAUUCAGGUAGUGUUUACUUUUUGGAUUAGAGUGGGAAUCCUCAGAGUGAGAAUCUUAGGAUUGGGAGUGUGGAGUGGGAGUAAGAGUAGAUUGUUUACUUACACUGGAAUGGAAGUAUGGAAUGAAGAUUAGAAUCCAAUUUAUGUGUUUACUUUGUCUUCAAUUGGGAUUAAAUAGUUUUAAAUUACAAUUUUAUCCUUAUUUAAAGAAUUAUAGUUUUUAAUUACAAAGUUAAUUGUACAUCACAAUUUUUUAUUAAUUUUAAUUUUAAUUAUAUAAAUUAAAAAUUAUUGAUAAGGGCAAUAUAAAUGAAACAUUUUUACUAUUAACAUAGUAUGAAAUUAAUAUUUUCUUAGAAUAAACUAUUUAUUAUUAUUAUUAUUAAUUAUUAAUAUUAAAUAAAUAUAAUACUAUUAUUUUUAAAUAGUAAUAUUAUUAAUUCUCUAUUAACAUAAUAAUAUUAUUUUUAAGUGAUUUAAACUUAGAAUCAAACCAAGUUAUUAUUUAGUUAAAUAUAAUAAUAUUAUUUAAAUAAAUAUAAUAUUAUUUAAAUAUUUAUUAAAUUUAAUUAUAGUAAAUUUAAUAAAAGGAGGGUAAAAAAGAAGGGUAAAUAUAAAACGAAACAUUAUUUUAUUUUAUUUUAUAUAAUUAUAUUAAAUAAAUUUAAUAAUAUUUAAAUUUAAUAUAAUCAAAUAUAAUUAUAUUAUAUUAAAUUUAUUGUUAUAUAAAAUAAUAAAAUAAUAUUAUUUAGUACAAAAUUAAUAUUUUCUUAGAAUAAAUUAUUUAUUAUUAUUUAUUAUUAAUAUUAAAUAAAUAUAGUACUACUAUUUUUAAAGAAAUAUAAUAAUAUUAUAUUUUCAAUUGAAGAUAGCAUGUAGUAAUAUUUAUUAAUUCUCUAUUAAUAUAAUAAUCUUAUUCUUAAGUAAUUUUAACUUAGAAUCAAUGCAAAUUAUUAUUUAGUUAAAUAUAAUAAUAUUAUUCAAAUAAAUAUAAUCCUAUUUUUAAGUAAUUUUAACUUAGAAUCAAUGUAAAUUAUUAAUUAGUUAAAUAUAAUAAUAUUAUUCAAAUAAAUAUAAUAUUAUUUAUUUUAUUUUAUUAAAUAUCAAAUAUCAAAUUUAAUAAAAAAAUGGUAGAAAAGAGAGAGGUGGGAGUGGGAAUGAGAGUCUUACUCCCACUCUCCACUCCAAAAAUGGGUGGGGCCCACGGAGUGGGAUUCCCAAUCCUCCCUUAAAUUGUUGAAGUAAACACUGAAGUGGGAGGAAUCCACACUCCUCACUCCCACUCCAGAAGGUAAACAUAAUAUUAAGGUGUUCUAGGAGUGGCUUAAGUUCUAAGGUAGGUGCAUGCAUAACAAAAGGUAAAAGUUUCUCGUUUGAUAAAAGUAAUUCAAGGUAAAAACAUCAUACCUGUUGGUACGUAAUCUAGCUGCCACAUCUAAGAUCCUCUUUCCUAAGAUUCUUGCAUCUGACUUCAAAAUUAUCGUUACUAGAUAACUUAUAGAAUUUUUGCACCAAAGUCUUAGUAUCAUCUAUGGUAAAAAUAAAAUGUAAAUCACUGGGAUACUUUAUUGCCUCAAAGAUAUUGAAGCAGAUCACUUCACUGUCGAAUUAUAUCGUGAGGUUCUGUUGUGAACAUUUAUCUUGGUUCGUGCCGUCUUAAGGAAUAGUUGCCCCAUCAGAUUGGGCACGGGAUUAGAUGAUGAUUCAUCCUCUAUUUCUAGGAUACAUAAAUUGGUCAGAAAGACUAAUUCAUUAACCUACACAAAAAACAUCUUCCACAACCCUCUUAGGUAAACAUAAGACCUAUCAGUUAAUUGAAUAAUUAUACUAGUUUCUUCCAAUAGACCUAGAUUUAAGGAGUUAUAAAUCAAAUAUAGCAUAACGUUAAUAGAUGAUCUUAUAUCUAGCAUACAUUUUUCAAACCUGGUAUUACCGAUGGUGCAUGGGAUGAUGAAAGUAGAUCCUUGCACAGAGAUCUUUUUUUUUUAAGUACAGUAAAAACAUUCUCUCAUGCGCUCACCUUUUCAUUACCACUCAACUUUUAUUUGUUGGUGCAUAAUUCUUUUAAAAAUUUUACAUAACAUGGCAUGAUGGCAUUUAUUUAAUAGUAUCAAGUAGAGGAAUAUUUACCUAUACUUUAUAAAAUGUCUCAAAAAUUUCUUUUCUUGCUUCUCUUUUUUGAAAUAUUUAAACUUGCUAGGAAAUGGUUGAGGAAUGGUAAGAGUUUUAGCUAGAGGUGAAGGGGUACUUACCUAGUUAGAUGGGUUGACUGGCAACAUAGGGUAAGAAUCGUCUUUCCUUGUUAAAGAAAGAGCCUUAACGGAGGGAUUGGCCAUGGGGUGCAAUGAUGUUAUUGACACCUUUGAUGGCUUGGCUAAUGAUGGUUCCAAUUGCUUUCUGCUCCUAAGAAACAUAGCACUAGCAUUCACUGUAGGAUUAAUUUCAAGUUGAGAAGGCAACUUACCUGCAGUUCUAGCCUCUAUUCUACUCAUGGAUGUGGCCAAUUGGUGAACUUGAUUCUCCAAGUGUUAAAGUUGUGUCUGAGUAAUCUAUUGGAACAGCAAAGAGUUAGUAGCAAAAGCUUUUACAAGAUCUUCCAUAGACAUAUCUUAAUUUUGAGGGGAUGAGAUUGAUCGAACUUAGUAAAGCUAUUAACCAUGUGGUCCAGAUAGUGACACGUUAGGAAGAACACCUUGCUGUUGGUUCCCAUACCAAAGAUUAGGUUGAUCCUUCCACCCUUCAUUGUAAAAAUUAGAGUAUAGAUUAUACCUUUAUCUUGGUUGGCCUAAGAAAUUGCCAACUGCGCUAGCUUGCUCAUGUCACAUGCCUGAUGAUAACUCUAUGAAAUGAGAGUUAUCAUGGCACUUUUAGACUUAAAUCAAUAAUAUUUUGAGAGUAAAUGACAUGUUUUUAUUGCAUUUUAGUUUUAUUUUGCAUGAAUAACUAUUAUAGUUUAUUUUUUAUAAAUUACAUUGUUUUAGAAUAAUUUGUGUGCUAAAUCAUAUGCAUAAUUGUAGGUGUCUGGAAGCCCAAAUUUCAAGGAAGGAAUGCUGAUGCAAAAGGCUUGCAAAAGAUAAAAAAGAACUUGGUUACAAAAGAAUUGAAACAAAUCUAGAACAAUACAGUUGCUGUAGCUAUUGCUGUAGCAAUCCUGGAACAACGAUAGAGAAAAUUCUGCGCGGGAUACUUGCAGAAUUGCGAUCUGCAGUUUCCUAAUCUGACUUAUGCGCGCCCUAGGCUUCCGUUUACCCUAAUUUUCAACUAUAAAAGAAGCACACAUCAUAAGGAAUAAAGAGUGUCAUUACCCAAGGAGAAAAAACACAAAGAAACAAAAGAAAAACAAGAUUCAAGAGAGAAAUUAAGGGCUGCACAAGAGAAAAAAUUGCAAAGAUCAAUUGGGAGCUCAAUCCUUCUUAUCCUUCUCUUGUUUUCGUGUUUUCUAUUUAUUCAUGGGGAUGUGUUUUAGGGCCGAAACUUUAUUCUUUAUUUUUCUUUUGCAAAUCAUGAACUAAAUUUAUUUGUAAUUGAGUGAUAAACAAUCUUAAUGGUUUAUUGACUUAAAAAUAUGUGUUGCUGCAUGUUUGCUGUAGCAUUUUAUUUUGAUAGCAUUUAUUUUUAUUCAUUAUUUCAACUGAUCACCCAUUUAAUAAUACAAGUUCUGAUAUCUUAGUGGAACAUAUCAGAGCAAGACUUGGUUUUAGAUUGGAUUUCCUAGAUUGAGUUUAACUUAUCCCAAAAGGGUCGUGCUUAAUCUAAAAUUAGUGAUGAACUAGACAUAGGGAUUCACCUUGUAGGGUAAAUAGAACCUAAGCAUGUAAUGUUAUAUCUUAUAUUGGCAUAACAACUUAUCACUGUUAGGUUGCAUAUAGAUAUAAGAUAUCCAACAUGCGACGGCUGAGGAUACAUAAGGAUUAGGGAUGGCAAUGGGGAGGGGAGGAGAGAGAACCAAUCUCCCCGUACCCAUCCCCGAUAUUUUGCGUAUGUCCUCAUCCCCGUCAGAAUUACUUAAGAGAAUCCUCAUCCCCUCCCCGAAUAAUAAUAGGGGAUCCUCGAGGAUCCCCGAUCCCCGAAUAACUAAUACAUUUUUUUGUUUUCGAUUUGAGUUAAUCAUAUUAAAAUAAACAAUUCAAAUAAAAGUAAAGUUCGAAAAAUAUCUUACAUUAAUAUCCAUUACAAAAGUCACAUAUAUUAAAUUAGUAAGUAACGCCGCAUGCAAGGGAUACAAACUUCUUUUACAAACUAUCAUGAACAAAUUAAUAGUUUAAUACAAAAUUGUUACAAAUAAAAUCGAAUUUAGAUUCAAAAUUAACUUUUUCAAUGGUGGCAUGGGCACUUUAUAAAUGUGGACUAUUCCCUUUACAGCACAAUAGUUAAGUCGGAAUAAAUCAAGAGCAAAUAUUAGAUAAAAUUAGAUUAGAUAUUAAAAUUGUGAUUCGCUGUGGGCAAUUAUAACAUUUAAAAAUAAAUAAAAAAUAGAUUUAAGUUUAAAAUAUUUAAUGAAUAUUAAACUUAAAACAAAAUUUUUGGGCUAAUAGAAUCUAUCCGGUCUUUUUAAUGUCCUAAAUAAAAAUUUAGGACUUUAAUUAGUUAAUUAGGCCUAAAAGUUUAAUAAUAUAAAUAUUUUGAUAUUUUUUAUUUUUACCAAUUUUUAUAAUUUUAUAAUUCAAAUUUUAUUAUUUAUUUACUAGUAAUUUUAAAAAAUUAAAAUUAAAAUUAAAAUGGGGAAAUGGGUAGGGGAUGGGGAUUCCACCUCAUCCCUGUCCCCUCCUCGAAUAAGAAAUUAGGUAAAAAAAAUUUCUCCGUCCCUUCCCCGAAUAAUAAAUUGGGUAUGAAAUUAUCCUCAUACCCUACUCGAAUGGGAAAAAUCCCCGAGGGUACCCGUCCCCGUGGGGAUUUUUGCCAUCCCUAAUAAGGAUUCUACCCAGUGCUGUAGCAAAUGCUGUAGCAACCGAGCCAAACAUUAGAAAAAUAGUCAAAACCAUUUCACUCAACUACUCUAUAUUCUCAUUGGUCUUAUCCUUGAGUUUGACAUGAUAAUUUACUUUGUUGCAUUUUAUUUAUUACGUUUUUAUUUUAAUUAAUAUAUUAAUUUCAUUAAUUAUUUUAUCUUAAUUUAAAACAAAAUCUGCACUAUUAAGAUUGUUGUAGCAAGUCUGAUAACAUCAAUCCUUGUGGAGACGAUCUUGAAUACUCAUAACUUUAUUACUUGUUGUGUACACUUGCACAUUGACACUAAUAGCAUUAGUAUUUAUACACCCGACCAUGGAACAUAGGCCACAUAGUCUUGCCUACUGUCCUAGGGACAACUGUUGCACCAAAGAAGUAAGAUUUGAAACUUAUUGUUCUAGGGAAGAAGUAUUUACCUCAUUGACUCACUUAGGUGGUGGUAGUGGAUUUUUCCUGGUGCUAAACUGUUCAGAAUUAGCAACCAUAUUGGCAAUGCGAUUCUUGGCUACUUCCGGUGUCUUAUCCAAGAGUGCUCCUCCGCUGGCAGCAUUAAUCAUGCUUCUUUUGAUAGGUAUUAGACCCUCAUAAAAAUAUUCAAUAAAGAGUUUAUCAUUUAUCUAAUGGUCGGGACAGCUAGCACAUAGCUUUUUAGAUCAUUCCAGUACUAUUAUUAGAAUUAUUAAUUAAUUCAAAAGAAUUAUUAUUAUUGAUGACAAAUACAUAAAAAUUAUUACGAGAUGUAAUAUCUAUUUUUUAAAAUUAGAAAUGAAUAUAAAUUUCUUGAUUUUCUUCAUCUCGUGGUGUAAUUGAACUUCAACAUUUUUCUACAAAAAAACACAAACAAUAAUUAGUUAACUUUCAAAUAUAAUAAUCAUGUAAGAUUGUAAUGAAAAAAGAUAAAUAAAAAAAAUUACACCAUAUUGAAGAAAAAUAGAAGAGAUAAGAAGAUAGAAAUUGAGUUAGAGAAUGAGAAUUAUACAUUAGAGAUGAGAGAAUGAAAGUUAAAGAAACUUAUAGAUGAGAGAAUUUAGAAUACAAGUUAGAGAAUAAAAGAAUAAAAGAGUGAAAGAAAUUAAGUGAAAGAUAUAAAUAGAGAGAUAGAGUUUUUAGCAAGAAAAUUGAAAUUUUUGUCGCUAAGACUUAAUUUGGUGGAAAAUCACCUGUCUUUCACUUCAAAAAUUUUCAAUUUGUUUAGCAACAAAAUUCUACAUUUGUUGCUAAAAGUGUACAUUCAGUGACAAACUUUAUCUUGUCACAAAAAAUCAAAAAUUUUGGUUGAAAUAAAAUGAUUUAAAUCUUUAACUUUCGACUUUUAGUGACAAAAUUAGAUUUGUCGCUAUAAAUACACAUUUAGCAACAAAACUCAAAAUUUGUCACAAAAAGUCAAGAAGUUAAAUAUUUAAAUUUAAAAUUUUAGCUACAUAGAUUUGGCAAUAAAUUAUUUUUUGUCGCCAUUGGUCACUCUUUCGGGACAAAACUAUUUAGCAACGAAGAUUCUGUCACUAAAUGUUUUGACACCAACAUAUUUAGUCUGGCACUAAAAAUUUUGGCAGCGAAAAGCUAAUUCAUUGUAAUGUAUGUCUUUAGCUGCAAAAUAUUUGUCGCUAAAAAUGUUAAUUACAUAUUAAUUUAUUUCUUAAGUAUUUGGCAACGAAAUAUUUUAUGUUGCUAUAAUACACUCAAGGCAACAAAAACAAUUUUGUUGUUAAAAAACUUGUUGUUAAAUGGCUUAAUUCUUGUAGUUUAUGACCUAUAUCAACAUUUUUUUAUGAAACCAUGUGAAAAUGAUAGCAAUUUGACAAUUCAAUAAUUUUCAUGAGGUAUCAUGUUACAAAAUCAUUUUGCUAGUUUAAUUGAAGAUUAAGACCAUAUUUGGUAUUAUGGAUGGGUAGUGUAGCUUAAAAGUUACAGUAUUAAAGUACUUAAUAAAUAUUAUCUGCUGUGAUUUAGAAGUUAAGUUAAUUAUAUCUCACACUUGUAUGAUGAUAAACCUAUAAAAUAUUUAGUAUUUUUGUAAAAGUUAUUAUUCAAAAAUCAUAUUUACCAUACACUAUCUGAAAUUCUAGUUAUUCAACCCAAGAAGAGGGGGGUGAAUUGAGGAGCAUAUUCAUGUUAACACUAUCAAUAUUUAUUUUAUAGCUAAAUCAUUGUUCCACUGUGGUUACAAUUUUUGAGGCAUAACAUCUCAAUACUAAAUAGGAUCUAAUAGUCAAACUAAAAGGCAACACCAACAAAUCAUUUUGAAGUAUUGGACACUUUUACCUUAAAAGGUAAAAAAAAUUAUUUUUUAUUAUGUUCAUGCAAUCUUAGUGCCAAAAAAUGGUAAAGAGAAAUUAAAUUAACAAAAUAAAUUAGGUAAUAAGAUGUAAUUAAUUGAUUGACCAAGUGCCGUUUUAUUUUUAUGAAUAUUUAUUGAAGUGAAGAGUGUUUACUUGGAGUAUUUAAGUGUAUACUUUGAUACUUCAAAGAGCAUGGUCAGAUGGUUUUCAAGAAAAAAAUUUUUGGCUAAUCAACACUUGGCGUCUUUUAAAGACAAAUUAAAAGAAAAAGGAAAUCCGAUCAUCAGUUAGCGUUUCUUUUUUGGUGAAUGAGCAGAAGAAAAAAUGAAAGAAUGAUGAAAAUUUGAUUCUCAAACACAUGCAGCAUCACAAGUGAAUUUCCUUUGCAAUCAUUUUCCUCAAUUAUUCCCGAUCCCGAAUCUAAUCUUCCUUUUAAUCUACUUGCUAAUCUACUUAAUCAAUUAUUACUGAAUUUUUAUAUUUUAAUUUUUUUAUUACCAAACGCUUUUAACCUAAAUUUUUUAUUACGUAACAUGAGAGAUUUCUUUGAACUUUUCUAUAUUUAUGGUUUGUUGGCGUUCAUUAUAAUUAAUCUUUUAAUAGAUAAAAAAGGGAACGUAGGUAGAUGGUGAAAUUAUGGCAAGGUUCUGCUGCGGGUCCCAACGCUUUUGCAACCCGGCAGCCACCAAACAGGAGGCCACAUCCCUGGUGUCGGAGUUUUAUCUACUCUUUUCUUAGAUUCUUUCAUCACUUACGGAACUGAUCCACUGCUUCGCUGUUGCAUCAUAUACACACGACAGGUUCAUUACAUUUCAGUUAGUUCAAAUACUUUUUAUCCGAAAAAUAUCACUAAUACUUUUAACCGAAAAAUAUCAAUAGUUAUUUAAUAUAGACGUCCACAUCAGAUGAAAUUUUCUAUAACAAUAAUGCUACGUUAACCCCCCCAAAAAAAAAGAUGCUACAAAUUUUGAAGUUUAGACGUUAUCCCUUAAUAUAAUAAGGAAUCAUUGUUGAUUAUAUGUUUUUCAUUUUGAACGAUCAUAUUAAUUUUCAUGUAUCAAUCAUAAAAUGUUAUAACCAACUGAAAAAAAUGUAUCUUUUAGUGGUUGAGUAAAAGUGGGUCCUAACAUAGCUAUGUCACUAUUGUUAAUGAUAUUGAAGGAUAAUUGCAAGAUUGAAAAAUCUUCUUAUAGGGACUAAAUCAUUCCACGUGUCCAUCCUAUAAGAUAAAAAAAGUUAUUAUGGAGAAAUAACACUUAAGUUAUUCCCAGAAAAUAACAUUCAAGUUAUUCCAGGAGAAUAACACUUAAGGAAAAAUUUCUCGGGAGCUCAUAAAGAUGGCAAGAAGGGGGAAUUAGUUCCAUAAUCCAUUAGUCCAAGGAAUCACACCUAAAAGUCAUAACGACAUGGAAAUAUAAAUAUACGAAAUAAUUUCUUAUGAUUAAAUUCAUCUCCACGUGUACAAAAAUGAUGGGUGACACAUGUCAUUAUGUUGAGGGCUCAAAGUAAAACCCUAGAUCUACAUCACUUAUCAUUUAUAAAUAGAUACCCAUCUCUAAGAGAAGGGGGUCUUUGGCCUCCAAAAGCACUAUUCAUACUUAGAGAGAGAAACUCAUCGUCUCCAUCUUUCUUCUUUAUUUAAUCUUGAUAAAACUCUAACUUGGGCGUCGAAGUGCCUUUUUCAGGUACUUACCCCACUGGAUUUGAGGUCAGCAAUCGUGACAAGUUUUCUACAAACUACAAAUAUGUGUGAAAGUAAAAAAAUCCAACACCUCCACCUCUCAAUCCAUUAAUCAAUAGCCAUUGUCUUCUUUUUUUAACUGUCACGACCUCAUUUUUAUGGUUUCUAUAUAUAUAUUUUUUUUCAUCCAUUGUUUUCUCAAUUAUGUAUGUAGGUAUAAUUAUACACUACUUAGGUCAUGUUUGGGAUUGAAGUGCUAUAACUUUUAAACUAUAACUGUUGUGGAAAAAAAACUACAACUAUAAAACAAAAGUUAAUAGCAUGCAGUAAAUAUAAAUUUUAAAUAAUAAUUUUAACAAAAUUAUUAAAAAUAUAAUAGAUUUUUCAUCAUACAAGUCAAAACUCAUAUCAACGUAACUUUCAAGGUACAACAGCUAAUGUUUACCAAACACUUCAAUAUUGUAAUAUUUAAGUUACAACUGCCCAAUCCCAAUUCCAAACGAACUCUUAAUAAAUUUGAUUGAUUUCAAAUAGACUUACCAUAGCUAUUUGAAUUCAACCAAAACAUAACUUCUUGCUAUCUUUAAUAUUGGGUCCAGCCAACCCAUUAUAGGCGUCCAAUUCUAAUAGGGCAUAUGCAUACUUGAACUGUAAAAUCUUAUUAGCAAAGCAAUGUACUUUAGAUUAAUAAUACAACACUAUUCUAGCCUCUGGAACAUAGUUAAUUGAAAAUUUUGUGCUCAUGGUAACCUAAGUUCCAAUAAAAUUAAAAAUAAGGUGGUGUUUGGUUUUAAGAAGGAGAAGGAGAGGAGAAAAGAAAAAAGGAGAGGAGUGGAGAGGUGGUGAGAGAAGAGGAGUGUAAAAAUUAAUUGUUAUUGUUUGGUUUCACAUUAAAUUUGAAAGGAAAAGAAAUUAAAUAUUUUUUAUUUGGACAAAUAUACCCAUUAUCUUUAGUGUUAAAAUGUUAAUAUUAUUAAUAAAUAAAAAAUAAUUAAACUAUGAAUUAAUUAAUCUAGAAAAUAAAUUAAUAAAAAUAUUUAAUUUAUAUUAUAGUUUUAAUUAAUUCACUAUCAUUUUAUAAUCAAAAUAACUAACAUUGUAUAAUUAGUUAUAUAUUUAAUUUAGUUUCUAAACAUGUAUGAUUAUUGAAAACAAUAAUGUAUUAGCCUACUGAAAUUAUCUAGUUAAAUAGAGAAUUUUAUUUUUUAAAAUUAUAGCAUCAAGUCAUGGACAACAAUUGACUGCCGCCGCUGCCUCCGACCACUGUUGACCACCAUCGUUCACCAUUUACCACCACCAUUGACCUCCAUUGACACUAUUUUUAGUGCAUUAAAUACAAAAAAAUGAUUAGAAAUGGACGAUUUACCCAUUGAAAAUGUUAAUUUUGCCGAAAAUAAACUAUAUGGUCGGAAAUACGAUAGUUAGAAUUUUCUCAAACAUUUAAACAAGAUUUCAGGUAAAUAACAACAUAUAUUGAUAUUUCUAACUCCAUAAAGCUGUAGAUCGGCUCAUGAGGAUUCCAUUGAUACCGAUUUUGAUGGUGAAACGCGUCUUCCGCGAAAUUUCAGCGAGUUUUCGGUGACUGUCCAAUGAUCCACUUUGCUGCUUUUCCUUUUUUUAAAGUAAGUUUAUCCUAUUAAUUUAAGAAAAUAAAUAUAAUUUAUUUUCAUUUUAACUUAUUUGAAAUUAAUUUUAUUUAAAGGAAAAUAUUGAAAUUUUUGGACAAUAUUGAAAUUUUUGCAUUUCAAUAGAUGAGGAAUUUGAAAUUCUUACCCAUUGAUAAGGAAUACAAAUUCUUGAACUUGAUAGAAAAUGAAUUUCAAUGGAAAUUCAAUUCCAUUAAAUUUGGUCCAACCAAAGCAGUGGAAAGUAAAAUAGAAAUCAAAUUCCUUUCCUCUCCCCAUUACCCCCAACUAAAUAUAUUCUAAAAGUUCAUAUUUAAUAAGUGAGAUUUCUCAACUUCAUUUAAACCUUUUAAAAUGAUCAUGUGGAUGAUUCAAGGCAACAUUUUUUAAGAUGCAAAUGUCCAACCUACAUAAUAAUUUAUAAAUCAUUUUUACUUAUUAAAAACAACAUGACGAUUGACGAGAGCCACCAACGUCUGUGAUCAUCAUGUGGAUAAUUCUGGAUUACUUAGUCGUAGCAUAGCGGGUGAAUGGAAUGAGAACGCCAGAUCAGCUGCUCCAAUCAUCUGGUACAUUCCGUUUUGAGCUACGUGUCAGGAGAUGAUGUAAGAUGUGCACUUUUAAAUAUGUAUAUGCCAUAGCAUGCAUCAAGAAUUGCGGUGGGAAACAGAAACACACAGAGAUAACUAGCCUAAUUAAAUAUCCAGAUUUAUUUCUUGCGCUUCACAUAUAACAUUUAUAGAUUAAGCUUUAAUUGUCAAGGACAGGAAUAUUCAGGAAAAAGAAUUGAACAAAAAAAAUCGGAGAAUGGGUACACGUAAAAACUUGUGUUCAAAGCUUUCAAUGCUUUGAAAUUAAAAAAAAAUUAAUUAACCAGGUAAGAUCUUCUGCAGUAAAGCAAUUAAGUAGACUAUGAUCGAGAAUUCCCUCGCUUAAACCAAAGCUAUUUUGAAAUGGGAGUUUUUGCUUUUAUCUUUCUGAAAUGAAAGUUUUAAUUAUGAAAUAAAAGUAAAUGAUUUUUAAAAUAAUAAUUUUAAGAUAAAUAAUAAAGAUAAUAUAAGUCCUUUAACAAGCAAUUAUAGAAUAAAAUGCUUUUAAUUUUUAAAAUUUUAAAUUAUAAAUAUUUACUAAAUACAUUAUAGCGAUAACUUUUGAGUAGCGACCGUUGAACAUCUAAGCUAAAUUUACACUUAAUUUGUAUUUGUGUAUGACGAAGAAAAACAUAUAAUAGUUAUAUAAUGAUCAUCAAUCUGGUAUUUGCAAAUACUCUGCUAAAAAAAGAUAAAAUAAGGAAGAAAUUUAGAAGGCAAAUUGUAAUUAAGAUGAUUACUAUCAAAAGCCUACCCAUUAAAUAUCAAGAGAAGAAUAAUUGAUUCAGGUACUUGAAAAUUCCUAUUAGUUGCUUCUCUUUUCUUAUUUUUCUUAUUUUAUUUUUUAUUUUUUUGGGAGAGAAACAAAACAGACCGCGCAGAAUUAUUAUUGGAUGAUAUCCUGUACUAAACUUAGAAGAACCUGUCUAAUUUGACCAAUAAUAUGCUUAUUUAAUUAGUUGAAGUGAUCUUUCAUCUGUUAAUAACUUCCUGUUCAUUUGGAGGAUUCAAUUAAUGAUGCACCGCAUAUGCAUGCACAAUAAUUUAUUAAUCGAAUGAAAUGGAAUAAUUAAGCUUAAUCUGGUAUCUUGGUUCAUUUUUGGGCCAAUUACAUUUUUUUUAUAUAAUUAAUUAAUAGCCAACUUCUCCAGAGAAAUGAAUGUUAAAGCUGAUAUGUACGUACCCACUUUAAUAAAGAAAGAAAAGCAAAAAAGUAUGGGCACAUCAAAUGGUUUUAAUGACUAUUUUACCCUGGAGGGUGACUUAACAUCCUCAAUAUGCUCCUCAAUAUGCUUUAAAGGAGCUGCUUCAUAAUUAAUUUAUUAAGCAAUGAAGGAUAUUUUUGGUAAUCAAACCAAUUAGCAAAUUAAGGAUAUAUAUGAAAUUGAAACCGGAGGGUGACAAAAAACGGGGAGCUUAAGUGUAUAUAGGUGGGGGUGAGUGUAUUUAUCAAUUAUGCAUGCAAAAAUUUAUUUAAUUUACUGUAUAGAGAAAGAGAUGAAUUAUUACGAGUGUUUUGUAUGUUUGCGAGGGGAUGAUUUUUCAUUCUGGCCCAUCCGUGGGAUCAAGUUUCGAGCAUUGUGAUUGGCUCUCUCUCAAUACCUUCCUUUUGAGCAAGUUUAUUUAAAGUACCCUCUACAAACAAAUACCUGAUGAAGAGGAGGGUUAAUGCUAGAAAGGCAGCUGAGAUAGCAAAAACAAAAAGCUGAAGUUAAAAGAAAGCUGAUGAUCAACCGAAAGCAAGAAAAGAAAAUCGCUUUAAAUUUCUCUUAGCUAUAGCGUUCCUUUGUUCCUCAAUAUAUCUUAUUGAUCAAUCUUGAAAAACAUAGUACAAUAAGUAUUAAACCAUGUUGGCUAAUAAUUCUCCUUCCGCUAUACCGUGCUCUUCAGAGCCUUUUUCGUGUUUAGAAAAUGGUAUUAGCCAUAAUAAAAGGAAAAGAAGACCAGCAGGAACUCCAGGUUUGGUUUGUUAAUUUCGCGUGUAUAUAUAUAUGUUGUUGUUGUUGUGAUUGACAGAUUUUUUUUUUGGGGGUUUCAAGUAAUUAUAUAUAAUCGUAGGUGCGUCAUAAAUUAAUUGGUGCAGAUCCAGAUGCAGAAGUGGUUUCUCUUUCGCCAAAAACACUACUGGAAUCGGAUCGUUACGUGUGCGAGAUCUGUAACCAGGGGUUUCAGAGAGACCAAAACCUGCAAAUGCACCGACGGCGACAUAAAGUUCCUUGGAAACUUCUCAAACGAGAGACCCCCGUUGUAAGGAAGCGCGUUUUUGUAUGCCCUGAGCCUAGUUGCUUGCACCAUGACCCUUGCCAUGCGCUUGGUGAUUUGGUAGGUAUCAAGAAGCACUUCCGGAGAAAGCACAGCAAUCACAAGCAAUGGGUUUGUGAAAAGUGCUCUAAAGGCUAUGCUGUUCAGUCCGAUUACAAGGCGCAUCUUAAAACUUGUGGUACCCGUGGUCAUUCUUGCGAUUGUGGCCGCGUUUUUUCAAGGUUGGCAUCGUCUUGUCUAUAUAUAUUUUAUUCAUUCUAUGAUAUAUCCUUUUUAUUUUUUAUUUUUUUGAGAAGAUAUUUAGUUGCUCCUCUCCUUCUUAGGUUAUUUUUGACUGAUUGGACCUUAAUCUCGAUCAUUUUUAAUUAACAGUACAGUGUUACUGUUCAUUGGCCGUUGAACACGGUUCCCAACCCAAAGAUCAGUUUUCGAAUCCCUUUUAAUUUGCUGGCUGCAGCCCAAAACCCAAAACAAAGGUGUUUAAUUUUGUAAUAUGUAAUAAUCAACUGUGCCUCUAUGUGUGUCUUGAAUGAUUAGCUCUCCACUUACGAUUACUAAUUUUUUUUUCCUUUCUAUUUUCCCUUUUUCCUUUUUAACUCAGUCAAUCCUUUUUCAAAGCGUUUCUUUUAUAAUCAUUUUUUCAUGUUUCUUGAUGUAUUAAUGACUUGAUCUCUUCCUUCUAUUGUAUUAGAUGCUCAUUUUUAUCGAUAACGACACCUAGAUGCAGCCCUUUUGAAAAUUUCUUUGUUCCACUUUUGUGGUGCAUGGAAUCAUAAGCUUUUCAAAUUAAAUGUGCGCAACGAUCUAAUUAAUUAAUUUUAUUUAUUUUUUGGUUCUUCUCUAUAGAGUUGAGAGUUUCAUUGAACACCAAGAUGCUUGUAGUAAGGGACAUAUCCGAUCAGAGCAGCAAGGGCUGCAGCAGCAGCCAGCAGCUUGUUUAUCGCGAACCGCUUCUAGCCCAAGCCCCUCCAGUGAUACCAAUUUUAGCGCAUCUCACUGGCCUAAUUUGAUGGUACCAAAGGUGCCAACAAUUGAUACCAUGUUCUUGAAUCGUUUUCAUCAAGGAGAUAAGUCCACUAGAAAUGUGAAACAUCACAAUUUGGAGCUUCAACUCUUGACUACGUCAAAUCCCAUUGAUGUUUCAGAUGAUUCCCCUAAGAGAGAUCAUGAUCAUAAUCAUUCUACUCAGUUGCAGCUCUCAAUUGGGUCAUCGGAUAUCAGCGAGAAAAAUGAAUUGAAUGUUACUUAUUUGAGUAGCACUACAAAUGGAAAACCAGCAAUGGACAUAGCAUCAAGGCUAAAAGAACAAGCACGCGAGCAGUUAAGGUUAGCCAUGGCUGAAAAGGCCUGUGCUGAAGAGGCAAGACAAGCAGCAAAAAGGCAGAUUGAAUUGGCUGAACAAGAGUUUGCUAAUGCCAAGAGAAUUAGGCAACAAGCACAAGCUGAACUGGACAAGGCUCAGGCUUUAAAAGAGCAUGCAAUCAAGCAAAUCAAUUCAACUAUUCUGCGAGUCACUUGUCAUGCUUGCAAACAACAGUUCCAGUCACGAUUGCCUCCCGAUGAGAACUCUCUGGUUUUGAGUUACAUGUCUUCUGCUACAACCGAAGGUGAAGUAAACAACCGUAAUAAUCGAACUAAUCAUCGUCUUGCAAAAACUGUUAACCUUUCAAACAAAUCCCUCUAGCUAGGUCCAAGUUAUGUUAAUCUCGUUUCCUUUAUUUGUUUUUCUCUUGAUUUCCUUUUUCUUACUUAACUAUUAAUAUACCAUGUUUGGUGUUGUGCUUAUCUCAAUUGAAGUAUAAUUAGUGGAGUGUUGUCUCCUAAAUAUGUGUGAUGUUAUUGUUCAUUAAUUUGUUCAAUGGAAAUGGAACUUAAUUAUCUGCUUGAUGCAUGGGUUUUGACUGUUAAUUAAUUAAUCACUCAAUGACUUAAUGGUAUAUCACUGUAGAGAUUAGAGAUUUUAGUGUCUAUUGUGGAGGUCAAUUUUCUUUUAAGUGUUUAGAAGUAUAUUUAAACUCAAAUAUGUGGACAGAAGCAAAUACAGAAUUGGUUCCAGUAGACUUUGAAUCUUUUUAUUAGUAAUUCUAAUGUAAUUAAGGGAGAAAAAGGAGAACUGAAAUAUUGAAUAAUUGAUCACUGUUCACGAAAUGAAACUAUUUCAUUGAAUGAGCAAAGAGAAACAAUAUCUUUUUUCUUGCCUCAACUUUUGGUAGUUUUGGAUUAUGCGUUUGGACUAUUUGGAGAUCUUUGUUGUCUGAAUAGGUCAGAAAAAUGGAGGGUGACCCGUUUCUCCUCAGCAUUAAAGAUCAGUUCUGACCAAAAUUUAAAACCUACUAAACUUUGAUAACAUCAUUUCAUGCUUUGUUUCAUAAACGUAUGUAUCGAAAUUAAUAUAAUAUAAAGAAAGAGAGAAAGGAAUUAGUUAUCCUUUUUCUGCUUGCAGGCUGCUGCAGUUGUGGUCACCUCAAAUAAAUGUAAAUGUAAAAACACCAUGUUUUUCAGUGCUGUAGUUGUAGGGUUUAAAGACAGGCUUACUCGUCCUCUCAACGCUUCAAACCCGCAGACACAAACAAACUCCCGUUCAUAUCUCUCUCUCAUCUUUUUCAUCAGAAUCAGGGCCGUAGCCACAGAACAAGCACAGGCACAGCAUUUUUCUAUUUUUGCAGACACCAUUCAAAGCCCUUUUUAUUCAUUUAAUCGCUGCUGCUUGUGGUUGCUGUUACGAGUUACAUAUCUUUCAUGGCGAAAACCAAAACAAAAAGGUCAAAGUACUGAGAUUUUCAUUUUGGAAGAGCUUUUCUAUGGGUUAUUCUUGUUUCGCCUUUUUCUUCGACCAUGUGCACUUCACUUACCUUUCAAUGCUACUGCUACUCCUCACCUUUUCAGUCUUUUCCAACUACUGUAAUAUAUAUAUAUAUUUUUGGCCUUAUCAAUCAUAGAGUUUCAUUAGACAAAUACAAAGUUAUAUCAAAUAAAGUAGGGUUGCGCAUGGGUUGGUUUGGGUUGGAUUUUAAGUCAAUUCAAACCAAACCAUAAAAAUUUGGAUCUAACCCAAACCAACUCAAAUAUUUUUAACCCAACCUAAAUCAAACCAUUUGGGUUUGGUUUGAAUUUUAUUAUCAAAAUAAUUUUUAUUUUAAUAAAAUUUAAUUAUAUCAAAAUUAUAAUAAUUAUUAAUUGUUAUUAAUUAUUAAAUUGAUAUUAAAAUAUAAAAAAAUAUAGUGGAUAAAAAUUAUAAAUUUUACGAUAACUUAAUCCUUAAAUUAAAGAAUACUAGAAAAUCAAAAUAAAGUUUAAUCACAAAAAUUAUUAUUUCUCAAUAAAUAAGAACGUACACUUUAAUAAUAAACUUUCACAAACAUGACAUUAACAAUCUAAUAAUAAAUUUUGCCACUUGUUAUUUAUUUAAUUAUGCAAUAUUUAUUUUUAUUUAUCGUUUUGGUAGUUUUGCAUUAUGUUGUCUACUUAUAUGCUUAAUUUUAUUUACAUUAUGAUAUUAUAUAGUGUGUAUGCUUUAUGUUCUAAUUUUAUUAUAUAGUAAGCAAAGUUUUGUGCAGGGCCUAAUAUAGGCAUUACAUUCAAUUAUUGACCAAAAAUUAACCGCCAUCUAGCAUAUCGGACCCAGUCCAAGCCGAGUUAUUAUUGAUCACUAGUAGAGUCUCCUGCUCUUUCUAUGAUGAUCUUUCCAUGUGGGAGGGAUUAUUUUUGUAAAUAAGAAAAAAAAUUUAUGUUAUUUACAACAAUAUUUAUUUAAUUUAAAUUUAUUUUUACAUGUUAUUUUCAUUUUCUAACUGUUGACAAUUGAUCACGCCGUAAAAAAUUUAAUGGUGGCCUUUCACUUAUUUGUAUUCAUUUAUUUCAUUGGAAAAAUUUGAGUGUUGGAGUUUUGUCCAUGACACAUGAGUAAACCAUACCCAACCCAUAAUGAAAUGAUUUUCUAUAUAAAACUCACAUCUAACCCAUUUUCAUGAUUUAUCCAACCCGAACCAUUUUAUUUGGUUUGGGUUUGGGUAAACCCAUGGGUUGUGGGUUUGUGCCCACCCCUAAAAUAAAGUACACAUAAUUUAUUUGGUGCAAUUUGUUGAUGUAAAUUACAUCAUCAUAUAAGAUCAAAGUCUUUUUUCUGUCACAGUUUGCGUAAUAGUUAAACAAAUCUUUCUUCUAAUGCUUAAUGUAAAAUGCAUGUUAACAAAUAAAAUGCAUGUUAACAAACGUAUAAGACUGUAAGAUACCGAUCUAUCAAAAUAAUUCAAGCCCCUUUGGAAAUGAUGUCUUGCGGCAUUUCAUUAAUAGUUUAACUCAAAAAAAAAAAAAAAAACACUAGCUAGGUGAAAUAGGAGAGAGAGCCACUUAGCCAAAGGCUGACUGGUUAGAGGAGCUGAUCUCACACAUAUUAGAGCAGCAGUUCGAGCCCUUAUAGAGCAUUAUGGGGGGCUUAAUUCCUUCCUCAAUUGAGUAUAUAUAAUUUUCCCUCUCACGAAACGUGAGUAAAAUAAAUGUCUCUUAAAUAUUAAUGAAGGUAAAAAUUUGUGUAGUUUCAUAAGAUUUAAUAAAAAUUAGUCCCAGAAUCAGUGUAGUAGUCUAAUAUAAUAUUAGUGUAAAAACAACUUAUAAGAGAGAGAGAUAUAAUCAUCAUUUUGAUCAAAUUACAAUUAAUGAGUAGUUGAUUACAUCAACUUCAAAUGAGCCCUAAGCAUCAACUAAAAUAAUGAUGUUAAGUAAUUGAUAUUGCUAAUAAUAAAGUUAACCUUCUUCUAUUUUAAUUUUUAAUGAAGAUGUACUUGAAAAAUGAUUCAACAAUUAAGAAAAUGAAUCAUUUAAAUUUAAUACAUAGAGAGAACCUCUAGUGAGACUAACUAUAGCUUUUGGAUGAGCCCACACAUGAAAAAAAAAAAAACAACUUCCACAAAUUAACAAGGUAAUAUCAUGGAAAAAAAGUUGAAUUAAUUAAAAAUAUCACAUUGUUUUUAGCCCUAAAGUUUUCAUAAGCAUAGGUUUUGACGAAAACGAAUAAUUUGACUUCUUAAUUAACCAAGUCUUAUUGUAGUGUUACUGUUAAAAUUGAUAAUAUGAAGAUUUUAGGAGCUUUAAACAUCAAAGGAAUAUCAUCAUAAGAACAAGAAUUCAUGGAAAACGUUCAUUGAUUCAAGAUUCAAAUUCAAGACACUAGACUAAAUAACAUUUUCCUUUUUGCACUCUUGUAUGAAUCUAGUUUGUCAAACGGAUCCUUAAUAAAUAUGAGCUCAAAAGUCAUUUAUGUGUUACAUUCACCAAAGUUAUUAAGCACGUUUUCUUCACUAUGAUUGUUAAAAAAACGUGGCUUUAAAAAUUCUUACUUCGAAAAAAUGAAAUUAAUUUCUUUUUACAAAAGUAUUUUCUUUAAAGAAUAAGGACUGAACUACAUACAUUUUAAAGCUUUGGGGACAUUUGUAAUUUCUCAAAGUUAUGGGUUGGACUAAAGCGCAAGAUUUCUAAAGUUUCAUCAGAAUUCCAGCAUGUAAUCAAUACAUAACUCCUAACAAUUGUAAUUUCAAACAAAAUUUUGGAACGUCUAUCAGCGCUUGCGUAACUAGCAGUUACACAUCACUAGCUAACCAAUUGCACCCAAUUUUUUGAAUAUGUGUCUAACGAGUAGUUUUUGGUUGUAGUUAGAUAAACCCAUUUUAUAGUCUUUAGAAUCACGUCAAUGAACCAAACUGUGGCGAAGCUCUUCAAGGACCAAAGGUGGCCAUGGCCCCUGUAGCCAAAUCCGUAUGACUGAUGUGUUAGCUGUGUUUUGUACUUGAAAUUUUAAUGGGUUUUCGUAAAAUUAAUUGCCACUCCACACCUUAGAAAUCAGAUACAUUCUCAAACUCAAAUACAUUUAACUAUUGGUAAUCUAAAUCGGUAUUUAACAGUUUGCGUAUGAUAAUCUGCCAACCAAAAAACUUGUAUUUUCUUUUUGUUUUUUAAUGCCCAAUUUACCUCUCCUCUUGAAUUGUGUGGCUACACUUUCAGCAGUGUCGAUUGUUGACCCUAACUUUUCAAUAAAAUUAUUCAAGCUUAAGAAGAACUCUAAAUUAAUUAAAAAUGUUCAUUGUAAAUGAGAAUAUUGAUUACAGAUAUUACUAUGAAAAAUUACAUAUGUUAGAGAUUAACUUUGUAAGUAAUUACAUGUAAACAAGUAUGCAUAUGAUUUAAGAACUUGAAUAUAUUUCAGAGCUAGCGGGAAUCAUUUAAAAAUAUAAGUUAGAAAGGAUAAUUGUAAUCCACGGAUACUGGGUACAAAUUUUUGUUUUACCAUUAACAGAAUGAAAUUUUAUUGCCAAUAAAAAAAAAGACGCAUUUCGUUCUCAAAAAGAACCGUUCAGACGAAGGGAGAAAACUUCUUUUAAUCCUUCACUCUUAUGCCAGCAGCUGGGUUACUAUUUCAAAAUAGAAGUUUCUUUAUACUUCAAAUUUGAUUUUGAUGGACGAUGUUAGCUUCAGUCCUUGGGCAAAUCAUUGUAAGUUAUAUUAUUGCACUUAAUAAUAUCUUUUAUUAAAUCAUAUGCUUUUAUAUGUACAUGUUUUAAAAAAAAAAAGAAUUAAUUAUAAUCAUUUAAGAAUUUUGUUAGCUGGUGAAUCCCGACUACAAGGACAAAAACAAAAGCCAGAGAACCAAAAAUUAAAAAACAAAAAUAUGAGACAAAAAAGAAAAAUAAUAAUAGUAAUAGUACGGACUUGACAGGCCUUAGAUUGCAACCAUAGUCAGUCUGCAUUCUGCGAGUAUGGCUAACAUGAUAACAGACUGCUAACUUAUAAUCAUUAAACUUUUUUUUUUAAUAAUUUAUAUAAUAAGGGGAUCCACCGAUUCUUUUCAUCAUUCAACAAGAUCAUUAACCUAACUUGCCUUCAUUUUGAUUUUGGCUGGCUUGUCCUAUCAUACAGCUAAUUAAUGAUAUGAACAUAUAAUGCUAGAAUUAUAAUGCUAGAAUUUUAGAUUUUUGCUGAUCAUUUGAUUGAAAAAAAAAAGGAAAAGAAAAGAAAAGAGCUAAGCACUUGAGUCAUUAAACGGAAAAUUCGGUAAAAGCUUUGUUUCCGAUACAUAAAAAAUUAUAUGGCUUUAACUAAUCAACUUUAUUUCUUAUUAAUUUUUUUAAAAAAUUAGCAUGUAGUCACAAAUUUCUUUGACGUACAUUCUCGCAAUAUUUGUUAUUGCAGUUGUAGAUUUGUUUUUUCUUUUUUAAUCUGAAUGACAUAGAACUCAAUGUUAGUAGAUUAUUACGGAAUCAUUAAAACAGCUUUAUUUUAACUAAUCAACUUUAUUAUUAUUUUUUUUAAGUUAGUACGUAGUCACAAAUUUUUUUGACAUGCAUUAUCGCAAUACCUGUUAUUGCAGCUGUAGAAUUUUUAUUUUUAUUUUUUAAAUCUGAAUGACAUAGAACUGAAUGUUGAUACAUAGUUACAGAAUCGUUAAAACAACAAAUUUUAAAUUUAGAAAUUUUCUUUGCUUUGAAAAUUUUCUAUCUAGUUUAUCAUCACAGAGCCUAAGCGAGAUGUGGCCAUAGGCCACAGAUCUGAAUUUGCAGGCCUGAUGGGCCUAAUGCAUCAUAGAUUGUGCUAAUUUUAUUUCAGUCUUGACUCCUGAGGGGCCUGCUGUACGUACAUAGCCUGCUUAACGUUAUUAUUCCAAAUUUGACUACGUAGUCAGUAGAUUUUAUAAUAAUUAUUUGAGAUAACAUCUCUCUGCCCCUUUACAUAGAUUGAUGAACCAAUAUCAAAUCUUUGCUGUCAUAAAUAAACUGAAAUAAAAGAAAAUAAAAGAAAUUUUGAACUAAAAAAGGAGGCAUCAAAUAUAAAAGUUCGUGUGGGGAUUAUUAUUCAAGUCUUUUUAUUUCUUACUUAAUUUACGUUACAAAGUAUGCACCUAUUUAAAUUUCCCAUGUGGGACCUUUGUAAAUUAACACGUAUAUAUCGUAGGCUACAAGCUUAAGAGAAAGGGUAUAUUUUCAAUGUGGAACAUAAGUAUUCACAACACUCCCUAUUGAAUUCAUCACUUCGAUUACAUUAUACUAUGCUUGCCCAUUAAGUAAUCCUUACACGCCAUUGCUAUUUUUUUUUCUAGAAAAAUAUCUUCAAGAGAUCCAAUGGAUCUAAAUUAUUAAUGACGUAAGACUAGACAAAUUCUUAUAAAAUGAAAAAUAAUGAUUUGACACAAUCAUGCUCUAUAAACCCUAAUUGCAUUGAAGGUAUAACUAAAACAAGUUAAUGGAUUGAUGAAAAAGUAAGGAUAUUUUUGAUAAUCUAUUUAUUCUAAGAAUACUGAGAAACGUGAAAUUAAAAUUUAUUAUAAAUCAAUUCAGUUUCAAAGGUUACAAAAGAUGUGUAUUUAUCCUUUUAAACUAAAGACUCUGAUACGAAAUCCCACAAUGAAACUUUGAAACUCACACUUAAAUUGUAGUUUUAACUUCCCAAGAAAGUUCUAAACAGAUUUAUGACAAACAAAACAUUGACGCAAUGCUUAAGAAAAGCAUGAACCAAAGGUAUAAAAAAUGAUAUUGACGCCACACUCAAGAAAUAGAUGAGAAGGUGAGUGAUAAGUCUAAAUUUGGAACGCCACAAGAAUGCAAAUUCUUGAUAAGUUCACUAGUUCUCAAAAGAACCAAAUAAAGAAUAAUCUUUCAAAUUCAAAUAACAUUAAUCUCUUAAUUGUCAUACAUAGCAAGGUUGCUAAGUUUAAAUAGGCUAAAAGAAACCUAAGAUCCUAAAAAUACAAAUAGAAACAUUGGAACAACCCUCCAAGUAUAGGUUUGUCAAAGGGUGCUUUAAAAGCCUUCACCAACCCACCAUUAUUAAUGUUAGCAUUGACAAACAUAAUGCUAGCCCACCAUCAUCAAUGGUAGACUUACCUAACACAAUGAUAAACUCAACACAAAACAAAUAAAUGAAGUUCAAUAAUCAAAGGAGUCGUUUGAAUUCCCAAGCCUAAACAAGCUGUAAUAAAUGAAUCAUAACUCCUUCUAGAGAAUUCCAAAUCUAGCUCUGUAAAAUGUAUUGGAAAGCUAACUUAAUUAUCUUUCCAACGGUAUAUAGCUUGCACAUUAAUUCUGGCUCAAUCAAUACCAGAUUUAUUCUGAAUUUUCCCUUUCUGCAUUUGAUACAAAUUGUGUAUUUGGAGUGCCCACAAUGCCUUGUCUUCUCUCCAAGCCCAAUUCAUGAUGUCUUACAUCUUUUUGGCUCUAGCUCUUGUAAUUGGGCCUCCAUGAAUGUGCAAAGGAUCACUUGAAGCUUUAAUAGUAUUCUCUUGAUGGUUCUCAUCAUUCCCCCUGUCUUCAAAAGGAUUCGUUCUCGAAUCUUCACCUACAUCGAAAGGAGAAGAUCAGAAACAUUAAAAGUAGCACUUACAUUAUACUCACCAGAAAGAUCCAAUUUGUAGGCAUUAUCAUUGAUCCGUGCAACCACUUGAAAUGGACCAUCUCCCCUUGGAAGCAACUUGGAACGCCUUUGUGCUGGGAACCUCUCCUUUCUCAUAUGCACCCACACCCAAUCUCUAGGCUGAAAAACCACUUGCUUACGUCCUUUGUUGGCUUGAGUAGCAUAUUGUUCAAUUCUCUUUUCUAUGUGUUGUCGCGUUCUCUCAUGCAAUUGCUUGACAAAUUCAGCUUUCUCUUUACCAUCCAUACUAGCAUGCUCAUCAAUAGGUAAAGGUAAUAAAUCCAAAGGAGUUAAUGGAUUAAAACCAAAUACAAUCUCAAAUGGUGAAAAUUUAGUAGCUGAAUGGACAGUUCUAUUGUAAGCAAAUUCAACAUGUGGCAAACAUUCUUCCCAAGUUUUCAAGUUCUUUUGAAUAAUGAUAAGCAAUAAAGUAGAUAGAGUUCUAUUUAUAACCUCAGUUUGUCCAUCAGUUUGUGGAUGACAAGUAGUAGAAAACAAAAGUUUAGUACCCAACUUACCCCCACAAAGUUUUCCAAAAGUGGCUCAAGAACUUAGCAUCUCUAUCUGAAACUAUGCUCCUUGGUACUCCAUGCAAUCUGACUAUUUCCUUGAAAAAUAAAUUAGCUAUAUUUGUUGCAUCAUCAGUUUUGUGACAUGGAAUGAAAUGUGCCAUCUUUGAAAACCUAUCAACAACAACAAAAACAGAAUCCUUUCCCCUUUUUGACCUAGGUAAACCCAAAACAAAGUCAAUAGAAAUAUCAACCCAAGGUUCACUAGGUAUGGGUAGAGGGUUAUACAAUCUAUGGGGUAAAACUCUAGACUUAGCAUGUUUACAAGUGAUACACUUCUCACAUAUUCUUUCAACAUCACAUUUCAUAUGUGGCCAAAAGAAGUGAGCUUCACGCACAAGCAAUUCACGCAAAGAACUAUUAGGCACACACAAUUUAUUUUCUCUAAAUAAGAACCCAUCAUGCCUAUAGAACUUACCGAAUGAAACUUUCUCACAAGCAUUAAACACAUUAGUAAAAUCAGGAUCAUUAACAUAUAAUUCUUUAAUGUACUCAAAUCCUAACAACUUUGCAUUUAAUGUAGAGAUAAAUGCAUAUCUUCUAGACAAUGCAUCAGCCAGCACAUUCUCCUUACAUUGUUUGUAUUGAUCACAUAGGGAAAUGGCUCAAUAAAUUCAACCCAUUUGGCAUGUCUCUUAUGCAAUUUACAUUGCCCUUUCAAAUGCUUCAAGGACUCGUGAUCAGUGUGUAUAACAAACUCUUUAGGUAGAAGAUAGUGUUGCCAAGUUUCUAAUGCUCUCACCAAUGCAUACAUCUCCUUGUCAUAUGUAGGAUAGUUUAGGGCCGCUCCACUCAAUUUCUCACUAAAAUAAGCAAUUGGAUGCCCUUCUUGCAUCAAAACAGCUCCAAUACCUAUACCUGAAGCAUCACACUCAAUUUCAAAAGUUUUAGCAAAAUCGGGUAAAGCGAGUAAUGGUGCAGAAACCAAUUUCUCCUUAAUUAGAUUAAAUGCCCUUUCUUGUUCACUACCCCACUUAAAUCCCACAUGUUUCUUCACAAAUUCAGUCAAUGGUGUAGCAAAGGUGCUAAAAUCUUUCACAAAUCUUCUAUAAAAACUAGUCAAACCAUGAAAACUUCUUACCUCACUUACACUUUUAGGUGUAGGCCACUCUUUAAUAGCCUUUACCUUCUCUUCAUCAACCUCAAUUCCUUUAGCACUUACACAUAACCAAGAAAAACAAUCUAAUUUGUACAAAAGGAACACUUCUUCAAAUUAGCAUAUAACUUUUCCUUCCUUAAAACAGUCAAUACACUUUGCAAAUGUUCAAUUUGUUCAUCUAAGCCUUUGUUAUAGAUCAAAAUAUCAUCAAAAUAGACAACUACGAAUUUACCAAUAAAAGCACGUAAAACAUGGUUUAUUAACCUCAUAAAAGUGCUAGGUGCAUUAGAUAACCCAAAUGGCAUCACUAACCACUCAUAUAAACCAUAUUUUGUUUUAAAGGCAGUUUUCCACUCAUCUCCCUCUCUAAUCCUAAUUUGAUGAUAUCCACUUUUAAGAUCAAUUUUACUAAACACACAAGAACCAUGCAAUUCAUCAAGCAUGUCAUCAAGUCUAGGAAUAGGAUGUCGAUACUUUACAGUGAUUUUAUUAAUUGCACGACAAUCAACGCACAUCCUCCAUGUGCCAUCCUUUUUGGGCACUAGUAAAACUUGUACCGCACAUGGACUCAUGCUCUCCCUCACAUAUCCCUUUGCCAAGAGUUCUUCAACUUGCCUUUGAAGCUCCUUUGUCUCCUCGGGGUUACUUCUAUAUGCAGGUAUAUUAGGAAUGGUAGCUUUAGGCACUAAGUCUAUUUGAUGCUCAAUUCCCCUAAUAGGUGGCAAACCAUUAGGGACUUCAUUUGGAAACACAUCAUCAAAGUCCUGCAAAAGAGUCACAAUAGCACUAGGCAAAAAAAAGUUAAGCUCAUUAGUAUGUAAACAAGCCUCUUUGCACAAAAGUACAAUGAUAGGUUGUUUUGAAAAGAAAGCCCUCUUAACCUCGCUCUCUUUUGCAAACAAGUUCACUUGCUGCCUCUCUUUUCUCUUCUAUCUUUUCACUUGUUUUUCUCUCAAUCUCUCUUUCUUUUGUACUCUCAUUUUCUUUUUUUGUAUCACUCUCUUUUUGUAUUGAUAUUUGAUUCUCAUACACUUGCCUACAUGCAUGGGUACUACAUCACAUAGAACUUCAUCCUUGUAUCUCCCAAUAGAGAAUGAAACCAGCACUUGUUUAUUUACUUUAACUUCCCCACAAUCAUUCAGCCAUUGUAGCUUAUAUGGCCUAGGAUGUUUCAAAGUUUUCAAAUUCAAUUUUGCAACUAAACUAGUGCUAGCCACAUUAGUACAACUUCCACAAUCAAUUAUCAUACUACAUACCUUAUCUUUGAUGUGGCAUCUAGUAUGAAAGAUGUUAUCAUGUUGUACCUCUGCAUCUUCUUUUACUUGCACGUUGAGAGCACCCCUAACAACCAUCAAUUUACCAUCAAUAGGAUACUCUACACCAUCAUUAGCAUCCUCCACAUGUGGCAUAGGAUCAUCAUAUGAUUCACUCUCGGUUUCAACAUCUCCAUCAUCCCUCAAGAUUAUUAGUCUCUUAUUUGGGCAUUGAGAUGCAAUAUGACCUGUCUCCAAACAUUUAAAACACUUAAUAUCUCUAUUUCUAGAGUGUUGGGAAUCAGAUUUACCUUUGCUUUGGUUGCCUCCCUCUUUAUGAUCCUUGAAUGGCUCAAUCUUAGGCUUUGAAAUAUGAACCCAAAUUGGUUCUAGUGGAACCAUUCUUUUUCAGUUGUCGUUCCACUUUCAUGGCCAUCUGAACUAUGUCUUCCAACUCAACAUAGUGCUGCAAGUCAACCACAUUAGCAAUAGCUUGAUUUAAACCAUGUAAAAAUCUCGCCAUAGUGGCCUCUCGUUCUUCUUCAAUGUUGGCUCAAAUUAUGAUUAUUUCCAUCUCCUUGUGGUAAUCUUCCACACUUCUGGAACCUUGUGUAAGACUUUGUAGCCUUUGGUGCAGCUCCCUAUAAUAAUGACUAGGAACAAAUCUCCUCCUCAUGAUGGCCUUCAUAUCCUCCCAAGUGCUUAUAGGCCUUUCACGAUUUUUUCUCCUACUCAAAACAAGUUGAUCCCACCAAAUAAUAGCAUAAUCAGUAAAUUCAACAGCAGAUAGUUUGACCUUUUUCUCCUCAAAGUAGUUGUGGCAAUCAAAUACUAGCUCCACCUUUUUUUCCCAUUCCAAAUAAACUUCCGGAUAAUUUUUACCUUGAAAAGAAUGAAUUUUUAGUUUGAUACUCCCCAAAUCAUGAUCUAUAUGUUUUGCCCUUCUAUCAUCUCUUCCAUGCAUGUCAACAGUGGCCUGGUCAUCAAAAUUAUCUAAGUCAUCACCAUCUUCUUCUCCCAUGGUAGCACGCCCUUGAUUACCUCUUACAUUAGGAGCUAUUGGUUGUUGCCCCCUUUAUAGAUUGGCUAUGACAAUGUCUUGCCUCUCCAAACAUCAGAUUCAUGCGCUCAAAUUGUUGUUGCAUGGCCAUGAGCAUAAUUGAUUGGUCUGUAGCUUCUUGAUCUUUUGACAUAUUUGUGAUAUGAAAAGAAUGUUAGCUAAAAGACCUCACAACACUCCCUCACGUGUUUCACUCAAUUUGAUGUCACUUAACUCUCGUAUUUAACACACAAAUUGGCUUUUUCCCUCUAACGAUCUCAUAAACUUUUGCCUUUUACCACACUUAAUUCUCUCUUUCAGUUCUUUAUUGAACUAAAUAAACACAAUCAAGAAAAAAAACCGAAGUGGCACACCAAAUAUGACAAUCCAACACACUAACAAAAAAAAGAAAUUAAGAGAACACAAAGAAUGAAAAGGAAAUUAAAGAAAGGAAAGCAAGCAAGCGAAGCAACACAAUUGAUAUUGUGUGUAAACAAUGUCAAGGAAAAUGAAUAAUUAAAAUUCAAUUUGAUGAAAGUAGAAAUACUUGAAUCCUUUUGUAAUUUUUUUUGUACGUUUUUUUUCUCUCUUUUUUUGAUAAUCAAAAUAAAUAAGACAUUCAAACCUGAUUAGAAACUAGCUUUGAUACCAAAUGAUACGAAAUCCUACAAUGAAACUUUGAAACUCACACUUAAAUUGUAGUUUCAACUUCCCAAGAAAGUUCUAAACAGAUUUAUGACAAACAAAACCUUGACCCAAUGCUUAAGAAAAGCAUGAACCAAAGGUAUAGAGAAUGAUAUUGACGCCACACUCAAGAAAUAGAUGUGAAGGUGAGUGAUAAGUCUAAAUUUAGAACGCCACAAGAAUGCAAAUUCUUGAUAAGUUCACUAGUUCUCAAAAGAACCAAAGAAAGAAUAAUCUUUCAAAUUCAAAUAACAUUGAUCUCUUAAUUGUCAUACAUAGCAAGGUUGUUUAAAUAGGCUAAAAGAAACCUAAGAUCCUAAAAAUACAAAUGGAAACAUUGGAACAACCCUCCAAGUAUAGGUUUGUUAAAGGGUGCUUUAAAAGCCUUCACUAACCCACCAUUAUUAAUGUUUGCAUUGACAAACAUAAUGCUAGCCCACCAUCAUCAAUGGUAGACUUACCUAACACAUUGAUAAACUUGACACAAAACAAAUAAGUGAAGUUGAAUAAUCAAAGGAGUCGUUUGAAUUCCCAAGCCUAAACAAGCUGUAAUAAAUUGAUCAUAACUCAUUCUAGAGAACUCCAAAUCCAGCUCAAUCAAUACCAGAUUUAUUCCGAAUUUGCCCUUUCUACAUUUGAUCCAAAUUGUUUAUUUGGCUGCCCAAUAGCUUGAAUAAUGCCCACAGUGCCUUGUCUUCUCUCCAAGCCCAAUUCAUGAUGUCUUGCAUCUUUUUAGCUCUAGCUCUUGUAAUUGGGCCUCCAUGAAUGUGCAAAGGAUCACUUGAAGUUUUAAUGGUAUUCCCUUGAUGGUUCUCAUCACACUCUAGCCUAAACUAAAAUUCAAUCUACAUAAAAACACUUAAACGAAAAAAUUAUAAAUAUGUAUAAAAUCUAAAUUAAAAUACAUAUUUAAGAAGAAAUUCUUAAACUAUUAUGCCCAUGACUAGUGGGGGCUCAAAUCCCUCUCGGAGAAAAUAAUUUUGAAAAAGAUUAAAGAGAAAAUUACAUGAGUUAUUAAUUAGCCCUAAGCUGCAUAAACUCAUAAACUCAAAAAUUUUAAUUUUAAUUUUGAGUAGAAUUUAGUUCCUAUAUUUUAACAUUAGUGUUUGUUUAAUCCCUAUGCUCUGAAAAAAUACCUUAAAAAACCCUCGACAUCACUUCUGCUACCAUUAAUUCUAGAUUUUUAAGGGCAAAAUUAUAUUUUUGUUAUUAUUUAAGUUAAUUAAAAAUUAAAAAAAAUAAAAGCCCAUGGUAACCUGUACGGGUGAUUUUACUAUUAUUUAAUUUAACCCACAUUAAAUCUAUUAAAAUAGUCUCUAUAAACUUUUUAAUUCAUAAAAUUUUUGUUUUCACAUCUUAUCAUUAUAUAAUUUAACCAUCUAUAAAUUAUUUUUUGCAUCCGCCGUUGUAAAUGUGACAUGGGAUCUUUGGACUUCUUGUUUUGCAUCCAUUUCCCACCAAACGUGAAGCAUGUAUGGCCUCAAAGUUUUCUUAACGCCUGAUAGGCUUGGCAAAAUCAGGGUCCGGUCCGGGUUUUGGUGUUGCCCAGGACCGGACCAGAUGAGUGAAACUCAAGACAGGACCCGAGUUAAAACCCGAUUUUUCCGGGUGCGGUCCGAGCUCAAGCCCGCACCCCCGGGCCCGGGUUUUUGAUUCGGGUUUCCAAGCCCGCGUGUGAUAAAUUCAAUUUUUUUCUUCAACUUUUUCUUUCAUUUCUCUAACAAUGUAAAUUUUAAAAAAAGAAAAUAGUCAAAUAAACUCAUUCAAUCUCAAGCUUUAAAAAAGAAAAUAGUCAAAUACAAAUAUAUAAGAUACUAACAAUGCAAAUUUUACACAAAUAAUAAAUAAAAAAAAUUUUCAAUCUACUUUCUAAUACCUAAAUUCAUCCAAUUUCUAACCUAAACUCAUUCAAUCUAUAUAAAAAAUUAAAUUAAAUUCAAUAACACAAUAAUCACACAAUAAAUCUAAAUAACAUCCAACAUAUCAUAAAUUCAUAAUUAUAUAUUUAUAUAUAAUAUAUAAUAUAUAAUAUAUUUAUAUUUUCUUUUUUUAAUUUAUUAAGAAACCGGGUCCGGGUUUCGGGUUUUUGGUGUUGAGCCCGGACCCGGGCCCGGAAAUGUCCGGAUUUGAGAAUUUCAAACUCGGAUCCGGUUUUUUGUGUAUGCGGUCUGGGUUUUGUCCGGACCGGAUUGCCCGGUUCCGGUCCGGGCAGGCUUUUUUAACACCCCUAACGCCUGAGGUAUCGACUAUAUAGAUGGUUACAAAGGGCAAUUAAGGUUUUAUGAGAGGUUAUUGAUCGUCUUGACAUGUAAAAACACUGGUUCAGGGUCCUUUUUAUAUGCUAAACUGAUUGAACCCAAAUUUAGCAUUUCAAUGAGCAUAGAAUCUUUCAAAGUACCUUAUUUUUAGUUCUUACGAUGAUCAAGGCUUAUCACAAAUUUCCAUAUCAUGAGAACUCAUGGUAUCGUAUCCCAUGUUUCCAAAAGAAAUGAGAUUCAUGGUUGAUCAGUAGGCAGCUUCUAGAUGUCUUUUAAUCACCAAGACAUCCACAUUUUUUCACUAAGAGUGCGUUUAACAUACUAUAUUACAUUAUCUUGUAUUAACUAUAUUAUAUUAGGCUGUAUUUCAUUGUAAUGUAAUACAAUGUUGGUUUUACUAUAGACUAUAUUAUAUAGCAUACUAUUUUGUAAAAUUAUUUUUAUUAAUAUUAAAAUAAAUUACCUUAUUAAGUUUUCAAAUUAAUUAUUAUAAUUAUUUUUUAUAUACUAAUUUUUAUAAAAUGAAAAUAAUUUAAUAAUAUAAUAUAAUCAAAUAAUAUAAUAUUAUAAAUAUAAAUAAUAUAAUAUAAUACAAUAUAAUAUUAAGUUUUCAAUUUAAUUAUAAAUUAAUUUUUAUUUCUUAAUGUCAAAUAUAAUUAUUUAAUUUUAAUUUAUUUUUAAAUUUAUUAUUUUAGUAAAUAAUAAAUGAUUAAUAAUUGAAAUACUUUUUACAUAUUUAAAGUAAAAUAUCUAAAAUAAAUUUAUGUAAUAAAAGUAAAAUAAUUAUUAUUUUUAUUAUUCAAAACUCAAAUUUUAUUUAAUAUAAAUAUAAAUUAAUAUUUAGUAAAUUUAAAUGUAUUAUAGAUUAUUGAGUAAUAAAAAUAAAAUAAUUAAUUUAAAAUAUGAACAAUAUUUUAAUGUAACACAACCUGAGUCGUACUCUCCCAUGGGAUUAUUUUAUGCACCUUUCACUGAUUUAGCCAUCUUUUUGAUAUAGUGCAAUGUAUAAUAAUAAUAUUUUAAUGUAAUAUAUACAGUGUAAUAUGAGCUACCAUAUGCACCUAAUGAACUAAAGAUAAGGUUUUGAUGUAGACAAGUGAUUUGGAUUUCUAGAAGAGAAUAUCAUUACAUAAUUUCCUGCUUAGGUUUAGAUAUGGGCUUUUAAGGCCUUGUAAGUUAAUCCCAAAAGUAGAUGCAAUCUCUUAUGGGCAUAUGUGCCCUAGUAAAUGGGCUUAGUCAAGGGUUGUAUUGCAAUUUUCACCUCAAAGGCAUUCAUCCAUAUGUCACAACACAUCUUACAAAUAAUUGACGAGAAUUAGGGUUGGCAAAAAAGCUCGGCUUGAAUUGGCUCGGCUGAGGCUCGCAGGAUAAAAUUAUGGAUAAGGGCUCACAUAAUGCAAAGCUCAUAUAUAAUGGACUAGUUAAAGGCCUUUAAGAAAAGCGGCUUUAUAAUAUAUUUGUGUGUGUGUGUAUUUUAAGAAAAAAACUUUAUAAUAUAUAAAAAAAUUUAAAUUGAAAAAAAUAAAACAGCUGAAACCGGAAACCUAAAUUGCCUCCCCUCACUCCUCAACCGCUCUUGUUGCUUUUUACCUCUCUCACAUGAAUCACGCCGGCAGCCAACAGCUACACGUUCAUUACCUCAUACCCAACCAACAAUUAGAGCCACCAUCGUUCAGUGAUCGACGUAGCCACCCGAGGCCAGCAUGUGACGCAGUAAUGACCUAGCAGCACCAGCUGCAUGAUGUAGUAGUGACCCAGCAGCUCCACUCACGUGAUGCAACAACGACCUAGCAGCACUACCUGCACAACGCAGCAAUAAGUACUUAAACCUGUGCAACACAGCAAUAGCGAACCUAGCACCAACGUGAUCCGAACUAACAAACCUUCACCAACUCCACCUUAAGUAAGCUUUAAAUUUUUUUAUUGUACAAAUUUUGAGAAAUUAUUGUAGAAUUUCAAAUAUAUGUCGAAUUAUUAUAGAAAUUCUAUAUUAUGAGUUUAUGGGUUAGCAAAUGUUGUGUAUUGUUAGAAAAAAUAUUAUAAAAAUGAAAUUAUGUUGCAGAAAAAUAUUGUGUAUUUGUUAGAAAAAUAUAAUGAGAUUAUGGUGUAAAAUUGAUCUGUAUUGUUAGAAAAAUAUUAUGAGAUUUUGGUGUAGAAAUGUUUUGUAUUGCUAGGAAAAUAUUAUAAGAUUAUGGUCUAAAAAAUGUUCUGCAUUGUUAGAAAUUCUUCUGUAUUGUAGAACUUUUUUAUAUGCUAUUAGAGUUUAGAACAAGCUGACAGGUUUGGUGGCAUAAUUACAUUAAUUUAAUAUCUUAUCUUGUUUAAUUUUAUAUAGGAUUAUAGUGGAAAAUGCUUUUGAAUCUCUUAAUUUGCCUUCGAAUCUAUUUGCAGAGUUAAAAAAUGUUCAAGGAGAAACACGGAGUGACAGAAAAAGAAAACAGAGGGCUGUCUCUAAUUGUUGGGACCAUUUGACAAAGAUAAACAUCAGUGGGGUAGCGAAGGCAAAAUGCAAUCGUUGUGUAGAUGAAAAGAGUUGUGUUUGUCCAACCAAAAAGAAAAAACAUUUCCAGAAACACUUCCAUAGAAAAUCAUCCUCCAAAAAAUCUCUCCGAUAUUUCAGGAAAAAGGAUGCUUCCCAGUACAGAAAGAAAAAGCACAACCGUUGUUUCAUCUGCAAGAAACGCGGUCACUUUGCUCGAAACUGUCCUCACAAGUCUGCCAAAGCUGUUCGUCUCAUACAUCAUCUCCAACAUUCUUCGCUGUUAUUUGAGAAUGAAGAUGUCGAAUCAAAUUUUUGAGAACAAUCAGAACAAGAUGAUCAGAUUGCCUUCAUUAUUCUAGAAUCUUCUAAUUCUGAUGAUAUUUCAGUCAUUUCUACAGUUCAAACUGUCAACCAUGUUUCAACCAUUCCUAGACCUUCUCUAAAAAUGUCCAUCCUUCCUUCAAAAUUUCAUAAACCUGUUCCUGUCAUCGGAUUUAUUGACACUAAUGCAGAUACCAAUAUGAUUGAUCCAUCUGUCCUUCCCUCUGAUUGUUGGGAAAAACACUUGAAACUCUUCCGAGCAGUUAAUGGAGAAACUUUUGAAACCACUUUGAUUACCAAAAAAACCCAUUGGUAUUCAAUUCUUUCCGAAUUGCAUAAUUUGGAAAAAUAUUGUAGCAUCCAAACUCCUAGAUAAAGAAUUACUUAUAGGUUUUGACAUUCUUCAUUUGGUUAAAAACAUAUUCCUCACCAGUUCUGGAGUUCGCUACAAGCAAAUGUUCUUGCCUUAUACAGAUACAUUACAUCUGUAUACACUUUCAGAAACACCAUCUCCAUACAGUCAUAUUUUACAGAAGUUCUUAGAAUUUUGUCUAGAAAACCAUUCCCAGUUCCACCAUCCUUCACCUCUUUGGAAAAAUGCACAAUUCUUCAUUCACCUUCCUUUCAAACUCAACGAAGACAUAAACCCCACCAAAGCAUCACACCCGGGUAUGUCUCCUUCCGACCUCUUACUUGCUAAGCAAGAAUGUUCUCAGUUGCUUCAGCAAGGUCUUAUUGAACCUACUGAUUCAGAUUGGGCUUGUCAAGCCUUCUAUGUUGAAAAACAAUUUGAAUUAGUUCGUGGUAAAAAGAGGUUAGUUAUUGAUUACCAGCCACUUAAUUCUUUCUUUAAAGAUGAUAAGUCUCCCCUUCCAAAAAUCCAAACCUUGUUUGUCCAUCUUCAAGGGGCUCGUAUCUUCUCUAAGUUUGAUUUAAAAGCUGGUUUUUGGCAACUUGAUAUUUCACCCGUUGACCGUCACAAAACUGCCUUCUGCAUCCCUGAUGCCCAUUAUCAGUGGACUGUGCUCCUUCAUUAUUUCAAAAAGCCAUGACAAAAAUCUUUAGUCCUAUCCGUUAUCAUGCUUUGGUAUACAUUAAUGAUAUCUUAUUAUUUUCCUCUGACCAUGAGAGCCACCAGAAGCUCCUUUUGGAUUUCUUUCAUGUUGUGCAGGAACACGGAAUCAUGCUUUCUAAAAAGAAAAGCAGCAUAGCAAAAGAAUCAAUUGACUUUCUUGGCAUGGUGAUUAAAGAUGGCCAUUAUCAACCUGGUCCACACAUUGCAACUGAAUUAUUAAAGCUUCCGGACCCACAUCUCAACAAAAAGUAGAUCCAACAAUUCCUCGGGAUUGUUAAUUAUGUCCGUGAUUUCAUCCCUAAAGUUGCAAUCCACACAAGCCAGUUGUCCCGCAUGCUCCGAAAACAAUGCCCUCCAUAGAGACCAGAACAGACAGAAGCUGUCCAACAACUAAAGGUGAUAGCCCAGUCACCUCCUCCUCUCCGAAUUCCCACAACUGGACAACGCAUUCUACAGACCGAUGCUAAUGAUGAUUACUGGAGUGCCAUCAUUCUUGCAGAGAUAAAUGGUGUACGUCACUUCUGUGCACAUGCAAGCAGAUAAUUCAAAGACUCUGAAAAGAAUUACUAUGUGAUCUACAAAGAGAUUUUGGCGGUCAAGUAUGGAAUCAAAAAAUUUAAAUUUCAUCUAAUCAGCCAUAAAUUCCUUAUCAACAUGGACAACUCCUCUUUUCCUAGAAUCUUUGAUUUUAAAAAUAAGCUACUCCCUGACAAACAGCUGCUUAGCCUAAAAAAUAUGUGUACUUUUCACGGAUUAGACAAGAUGCCAGAACAAGAAGCAGACAUGUUCACUGUAGUCUUCAUCGUUCAUAGACCUUACUUUCAGCACCCAGAAACAAGAGACUUCUGGACACAAGAUAUGGCCUAUGAAUGAAAAACUUAUCCUCAUCCUUAUACCCUCAUCCAUGAUACCUCUGUUAUCUCUGUUCUCAAGUCAUACCUAAUGGAACUCAAUAAUGUUCAGCCACCUGCCACAAACAUCCACCACACCUCUGUUGGACCUUCACACACCUUGGAAAUUAUCCCAAAGACACAAACUUGUACUCCAAGUUCCAGUUCAAGUCCUCAAUGAAUCCUUGUCAUGGAACAACGUCCUGACUACACUAACGUUUUAUUCCAAGACGCUCAGGAUCCAUGGGAAGAUUUUCAGUCCUUUUUCCCUACUGAAAAUUCCCCUUACAUUGUCACCGACCCAGAUCCUCCUGCUCCAUCAGCCCAAAAAACGAUGACUAACGCUGAUGAAGAAGCUUAUCUACAAGCUGAAGCAUAUCUUGAUCAGAGACAGAUCCGUCGUGCCAAACACCAAUAUGAGAAAGAAACUGGCGAUGUGUCUCCAUCACACUACCCAUCCACUCCAUGAUUGCAGACACGCAUGGGAAUCUUUAGCUUUUGCUUUUUUAAAGUUUGUUUUAAUAAUUAGACAAGGGUCUUGUCUUGUCUAAAGUAUGUUCUAUGUUUUUCCUUUUUCUAGUUUAGCGUGGUGUGCUUUAAUAAUUAUGCUUUUGUAAAAGAUAAGGGACCCACCUUAUCUCUCCUUCCUUGAGAUCUCUAUCUAAGGAUCUCUCUAUCCCUUUAGAAGGCAGGAGUUAAUUGAAAAUAAAAAUCAGUUUUCUUCAUAUCAUGUUUCUCUAAACCUUUUUUUCUCUCUUCUACGAAUCAAAGAAAUUAUUUGGGUUAAUAAUGAUACGCUCACCUCUAAUUUUCUAAACUGAGUAUGCUCUAUACUUGCCUUAAGCCGAAGGAUCCUGUGCAUCAGAAAGGUCCUGUUUUAUCCUCCAAAAUCAAUUUUUAAAAUGAAAUUGUUUUCUCACAAUGUUCACCCUCUUUAAAGGCCAAGAGUGACGUGUUUUCGGGUGGUAUCGUGAAAAACUAUUUUAAAACAUGAUUUUCUAUUUUGGUAUUUGACGGAUAAGUGUAACAACGCCACGUACAACUACCGACUGGUAUCAGAGCCAAUUCCUAGCACAGAGGUGGUAUCGUUAGUAAUGUCAAAUAAUAUUUUUUGAUUUCCUAGAGGAAGAUUACCCAAAUAUGGAAACAUCUUCAUCUUGACUUUCAAUUCCUUCGUCGUCUUCAUCUCAUAUCUCUCUUUCCUCUACCCUCUCUCUUCCAAAAUCAUGUUCAAAACACAUAGCCUCCAAAAUUGAAAAUCUUGUUGAAUAUUCCUAUAUUCCUAAGUCUGCCCAAAUCAAUGAAUCUCAGUUCCCCAUCAUGAGUCCUUAUCAUCUAUACAAACAAAAACCUUCUUUCACCAGAAGUAUCUGCACCCUGAUCUCCACCAAAAGGCCACUCCCAAAAGAAUAUAUUCAGUCUUCUAGACUGGAUCAGUGUGCUUUACAAGCCUCUCAAAGUGAGCAGUAUGUCACUUUAAAAAUACCCCUUGAUCUCGUAGCAAACUGGAAACGAGAGGGGUAUACACAUCUCCAUCUUGGUGGUGUUAGAUUGAUUCUGACCCUCCAUGGAAGAAAAGGUUUACCCGUUACAGCCAAAAUUGCUCUCUUAGACACUAGGUUCAAACAGUACCAACAUGCUGUUGUAGGAACCGUCCUAACCACACUUCAUGCUGGUAGUGUCUUGUUAACCUUUUACCCAAAUUUCAAGCUCUCCCUUGAGGAUCCCAACCUUCUCACGACCCUUAAGGUCCAAAUCCAACUCCAAGGAGCAGAACAAACACCCACAUCAAAGAUAGCAACUCUUCAUCACCAAAUAGUGUAUCGAUUACAGAAUCAUGCACUCGAUCUUCCCACAUCACACACUACAUCCGAUGCCUUAAUGCUACUAGCAGACACAGACACAAUUCCAACCAUCAUCCAAAUUCCCAAACAAAUCCAGAAACAAGAAUUGCUCAAACUUAUGCCUCUUGAAUGGUUAACCAACUAUGAGCAUUUCCAUCAAAACUCUGAACCAGUUCAAACAAUAGAAGCCACGUUUGAAAGACGACAAAAUGGCCAAGUCAAACUAUCUUUUCAAACACCUAAAACCAAGCCUCUUUCAGACACUUCACAGCUUUCCUACACUGCUAGGAUAACAGCAGUUCAAACUGGUCAAGAAAAGAAACUUCCCAUUCAUGGUUUCUCAUCAGAAGGGUAUCUAGUAUAUCCUGACAAAAUCAAUGGUCAUUUUCUAUGGGAUGUUCCUGAAGCCUAUAUGUGCAAUCCAGAUUGUCCUUGCUUGGAUGAUACAGAUGUUGAUGACGAAUUAGAAGUUAUGAGGAGAAAGAAAAAGAAGAAAAAAAAAUCCUCUCAUCCAAUAACAUCUUGCAAAUCCUUUCCUCCACAACCUCCACUAGAUCUCAAACCUCCUGUCCAUCCAAUAAGAUCAUGCCUUAUGUUUUCAAGUCAAUCUUAUGAGGAAUCAUUUCCUCUGCUUGAAAAACAGAUAGACACACAAACUAGAGUUAUCUCAAAACCUUAUGUCCAAUCCCCAGUUACAGCCUCUAGGCAGCCUGAAGAACCAAAAUAGUAUGAAGUUGUUUUAAAUUGGCAAACCAAAAAUGCCAAUGCUCAGAAUCAAACUCUUCAACAACUCGGUAAGAAAAUUGAUUGAGUUGCCAGUCAAGUCUCUCAGACUGAAACCAAAUUUGAUUCAAUCAGCAAUUGUCUUGAUCAGAUAUACAUCCAUCCACAAGAUCGUAUCUCUGAGCUAGACACCGAUCUCAGACGAAUGAUCAACAACCACAUCUGGGGUCCAGAGUCUAAUAAAAAAGAAGUAGAGAUCAGAAAGCUCAAAGCUCAAUUGGCGCGAAUUGAUACUGAAAAGGCUCGUCCAUCACUUUUUACUCAAACACAAACCACACCAGUACCCCCUCCAAUGUUUGAAACUUAUGCACCUUUCUACACACCAUCUAGACCUCAACAACCUGUUUACAAUAAGUUCUUUGGAUUCUCACACCUUUAACCAACUCCUCAACCAAAGCCAUCUUCACCUAAAAAAUCAAAAUCCAAAGUCAAGAUCUCAGAACCAAAGUUAAAGGGCACUUCAUCUUCAUCUGUUCCUCCGGUACCACCAGAAAAUUCACCAAAAGCCACUCUUGAACCUCCCAAAAAAGACAAAGGCCCAAUGGAUCAGUAUCAUUAUCAUACUGUCCAAAACACAUCUUCUGACUCCUCUGAGCCCGAAAUAGUCUAUGAGUCAAACCCAUCAGAGUCCAACCCGUCAUCCUCUUCCUCAUCCACAAACUCAGUCAGAACCUCCACUGACUCUGAAUCCGAAUAUGCUGACAUUACAAUCAUAUUAAUGGCCACCAAAACUGAAGGUCCAAGCACUUCAACUGCCACACCUAUUGUUGAAGACAGUUCUUCUGAUGCUGAAAAUAAAGCAUCUCCAACAGAACCAGAGCCAUCAAUGCCUCCACCAGUUCCUGAUCACUCAACAAAACCAUUUUCAGCAUCUUGGUUUACAUUUGAUGACAUUCCCGGUAGUUGUACAUGACGUUGUUACACCAGAUCUAUGACAGAUCAAAGUCUGUCCUUAGGGCCAGUAGCCCAUAAGUUCUGGUUUCCAGCCGAUAUACACUUAUCCAUCAAGUACCAAAUUCAAAAAUCAUAUUGAAAAUAAUUUUUCAUGAUACCACCCAAAAACACGGCAUUCACGGCCUUAAAGAGGGUGAACGUUGUGAGAAAACAAUUUCGUUUUACAAAAAUCGAUUUUGGAGGAUAAAAACAGGACCUUUCUGCUGCACAGGAUCCUUAGGCUUAAGGCAAGUGCAGAGCAUACUCAGUAUUGAAAUUAGAGGUGAACGUAUCCUUGUUAUUCCAAAUAAUUUUCUUAACUCCUAGAAGAUAGAAAGAGUUUAGAGAAACAUGAUAUAAGAAAACUGGAUUUUAUUUCUAAUUAACUUCUGCCUUACAAAAGGGAAGAGAGAUCCUUAUAUAGAGAUCUCGAGGAGGAAAGAGAUAAGGUGGGACCCUUAUCUUUUACCAAAGAGAAACAUAAUUAUGAAAGCAUUAAAGCACUAAAGCACACCAAGCCAAACUAGAAAAGCAAAAGCAAACUUUAGACAAGACAAGACCCUUGUCUAAUUAUUAAAGCAAACUUUAAUAAAGGAAAAGCUAAAGAUUCCCAUGCGUGUUGGCAAUCAUGGAGUGGAUGGGUAAUGUGAUGGAGACACAUCGCCAAUUUCUUUUUCAUAUUGGCGCUUGGCACGACGGAUAUGUCUCUGAUCAAGAUAAGCUUCAGUUUGCAGAUAUUUGUCUUCAUCUGCGUCGGUCAUUUUGGAUGUGGAAAGACUAGGGGAGUCUGGAUUGGUGACAGUGUAUGGGGUAUUUUCAGUGGGAAUGAGAGACUGAAAAUCUUCCCAAGGAUCCUGAGCAUCUUGGAAUAAGACAUUAGUGUAAUCAGGACGUUGUUCCAUGACAAGGAUUCCAUGUGGACUUGAACUCAAACCUGGAGUACAUGUCUGUGUCUUUGGAACUAUUUCCAAGCUAUGUGACGGUCCGACAGAGGUGUGGUGUAUGUUUGUGGUAGGUGGUUGAACAUUGUUGAGCUCCAUGAGAUAAGCUCGAAGAAUAGAUCUGACUGAUGUAUCAUAGAUGAGAGGAUAAGGAUGGGGAUAAGUUUUCCAUUCAUAAGCCACGUCUUGAGUCCAAAAGUCUUUGGUUUCUGGGUGUUGGAAAUAUGGCCGGUGAACAAUGAAAAUUGUUGUGAACAUGUUUGCUUCGUGUUCUGGCAUCCUAUUUAAUCUGUGAAAAGUACACAGAUUCUGGAGCUAUUUACGCCAUAGAAGGUCAAAGGAAAACUCAGGAGUGGCGAUGUGGCGGAGGACUAGUUUAACAGGGAAGACUAGCUUUGUAGCAUACAAGGUUGUGAGACACCACAUAUACUAUAACUCGUCUUCUGAGAUGGACAGGUGAGACAGGGUGAGACCUGUGAGAAACAAAUUUUCCAUACAGAGAGUAGGAAAAUGAUUAGGAGUCUUACUGUGGACAUUGAAGAAAUACCGGUAAAGGAAUUUCUUAGCAAAGUCUUGGAUUUGGUAGGCUGAAGAAAAGGGAAUGUUCAUGGGAAAAUAUCUUUGGUUGAGAGCUUUGAAAGGAAGUUGUCGAUUCAUGGCUAUGACUGGGAUGAUAUGAGUUGAAGGGAGGAGUGAGGGUUUAUUUAUAGCCGGGUGUGUAAGGUGACAUACAAGUAUGCAACCCAAGAGGGGGGGUGAAUUGGGAUAUUAAAAAUUAUUCAAUUUUAAAACAAAACUCAAUGCAAAUCUAAGACGGAUUUAAAGCAAUAACAAAUAAAUCAAUCAAGCACAAUAAAAAGAUUAAGGGAAGAGAAAACAAACACAAUGAUUUUUACACGGUUCGGUAAUCCCCGCCUACGUCCACACCUCCAAGCUCACCGGGCUUGAGGAUUUCACUAAGCAAGCCUCCAAUGCUUCAAAUGCUUACAAUUGACUUCCAAAGUGUCAAUGGACCUUCACAACAAGAGAUUAUCCUCAAUCUCUUAACCCAAAUGUAUCCCAACACUUACAAUCUUUUAACUUGAUUUUAUAAAAAGGAUUACAAAUGAAUUUCUCUCACACAAUGUGUUUGAUCACAAAUGAAAGCUCAAUGUGUGAAUGAAUGAGAUGAAUACAAUGAUUUAAAGCUCAAUGAAAGUUGUAUUCUCAAUAUUUUGCUGAAUGAUGAUCGUUGGAACUCUUCUUGUUUGAAUUGGAUUGAGCUUAUUUAUAGUUGAAGCUGAAAAACUAGCCGUUAUAGACUGUCUGCUCGAAAACGGUUCGCUGUUAACCAUUAACGGUUAACCGUUUAGGCCGAUCAAAAUUACCAUUGGGCCAAUUUUCAAAUAAACGGUAUGCUGUUUAGGAUUACCCUUUCGCCGUUAAAUUCCAGAGACCUGCAAAACAAAUUUGGUUUAAUCGUUCUUACUAAACAGUUCAAGGUUAGCAAUCUGGAAAUAAUCGGUUAACUAUUUUCAAUAAACGGUUCACCGUUAUGUUCCAGAAUCAUCAUUUUAACAAUACUAUUCAGAACAUGCUUUCUGGAAAUUAUCGGCUAGCCAUUUUCAGUAAACGGUUAGCCGUUUGCUACAGUGAUUGCUAUAGUGAAAUUAUUUUCUAAAAUUAUAGUUUUGUCCCAAAACUUUCUAUAAUUAUACUAUGGCCCAAAUUGUCAUAAAACUUUACAAAUAAGUCCAUAUCUAGAGUUUCAAAACUUUUUCGAUUUAGACCAUUAAUUGAAAACAAAAAAUUUCAUAAAAUCAUUUUUCCAUUAAGUAUAAAACCUUUAUAUUAUGAAAAUAAUGAUUUAUUUAAAAUAAUUUGAGCUUUUAAAAACUUAAUCAUUCUUAAUCUUGUUUGUUAUCAUCAAAAUCAACAUUAUGGAUGCAUGUAUGCUAACAUAAGGAAGUCUGGGAUGAGGUUUUGUUUACCUUUGAUGUGUUGGACAAUAAAGUCAUAUUUGGAGAACCAAGUUUUGAGGUUGAGCAAUUGCUUGUCAGGAAGCAACUUGUUCUUGAAAUCAAAUAUUCUAGGAAAAGAGGAACUGUCCAUGUUGAUAAGGAAUUUGUGGCUGAUUAGAUGAAAUUCAAACUUUUUGAUUCCAUACUUUACCGCCAAAUCUGUUUGUAGAUCACAUGGUAGUUCUUUUCAGAGUCUUUGAAUUGUCCACUUGCAUAAGCACAGAAAUGAUCCAAACCGUCUAUCCUUUCGAGGAGAAUGGCACUCCAGUAACCAUCACUGGCAUCUGUCUACAAAAUGCGUUGUCCAGUUGUGGGAAUUCUGAGUGGAGGAGGUGAUUGAGCUAUCACUUUCAACUACUUGACAACUUCAGUUUGUGCUGGUCCCCAGGGAGGACACUGCUUUUUUAGCAUGCGGGACAACUGGCUGGUGUGGAUUGCAACUUUAGGAAUGAAUUCUCGAACAUAAUUAACAAUCCCGAGGAAUUGUUGUAUUUGCUUCUUGGUGAGAUUUGUGUCAGGGAACUUUAAUAAUUUAGUUCCUAUGUGUGGUCCAGGUUGGUAGUGGCCAUUUGUGAUCACCAUGCCAAGAAAGUCAAUAGAUUCUUUCGCUAUGCUGCUUUUCUUUUCAGAAAGCAUGAUUCCGUGAUCCUGCACAAUAUGAAAGAAAUCCAAAAGGAGUUUUUGAUGGUUAUCAUGAUCGGAUGAGAAUAAUAAAAUAUCAUCAAUAUAGACCAAAGCAUGAUGGAGGAUAGGACUGAAAAUUUUUGUCAUGGCCUUUUGAAAUAAUGAAGGAGCAACUUUAAGACCAAAGGGCAUAACAGUCCACUAAUAGUGAGCAUUAGGAAUGCAGAAAGCAGUUUUGGGACGGUCAACUGGUGAAAUACCAAGUUGCCAGAAACCAGCUUUUAAAUCGAACUUAGAGAAGAUACGUGCCCCCUUAAGAUGAACAAACAGGGUCUGUAUUUUUGGAAGGGGGAACUUAUCAUCUUUAAGGAAAGAGUUUAGUGGCUAGUAAUCAAUGGAUUUUUUUGGCAAUCAGAGUUGUUGCAAAUAUUUCACCAUUGACUGCUCUGAAUAAUUUGGAAUGGUUUUCCUAACAGUCGGAGGGAAGGACAGAAGGAUCAAUCAUACUGGUAUCUGCACCAGUAUCAAUAAACCCGAUGAUAGGGACAGGUUUAUAAAAUUUUGAAGGAAUGAUGGACAUUUUGAGAGAGGGUUUGGGAAUGGUUGAAACCUGGUUGACAUUUUGAACUGUAGAAAUGACUGAAAUGUCAUCAGAAUCGGAAGAUUCUGCGAGGAUGAAAGCAGUAUGAUCAUCAUGUUCUGACUGUUCUGAGAAGUUGGAUUCAACACCUUCGUUUUUAGAUAAUAAUGAAGAAUGUUGGAGAUGUUGGAUGAGACGAACAGCCUUGGUAGAUUUAUGAGGACAGUUGCGAGCAAAAUGACCGCGUUUCUUGUAGAUGAAACAACGGUUAUGCUUCUUUGUUCUGUACUGGGAAACAUCUUUUUUCUUGAAAUAUCGGAAAGGCUUUUUGGAGGAUGAUUUUUUGUGGAAGUGUUUCUGAAAGUGUUUUUUCUUCUUGGUUGGAGGGCGUUAGCAGAGGUAUAUGGGACUGUUCCCAUGUACAAUACUCACAGUCCGAUAUCCCCUCAGGUCUGCAGUACUCUAGAUCUCUACUACCGAGAGGAGAUCAGAAACCUUAAGCUUCAUGGCGAGGAGGAGGAGGCAGUAGACAUGCAGCAAAGGUACAACAGGUGUCUUUUGUUGGGUUGAGGAUGAUUUUAAUGUGUAGUCUGAAGAGAGAUGAUGGUUGCAUGGCUAGAUCAACCUGUAGGGGUUCUUGACUACCAGAACAGAGUCUUCUUGAUUGGAACUGUUGUCAUCACCGGUAGUGGUCUCAUCGUCCUCACUGUCUGAAAGAGUGUUUGUUUCUAAGGAGUAUACAGCUCCAAGCGGGCUAGCUGACCAGGUGUAGCUUUCGUCAUCGAAAUCGUCCUGUUGGAUUAUUUGAAGGAGUUUGGCUGGAAGCUUCUUCUUGGAUUUACAUUGUCUUAGCAUAGUGACCUUUCUUUCCACAGAUAAAACACCGUCCGGAUCCCUUCUUCUGUUUGCGUCUUUUGACGAAGCAAUAUUUCUUUCCUUUGUAGGGCUUCCAGGGCCAUUUUUCUUUUCUCCGUUUGCCAGUAUUACAGGCGCACAUCUUAUCAGCAUGUUAGCACCCAAAUUUAUUUGGUUCCUCAUUGCAAAAUUUUUGCAAAGAGGAUUUUUCGAGGUGCUUCAUGUGCUUCUUUAAAUCUUGUGAUCUGCAAUGACUCUGGAUUAAUUCCAUUGCCAUUUGAUAGAGUUGGGCUAUGUUGAGCUGUGAUAGAUUAGUAAUUGCAUCAGCUUUGAAUUUCGCCUCCAUUAUUUUUGCAACUGGUCCUGGCAUGUUUAGUACGAACAUUCUGUGAAUGGUAUCUGAUGACUUGUCAAAGGUAUAGUAUAACCUUUCUUGCUCCAAGUAGUAUUCUUCCAUUUUUCUAACAUCACAGCACUUGUUUUAGAGAAAUUACUUUUCUGCAACUUAUUCUUCUCUUGUGAAUUGUCCUAGAAAAUCCAAUGAUAGAUUCUCCAGAAGGCUUCCACAAGGGUCAUCCCUGUUGAGUAUGUGCUGUCUUUGUUCUCUCGUGAGUUUCCUUCCCCACCAUCGUCUUAACGAACCAAUGAAUCCUGCUACAAGCCUCAUAGCAACUGAUCUCCUGCUUAGCUGAGGGGCUCUUUGACAUUCGCCUUCGUACCAAGCCACCAUUUUUUCAAAAUAAGCCAAUCUUUCUUUAGGCUUCAUUCCGUCAACGUUCCAGAACAUCUUCCCUGUUGUUGAGUGCCCGAUUUGUACUAUGGUUUCCCAUUCUUCUCCUUGAGACACUUCAUCUAUAUGUGGUGCCUGUUCUGCUGGAUUAGAAGAUUCUAUUCCAGAUGCUACUGGUUGAGCAGUAAAUUCUGGGACAAUAAACUGCGUUGUUCUUGACGGAUUUUGGGUUGGUACUUGUCUGUUAGGAUCAGAAGUCUGACCUUGUUCUUGUGCUGAGGCGAUAAACAUUGCUGAGUAUCCACAUAAAAUGGAUUUGCAGGGUUGGUUCUGUGCAUGAGAAUCGGUAUAAGAGGGAAUUGGGUUUCUGAAGUAUCCUUUGAAGAGGUACUUAUCUCGUCAUCAGGAUCUCCUUCAUCGUCCCAUCCUGUAGCCUUUUGGGGCCAUGGAUACUGGGGAGAAGGAGCAUAACUUCUCCAAAAUGCUUUCUGACAAUUGCCAGAUGCAUUUUCUUCCCAGAUAUGCCACGGUUUUGUGGGUUUGCUUUUCCAGUGCCUGGACACCUUUUUCUUUGUAUAGCUUUCUCUUGUUCUUUCAAUUUCAUCCUCAUCUGCAACUCCUGUCAUAACCAUCAUGUUUACAGAUUGGGUAGCAUUAUCAUGUAGUUGUGAGAACUGUUGUGUAGUCAUCUUAUGAGCUUUCCUGGUCUUUUUCAGCUGUUUUCUGAUGGCAGCUAGGUCAGCAAGAAUCUGCUGUUAGGUGACCAUGAUGUCUCCUAGUGCCUGGUUUUGCUCUACAGUAUUGAUGUUUGACCAGUUGAGUGCCUUCUCGAUCGGGCCAAACUCAGUUGGGUUACUUUUCUGUAUUACCCAUUUGGCUGCAUAUAUACCUUCAGGAAUAUCCCCGACAAAUUCAUUAUCAAAGUCUGGGGUAAUGAUCAUGGUAACUAGUCCCAUGAUUCUGCAAGAAGUUGUCCCUCUUGGCAUAUGUGUGCACAAGAAGGGAUGCUUUCCUUCAAGCUAGCAUUUCUCACAUGGAUAGAGGGCUUUGGUCUCCGUUGGAAAAGAGACUGAUACCCUUCCUUCUUGUAAUCUGCAUGGAUAAGUGUAUACGGCUGGAAACCAGAACUUACGGGCUACUGGCCCUAAGGACAGACUUUGAUUUGUCAUAGAUCUAGUGUAACAACGCCACGUUGUCCACUUGCAUAAGCACAGAAAUAAUCCAAACUGUCUAUCCUUUCGAGGAGAAUGGCACUCCAGUAAUCAUCGCUGGCAUCUGUCUACAAAAUGCGUUGUCCAGUUGUGGGAAUUCUGAGUGGAGGAGGUGAUUGAGCUAUCACUUUCAACUGCUUGACAGCUUCAGUUUGUGCUGGUCCCCAAGGAGGACACUGCUUUUUGAGUAUGCGGGACAGCUGGCUGGUGUGGAUUGCAACUUUAGGAAUGAAAUCUCGAACAUAAUUAACAAUCUCGAGGAACUGUUGUAUUUGUUUCUUAGUGAGAUUUGUGUCAAGGAACUUUAAUAAUUCAAUUGCUAUGUGUGGUCUAGGUUGGUAGUGGCCAUUUGUGAUCACCAUGCCAAGAAAGUCAAUAGAUCAUUUCGCUAUGCUGCUUUUCUUUUCAGAAAGCAUGAUUCCGUGAUCCUGCACAAUAUGAAAGAAAUCCAAAAGGAGUUUUUGAUGGCUAUCAUGAUCGGAUGAGAACAAUAAAAUAUCAUCGAUGUAGACCAAAGCAUGAUGGAGGAUAGGACUGAAAAUUUUUGUCAUGGCCUUUUGAAAUAAUGAAGGAGCAACUUUAAGACCAAAGGGCAUAACAGUCCACUGAUAGUGAGCAUCAAGAAUGCAGAAAACAGUUUUGGGACGGUCAACUGGUGAAAUACCAAGUUGCCAGAAGCCAGCCUUUAAAUCGUCUGAUGUUAACAGUGCUUCUUGUUAACCUUUUACCCAAAUUUCAACCUCUCUCUUGAGGAUCCCAACUUGCCUACAACCAUUAAAGUCCAGAUCCAGCUCCAUGGAGCAGAACAGACACCCACAUCCAAGAUUGCAACCCUCCAUCACCAAAUAGUGUAUUGAUUACAGAAUCAUGCACUAGACCUACCUACACCCCAUACCACAUCAGAUGCUCUGAUGAUCCUUGAUGAUACCGAUACAAUUCCAACCAUCAUCUAGAUUCCCAAACAAAUCCAGAAACAAGAAUUGCCUUUUGUUCACAGAUUUUGUUAAGGCAUAACAUUGCUGUUUGGAAAAUCUUUCCAAGAGAAAUGUCAGCUAUGCUGAGAUUAGUGGCAGUGAGUUGUCUUUGAAGAUCAGGUUGAAGUUUUGAAGGAAGUGAAGCUAUGAAGACAUGCGUGAGCGACGGUUCAUUGAAACCAUUCAGCUUAUAAAAUAGAAUACUCUUUCUUUUGUAAUGAGUUUCUAAAAGAUGUCUUUUGAGAGAACAACAUUUCAUCUGGUGAUAUUCUUUUCGAUCUGCUUAUUUGGAAGCUGUGAGUUCACCUAUGAACUGUUCAUGGAUGAUGUUGAGGGCUGUGCCAAUUGGGGAUUGUAUGAAUUGGAUUUGAUGGUAUUCUCCCAAGCUUUCUAACCAAUCUCGUAAAGAACCCGUUGAACGGGCCAUAAAUUCACGAAGAACACUUUCCGGAUGUGCAUUUGGUUUAGUUCCUUGGAGAUCAAUCCAUGCAGCAAAUUCUUGAAGGCGAGCAAGCCAUUUGUGACGGGGAAUGUCAUCAAAUGUGAACCAAGAUGCUGAAGAUGGUUUGGUCGAGUGAUUAGGAACGGGUGGAGGCAUUGAUGGUUCUGGUUCUGUUGGAGCUGCUUGAUUUUCAGCAUUAGAAGAACUUUCUUCAACAAUAGGUGUAGCAGUUGAAGCAUUAGGAUCCUCAGUUUUAGUGGCCAUCAAUAUUCUUGUAAUAUCAGCAUAUUCUGAUUCAGAGUCAGUAGAGGUACCGCCUAAGUUUGUGGAAGAGGAAGAGGAAGACGGGUUGGACUUAGAUGGGUUUGACUCAUAAACUGUUUUUGGUUCAAAGGAGUCAGAAGAUGUGUUUUGGACAGUAUGAUAAUGAUACUGAUCCAUUAGGCCUUUGUCUUUUUUUGGGAGGCUCAGGAGUGGCUUUUGGUGAAUCUUCUGGUAGUACUGGAGGAACUGAUGAAGUGGCUUUGACGUUGGUUCUGAAAUCUUGACUUUGGAUUUUGAUUUUUUGGGUAGAUGGCUUAGGUUGAGGUGUUGGUUGGAGAUGUGAGAAUCCAAAGAACUGAUUGUAAACGGGCGGUUGAGGCCUGGAUGGAGUGUAGAAAGGUGCAUAGGUUUCAAACAUCGGAGUAGGGAUGGGUGUGGAUGAUGUUUGGGUAAAAAGUGAUGGCCUGGUUUUUUCAGUAUCAAUUCUGGCUAACUUAGCUUUGAGUCAUCUUAUCUCUGCUUCUUUUUUGUUGAACUCUGGACCCCAGAUGUGAUAGUUGAUCAUUCGUCUGAGAUCUGUAUCUAGCUCAGAGAUACGAUCUUGGAGAUGGAUAUAUAUCUAAUCAAGACGAUUGCUGAUCGAAUCCACCUUGGUUUCAGUCUGGGAGACCUGACUAGCAACUCGGUCUAUUUUCUUUCCAAGUUGGUGAAGAGUUUGAUUCUGAGCACUGGCGUUUUUGGUUUGCCAGUUGAGAACAACUUCAUACUGUUUUGGCUCUUCAGGUUGGCCAAAACCAGUAACUGGAGAUUGAACAUAAGGUUUUGAGAUGACUCUGGUCUGUGUAUCUGUUUGUUUCUCAAGUGGGGGAAAAGAUUCUUCAUAAGAUUGACUCUGACUUGAAAACAUUAGGCAUGACCGUAUUGGAUGGACAGGAGGUUUGGGAUCUAGCGGAGGUUGUGGAGGGAAGGAUUUGCAAGAUGUUUUUGGAUGAGAAGGUUUGUUUGUUUUUCUUUUUCUUUCUUCUCAUAGCUUCCAAUUCGUCAUCAACAUUCGUGUCAUCCAAGCAAGGACAACCCGGAUUACACAUAUGGGCUUCAGGAACAUCCCAUGGAAAAUGACCAUUGAUUUUGUCAGGGUAUACUAGAUACCCUUCAGAUGAAAAACCAUGGAUUGGAAGGUUUUUUUCCUGACCAAUUUGAACUGCAGUAAUCAUUACAGUGUAGGAAAGCCGUAGGUUUUUUGAAACUUGAUUAGGGGUUUGAAAAGACAGUUUGACUUGACCAUUUUGUCGUUUUUCAAACGUGGCUUCUGUUGUUUGUACUGGUUCAGAGUUUUGAUGAAAUUGCUCAUAAUUGGUUAGCCAUUCAAGAGGCAUGAGAGUGAGCAAUUCUUGUUUCUGGAUUUGUUUGGGAAUCUGGAUGAUGGUUGGAAUUGUACCGGUAUCAGCAAGGAUCAUCAGAGCAUCUGAUGUGGUAUGGGGUGUAGGUAGGUCUAGUGCAUGAUUCUGUAAUUGAUACAUUAUUUGGUGGAGGGUUGCAAUCUUGGAUGUGGGUGUCUGUUCUGCUCGUUGGAGCUAGAUCUGGACUUUAAUGGUUGUAGGCAAGUUGGGAUCCUUAAGAGAGAGGUUGAAAUUUGGGUAAAAGGUUAACAAGACACUACCUGCAUGGAGGGUUGUCAGGACGGUUCCAAUAACACCAUGUUGAUACUGUUUGAACCUGGUAUCUAUGAGAGCAAUUCUGGCUAUGAUUGGUAAGCCUUUUCUGCCAUGGAGGGUCAGAAUCAAUCUAACACCACCGAGGUGGAGAUGCGUAUACCCUUCGCAUUUCCAGUUUGCUACAAGAUCUGGAGGGAUUUCUAAAGUGACAUAUUGUUCACUUUGAGAGGCUUGUAAAGCACACUGAUCUAGUCUAGAAGACUGGAUGUAUUCUUUUGGAAGUGGUCUUUUGGUAGAGAUUAGGGUACGAAUACUUCUUGUGAAAGAAGUUUUUUACUUGUAAAGGUUGUAGGGACUUAUGACGGGAAACUGAGAUUCAUUUAUUUGAGCAGAUUCAAGGAUAUAGGAGUACUCAACAAGAUUUUCGAUUUUUGAGGUUAUGUGUUUUGAACAGGAUUUAGGAAGUGACAGAGUAAAAGAGAGAGAAAUAUGAGAAGAGGAAGAAGAAGGAGUUGAAGAUGAAAUUGAAGUUGUUUCCAUGUUUUGAAAUCUUCUUCUAGGAGAUCAAGAAGGAUUAUUCGGAAUUUCUAAGGACUUUUGCUAGAAUAUUUGUAUUUGCUUCUUGGUGAGAUUUGUGUCAUGGAACAAAGAGAUCCUUAUAUAGAGAUCUCGAGGAGGAAAGAGAUAAGGUGGGACCCUUAUCUUUUACAAAAGGAGAAACAUAAUUAUGAAAGCAUUAAAGCACUAAAGCACACCAAGCCAAACUAAAAAAGCAAAAGCAAACUUUAGAUGCAAUCCCCAAUUGGUACAGCACUCAAUAUCAUCCAUGAACAAUUCAUCGGUGAAAAAACUGCCUCUACCAAUGCAGACAGAAAAGAGUAUCAUCAGAUGAAUUACUGUUCUCUCAAAAGACAUCUUUUGGAAUCUCAUUACAAAAGGAUGAGUAUUCUAUUUUACAAGCUGAAUGGGUUCAAUGAGCCAUCUCUCAAACAUGUCUUCAUAGCCUCACUUCCUUCUGAGUUACAACCUGAUCUUCUAAGAAAACUCACAGCCACUAAUCUCAGCAUAGCUGAUAUCUCUUUAGGAAAGAUUUUCCAAAUGGCAAUGCUAUGUCUCGACAAAAUCUGUGAGCAAAAAGAAUUUUUCAAAGAUCUCAUGGAAGACAAAAAAUCCUUUUCUGAAGCUUUUAAAAAACCCUAUCUCAAGAUCAAGUGUAAAGAUGAAAAGAGGUGUGUUUGUCCAAUUAAAAAGAGUUUUAAUCAAUGACAAAUGAAAAGUUUCUUAAGAAUAAGCAACACUUGGUGAAGACAGAAAGUGGUGACUUGGAAUUCAGAAAUUUGAUCCAUUAGCUGCCCGUAGAAAACUUACUAUAGUGGUUGUAAAGCAUGAGCUUCCUCUUAGCUUUGUAGAGUAUAAGGCGUUUAGAGAUGUUGUUGAUUAUUACAACCCAUUGGUGAAGCCUAUAUCCAGAAACACUUUAAAGAAUGAGAUCUUUAAGCUAUAUAAUGUUGAAAAGGGAAAGGCAAUGAAUUUGUUGGAGAUUAAUGAUAGUAGGGUGGCAAUUACUAUAGACAUAUGGACUGUUACUAACCAAAAGAAAGAUUAUAUAGUUGUUAUGGGAUAUUUCAUUGACAAAUCUUAACAUUUACAAAGUCGAAUCCUAAGGUACUUUUACUUUAUUGAAUAUUAAAUUUUUAUUUGAUAAUUUUUUUAACUUCGCAUAAUUUUUUUUAAAAUUAAUAGGUUUAUAUAUGUGCAAGCCCCACAUACAGCUGACUGUCUUUCCAAAAUUUUAGUGAAGUGCUUGUUGGAUUGGAAUUUGGAUAGGAAGAUAUCCAUGGUUACUUUGGAUAAUUGUUCUACUAGUGAAACAAUGGUUGAUAAAUUGAAGGGAUUGUUGUCAAUUAACUUAAUGAUAUUAGGCGGCAAAUUCCUUCAUAUGAGGUGUGUGGCUUAUAUUUUGAAUCUAAUUGGGAAAGAUGGGUUUUAAAUGACUGAGAGUGGUAUUGCACGUGUUAGAGACAAUGUGUCUUAUUAGAGUUUGUCGCCAAAAUGGGCGGAAACGUUUGGCUUGGCUACACGUCAAUUGUAAAUAACGAAUGCGAAAAAGUUGGAGCUUGAUUGUCCAACUAGAUAGAAUUUUACUUUUAUUAUGCUUGAACUUCUGGUGAAGUACAAAAAUGUUUUUUGUCGACUGUAAACACUUGAGCUGCAAUACAAGAAUUUUCUUAAUAGUGAGGAAUGGGAGUUAGCUAAGCAGAUAUUGGAUUAUUUGAGGAAUUUUUCAAGGUUGAUUGAGAUAUUUUUGGGUACAACAUACCCUACUAUUAAUCUAAUUUUUUUUUCCCAUUGGUUUGUAAAAUGAGGAUUGCAUUGAAGGGGUGGCAAACAUCAGAAGUUCCUACAAUUGAAAAUGGUGGAUAACAUGAUUGAAAAAUGAUUAAAGUACUGGGAAGAGAUUAGUGGGGUAUUAGUCAUGGCUGUUCUUGAUCCGAGAUACAAAAUGAUGUUGGUUAAUUACUAUUAUCCAAAGAUUUAUUUAGUUGGUCUUGAAAGUCAACUUAAGAGAGUGUAUGAGCUUUGUGAUGAAAUGGUUAAUUAUUAUAAGGCCAAAUCCCCAACUAUGAGAUAUAGUGUUGUUGGCGAGUCUUCUACCUUAAGUGUUGUUUCUUCCAAUUUUGAUGGUGUAGAUGAUAUGGGUGAUUUCGAUGUAUAUGCAACCUAAAAUUAUCAACCAAUUAGUUCAAAAUCUGACUUUGAGAGGUAUUUGGAGAAUCCUUUAGUCAAAAGAACUCCAGACUUAGAUGUUUUAUAAUGGCAAAAGAUGAACAAAGAUGUUUUAUAAUGGCCAAAGAUGUUUUAGCCAUACCUGUGACAACCGUUCCCUCAGAGUCUGCUUUUAGUAUGGGGGGGUAGAACCCUAAGUCCACAUUGUAGUAGACUACAUCUAGACAUGUUGGAAGCUAUCAUGUUCUCUCAGCAUUAAUUAUGGGCUAUUAAUGAUUGAGGUAUAAAAAUAAAUUAUUGUUAAAAUUAUUUAUUAAUUGUUUUUGCUUUAUUAUUUAUGUUUUUUUUUUGUGGAGUUUUGGAGGAAUCUUUUUACUGGAGAAGAAUUAAAGGAUGAGAAAGAAGCUGGCCCAUAAGUAUUGGAUUAGUUUGUUUUCGAUAUUAGUAUUUGUAAUUUAUUAUGUUGUAUUGCUAAUGUUUUGUGUAUUUGACUAUUAUGUAUUGGAUAAUCAGCUUUAAUUUAAGUUGAAACUUUGGUAUGAUUUACGUCUUUCUUCUGUUUUGAUCUCUAGUACUUCAGGAGUAGAGAGCCUUUCUCCUUCAUGGCUUCCACUUCAUCUUCAACUCCUUCUAAUCCUAUUACUCUUUCUUCUACUCUUUCUUUGCCCAAAUCCUGCACUUCCCAUACCGCCAAUAAGAUUGAAAACCUUGUAGAAUAUUCCUACAUCCCUGAAUCAGCCCAAGCCAACAUCUCCAACAGUUUCCACAACCCACCAUGUAUGAACCAGGAUCAUCAUCCCAACCCUCCAAAUCUGACAAGGCCACUCAGAUGCCAAGCCCCAAGUCCCAGUCAUCACCCCCCAAGCCGGGAUACCGAAGAGAUUGCCCUUAUCCACCUUGCCGUGGUCCCCACUGUAAGCAUCCAAAGCUCUCCAAAACCUUUUCCCAAAAUACAACCAUGACACUGACCCAGAUGAAACAGAAAGCUCAUCCGAGGACGACUACAUGAAUCUCCGCUCUCCAUAAAGUAGUUUGUCUUGUUGUAAUAAUUAUGGUUUUGUCCUGUAUAAUUAUUAAGGCUUGCUUUUACUUUUUUCAAAGUCAUGCUUUAAUUAUUAAAGCACACUUUGUCCUUUGUAAUCAUUAAAGCUGUAAUGUGUCCUUUUACUUUUGCUUUUGUAGAAGAUAGGGGUCCUGUCUUAUCUUCUCUGGGAAUUCUCCUAUCCACCUUGCCGUGGUCCCCACUGUAAGUAUCCAAAGCUUUCCAAAACCUUUUUCCCAAAAUACAACCGUGACACUAACCCAGAUGAAACAAAAAGCUCAUCCAAAGACGACUACAUGAAUCUCCGCUCUCCAUAAAGUAGUUUGUCUUGUUGCUCUCCAUAAGUAGUUUUUCUUGUUGUAAUAAUUAUGGUUUUGUCCUGUAUAAUUAUUAAGGCUUGCUUUUACCUUAAGCUUUUACUUUUGUCAAAGUCGUGCUUUAAUUAUUAAAGCACACUUUGUCCUUUGUAAUCAUUAAAGCUGUCAUGAUGUGUCCUUUUACUUUUGCUUUUGUAGAAGAUAAGGGUCAUGUCCUAUCUUCUCCGGGAAUUCUCCCAUAUAAAGAAUUCUCCAUUCGCUUGUAAAAUAUAGAAGUUUUUUAAAAAUAAAACUCGUGUGUUUCCAUAAAACUAUGCAUUUCUAAACUCUCUUCUCUCUCUGUAAAUGAAGAUCUAGAGAAAGAAAAGAAUAAAGAAUUAAAUUUGUUCAUUUUGAAACUUUGAGGAAGUAUGCUCUGCACUUGCCUUCCAGUAAGGAUCCUGUGCAUCAGAAAACUUAUGAUGAUUUCUUAAACGGUUUGGUACCCUGUUUUAAAGACUAAGGAAAGUCUGUUUUGGGUUAUAUGACCUGAAAGAAAUGCAAAAAUGUUUUAUGAUGCAAACGUAAUGCAGAAACGUUUUAUGAUGCAAACAUUUUAUAAUUUGGUAUCAGAGCUAAAAAAAUAAAAAAAUGAAAGUCCAAAUCGGCCUAAGCUAGGCCAAUCCAGACUUGAUGGGCUUUUAGAAGGCUUGGACUUGAUGAUAACAUUUCAAGCCCAAGUGCCCAAGCUUGCAAAUUGCCAAUCCUAAUUGGAGUAGUUUUAUUAAGCCUAAAAUACGUAUACCAGGGAUCAUAUCAGGUCCUUAUGAAAAACAAAAAAGGAAAAAAAUAUCAUAUUAUGUAAAUUCAUGUAAUAUGAUAGAUAUUAACAACCAAAUUUUUAUAAUACAAAAUAAAAAAAAUUAAGUGAAAUUAUUUAUUAACUCAAACUUAAAUGAGAUAAAUUUAAAGAAAAAAAUGAAAGCCUCUGCUCCACUUUGUCUAAGAUGGCUUGAUACGUGUUCUUCCCCAGCCAAGAAUGGAGUAAAGGCAUCCCUAAAUAAUUCCCAAAACUCUUUGUGACAGUAAAACCCAAUUUCUAACUAAUCUUGCAAGCCUCACCCGAAUCAACAUUCCUAAAGAAAAAGACUUGGGUUUUUGUUCGGUUAACCUUUUCACUUGAGCUCGUGCAAAAGGAGUCAAGAACAUCAUUGAUAACAGCAGCAUGCUCCCGAAAGGCCGCUGCCAAAAGAAUACGGUCAUCAGCAAAAAAUAGAUUAGUGAUGGGAGUGCUGUUGCACCUAAGGCGAAUCGGCUUCCAUUUUCCCUCCCUCACAGCCUGGUUAAUACCAUGGCUAAGACACUCAAUACACAACAUAAAAAUGUAGGGAGAGAGUGGAUCACCUUGUCUAAUUCCCCUCGACAACGAGAAGGAUUCCGUGAGUUCCCCAUUCCAUAAGAUUCGCAUGGACACAGAAGUAAUGCAAUCCAUAAUUACGCGGAUGAAAUCCAUAAGAAGGCUUAUUAGGCACAGAGUUUCAUAAAUAAAAGUCUAGUUAAGUCUAUCAUACGCCUUCUCAAGAUCCACCUUAAUGAACAUAUUUCUUAUUUUCCCUCUCUUUCUUCUCAUCAAGUGAACAAUUUCUUGAGGUACCACUAUAUUUUUUGUAAUAUGUCUGCCCGACACGAAGCUAAUUUGUGUGGGACCAAUGAGGUUCGGUAGUAAAGGCUUUAAUCUAUUGGCCAACAAUUUAGUGACAAUUUUAUAAAUAAUUGUACACAACGUAUCGGCUAAUAGAGUUUAAGAUGUUGGGAUCUGCGUUUUGGGUAUAAAAACAGUCAAUGUACCCAUUAAUCUCUAAUGGGACUCUCCCUCAUAAAAAAUCUACUUGACGAGCUUACACACCGAGGGAUCCACUAAGUCCCAGUGGGAUUGAAAGAAAAUAGCAUGGAGGCCAUCAAUACCCAGAGCUUUCAUAGGAGGCAUACUAAAAAUAAUAUUUUUAAUUUCUAUAUUAUCCACGUCUUGCCCAAUUGCUUUUAUCAAACUAGUUUCAAUCUCUGGAUAAGUUGCAUUAACAAGAUAGGGAAGAUGCUCCUCAUUAUCUUCCGUAUAGAGUUUAGAAAAGAACUCCAUAGCAUGCUUCUUAAUCUCCCUUUCCUCGUGCUGCCACUUCCCUAGUUGGUCUUUAAUCACUUCAAUACGAUUUUUGCAUCUUCUCUGAAUGGUAUUACAAUGAAAAUUUUAGUAUUCUUGUCCCCCAAAGAAAUCAAAUCCUUCCUCUCUUUCUAGUACCACAACAAUUCUUCCUGAGUGAGGACUGUCUGUAACUCUCCUGUAAGCUUGUCUUCUAAAUCUAAAAGGUUUUUAGAGCCAUGAUCCUCCAGAGCCCUCUAUAUUCCAUUUAAUUUGGCCAGUAAGGUCCUCUUCCUUUCAAAAAUGCUCUUGAAAACCUCUUUAUUCCACUGACUCACCUUGUCUGCAAAUUCCUUAGCAAACUUAAUAAAGUCCAUGUUACCAUCCCAAAUAUUAUACAUGAACUCCUUAAACUUAGCAUCUGUUAACCAUGAAGCCAUGAAACGAAAAGGUUAAGGGUUAUGCCUACUAUCGAAAUCACGCCCAAAAUGAAUGAGAAUUGGCAUGUGAUCAUAAUUAAUCUUCGGAAGGUGGAUUGCCUUUGGGCUCUGUCUAGUCUCUUUAGUAAAGUUCCACGGUUCCAAGUGAAGUUCGAACCCUAAUGAGUAAGUUAACAAAACUUGUUUAUGAAACAGCAAUCAUUGAACAGCUUGUAGACUUUGUUAAUUCUAGUUGACCCCUUUUUUUCAGAAAUAUAAUGUAUAACAUUAAAAUCCCUUGCCAGCAACAAAGGACCUCUAAUAGUAGCUGCUAACAUGUCAAUUUCCUUCCAUAGAGUGCUUCAAAUGGAUGGAUAUGGGCUAGCAUAAAUAGUGGUGAACCAUAACAACAUUUCCUCACUAUUGGAAACUUUACGGUGGAUGAACUACCUGUGAUGACAAUAAUUUCCACACUGAUUUUAUCAUUCCAUAGCAGCCAAAUUCCUCUAGCGAAACCUACAACUUUAACUUGAUGAGAGUUAUCAUAACCACUCAUUUGGAUGAAAACAUUGGCUUUCAUCCCAAUUACCCUCGGCUCCAAUAGGGCAACCAAAGUAUGUUGAUACAUGUUUCGAAGAGACUUAAAAGUCUUGAGAAAACCAAGUGAGGAAACUGCGGGACAAUUCCAGCACAUGAAAGAUAAAAUCAUUCUAAAAAAACGAGUAAAGAAAAGACCUUAUUGAUUCAGGCCCUAAGGCAGUAAUCUCCAUUUCUAUUUCAUCCUCCUCCUCCAAGGACUCUAUCGGGUCAAAGGAUUUAGAAACCUUAGUCAGAAUCACCUAUGAAUUCGCUGUCUGAGUCAUCGCCUUCAUCUUUAAUGUCUUCAUUCCUUGUAUCGGAGGUGUCACUGUUAUGGUAAGAAGAAGUGGAGGGAUCCUUAAUGAGGGUUGGCUGGGUAGUUUUUUGUUCUUUAUUUAGGAGACCAAGGUAAUGGCAGAGUGUUUAUCAGGGUUUACAGCAGUCAGAAUCAAAACUAGUGAAGGAGAGUUGCAGUGCAUGGGGGAAAAGUACAUAGGGGUUAGAUCAUUGAUAUGCAUGGGAUCGUUAAUGUUAGGCUUUGUUGGGUUAAAAUGGUUUUGCAUGGGAAAGGUCAAAUGACCAUUUGAUUUUGGGUCAAUAGCUUCUUCGGGUUUGGUGGGAAAUAAUCGUGACUGUGUGAUGCUUUUUGGGGUCAUGGGUAUUUUUCCCUUAUUUGCUUUAGCUUGGUUAUUUCUAGGAAUGGACUUUUUGUGGUUGACUUUGGCUUGAUGGUUAGGUUCUAAGUUUGGGAUAGAUUGAUUAGGAUCCAUAUUCUCCAUAUUAUUUUCUGGGGCAACAUUCUACUCUUGUGCUACUAAUAAUAGGCUAGAGCGGGAUCCCCCAAGGAGGUUACCAUCUUUAGGGAGAUUUACUCUCUUACUUUUAGUACAUUCCUAAUUACUCCGAUUCUUUCCUUUCCUAGCCACCACCAUCCAAGGCCCAAAUUUUGGUGUAACUUCGACUGUUCCUGGUCGACUUAUCUUUGCCGUCGUGUCCCCAUCAUCACCCUUUACUGCCAUGUCCCCAUAAUCACUCUUUCCUUCUUUAGCAGGCAUGGCUUCCUCACUAUCUAUCAUCUCCAGGCAGUUUGUACUAUAAUGCCCACAACGACCACACUCAAAACAAAUUGUGGGGUGGCUCUCAUACUCAACCCUUUAGAUUAUACCAUUGAGAAGAAAUUGAGGAAUAAGGGGUUUGUUCAAGUUGAUAUCUACAACAAUAUUUGUAAACUAUUUUGAUCAUAUUUCCUAUAACUUGUCCAAGCAUCCUGAGAAUCAUCUUAUGGUAGUAGUGGAAAGGCAUUCUUGGAAGUUGAAGCCAAGUCGCAAUGUUGUCAAUUUUGCCAUUUGAACUAUCAAAUUGGGGUGACCAAAGUUUAAUAGCAAGAUAAUGCCCGAGGAUCAUUCAGGGUCCUUGAGUUAAUGCAAACUGGGCAUCAUCCACCAUUCUAAACUUGACGAGAAAAUAGUCAUUUUCCAGGUCAAUGACCGUAAAUCCUUGAGUCUUGCCCCCAAAGAGUUUUGAAGUGGUUGCAUAACAUUUUGUAUCCAAUUUGUCUCCCUAGUAGUUUAACAACAAUCGUGGACUGCCAAGGUUUAAUAAGCUAUGCAUGAACUUUUUGGGAGAAAGAGAUAGAUGGAAUACUUCCAGCCAUUUCCACUACCACAUUACCGCUGUCAAAAUCCAGAUCAUCAUCCGUACCAGCUAAGUCCUUCUCCACCAACAAUUGAUCCUCCAUUAGUUUAUCCUUGAAAGACAUUGGCUGUGGAUUGUCACGAUCGUCUCCCUCUGAUCGGAAUUUGGUCUUUUUUGUGGAUCGGUUGUCCUCCAAAGGAAAGGGAAAAUUCUUCACUGAGUUUAAAGGAAAAUAUAUUGUUCUAAAGAACCCAAUGAGAUUGUGCCCAACCUUUAUUAUCUCUAUUUUUCAUUUAGAAUAGUUCUAGAUAUCCCAAAUUUUUUUUAUCCCAAAUAACUAUCUCAAAUGAUAUAAUAUUAAUCAAUUAGUUGGUGGAAUAAUACAAUUAAUUCACUUGGAAUUAGUAAAAAGUUAUCAACUAAUUAAUGAAUGCCACAUCAUUUGUUAUAGUUAUUUGGGAUUAAAAAUUUAGGAUGUCUAUCAUUACUCUUUUAUUUGUUUCAUCUUAUGUUGUUAGUUAAUUUUGAAUUGGUUAAAACUAGUUGCACUUUUUUUGUGGAAUCAUGUCUAAGUCAUUAAGCAUGAAGUCAGAACAUGCUUAGUGUUUACUAAUUUCUAGGUUUGCUAUAUUAAGCAAGCCUUAUUUUUCAAAGGUAGAUGUAAUUCAAUAAAAAAAAUGUCAUGAGUAUUAUUAUUUUAGCUACUUAUAAGUUGUAUUUGAGAGUUUAUUGAUUUCUCAAAAAAAUAAUACAUGUUUUAGAAAUUUCGGCUUCUUGUUUUACAGAUUUAGGCUUUCUUGAAUUAACCUAUGUUUCUUGUAAAUUUCUUCUAUUUUGUUCAAAUUAUCAUUAUUGACAUUUGUGACCGUAGCACAUACAGAUGAAACCCAACUCUUUAUGGCCCCUUAUUUAAGUGUCUUUUUAGCCUUUUUUAUAACAUUGACCUCUUUCAAUCAAGAUUUAACCAAACAAAAAGUCAGUUGAGCCAUAGUUAGCCCGNNNNNNNNNNNNNNNNNNNNNNNNNNNNNNNNNNNNNNNNNNNNNNNNNNNNNNNNNNNNNNNNNNNNNNNNNNNNNNNNNNNNNNNNNNNNNNNNNNNNAAUUAUAAAUUGUUGACCUUAUUAUUAUUAUUAAUAUUACAUGAAUGAUAACCAAACUUCCUCCCUAUCCCAAGAUUUCACUAAUUGAAUCUCUUGACACUACACAUUAACUCUUUUCAAAUAAUUUAAGUAAUGUAUUUUUUUUGUAUAAUUCAUUUAUUACUAAUUUGUACUUGGACUAUUAGUCAUUUAAUAACCAGCAAAACAUUGAAGAGUUUUAUUUUUCCAAUUAAUAUAGCAGUAUGAAAUCUAUUAAGACUCUCAUCCCAAUCAAAGUUUAUUUGAUAGUUUGAUGUUGCUUAGCUACUAAAAAAAUGAAGAGAAAACUAAAGGCAAACCAUUGUAUUGUAUUAACCUUGAAUGUUAUUACAGAGUGUUAAUAUACUAAUAUCUAGAACAUUCUACAUACAUUCUAAUGGUGUGUUUACUUAUCGGAAAUGAGAAUGGGAAUCAAGGAAUGAGAAUGAAUAAUGUGUUUACUUGCUUAAAUAAGAGAUGGAAUAAGAAUCAAAGUGGUGGGCCCCACCUAAAAUUGGGAAUGAUUGCUAGAGUUCCCAUUCCCAUGGGGGAGGAGGGAAUGGGAUUCACAUUCCCUAAAGUGACCAUAUUACCCUCACUUAAAUCUUGAAAUUCCUAAUUUAUCCUUCCUUAUAUUAUUAUUAUUAUCAAAAAUUUAUUGUUGAUGAUAAUAAUAAUAAUAAUAAUAAUAAUUUUUUUAUUAAUUGUAAUAAUAAUAAUAAUUUUUAAUUAUUAUUGUUAUUGGUGUUGUUGUUAUUACAACUAAUACUUAGUAUUGUUCCUAAUAAUAAUAAUAGUAGUAGUAGUAAUUAUUAUAAUUAUAAUAGCAAUAAUAUUAUAAUCAUUAUCCAUUAUAAUUAAUACUAAUAAUAAAAUUAAUAUAACAACAACAACAACAACAAUGACAAUAACAGUAAUAAUAAUUGUUAUUGUUGUCAUUUAUAAUAAUAAUAACAAUAAGAAUAAUAAUUACUAUUAUUAAUUUAAUGAUUAUAAACAAUUAUUAUUAUUAUUAUUAUUAUUAUUAUUAUUAUUAUUAUUACUGUGACAAUAAUAAACUAAGGUCGGUUUAGUAACUUGCAACUAUCCAUUCUGAUUCCAAGAUAAAGUAAACACAUCAAUGGCAAUAUAGUUCAUUCCAAUUCCGAUUCCCACAGCUAAAGUAAAUAGUUUAUUCUGAUUCUUAUUCCCCAUUCUAAUUCUAGCCCAUUUCGAUUUCACUCCAUUUAGAUUGCAGCCCAAUCCGAUUAUUGAUUAGUAAACACACCAUAAUAUCAAGAACAUUCUACACACAUCCAAUAAUGGCAACAAUAAAACACCACAAAAGGCAUAAAUGAACGACCACAUCUAGAUUAAAUACAAUAUAUAGGAUAAAACCUAAACCCAAGCCUAAAUUAAAUGUGGCCUCUAUCAACCAUCACAAAAAUUGAAAAAAGAGAAAAAAAAUUCACCUAUUAAAACUACCCAAGUAUUGAAGGAAUUUUACGAAACUAACCUAGCCCGCCUCAAUUAAUAAUGUAAAACCUCUUCCAAUCUGAUAACACAAAACAAUAAAACACAAUAUUAAAACAAAACAAAAACAACUAAUAAAACCGCAUCUCUUAGAGUAAUCCUCAAAGGCAUCUUGAUCAUGGACUUUUGUCCCAAGCUAUUGAAAUCUCAAUGCACCAAGUACUAGAGCCCUUCAACAACUCGAUACAGGGAUAUCAUCACACUGACACCAUCCUGAUAAAAAGUUUAAAACAAUAUCAUCUUCAGCACCAAAAGAACCUUAAGAGCAACACAAUUAGUAUUAGAAUUCGUUAUUAAAUUGAAAAGUUUAUUAAUCUUUAGCUUAGUCUUUGCACAUGUAUUCAAUGUGUGUAGAUGUUCUGAAUAUUAGUAUAUAAACACUCUGUAAUUGUUGUGCAAAUUUUGUUGAACUCGCAAGCGCACGAAUCUAUUGUAGUAUAGACUAAUGGUGACGAGUGUCGAUCCCACGAGGAGGUGGAUUUUAAUUAUAUGUAGAAUUAAUUUUGUAAAUGGGUGGUUGGAAUUGUGGUGGAAGUGAUUUAAAUUAUCCUAAAAUUGUAAUUGAAAUGGCAAUAAUAAAUUAUAAAAUUGGAAUUGCAAUGGCGAGAAUAAAUUGAAGCGAAAUCUAUUGAAAUGACGUACUUGGGUAUCUGGAUCCGUAUCAACAUGCAUCAUGGGCUAAAUAAUCCGUAUUAAUGCCAAUUAAAUCAUGAGGGGGAAUCCACACCUCAUGAACCACGCUCUAAUCAAUAUGGUGCUAAGGGCUUACCGUGCCAAAUAAUAAUAAACUUAUACUAGAGAGCCGGUGUAACCAAGGCGGUAUCUAGACAAGCUUAUUAUUAUUUGUCGACGAGAAGUCAAAACAUCCACAAAAACUAGAGGGGAAAAGAAAAUAAAUUUACCAAAUUAAGCCCAUGACACAUGUUGAGACUUCACCUUCAACCCAAGCUUGAAAGAAAAUUAGCCACUCAUAAUUGAACUAGGGGCAAAAUGGGAAUUUAUUAAAACACGAAGAAAAUACAAGAUGGAGAAGGAAUUACAGAAAAUGGAUCCCAAAAAUAGAUUCAGAGAUAUCAAAUUAGGGGGGAGAGGCCCCCUUUUUAUAGAUACAUGGAGUAAAUCAUGGCCAUCAGAUUAAAAACAGUUUGGACGCUCAGGAUUGCGCCACGUCAUCAGUCAACAGUCCACGGUUUGACCACGCGGAUGAACAGUAACACGGUUUGACCUGACUUUAAACAGUAACGCGGUUUGACCCGGAUGAACAGUAACGCGGUUUGGUUGAAAAUAAUCCUGUGUGAUGCAUGCACCGUAUGCGAGAUUUUUCGUCCACUGAUAUGCUGCCACGUCACCAUCAACAGUAUAUAAGAAUUUUAGUCCAACAGGAUCGUGACACCUCAUCAGUCAAUGCCACAUCAUCAGUCCAUCUAUGUGAACAGUGUCGUGAGCAGUAACGUAGACAGUACCGUACACGUGAAUAGUACCGUACAUGUGAACAGUGCUAUUUUUCCUUUUAUGCUCCUCCUAAGGUUUUCGACCGUCCUGAGUUCAAAAGUGAUGUCCGUUUUGCCAUCUGAUCUCUCGUUUAUUGUGGAAUGACUAUGAUGCCCCUAAAAUACAUAAAAUACUUAAUUAAAAUAAAACACAUGUAAUUAAAUCACAAGAAGGUUAAAUACAUAAAAGUAAGGGUUGUUAGUAAGACUUGAAAUGUAAAAUGACGAUUUUCUCCUUUAUAAAUAUGCAUUUUCUAACACUCAACAGUAAUCACAUUCAAGUUUCAUACAAUACAAUGAUUUGCCUUUACUAAAUUUUGUCUCAAAUUCUUUAGCUUUCUCUUCAUUUUCUCAGUAGCUAAACAACAUCAAACUGUCAAAUAAACUUUGAUUUUGUUAAGAAUAUAAUAGAAAUAUUGAUGGUUAAGUUAGUUAACUAAUACUGCUGACUAUUAAUGUGGCAGUUAUAUUUCGAGCAACAAUCUAGUAACUAUAAUAUAUUUCCUUUUGGUGGAGUUAGUGAAGUCGUUACAAUUAGUAUUAGAAUUAGUUAUUAAGUUGAAAAGUUUGUUAAUCUUUAGCUUAGUCUUUGCACAUAUAUUGGAUGUGUGUAGAAUGUUCUGGAUUAAUAUAAUAACACUUUGUAAUCACAUUCAAUGUUAAUAUAAUACAAUGAUUUUCCUUUACUAACUUUUCUCUCAAAUUCUUUAGCUUUCUCUUGAUGCUCUCAAUAGACAAACAACAUCAAACUAUCGAAUAAACUUUGAUUUAGUAUCACCGACAUAAUCAAAUAGUUCUCAUGGCUUCAUUAAACUUAAACACAAAUAUCUCUACAUCAAUUUCAUCAUUUACUUUCACAACACCAAUCAAACUUGAUCAAUCUAAUUGCAUGAUCUGGAAAUCUCAAAUUCUCUCCUUAAUUCGAGCUAAUGAAUUUGGAAGUCCUCUUGAUGGAUUUAGAACUUGUCCUGAUCAGUUUCUCUCAAAUGCUUCAAGUUGAUCUAAUGUGUUUCACAAGAGAAUCUUGUAUUUACUAUUUGGAAAAAGCAGGAUCAGAUGCUGCUGAGUUAGCUUUUGUCCUCCAUUAAUGUUGAAAUUCUCAGUAGUGUUAGUUAACUAACUUAACUAGCAUAUUUUAUAUUCUUAACACUCCCUCUAUACAGUAAAACUUAACUAACAAUAAUCUCCAUAUAGUCAUAAAAAAUAUAGUCCCAAUUUUGGUUAGUUAUAAAUAAGAAUAAACUUCACAUUGUAAAAAGUUAUAACUUUUCUCUAGAUCUCAUCUUAAGGAACUUGCCUUCACAUAGUAAUAAUUUCUAUAUAUUAUAAAAAAUAUAUGCUACGUUACAUCACCGUUUACUUUGUGGGAAUCGAAACGGGUAGGAACCGGAAUGAGUUAUUUACUUGAGUUAUAGAAAUCAAAAUAAGAUUCAACAAUAUUCUCAUUGAUGUGUUUACUUUUUACUUAUAAUCUAAAUGAAUUAUUACAAAUUACAAAAAUGUACUUACUUAAGAUUAUUAUUAUCGUUAUUAUUAUACUUUUAUAAUAAUAACAAUAUUAAUGAUUACUAUUUAUAAGAAUUAGCGUUACUAUUAUUAUUAUUACUGCUACAAAAUAAACACAAAUUUUAAUUCACUAACAGACCAAAAAAGUCUCCAAUGCAUUGAAAUUUGUAUUUUUGUUGUAUUUGAGUGGCAUUAAAGUGAGGAUGCCACUCAAAUACAAAAAAAAAAAUCCUGAUUUUAAUGCACUCAAAGAUAAAAAAACCAUUACAAAAAAAAUACAAAUUUAAUAUAUUGCAAAUAAAAAAAACAUAGUUUUACUCUACAAAAAUAUUUUUUUUUUGUAUUUUAAUAAUAUCCUCACUUUUUUUAAUGUGAGCAUGUUCUUAUCUGAGAAAAAUUCAUAUUAAACAGAUCUUUUAUUUCGAUCCGUUAAGGAUAAGUGAAAAGCCAAGCAUGCCCCCCCUUCUAACGCAUUAUAUUUAUUUUGUAGUGUGUUAAAAUUUAUCAUUUUCUAUCUUUUAGUUUAUCUUUUACCAUAUUAAAGUAAGAGAACUCUUAUUAGAUAAUGACUUAGGGUGGGUAGGGGACAGGUUGCCCUUUGGCUAAAUAAUUGAAAAAAGAAAAAGAUAAUGACUUUGUAGACAAUUGUCCUAAAGAUGCAUACAAACAAAACCCAAAAUUGAAUACUGCAAUUCUAAUUGAAUUUAUGUGCAAAAAAAGUAAGAUGCCAUUAUAAAUCUAGUAGAAGCCUAAUUCAAGUUUAUUAUAAUGCAACCUAAAUUACUACCUUUAUUCAAUAGUCUCAUAGUCUUAUUAGGAAUAUUCAUGCUUCCAAUUUGAGUGUUCGUAAUUAUGUGAAGUAUGAAAUGGCCAAAAGCAAGAAAGAAUGAUUUUUUAUUUAAAAAAUUUAAAAAUAAUAAAAUGUCAGUGAAUCUAACCUUAUCAUCUUUUUCACUUUAUCCUCCUUUACAAACCAGUGCCACGAUCUCUCCAAAAAAAAAAAAAAAAAAAACUACACUUAGUGACGACAAUAGAGUUGCCAUUGCCUUUUAUAAGUAGUCAAUUGGCCACAUGAUCACUUACGAAAAAAGUACAAAGGAAAAAACUAAAACAGGGCCGCUUAGUAGUGAUAACAUUGAUACAUAAAGGAGCCAACAGAAGCAUCGCCACCACGACAAUGCAUAACAGAGCCAAGAAAGCUAUUGCCACCACUCUAGUGCUGUCAUCACCGUAAGUCCCAUUUAACUCUCUCUUUCUCUCAUCCGUACUUGAUCAAUUUUUUUGUAUUAAAUUUUUUUCCAAAUAAUUGAAAAUAUAAAAUUUCAAUUAACUAAUCUAUGAUAAUUCUAUAAAUCAUUGUGGUAUAAAUGAUUAAAUAGUUCUAAUAUAUAGCACACAAUUAAAAUAUUGUAUUUGUGCCUAACAAAGCAAUUCAUAAAAGCUUGCUAAUUAGUUAAUUAGAUAUGAAGAUUUUAUGCAAUUUUUCAUAAAAGUCAUAAUUUUAUUAAAAGUAUUUAGUGUCUAAAAUAAUAACCUUCUAUUUAAUUAUUGUUUGAGUCGGUUUUAUUGUGCUUAGAUUUUUAUAUUAUUUUUCUAUUUUCUUUAUAAUUCUUUGGCUUUAUUCACUAAUUUAAAAUUUGAUUUGAUAUAGUGGAUUACAAUUAUUCAUAUUCAUUUCAUGAUUCUGAAAAAAAAGUUAACAUAUCUAUUUUGGUUUUUUGAUUUGAUUUUUUUUUUCUAAUGUAGAAACCAAAUGCCUACUUAAAUUUAUUAUGUUGUAUUCAAAAGACAAAAGCCAGGCAUAUAUGAUUCUUGGCCUAAAUGCCAGAAGUAGGUAAAUGGAUUCAAAGGUAAUGUUCAUAAAUCUUUUUAAUAUUUAUUGGAUACUGAAAUAGCAUACAAUGAGUACAAGCAAAUGCAUGAAAAUUUGCCAAAGAGAUCUAAUAUGUUAGAAACUACAAAAUUUAUCACGGAAACAUGCGACAAAGGUGAUGAGAUUAAGGAUAAAACUAUCACAAGCACAUGGGAUGAAACAUAUUCAGAUCCUAUUCAAGCUCCCGUCAGACCCGUUACAAGAGCUCGAGCAAAGAAAUUCAAAGAAGCGCUUAAUGGAUUGAUUCAAGCAGUUUGGGCUUAAUCAAAUUCGUGGAGGUCCAUUGAAGGAAUUGCACAUGAUAAAUGCAUGAUUCAGGCUCUUGAAGUUUCCAAAUACUCACUUCCAUGAAAUAGGGAGUUGGCUUAAACAUUAUGGCGGGAAAAUAUAUUAUUUUUCUUUUUUUCAGAUACUUUCCCAUUUCUUGAGGAGGCUAUUAGGGAAUCUAAUCAGUUAUUUCUAUUUUAAUCGCCUAGUUUCCAUUUAAUUGACGUAAGGCAUUUAAGACAAUUAGGAUCCUGAUUUAGUUUAAAUUCUUUUCUAUUUACUUAGAUUAGGAUUCUGAUUUGAUUUAGAUUCUUUCCUAUUAGGGAAGAUUUAGAUUCAGAUUUGAUUUUUGGGUUAGGAUUUAUUUGCAAAAAAAUUCUUGUAAUCAACCCUACAUAAAGUACUCAUAUUCAAUAAAUAAAAAAGAAGUUUUUUGAUGCAAUUGGUGAGAGAGUUAAUUCUCUUUGGUUUUUUACGAACUCUUUGAACUUAUCGGAUUUCCGUGGCGUUCAAAUUCUUGACUUAUCAAUCAGACCAUCCAUAGCUGAUUGUGGCGUCUUCACAUACCAAGGUUCGUGCUUUCAAUAAGUAUUGGGUCGAGGUUCCAUUCCAUUCUUGAUUUAGAUUUGAUCUUGGGAACUAAAUUGAUUAGGGUCACGUCAAUUCUUGACGGGGUUCGUAUCAUUUGGUAUUAGAGCCUAGGCUCCAAGGUCAGAUCCAUCUAUCUUUGUUGUUUUUUUCAUUCUUGUUUGAAUUUUUCAUCUUGUUCUAGCAUCUAUUAAAAAAAAAAAAAAUCGUGAACAGUAUCUUUGUGAAAAGUGCCUCGUGAACAGUACCGCGUGAACAAUAUUUUAGGGUUUCCUUUUAAAAUCAAUUGUUGCAUCUUUGUGGUUUAAUUCUCCUUAAAUCCACAAGUUUUACCUAUUUAUUUUCCUUAAAAAAAAAACUCCAACCUCUUCUUAAAAGCUUUCUUUUUUUUUUUCAUUAUUUGUGUCUACCCCAUCGGUGAAAAUUUUGCCCAAAAUCAAAACUCGAUUUUCGUACACAUUGCCUUCUUACUCUUGAAAUUAAAUUCUCCUUAGUUGUCAUCUUUGUGAAUUGCUUCUGAAAUCCUGAUAUUGGUUUGAUUAGUUUGAUAAGAACCGAGUGAGAAUUACUAAGAGUGGAAAAAGGCAAGAGAGUGAGCGUAUUAGAGGGUAAAAGCCAAUAAUUUGAGUAAAACACGAGUGAAAUUGAGUGAGUCAUUUUUCUUGAGUGAAACACGUAAGGGAGUGAGGUGAGGUCCUUCCACAUUAUUUCUAACGUUCUUUUGCAGAUAAUAGCUAUGUCUCACAACCUAGAACAAAACACAAAUGAAGAGGAUCAAUCCACAACUACUCAGAAUUUACAAAUUCAAGCAUUGAUGGGAGAGAUGAGAAGGAUGAUGAGGGCUGAAUUAGAGCUCAUCCACGAGCGUUUGGAUCGGGUGGAGAACACAUGUGCAGGGCAGCCACAACCCAUUCCCCAAGCACGUAGGAGAGAAAGAGCUCUAGUUAGAGGAGAUAAUGAUGACUAUUAUAGGGAUGAGUAUGAUGAAGGAGAGGACUCAGUGGGUAGCUAUAGGAGAGAUGGACAAGGUGGGAGAGCUAGGAAUAGAGAUGAUGGAUUGAGUGGCAUAAAGAUGAAGAUUCCAUCUUUUCAAGGAAAAUCUGACCCAGAAGCAUACCUUGAAUGAGAGAAGAAAAUUGAGUUCAUAUUUGACUGCCACAAUUAUUCAGAGGCAAAAAAAGUAAAAUUGACUGUGAUUGAGUUUUCUGACUAUGCUAUUACUUGGUGGGAUCAGCUUAUUAUAAGAAGGAGGCGAAAUAGGGAACGUCCAAUUGAGACAUGGGAUGAAAUGAAAUCAGUGAUGAGAAAAUGUUUUGUACCUAACCACUAUUAUCGAGACUUGUACCAAAAAUUACAACAUCUUACAUAGGGUAGCUGAAGCGUUGAGGAUUAUUAUAAAGAAAUGGAGAUUUCCAUGAUUAGAGCAAAUGUGGAGGAUGAUAGAGAAGCUACCAUGGCACGAUUCUUAAAUGGACUUAAUUGAGAGAUUGCAGAUAAGGUUGAGUUGCAACAUUAUGUGGAGAUUGAGGAAAUAGUCAACAAAGCCAUCAAGAUUGAGCAGCAACUCAAGAGGAGGGGUAACACUCGUACAACCCCAAACUCGAGUUCCACUCCUUGGAAGCCGAGCUAUGUGAAACGAGACGAGAGGCCACAAAGAUCUCCUACACCUAAGCUAAGAUCUGAGCCCUCCAAGCACAAUACACAAGGUAACACCAUAACUCCUACUAUUAGGAAUCGUGACAUUAAGUGUUUUAAAUGUCAAGGCAGGGGGCGGAUGGUGAGAUUGUAACUGAAGAUGAGACGGAAGAGAAUGAGAGGAAUUGAUUUUAGUAGCGAGGAGAGCUUUGAAUGUGUAAGUAAAGGAAGACGAAGCAGCGCAAAGGGAAAACAUUUUCCAUACUAGGUGCUAUGUUCAAGACAAAUUAUGUAGUAUAAUUAUUGAUGGAGGAAGUUGUACUAAUGUUGCCAGUACUAUCAUGGUAGAGAAGUUAGGGCUUCCGACACUUAAACACCCACGGCCAUACAAACUACAAUGGUUAAAUCACAAUGGAGAGGUUAAAGUGAACAAGCAGGUACUAGUGACUUCUGUGGUGAACAUUUUUCCAUCAGCUGCUCUGAAAUGUUUUGUAUGAGGUUUCUAGUUUUGAGCUGGAAGAAUGUCUGAAUUCAUUAUGCUUUUUUGGGCACCAAUAUCUAGAAAUCCUAUAGCUGGUAUGGGUCGUUGAAACUUUGAAGGUAAGAUUUGGAGUUUGAUGGAGGGAAUUGGUAGUGUUUAGGGACAACGAUUGUUGAUGAAAAAUAGAUUGAAACUCAUCAUUUUCUGAAUCAUCAUAUGAGUUUUCUAGUGCGAACAUUGUUUCAUCAGUAGGGUCUUCUUGUUCUGAGAAGUAAGAUUCAACUUCUUCCUUUUCAGCAGAAUACUCAGUAACAGCUUGUAAAUGCUUUACCAAUCUGAUUGCCUUUUCUUUUUUGUUUGGACAAUCCUUUGCAUAGUGGCCUUUUUUCCCGCAAAUAAAGCAUCUACUAGAUUUUUUUCUGAAGAAUAUGUAUGGUUUCUUCCAUUUCCUAGACUUUGUUUUAGAAAAGGAAGUUAGAUGCCUGAUCUUCUUGAAAUGACUUUUUUGUGGAUAACUGCAGUCACAGUCUUUUUUAUCUUUGCAUUUGAUCUGCAAGUACUGUUUCUUACAGGCACUUCUGAGAGGCUCUUUGUCUUUUACCAGUUCUUUGAAGAAUUGUUUUUGCUCACAAAGUUUUUCCAAACAUGCUUUAGCUACCUGAAAGAUCUUUCCCAAGGAGAUGUUGUCAAGGUUGAGGCUGUGCAUUGUAAGUUGUCGUUGGAUUUCUGGUUGCAAUUUCGUCGGUAAAGAAGCCAGAAACACAUGCUUCAGAGUGUGAUCGUUGAAUCCAUUAAGCUUGUAGAACAGUAUUCAAAGAACAACACUUCAUGUUGAGAUAGUCUCUUCUUGCUGCUUCAAAACCUGCAGAUGGUUCUCCAAUAAACUGUUCAUACAGAAUAGCAAGAGCACUAGAGACGUUUUGUAAUUGCACAAACUGUAAUUGUCUGUAGGGGCCAACUCUUUGAGGACCGAUUCUAUGGUUACAACUGAUCUUAUCAUCUGGAGAUCUACCCAGGCUGACAUUUCAGAUAACUUCUCUCUCCAUUUGACUGUGAGAAUGUCAUCAAACGUAAACCAUGGGCCGUUUGAUGGUUUGUAUGUAUUUUGAGCUUGGGGCUGAGGUGGUUGAUUGGUUGAGGAUUCAGCUGGCUCAUCAAUGUCUGAGGGUAUUUCAAAGUAUGAUUCUGGUUGGGAUGGUUGUGCUGGUCCUAUUUCUUCGAGUUGUGCCAUCAAAAGUUUAGUAAAAUCUGCAUAAGCCUUUUUCGAAUCAGUGGUUGAAAGUGAAGAUUCUGUAUCAGAUUGUGUCACAGAAGUAUCAGUUUCUGUGUCAGUGGAAACUUUAAUGUGAUGGGAAGCAUAUUGAUGCAUGGGUUCUUUACCCUUGGAUUGAGAUGGCUGCGGGGUAAAAACAGGGGUAUGUUCUGGAGAAUCUUGUUGUUGUGUGGUAGUGGAGAUUGGUUGAUGAAUUUUGAUAGGUCUUGGUUGGGGCUUAGGUUUUGGUUUUGGCUGAGGUGGAUGUGGCAUAUUUUUGAAAAGAGUAUGCGUCAUUCCAAAUAGUUUGGAAGGAUCAUAUGGUUUCAUUGGUGGGAGCAUAGGGCUGAAUGGAUGGUAACUUGGAUUGAUUGUAGGUAUGGGAGGUGAUUUGGUGAAGAGUGUAGGCCUGUGUUUUUUGGAUUCAAUCUGAUCAAGCUCUGCCUUUAGCAAUCUGAUUUCUCUCUCAUUUUGGUCAAACUCUAGGCCAUAGUAUCUUUGACUAAGCAUGACUCUUAAGUCUGCAUCAAGUUGAUAGAUCUGCUGCAUUUGCAAGGUUAUUGAGUCAACCUUGGUUUCAAUCUGGUCAAUUCGUAAACUGAUCUUAUCAACCCUUUUGUGGAUGUCUACCAAUGUAUCAUUUUUUGCUCUGGCAUUCUAUGUUUGCCAGUGGGUAGUUGUACGUGGCGUUGUUACACCAGAGUGAUGAGAUCCUUGGCAAGCCAAGAUAUUUAAAUCUCCUUUGGACCAGUAGUCCGCACACUUUGGUUUCCAGCCGAUAUACACUUAUCCAGUUAAUACCAAAUCCGAAAUUCAUUUUUUAAAACAAUUUUGUCGAUACCCCCUGAAAACCUUUAAAGAGGGUGAACGUUGUGAGAAAACACUUUCAUUGUAGAGAAAUCGGUUUUGGAGGAUAAACAGGACCUUUCUGAUGCACAGGAUCCUCAGGCUUGAGGCAAGUGCAGAGCAUACUCAGUUUAGAAAUUUUGAGGUGAGCGUACCAUUAUUAAUUCAAAUAAUUUCUUCGAUUCCUAGAAGAGAGAGAGAGGUUUAGGGAAACAUGAUGUAUAAAACUUAAGCUUUUAUUCUUCAGAUUGGCUCCCUUACAACUGAGACCAAAGGUGCCUUUUAUAGACGAUCAUUGAGAACAAGACCUCUCGAAUGAUCAUAUCACAUAGCACACCUUUUUUGACAGCAAAACAUGCCGAUAAGGACUUUGACAAAAGGGAAAGCAUACUUUCAAGGACUUUAACAAAAGUAAAGCACACCGACAAGGAUUUUAACAAAAGUAAAGCAUAUCGACAAGGACUUUAGUAAAAGUAAAGCAUGCCGACAAAGACUUUAACAAAAGUAAAGCAAAAGACAAACGGGAGUCACAUGGGUUGUGCUAUCAAAACUCGUGCGACAAAGAUAAGGCGUUGUCAUGGAGUGGAGGGAUAACGAGAUGGUGACACCUCGCCUGUGUCUUUUUCAUAUUGGCGCUUGUGCCGACGCCUCUGCCUCUGGUCGAGAUACGCCUCAACUUGCUGAUACUUUUCUUCAUCAACUUCAGACAUGUGCUGUGAGGUAGAUGGAGCAGGAGGGUCUGGGUUUGUGACAGUAUAACAGGGAGUGUCAGUAUGGAGAAGGGACUGAAAGUCUUCCCAUGGGUCCUGAGCAUCUUGGAAUAAGACAUUAGUAUAGUCAGGACGUUGUUCCAUGACAAGGAUUCCGUGAGGACUUGAACUUGAACCUGGAGUACAACCUUGUGUUUUUGGAAUUAUUUCAAGGGUGUGUGAUGGUCCAAUGGAGGUGUGGUGAAUAUCUGUGGCAGGUGGAGGAACAUUGUUAAGUUCCAUGAGAUAGGCUUUGAGAACGGAGGUGACCGAUGUAUCAUGGAUAAAGGUAUAAGGAUGAGGGUAAGUUCUCCAUUCAUAUGCCAUGUCCUGUGUCCAGUAGUCCCGUGUUUCUGGAUGCUGAAAAUAAGGCCUGUGGACAAUGAAGGCUGUAGUCCACAUGUUAGCUUCUUGUUCUGGCAUUUUGUUUAAUCCAUGAAAGGUACACAAAUGUUGGAGUUGCUUGCACCACCAAGUGAGGGGAGAAUACCAUUCAAAGAGAGUCCAAAGAAGGUCAGGUGAGAACUCUGGAGUGGUAAGGUGAGUCAGGACUGGUUUGAUGGGAAAAACUAGCUUUGUAGCGUACAAGGUGGUGAGGCACCACAUGUACCAAAGCUCAUCUUCAGAGAUGGACAGAGAGGACAGAGUGAGACCUGUGAGAAAUAGGUGCUCCAUGCAAAGAUUAGGAAAUCGAUCGGGUUUUUUGGUCUGAACAUUAAAGAAAAACCGGUAAAGGAAUUUUUUUGCAAAAUCUUGCAAUUGGUAAGCCGAUUGGAAAGAGAUGUUCAUGGGGAAAUUUCUUUGGUUGAGAGCUUUGAAAGGAAGUUGGCGAUUCAUGGCUAUAACCGGAAUGGUUUGAAUUGAGGAAAUGAGUGCAGGUUUAUUUAUAGCUGGAUGAGUGAGGAAGUCUGGAAUAAGGUUUUGGUUGCCUUUUAUGUGUUGAACAGUGAAAUCAUACUUAGCAAACCAGGUUUUGAGGCUGAGUAAUUGCUUGUUAGGUAGCAAUUUGUUCUUGAAGUCAAAGAUGCGGGGAAAAGAAGAGUUAUCCAUGUUGAUAAGGAAUUUGUGGCUGAUGAGAUGGAAUUUAAAUUUCUUAAUUCCAUAUUUGACUGCCAAAAUCUCUUUGUAGAUCACAUGGUAGUUCUUUUCAGAGUCUUUGAACUGUCCGCUUGCAUGUGCACAGAAAUGACGCACGCCAUUGAUGUCUUCAAGGAGAAUGGCACUCCAAUAAUCAUCGCUGGCAUCAGUCUGGAGGAUGCGUUGGCCACUUGUGGGAAUUUGAAGUGGAGAAGGUGCUUGUGCUAUCACCUUUAGCUGCUUGACAGCUUCUGUCUGAGCAGGGCCCCAUGGAGGGCACUAUUUCUUGAGCAUGCGUGACAGCUGGCUGGUGUGGAUUGCAACUUUUGGGAUAAAAUCACGGACAUAAUUAACAAUCCCGAGGAAUUGUUGUAUCUGCUUUCUAUUGAGAUGUGUGUCCGAAAACUUGAGUAAUUCGAUUGCAAUAUGGGGACCAGGCUGAUACUGGCCGUCUUUAAUCACCAUGCCAAGAAAGUCAAUUGAUUCCUUUCCUAUACUGCUUUUCUUUUCGGAAAGCAUGAUGCCAUGUGCCUGCACAAUGUGAAAGAAAUCUAAAAGGAGCUUCUGGUGGCUCUCAUGGUCAAAAGAAAAUAAGAAGAUAUCACAUUGUAGACAAAUGCAUGAUGGAGAAUAGGACUAAAGAUUUUUGUCAUGGCUUUUUGAAAUAAGGAGGCGAGCGACUUUGAGACCAACAAGGCAUAACCGUCCAUUGGUAAUGGGCAUCAGGGAUGCAGAAGGCAGUUUUGUGACGGUCAACUAGUGAAAUACCAAGUUGCUAAAAACCAGCUUUUAAAUCAAAUUUAGAGAAGAUACGAGCCCCUUGAAGAUGGACAAACAAGGUUNNNNNNNNNNNNNNNNNNNNNNNNNNNNNNNNNNNNNNNNNNNNNNNNNNNNNNNNNNNNNNNNNNNNNNNNNNNNNNNNNNNNNNNNNNNNNNNNNNNNNNNNNNNNNNNNNNNNNNNNNNNNNNNNNNNNNNNNNNNNNNNNNNNNNNNNNNNNNNNNNNNNNNNNNNNNNNNNNNNNNNNNNNNNNNNNNNNNNNNNNNNNNNNNNNNNNNNNNNNNNNNNNNNNNNNNNNNNNNNNNNNNNNNNNNNNNNNNNNNNNNNNNNNNNNNNNNNNNNNNNNNNNNNNNNNNNNNNNNNNNNNNNNNNNNNNNNNNNNNNNNNNNNNNNNNNNNNNNNNNNNNNNNNNNNNNNNNNNNNNNNNNNNNNNNNNNNNNNNNNNNNNNNNNNNNNNNNNNNNNNNNNNNNNNNNNNNNNNNNNNNNNNNNNNNNNNNNNNNNNNNNNNNNNNNNNNNNNNNNNNNNNNNNNNNNNNNNNNNNNNNNNNNNNNNNNNNNNNNNNNNNNNNNNNNNNNNNNNNNNNNNNNNNNNNNNNNNNNNNNNNNNNNNNNNNNNNNNNNNNNNNNNNNNNNNNNNNNNNNNNNNNNNNNNNNNNNNNNNNNNNNNNNNNNNNNNNNNNNNNNNNNNNNNNNNNNNNNNNNNNNNNNNNNNNNNNNNNAGAACUAAUUAUAAACAGGUUGUUGAGGCCGGGAUGGUGUGUAGGAAGGUGAAUAUGUUUCAAAGAACGAAGGAGAUAUGGGUGUAGGUUGUGAUUGAGUAAAAAGGGAAGGUCGAGUCUUUUCAGCAUCAAUCCUGGACAAUUCAGCUUUGAGUUUUCUGAUCUCGGCUUCUUUUUUAUUAAACUCUGGAACCCAUAUAUGAUUGUUGAUCAUCCGUCUGAGAUCGGCAUCUAGCUCAGAGAUCCGGUCUUGGAGAUGUAUAUACAUCUGAUCUAAACGACUGCUAAUCGAAUCAACUUUAGUUUCAGUCUGGGAGACUUGAGUGGCAACACGGUCAAUUUUCUUACCGAGUUGUUGGAGAGUAUGAUUUUGAGCAUUGGCAUUUUUGGUUUGCCAAUUCAAAAUAGCUUCAUACUGUUUUGGUUCUUCAGGUUGCCCAGAGGCUGUAAUUGGAGAUUGAACAAAAGGUUUGGAGGUGACACGAGUUUGUGUGUCUGUCUGUUUUUCAAGUAGAGGAAAGGAUUCUUUAUAGGAGUGACUUGAAAACAUAAGGCAAGAUCUGAUUGGAUGGACAGGAGGUUUGGGAUCUGGUGGAGGAUGUGGAGGAAAAGAUUUGCAAGAUGAUGGUGGAUAAGAAGAUUUUUUCUUUUUCUUUUUCUUUCUUCGCAUAAUUUCCAAUUCUUCGUCAAUAUCCGUAUCAUCCAAGCAAGGACAAUCCGGGUUGCACAUAUGGGCUUUAGGAACAUCCCAUAGAAAAUGACCAUUGAUUUUAUCAGGAUAUACUGGAUACCCUUCGGAGGAAAAACCACGAAUAGGAAGUUUCUUUUCUUGACCAGUUUGAACUGCUGUGAUCAUAGCAGUAUAGGAAAGCUGUGGACUGUUUGAAACAGGCUCGGUGUCAAGGGUUUGAAAAGAUAGUUUAACUUGACCAUUUGGUCGUCUGUUAAACGUGGCUUCUGUGGUUUGUACUAGUUCCGAAUUUUGGUGAAAAUGCUCAUAGUUAGUUAGCCAUUCAAGAGGCAUGAGCCUGAGCAAUUCUUGUUUAUGGAUUUGUUUGGGGAUUUGGAUAAUGGUUGGAAUUAUGUCUGUGUCUGCCAAGAUCAUCAAGGCAUCAGAAGUUGUGUACGGUGUAGGAAGAUCUAGGGCAUGAUUCUGUAAUCAAUAGACUAUUUGAUGAUGGAGGGUUGCAAUCUUUGAUGUGGGUGUUUGUUCUGCUCCUUGGAGCUGGAUCUGGGACUUUAAGGGUUGUUGGAAGAUUGGGAUCCUCAAGAGAGAGGUUGAAAUUGGGGUAAAAGGUUAAUAAGACACUGCCAGCAUGAAGUGUUGUCAGAACGGUUCCUAUAACAGCGUGUUGGUACUCCUUGAACCUGGUGUCUAGGAGAGCAAUUCUAGCUAUAACAGGUAAGCCUUUUCGACCAUGAAGAGUGAGAAUUAAUCGUACCCCACCAAGAUGGAGGUGUGUGUAGCCUUCUCGUUUCCAGUUGGCAACGAGAUCUGAAGGUAUUUCCAUAGUGACAUAUUGUUCACUCUGUGAGGCUUGUAGAGACUCAUGAUGUGAAACUGGGACUCAUUGAUUUGAGCAAAUUCUAGAAUAUAAAAAUAUUCAACAAGAUUCUCAAUUUUAGAGUUUAUGUGUUUAGAGCAUGAUUCGGGAAGAGAGAGAGUAGAAGAAAGAGAAAUAUGAGAUGAAGAGGAUGUAGAAGUUGAAGAUGUGUUUGUUUCCAUGGAUGAUGAAUCUUCUUCUAGGAGAUCAAAUAAGAUUAUUCAAAUUACUAAUGAUACCACCUCAACAUGAAGUGUGUUCUUCUAGGUGACCAACAGAGGUUAUGGCUAAAGGAAUGAAAGGUUUUCUCAUGACCUUUUUUUGUGAAUCAGAUUGGGCUUCUAAGGAUGGGAAAUUCAAAGAAUAGUCUUUGGAUGAUGAAGAAAACAUCAUACAGGCAACGGGUUGAGGAGUAGAAGUCUGGCUUAGGUUUGGUGAAAAGGUUUCACAAUCUAUUUGAGUUCUUUUUAGUAUAUGGGUAAUGGAGAUGGUGGAGGUGGAGGUUCAUAUGGCGAUUUUGCUUCUGUGUGGUUACAAGGAGAAUGAGUUUUCUUUUUUGGUUUUCUUUUCUUGUUGGAGUCUUGAUCGUCCUCUUCCCAAUCAUCCCAACAAGGACAAUUUGAGUCGCACCUUCCAGAUCCUGGAGUAUCCUAUAGAAAGUGUCCAUUUAACUUUGCAGGGUAUACUUGGUACCCUUUGGAGUUAAAUCCUGUGAUUGGUAUAUCUUCUUGGGUUGUUUGAACAACCGUGAUCAUUGAAGAAUAAGUGAAUGAUAACCUUGGAGGCUCUUGAGGAGCACUAGGUAACGGCUAAGAGGUACUUGGUGGAGGUCGAAAAGUCAUUAUGACAGUACCAUCCGGCCUUUUUUCAAACAUACUUUCUGAUGUCUGGAUUGGGGCUGUAUUGUUAUGCAACAAUUCCAUUCCAGCGGCAUGAGUUUUAUGAGUUCAUAGUGAGGAUCUCUCUAGGGAUUUGGAUCUUUAGGAAUAAAGUCUCUGACAUAAUUAACAAUUCUAAGGAACUGUUGAAUUUGCUUUUUGGUGAGGUUAGUGUCUGUAAACUUUAAUAAUUCUGCUGAGUUUCUUGUGUUGGCAAUAAAGAUUGGAAGUCUUCCUUGGGUGGAGGUUUUGAGAUUUUGCCUUUUGAUUUGGGUUUUCUUGGUGAGGUAGGCUUUGGUGGUGGAACUGAAGGGAUAUUUGGGUUUGUGGAAUAGAUACUAGAUACCCUUCUGAGGAAAAUCCAUAGAUUGGAAGAUUCGACUAUUGGCCAGUAGAAACUAUUGUAAUCAUAGCAGUAUGGGAGAGCCAUGGAGGAUCUGGACUUCGUUUAUCUAGAGUCUGAAAAGACAACUUGACUUGUCCGUCUGGUCUUCUUUCGAAGACAGCUUGAGAAGUCUAGACAGGUUCAGAAUUCUAAUGAAAUUGCUCAUAGUUGGUAAGCCAUUCUAAAGGCAUAAGUUUGAGCAAUUCUUGCUUUUGGAUUUGUUUAGGAAUUUGGAUUAUGGUUGGAAUUGUAUCUGUGUCUGCAAGGAUCAUCAGUGCAUCACUGGUUGUUUGUGCAAUUGAGAGAUUUAGUGCAUAAUUUUGUAAUCGAUACACUAUUUGAUGAUGGAGUGUGGCUAUUUUGGAAGUAGAUGUUUGUUCUGCUCCUUGAAGUUGGAUUUGGACUUUCAGUGUUGUUGGAAGGUUGGGAUCUUCUAGAGACAUGUUGAAAUUUGGGUAAAAGGUUAACAAGACACUUCCAGCAUGGAGAGUGGUUAGAACAGUUCUAAUAAUAGCAUGUUGAUACUGUUUGAACCUUGUGUCAAGGAGAGCAAUUCGGUCUGUGACGGGUAAGCCUUUUCUGCCAUGUAAGGUGAGGAUAAGCCUGACACCACCUAGAUGGAGGUGUGUAUACCCUUCUAGUUUCCAGUUGGUUACGAGAUCUGUUGGUAUAUCCAUAGUGACAUAUUGUUCACUUUGAGAUGCUUGAAGAGCACACUAAUCAAGUCGUGAAGACUGGAUGUCCUCUUUAGAAAGAGGUUUUUUGUUUGUAAAGAUGGUAAAGACUCAUAACUAGGAACUGAGAUUCAUUAAUGUGAGCAGAUUCAGGAAUAUAAGAGUACUCAACAAGAUUUUCUAUUUUUAAGGCUACAUGUUUUUGACAAGAACGAGGUAAGGAAAGAGUAGAAGAGAGAGAAAUAGGAGAGGAUCGUGAUGAAGCUAUUGCUGAUGAAGAAGAGGAAGAUGCCAUUUUUUAUAGAGUUUCUUCUAGGUCUUGAAUAAAAAUACUUGAGAACUAAACCAUGAUACCACCUCUUACAAGUUUGUUUGGCUCUGAUACCAACUGUGGCGGAAAGGUACGUGGUGUUGUUACACCUAAACUAUGAUAGUGCUAGACUAUCCUUUGGACUAGUAGUCCGCAAGUUCCGGUUUCUAGUCGAUAUACAUAUAUAUAUAUAUAACCCAAAAAGCAAAAUCCAUUGAUCAUGAUACCACCUGAAAACAGGUCACCUCUAACCUUCAAAGAGAGUGAACGUUGUGAGAAAGCAGUUUUAUUUUUAAAUCGGUUUUAUAAAUAAAUCAGGACUUUUCUGAUACACGGGAUCCUUUGAAAAAGGCAAGUGUAGAGCAUACUCAGUAUAGAAAAUAGAGAUGAACGUUCUUAGUUUAAUAGCUCAAGUAUUUUCUUCGUUUACCUAGAAGAAGAAGAGAAACUUAGUAAACCAUAGAGGUUUUAUGACAAACUUAGAAAUAUUAUUGAUCGCAAUCUGCAUUUUACAAAGACGGAAGAGCUCUUAAAUAGAGCUGGAAAGCCAAGAUAAGACAAGACCCUUAUCUUUCUUUAAAGUAAAUGACAAAAGAAAAUCACUCUUAAAAGCAUAAAAGCUGAAACACACAUUUGACAGGACAGGACCCCUGUCAUUUAUUGAAAGCAGGAAAAGCCAAGAUUCUCGGACAACUCUGUAGCUAUGUGAGGCUAUUAUGGAGUUGAGGGAAAUCUGGAUGGAGACACAUCAGCAGUUUCAUUUUCAUAGUCUUCUUUUGCUUUUUGAAUUUCUUGGUGGAUCAAAUAGUCUUCAUCUAACUAUGGGAUUUAUGUUCUUGGAGUUGGAGUGGACGAAGAACCUGGUUUAGUGACAGUGUACUGAGUUUCUUGUGUUGGCAACAAACAUUGGAAGUCUUCCCAAGGGUGGGCGUCUUGGAAGAGAACAUUGGUGUAGUCAGUUCGUUGUUCACGAACAAGAAUUCCAUGAGGACUGGAGCUGGAUCCUGGAGUACAUAUCUGGGUUCUUGGUAUAACUUCAAGAGUGUGGGAAGGACCAAUGGAUGUAUGGUGAAUGUUUGGUGGGACAGGUUGGAUAUUGUUGAGUUCUAACAAAUAGGCUUUGAGAGUGGAGAUGAUUGUUGGAUCAUGAUUAAGAGGGAAAGGAUGAGGAAAUGUUUUCCAUUCAUACGCCAUGUCCUGUGUCAAGUAGUCUUUUGUUUCAGGAUGUUGGAAAUAUGGUCUAUGAACUAUGAAUACCGAAGUAAACAUAUCUGCUUCUUGAUCGGGAAUCCUAUCUAACUGAUAAAAGUUAGAUAAAUUCUACAAUUGCUUACGCCACCAAGUGAGUGGUGAAAACCAUUCAAGGAGCGUCCAGAGAAGUGUGGGUGCAUGAUCUGGUGUGGAGAUAUGCCUGAGGGUGGGAAGGAUAAGAAGAACAAGUUUGGUAGCAAACAGGACUGUGAGACACCACAUGUACCAUAAUUCAUCUUCAGAAAUGGUGAGGCUUGGAAUAAUGGUGAAGCCAGUGAGGAACAAGUGUUCUAAACAUAAAGAGGGAAACCUUUAUGGGUUGGUUCUGUGAACAUUCAUGAAAUACCUAUAAAGGAAUUUCUUUGCAAAGGCUUGGAUUUGGAAAGCUGAUCAGAAAGUGAGAUUUAGAGGAAAAGCUUUUUAGGUUAAAGCUUUGAAUGGGAGUGAACGAUUCAUGGCUAUAAUUGGGAUGGUUGUAAUGGAAGAGAUGAGAACAGGGCUUUUUAUAGAUGGACGGGUGAGGAAAUCAGGGAAAAGAUUUUUAUCACCUUUGAUGUGUUGGACUAUGAAAUCAUACUUUGCAAACCAUGUCUUUAAACUGAGUAAUUGCUUGUCAGGAAGCAAUUUGUUCUUGAAGUCAAAGAUCUAUGGAAAAGAACUGUUAUCCAUUUUGAUAAGGAAAUUGUGGUUGAGGAGAUGAAAUUUGUAUUUCUUGAUUUCAUAUUUUACUGUAAGAAUUUCCUUGUAAAUCACGUGGUAAUUCUUUUCUGAAUCUUUGAACUGUCCACUUGCAUGAGCGCAAUAGGACUCAAAGUCACCUACCUUUUCCAAAAGGACGGCACUCCAAAAGUCAUCACUAGCAUCUGUCUGGAGAAUGCGUUGGCCUGUAGUGGGAAUUCUGAGUGGAGGAGGUGACUGGGCUAUCUUUUUUACCUGCUUGACAGCGUCUGUCUGAGCUGGGUCCCAUGGGGGAAUGCUUUUUUUAAGCAUGCAUGAUAGCUGGCUGGUGUGGACCACAACUUUAGGAAUAAAGUCUCUGACAUAAUUAACAAUUCCAAGGAACUGUUGAAUUUGCUUUUUGGUGAGGUCAGUGUCUGGAAACUUUAAUAAUUCUGCUAUAAUGUGUGAUCCUGGAUGGUAGUGACCAUCUUUUAAGACCAUGCCAAGAAAGUCAAUAGAUUUCUUUCCUAUGUUGCUUUUCUUUUCUGAAAGCAUGAUCCCGUGUGUCUACACGAUUUCCAGGAAAUCUGAAAGGAGUUGUUGAUGGGUUUGGUGGUUGUGGGAAAACAACAGGAUAUCAUCAAUGUAGAUUAAAGCAUGAUGGAGGAUCGGAGAGAAGAUCUUAACCAUUGCUUUUUGAAAUAAUGAGGGAGCAACUUUGAGACCGAAGGGUAGGACUCUCCAUUGAUAAUGAACAUCAGGGAUACAGAAGGCUAUUUUGGGACGGUAUUCUGGAGAAAUGCCAAGUUGCCAAAAACCAGCUUUAAGAUUGAACUUUGAAAAUACCUUUGCACCUUGAAGAUGAAUGAAUAGAGGCUGGAUCUUUGGAAGAGGAAAUUUAUCAUCUUUAAGGAAAGCAUUAAGUGGCUAGUAAUCAAUAACUAAUCUCUUUUUUUCACGAACUAAUUCAAAUCAUUUUUCAACAUAGAAAGCUUGACAAGCCCAAUCUGAAGUAGUAGGUUCUAUGAGGCCUUGCCGAAGCAAUUGAGUGCAUUCUUGCUUGGCGAGAGAGAGAUCAGAUGGAGGCAUCCCUGGAUGUGUAGCUUUUGUGGGAUUGAUAUCUUCAGUAAGUUUGAAAGGAAGAUGGAUGAAAAAUUGCUCAUUUUUCUAAAGUGGUGAUGGAUGAGUAAAUUGUGAAUGAUUUUCAAGACAAAGUUCAAGGAACUUUUGGGAAAUGGAGGUAUAAGGAGGAGCUGUAUCUGACAAUGUAUACAUACAAAGAAUAUCUGUAUAAGGCAUAAAUAUUUGUUUGAAUUUAAUUCAUGUUGGCGUAAUGAAGAGAUUUUUUACCAGUUGAAGGAUAUCAAAUCCUAUGAGGAGAUCUUUGUCUGGUAAAUUUGAACUAAUGAUUUUUUGCCAAAUGAUAUAGUUUGCAAAGAACUGGAUACCAAUGGGUUUUUUUUGGUAAUGAGAGAGGUUUAAAAAAUUCUUCCAUUUGCAGCUCUGAAGUAUUCAGUAUGGUUUUCCCAAUAAUCAGGAGGAAGGACCUUAGGGUUGAGCAUACUGUGCUGUGUGCCAGUAUCAAGGAAACCAAUGACUAAGACAGGUUUAUGGAAUUUGGAAGGGAUGACUGAAAUUUUUACCAAAGGACCAGUAAGUUUGGAACGGAUCUGGUUAAUUUCUUGAACAAUGGAGAUCACAGAAAUUUCAUCUGUUUCUAAAUCUGUUGAUUCAGCAAGAAUGAAGGCUGUAUGAUAAUCUUUCUCUGACUGUUCUGAGAAGAUGGAUUCAACAUCUUCAUUGUCAAAAAGUAUGGAAGAUUGCUGCAGGUGCUGAAUGAGACGAACAACUUUUGCUGACUUAUUUGGGCAAUUGCGGACAAAAUGUCCGCGCUUUUUGCAAAUAAAACAACGAUUGUAUUUCUUCUUUCUGAACUGGGAAGGAUCCUUUUUUCUGAAGUAUCUGUAAGGCUUCUUUGGUUUCUGGAAGAGGAUUUGUGGGAAUGUUUCUGGAAGUGUUUCUUUUUAUUGGUUGGACAAGUGCACUUUUUGUCAUCUUUGCACUGGAUUUUGAACAAGCUGAGGCAAAGGGUUCUUUGUGUUCAAUAAGAUCUUUGAAGAAAUCUUUUUGCUCACAGAUCUUAUCAAGGCAUAGUAUGGUUAAUUGAAAGAUUUUUCCAAGUGAGACAUUUGCUAUGUCAAGGUUAAAGGCUGUCAAUUGUCUUUGAAGCUCUGGCUGAAGUUCUGGUGGUAAAGAUGCAGCAAAGACAUGCUUUAAAGAUGGAUCAUUGAAUCCAUUCAGUUUGUAAUAAAGCAUGCUCAUCCUUUUGUAAUGCAUUUCCAGGUGAUGUCGUUUAAGAGAAUAACAUUUCAUCUGGUGAUAUUCUUUUCAAGAUGCUUCAGUUGAUGCUGAUGGUUCUCCAAUAAACUGCUCAUACAUGAUUGCAAGAGCUAUAGGAAUGGUGGUUUGAAUCAACUGGAGUUGUCUGUAUUCUCUUCGACUUUCAAACCAAUCUCGUAAUGAUCCAGUGAAUCUGGAAUAAAACUCACAGAGAACAUUCUGAGAUUGUGCAUGAGGCCUUGUCAUUUGCACAUCAAUCCAUGCAGCAAAUUCUUGAUGUCGGGCCUGUUGAGUGUUAGAAAAUGCAUAUUUAUAAAGGAGAAAACCGUCAUUUUACAUUUUAAGUCUUACUAACAACCCUUACUUUUAUAUAUUUAACCUUCUUGUAAUUUAAUUACAUGUGUUUUAUUUUAAUUAAGUAUUUUAUGUAUUUUAGGGGCAUUAUAGUCAUUUCACAAUAAAGGAGAGAUCAGACAGCAAAACGGACAUCACUUUUGAACUCAGGACGGUCGAAAACCUUAGGAGGAGCAUAAAAGGAAAAAUGGCACUAUUCACAUGUACGGUACUAUUCACGCGUACGGUACUGUCUACGUUACUGUUCACGACACUGUUCACAUAGACGGAUGAUGACGUGGCAUUGACCGAUGAUGUGGCAUUGACUGAUGAGGUGUCACGAUCCUGUUGGACCAAAAUUCUUAUGUACUGUUGAUGGUGACGUGGCAGCAUAUCAGUGGACGAAAAAUCUCGCGUACGGUGCAUGCAUCACACAGGAUUAUUUUCAACCAAACCGCGUUACUGUUCAUCCGGGUCAAACCGCGUUACUGUUCAAAGUCGGGUCAAACCGUGUUACUGUUCAUCCGCGUGGUCAAACCGUGGACUGUUGACUGAUGACGUGGCGCAAUCCUGAGCGUCCAAACUGUUUUUAAUCCGAUGGCCAUGAUUUACUCCAUGUAUCUAUAAAAAGGGGGCAUCCCCCCCUAAUUUGAUAUCUCUGAAUCCAUUUUUGGGAUCCAUUUUCUGUAAUUCCCUCUCCAUCUUGUAUUUUCUUCGUAUUUUAAUAAAUUUCCAUUUUGCCCCUAGUUCAACUAUGAGUGGCUAAUUUUAUUUCAAGCUUGGGUUGAAGGUGAAGUCUCAACAUGUGUCAUGGGCUUAAUUUGGUAAAUUUACUUUCUCUUCCCCUCUAGUUUUUGUGGAUGUUUUGACUUCUCGUCGACAAAUAAUACUAAUCUUGUCUAGUACCGCCUUGGUUACACCGGCUCUCUAGUAUAAGGUUAUUAUUAUUUGGCACGAUAAGCCCUUAGCACCAUAUUGAUUAGAGCGUGGUUCAUGAGGUGUGGAUUCCCCCCUCAUGAUUUAAUUGGCAUUAAUACGGAUUAUUUAGCCCAUGAUGCAUGUUGAUACGGAUCCAGAUACCCAAGUACGUCAUUUCAAUAUAAUUCUCAUCAAUUUAUUCUCGCCAUUUCAAUACCAAUUUCAGAAUUUAUUCUCGCCAUUUCAAUACCAAUUUCAGAAUUUAUCCUCGCCAUUUUAAUUUAAGUUUUAGCAUAUACCAAAUCAUUUCCACCAUAAAUCCAACAACCCAUUUACAAAAUUAAUUCUAAACACAAUUAAAAUCCACCUCCUCGUGGGAUCGACACUCGUCACCAUAGAUCUAUACUACAAUAGAUUCGUGCGCUUGCGAGUACAUUAAAAUUUGCACAACAAGUUUUUGGCGCCGUUGCCGGGGAGGUAAGUAAUUUUAAUUCAUAGAAUUAAUUUUUGUGAAUAAUUUCUUUUAUUUGUUUUCUUGUAUUUUUUUUUAUUAUUAAAAAAAAAAAGUGAAUCUACAUUUAAAGGUUAGUAUUUCUUUUCUUUUUCUCUUCUUUAAAAUUUUGUAAUUUAAUUUUCCAUUUAUUUUUCUUUGUAAUUUUUUUUGUUUAUCUUAUUAAUUUAAUUUUUAGUUAAUUUCUUUCACGUAUUUAUUUUUGUGUAUUUUUAUAGAAAGGUUGUAAUAGCGCAAUAAGGUUAGUAUCGUAAUUUCUCCCUCUUCUUUAUUUUUAUUUGUUUUGUUCCCAUCUUUAUUUUUUGUUUUGUUUGCAUCUUUAUUUUUAUUUUAUUUAUUUGCAUGCAUGGUCGUAGGUCAUUAUUACCUAAUCUUGAACCUAUAGACCUUGAAUUAGAAAAAACACUUCGCACACACAAACACGUUAAAAAUAAAAUGGAUUUACAAGCACCACAGGAGAGGCCAUUUAAGGACUAUUUUAGUCCCUUAGCUAAUUUGAGCACGUCAUGCAUAAGAUACCCAAAUGUAGCUGCUAGGAGCUUUGAACUAAAACCUAGUGUGCUAAAUUGUCUCCCCACAUUCUAUGGCUUAGAAAAUGAGGACCCAUAUAAUCAUCUGAAUGAUUUUCAUGCCAUUUGUCAAACAUUUAAAUAUGAGAAUUUUUCAGACGAUGAUGUUAAACUCAGAUUAUUCCCAUUUUCUUUAAAAGAUAGAGCUCGUUCAUGGUUAAAUACUUUACCUGCUAAUAGCAUUUCAUCAUGGGAACAAAUGGUAACUAAAUUUUUGAAUAAAUAUUUCCCAGUGCAUAAAACCAAUGCUAUUCGCAGGGAAAUUUCAGAGUUCACACAAAGAGAGGACGAGCAGUUUUUCGAAACUUGGGAGCGAUUCAAUGGGCUACUCUUGAAGUGUCCACAUCAUGGGUACGAAAAAUGGCACCAAUGCCAAUACUUUUUGGAGGGAUUAUUACCGAAUGUGCAAGAAUGGCUAAUGGCAACAAGUGGAGGAGAGCUAAUGUCAAAAAGUGCAUCAGAGAUUUGGGAAUUCUUCCAGCGACAAGCGGACAAUUCCCAACAACGGAGUCGAUCACUCAGGAAUACUAGAAGGAUUAAAGGAGUGAAUGAGGUCCACAUUGGCGAGUCAACUUCGGGAAUCAAAGAAGUCAAGGAGAUGGUUGAAGGUCUUGCUCGACAAAUAGCAUCAUUAUCGACUGCUAAAUCAACAGAACCACAUGACCAUGACUCAUACUCAGAUCAAGCCAAUGCCAUAGGUGUAAUGAGAAAACCAUCGAAUUACAACCCAUACUCCAACACAUAUAAUCCUGGAUGGAGAGACCACCCCAAUUUUUCAUGGUCUCAAGGAUUCCAACAGAAUGGACCAGCAGCUCCAGCUCCACCAAUGCAACAAAUUCCUCAAAAUCCUCAAGCCUCUCAGCCCCCAUUUAGACCAUUCAAUCAGAACCAGAACCACUCUCAACCUAGACCAUGGGAGGAUGCAUUCCAGAAUUUUAGGAAUGUUACUCACUCCACGAUUGAGCAACAGAACCGCACCAUUGAUGGACUACGAAAUGAGUUGAGAGCGGGCUUCAACUCACAAGCCCAAUCAGUUUCAAGCCUCGAGAAGAUGGUGGGACAACUUGCUUCUUCAGUUCAGACCUUGGCAAUGACCGUUGAGAAAGGUAAGUUUCCAAGUCAACCAGUGCCUAACCCUAAAGGAGUGCAUGAAGCAAGUACCAGUUCACCACAGCAACAUGGAGAAGUCAAAGCCGUCAUGACCUUGCGAAAAGGAAAAGAAGUCGACAACAAAGUGGAGAUGCUGGUGACAAAAGAAAAUCAAAUUGUACCUGUGAAUGUUGAAGACUCAUCACCGGAGGAGAAAGAAGAAACCAACCCACGAGAAUACGUUCCGAAAGCUCCAUUUCCUCAAAGGUUAGCGAAAGGAAAGAAGGGAAAAUCCACAGGUGAGAUUCUCGAAAUCUUCAAACAGGUAAGUGUUAAUAUCCCUUUGCUUGAUGCUAUUAAACAAGUUCCAUCUUAUGCCAAGUUUCUUAAAGACCUUUGUACUAAAAAGAGAAAUAUGCAUGUUCAAAAGAAAGCAUUUUUAACAGAAAACGUUAGUUCUAUCCUCCAACAUAAAAUUCCUCUAAAAUGCAAAGACCCAGGCUCCCCCACUAUCUCAUGUAGCAUAGGGAACCACACAAUUGAGAAUGCUUUGUUGGAUUUAGGAGCUAGUGUAAAUCUGUUACCUUAUUCAGUGUUUGUGAAACUUGGACUUGGAGAAUUACACCCAACUCCAGUGGUGUUACAGCUUGCAGAUCGGUCCACGAAAAUACCUCGUGGUAUUGUGGAGGACGUGCUUAUCCAGGUAGACAAGUUUUAUUUUCCUGUUGAUUUCAUUGUAAUUGACACUCAACCAAUACAGGAUUCAAGGAAGCACAUCCCCAUUAUUCUAGGCCGACCUUUCUUGGCAACUGCGGAUGCUCACAUUCAAUGCAGGACUGGAAAUAUGCAGUUGUCCUUCGGCAACAUGACUAUGGAACUGAACAUCUUCAACAUUGCCAAACAACCUCACAGUGCAGAUGAUGGAAUUGUUGAUGUGGAUUUAAUAGAAACAAUAGUUGAUAAUACUUUUCUUUCAAACCUUAGUGAUGAUCCUUUACAGACAUGCUUAACUCACUUUGGUUUGGAUUUUGAUAUUGACAGAUCGGUUGAUGAGGUCAACGCCCUGCUUGACUCAGCACCAUCUAUGGACACUAAUAAAUGGAAGUCAAGAGUUGAGCAACUAGCACCAUCAGAGAAGCAACUCAUUCCAUCAUCAGAAUCACCACCGAAACUCGAGCUCAAACCAUUGCCCAACACUUUGGAAUAUGCGUUUUUGGGAGAAGAAAGCACUCUGCCGGUAAUCAUCUCAUCAUCCCUCAAUGACGAACAAAAAGGUAAGUUGUUAGAUGUUUUGAAAGAGCACAAAGGGGCAUUAGGAUGGACCAUAGCAGACAUAAAAGGUAUAAACCCAGUAGACUGCAUGCAUUACAUUCACCUUGAUGAAAAUGCUAAAUCUACUAGGGAAAUGCAACGUCGGUUAAAUCCUAAUAUGAAAGAAGUUGUUAGAACUGAAGUCCUUAAGCUAUUAGACGCAGGUAUCAUUUACCCAAUUUCUGAUAGUUCAUGGGUCAGUCCUGUACAAGUUGUCCCCAAAAAGUCAGGAGUUACAGUAGUUACGAAUGCUGAUAAUGAAUUGAUACCCACUAGAGUGACUACAGGAUGGCGUGUAUGCAUUGAUUAUAGAAAGUUGAAUUCUGUCACACGUAAAGACCAUUUCCCUUUACCAUUUAUUGAUCAAAUGCUUGAUAGAUUAGCAGGUCAUGAAUUUUAUUGCUUUCUAGAUGGCUACUCAGGAUAUAAUCAGAUUCCCAUAGCACCAAACGAUCAAGAGAAAACUACUUUCACUUGCCCUUUUGGCACAUUUGCAUAUAGGAGAAUGCCAUUUGGAUUAUGCAAUGCACCUGCUACAUUUCAACGAUGCAUGUUGAGCAUUUUUUCUGAUAUGGUUGAACGAUUCCUUGAAGUCUUUAUGGAUGACUUUUCUGUCUUUGGCAACUCGUUUGAUCAAUGUUUACAUCAUCUAACACUAGUUCUGCAGAGAUGUAUCGAGAAGAACUUGAUCUUAAAUUGGGAGAAAUGCCAUUUUAUGGUAAAACAAGGUAUUGUUCUCGGUCACAUCAUUUCGAGCAAAGGUAUUGAGGUUGACAAAGCCAAGGUGGAUCUCAUUUCUAAUCUUCCUCCACCUAAAACAAUCAGAGAAGUAAGAUCUUUCCUUGGGCAUGCUGGUUUCUAUAGACGUUUCAUUAAAGAUUUUAGCAAAGUUUCUAGACCCUUAUGCAAUCUACUUGCUAAGGAUGUACCUUUUAUCUUUAAUGAUUCAUGUCUCAUGGCGUUUGAAAAAUUAAAACAGUUGUUGACAUCAUCACCCAUCAUUCAGGCCCCGAACUGGAGCUUACCAUUUGAACUCAUGUGUGAUGCAUCUGAUUAUGCAGUAGGAGCAGUAUUAGGACAAAGAGUUGAUCGAAUUCCCCAUGUUAUUUAUUAUGCUAGUAUGACAUUGAAUGAUGCACAGUUGAACUAUUCAACUACUGAAAAAGAAAUGCUAGCAGUAGUGUUUGCAUUGGAAAAAUUUCGAUCAUAUCUCAUUGGUUGUAAAAUAAUUAUAUUCACAGAUCAUGCUGCUCUUAAAUAUCUUCUCACAAAGAAAGAUGCAAAAGCUAGACUAAUUCGUUGGGUGUUACUUUUACAGGAAUUUGACUUGGAAUUCAAAGAUAAGAAAGGGUCAGAAAAUGUUGUGGCGGACCAUCUCUCUCGUCUUCACUUUGACACAAUUACAGAGCCAUUAAUAUUAAAUGAGUCAUUUCCAGAUGAACAAUUAAUGAGUGUGGAAGUAUUACCUUGGUAUGCUGAUAUAGUUAAUUAUCUUGUUACAGGUAAACUUCCAGAGCAUUGGACCAAGCAAGACAAGAUCAAAUUCUUUGCGGAAAUAAAGAAUUUCUUUUGGGAUGACCCGUAUUUGUUCAAGUAUUGUGCAGACCAAAUUGUUAGACGAUGUGUCCCAGAAAAUGAAAUUCAGAAUAUCCUUUCAUUCUGCCAUGAACAAGCUUGUGGAGGCCAUUUCAGUGCUAAGAAAACAGCGACUAAAGUUUUACAAUGUGGUUUCUAUUGGCCAACACUAUUUCGAGACGCUUACACUUUUUGUUCUUCAUGUGAUAGGUGUCAACGAAUGGGGAGCAUUACACGAAGGAACAUGAUGCCACUAAAUCCAAUUUUAGUGGUUGAGAUUUUUGACGUAUGGGGUAUCGACUUCAUGGGACCCUUUCCCCCUUCUUUUGGCCAUCAAUACAUAUUGGUUGGUGUUGACUACGUCUCAAAAUGGGUAGAAGCAAUUCCAUGUAGGACCAAUGAUCACAAGGUGGUGAUAGGAUUUUUGAAAAGCAACAUUGUCUCGCGCUUUGGAUUCCCUCGAGCAAUAAUCAGUGAUGGUGGUGCCCACUUUUGUAACAAAGCAUUCAAAGCUCUUUUGACAAAGUAUUCAAUCACACACAAAGUGGCGACCCCGUAUCAUCCGCAAACCAGUGGCCAAGUUGAGAUCUCCAAUCGAGAAAUAAAGCACAUAUUAGAAAAAACGGUGAGGCCGGACAGAAAAGAUUGGUCAUUAAGACUUGAUGAUGCCUUAUGGGCAUAUAGAACGGCUUUCAAGACCCCGAUUGGGAUGUCACCCUACAGGCUAGUGUAUGGAAAAGCUUGCCACCUACCUGUGGAACUCGAGCAUCGUGCGUAUUGGGCCAUCAAGAAAUUCAAUUUUGACAUGCAGCAAGCCAACUCAGAAAGAAGAUUACAACUGGCAGAACUUGAAGAAAUUCGCAAUGAUGCAUACGAAAAUGCCAAGAUUUACAAGCAACGAAUGAAAGUCUUCCAUGACAAGCAAAUUAUGAGAAAAUCUUUCACCCCAGGUCAGAAAGUGCUUUUAUUCAAUUCUCGCUUGCACCUAUUCCCAGGUAAGUUACGCUCUCGAUGGUCUGGCCCAUUUAUUGUUCAUACUGUUUUUCCACAUGGGGCAAUUGAAAUUAAAGACCCAAAGAAUGGUGUCACGUUUAAAGUUAAUGGUCAAAUAUUAAAGCCAUAUCUAGAGUACCAACCACAUGAAGAAGACACCGAAAUAAAUUUGAGUGACCCACCAAAUUUGAAUUGAUUUUUUUUUCUUUUCGUUGAUUUGAUUUUUCUUUCUUUCUUUUUAUUAUUAUUCUUUUGCUAAUUGAAAUUGUUUUUGCAUAAGUGUGUUUAUUUUACCAUUAAGUUUUCUCUUAUCAUUUUUAAUCAUGAGUCUCAUACUUAGACCGUUCCUCCUGAACAUUCUUAAACCACUUCAACGUGUCAAAACUCAUCUCAAAAGACAGAUUCAAUUUUGUAAAACACAUCGCAUUUGGACUCUACAACCACCAGAGUUAGUAGCCUAUGUUGAGGGUUUAGAACACCAACUCAGAGACAUUGAGAGAAGUGUUUACGACAUCCAGUUGGAGCUUGAGGUAAAUUCAAUAAGAGGACGAUUUUAAUUUUCUUUGUGUGUUUUAAUUUGUUUUUCUAUUUGUGUGCUUUAGUUUAUUACCCCGGUGAAGUGGCGGAUAACGGUACUCCGUGACAAUCAAGUCGGUUACUUCAGUUUCCCAUAAUAACUGAUAUUCUGAGGCGAAGGUAUGGACAGAAACGAGAUUCUAGCGAAGCUUCACAAGCGAUUCCCUUCACUUCCUCAGAAUGCCCUCCUUACGAUCUAUAAAGCUCGGUCCGAACGCAUGCGAUUACUCAUGAGGAAUAACAUACCUGCUGACAUCCGUUGGUUAAUCGAGGCUAAAGUACGAUCGGCAGGUGAGUUACCUCCAAAAUUUAUUGCAUACAUGCCUGGUUGUGGUAAAGGAAAUUAUGCAAGAAAACGACGAGCUCGAAGAAUUUCUGUUGCUUGUCAUAAGCGUGCCAGAAUGAGUUGCAAUAAAAACCCAUGUUCUUUAGGAAUGGUGUCUGAUAACAGGGAAGAUAAGAUUCAAUUCAUUAGGGAUGGCUUGAAUAAGGAGUCAUUGGAUGAUAUCCUUUUGUCUCUUGAAACGCAUCCCAGUGGAUAUGUGCAAGGAGCGAUUCUCCAGUUAUGGCCAUUAUUCCAGAAAGAGCAUGCACGAUAUAGUCUCGGGAAUCUGACUAUAAACGACCCUGUUUGCCAGUUUAUAAGAAAACUGGAUAGGAAGCCUAUCCUCGACCCAUAGAGGGCGUUCAAGCCGUUUCUGGACGUAAAACCAGAGGAAGAUGUGAGCCACAGUCGCAACUACCUGUAAAUAUCCUUUUACUUUAUUGUUAUUUUAUUUCACUAUUGUCUUAUUGUUUGCAUUAUUGUCUUUAAUAAUUUUAUUACUGUUUGCUUUUUCCUUUUUACUGUUUUCUUUUUGACUUGCGAGCCACGUGCUUUACGCGUUAUUUGACACUGACAUAUUUACCUCAUACACCACCAUGACCCAUUAUCACCAAGACUCCUUAAUGUGAUUUCUUUUUUUGUCAGCACUCCCAAAAUGGUUUUGAGAAAUAUCACAAUGUCCGCUAUUCCCAAUAAAAUAAUUCAAGACCAUUUGUGUGGCUUUCUGGAUUUAACUUAUGGCAAAUAUAANNNNNNNNNNNNNNNNNNNNNNNNNNNNNNNNNNNNNNNNNNNNNNNNNNNNNNNNNNNNNNNNNNNNNNNNNNNNNNNNNNNNNNNNNNNNNNNNNNNNNNNNNNNNNNNNNNNNNNNNNNNNNNNNNNNNNNNNNNNNNNNNNNNNNNNNNNNNNNNNNNNNNNNNNNNNNNNNNNNNNNNNNNNNNNNNNNNNNNNNNNNNNNNNNNNNNNNNNNNNNNNNNNNNNNNNNNNNNNNNNNNNNNNNNNNNNNNNNNNNNNNNNNNNNNNNNNNNNNNNNNNNNNNNNNNNNNNNNNNNNNNNNNNNNNNNNNNNNNNNNNNNNNNNNNNNNNNNNNNNNNNNNNNNNNNNNNNNNNNNNNNNNNNNNNNNNNNNNNNNNNNNNNNNNNNNNNNNNNNNNNNNNNNNNNNNNNNNNNNNNNNNNNNNNNNNNNNNNNNNNNNNNNNNNNNNNNNNNNNNNNNNNNNNNNNNNNNNNNNNNNNNNNNNNNNNNNNNNNNNNNNNNNNNNNNNNNNNNNNNNNNNNNNNNNNNNNNNNNNNNNNNNNNNNNNNNNNNNNNNNNNNNNNNNNNNNNNNNNNNNNNNNNNNNNNNNNNNNNNNNNNNNNNNNNNNNNNNNNNNNNNNNNNNNNNNNNNNNNNNNNNNNNNNNNNNNNNNNNNNNNNNNNNNNNNNNNNNNNNNNNNNNNNNNNNNNNNNNNNNNNNNNNNNNNNNNNNNNNNNNNNNNNNNNNNNNNNNNNNNNNNNNNNNNNNNNNNNNNNNNNNNNNNNNNNNNNNNNNNNNNNNNNNNNNNNNNNNNNNNNNNNNNNNNNNNNNNNNNNNNNNNNNNNNNNNNNNNNNNNNNNNNNNNNNNNNNNNNNNNNNNNNNNNNNNNNNNNNNNNNNNNNNNNNNNNNNNNNNNNNNNNNNNNNNNNNNNNNNNNNNNNNNNNNNNNNNNNNNNNNNNNNNNNNNNNNNNNNNNNNNNNNNNNNNNNNNNNNNNNNNNNNNNNNNNNNNNNNNNNNNNNNNNNNNNNNNNNNNNNNNNNNNNNNNNNNNNNNNNNNNNNNNNNNNNNNNNNNNNNNNNNNNNNNNNNNNNNNNNNNNNNNNNNNNNNNNNNNNNNNNNNNNNNNNNNNNNNNNNNNNNNNNNNNNNNNNNNNNNNNNNNNNNNNNNNNNNNNNNNNNNNNNNNNNNNNNNNNNNNNNNNNNNNNNNNNNNNNNNNNNNNNNNNNNNNNNNNNNNNNNNNNNNNNNNNNNNNNNNNNNNNNNNNNNNNNNNNNNNNNNNNNNNNNNNNNNNNNNNNNNNNNNNNNNNNNNNNNNNNNNNNNNNNNNNNNNNNNNNNNNNNNNNNNNNNNNNNNNNNNNNNNNNNNNNNNNNNNNNNNNNNNNNNNNNNNNNNNNNNNNNNNNNNNNNNNNNNNNNNNNNNNNNNNNNNNNNNNNNNNNNNNNNNNNNNNNNNNNNNNNNNNNNNNNNNNNNNNNNNNNNNNNNNNNNNNNNNNNNNNNNNNNNNNNNNNNNNNNNNNNNNNNNNNNNNNNNNNNNNNNNNNNNNNNNNNNNNNNNNNNNNNNNNNNNNNNNNNNNNNNNNNNNNNNNNNNNNNNNNNNNNNNNNNNNNNNNNNNNNNNNNNNNNNNNNNNNNNNNNNNNNNNNNNNNNNNNNNNNNNNNNNNNNNNNNNNNNNNNNNNNNNNNNNNNNNNNNNNNNNNNNNNNNNNNNNNNNNNNNNNNNNNNNNNNNNNNNNNNNNNNNNNNNNNNNNNNNNNNNNNNNNNNNNNNNNNNNNNNNNNNNNNNNNNNNNNNNNNNNNNNNNNNNNNAUUUUUUUUAACAUUGGGUGACAUGAUUAAUUUAAAUUUUAGUAUUUGUAUUAUCUUUGGUCUUAAGUGAUGUUACAUUAUGUUUGCUACUCUACAUGUUGAUGUUGGAGACAUAUAUGAGUUGCUUGAAGGAAUGAACAUGUCAUAAUAAGUACCAAGUGAGUUUUUGAGCCUAUCAUUUUUCUUGGAGAGUAACCCUUUUGCCCAUUCUUUAUACAGCUUAACAGUUUAUUAUUGUAUACACGAUCUCUAGAUUUCUUUUGAGUUAACCCUUAAUAAAAAAAAAAAAAAAGUGUGUUGCUACAUUUGGAGGCCCAUCUAACUAGUAGAUAUGGAAGGUUAUUCAGAGCCCUAAAAGACGAUGGAAAGGCCAUCUUUGAUCCGUUUGAGCCUUUCUAGCCAUCCCUUUUAUUAAAUAUCCAUAGUUAACCCUUUUGAGCCUUUAAAAAAAAAAAAAAAACAUUUUCUUUGUCAACUUAUCAUCUUGACCCACUCCGAUUUGGAGUAUUACCCGAUGUCUUAUAAGUUCCAUCACCUAUUUAUGUUUGAGAAAAUGUAAAUAAUUAUGUUGUUCAGUGAAGUUAUGCCAAAAAAAAAAAACAAAAAAAAAACAAAAACAAAAACAAAAACAAAAGUUGUUGUUUCAAAAGAAUAAAAAUAGGUGAAAUCCACCUUGCAACUUCCAAAAAAAAAAAAAAAAAAUUCUCUGCAUUUUUCUCAAACAUACACUUUGUUUUCCUUAUUUCCCUUCUUUGUUAACCAUGUCCCUAGCCUACGUUACGUCCUAAUAAAAGUCCUUCUUGAUUUUAGGGAACUAUAGUCCGAAGUAGAAGCUAGUUAUAUGGGCUAAAAAGAUGUAGUGAUGCAUAAUUAAAAAAAAAAAAGAUAAAUAAAGUGGGUUGACUAACAUUUUAUUUGACUUGAGAUCGUAUUAUUUCUAAGCUGAGGGCAUAUUUAUUUCAUCUUGGUGAGAGCAUGUGAUAUCACUUCUUUAUUAUUUUCUCUCUCAAUUACCAUUCAUUGGAGUGACUAUUUUUAUUGGGAUUAAUUUAUUUGUGAGAGUGUCACUACUUCCAGUGAGAUUGUGGGGUUUGACAUGUCAUUCUUGAGAGUAGCUAAAACAAAGUCUACUGGGCUAAUUCAUGUGGAUGGUUGAUGUGGGUGUGAUGUUGCUUUAGACUGGAGAUAAUGCUUAUACUUUUAUUUGAUUGCUAUCAUUAAUCUGAUGGAAUAAAUACGAGUGUUUCUAUUAAAAAAAAAAAUAUAUUUUGAAUUUGAAUUUUAUUUUCGCUUUAUUUGCUAGGGACUAGCAAUAAGCUGGUUGGGGGGUGUGUUGAGUGUUAGAAAAUGCAUAUUUAUAAAGGAGAAAACCGUCAUUUUACAUUUUAAGUCUUACUAACAACCCUUACUUUUAUAUAUUUAACCUUCUUGUAAUUUAAUUACAUGUGUUUUAUUUUAAUUAAGUAUUUUAUGUAUUUUAGGGGCAUUAUAGUCAUUUCACAAUAAAGGAGAGAUCAGACAGCAAAACGGACAUCACUUUUGAACUCAGGACGGUCGAAAACCUUAGGAGGAGCAUAAAAGGAAAAAUGGCACUAUUCACAUGUACGGUACUAUUCACGUGUACGGUACUGUAUACGUUACUGUUCACGACACUGUUCACAUAGACGGAUGAUGACGUGGCAUUGACCAAUGAUGUGGCAUUGACUGAUGAGGUGUCACGAUCCUGUUGGACUAAAAUUCUUAUGUACUGUUGAUGGUGACGUGGCAGCAUAUCAGUGGACGAAAAAUCUCGCGUACGGUGCAUGCAUCACACAGGAUUAUUUUCAACCAAACCGCGUUACUGUUCAUCCGGGUCAAACCGCGUUACUGUUCAAAGUCGGGUCAAACCGUGUUACUGUUCAUCCGCGUGGUCAAACCGUGGACUGUUGACUGAUGACGUGGCGCAAUCCUGAGCGUCCAAACUGUUUUUAAUCCGAUGGCCAUGAUUUACUCCAUGUAUCUAUAAAAAGGGGGCAUCCCCCCCUAAUUUGAUAUCUCUGAAUCCAUUUUUGGGAUCCAUUUUCUGUAAUUCCCUCUCCAUCUUGUAUUUUCUUCGUAUUUUAAUAAAUUUCCAUUUUGCCCCUAGUUCAACUAUGAGUGGCUAAUUUUCUUUCAAGCUUGGGUUGAAGGUGAAGUCUCAACAUGUGUCAUGGGCUUAAUUUGGUAAAUUUACUUUCUCUUCCCCUCUAGUUUUUGUGGAUGUUUUGACUUCUCGUCGACAAAUAAUACUAAUCUUGUCUAGUACCGCCUUGGUUACACCGGCUCUCUAGUAUAAGGUUAUUAUUAUUUGGCACGAUAAGCCCUUAGCACCAUAUUGAUUAGAGCGUGGUUCAUGAGGUGUGGAUUCCCCCCUCAUGAUUUAAUUGGCAUUAAUACGGAUUAUUUAGCCCAUGAUGCAUGUUGAUACGGAUCCAGAUACCCAAGUACGUCAUUUCAAUAUAAUUCUCAUCAAUUUAUUCUCGCCAUUUCAAUACCAAUUUCAGAAUUUAUUCUCGCCAUUUCAAUACCAAUUUCAGAAUUUAUCCUCGCCAUUUUAAUUUAAGUUUUAGCAUAUACCAAAUCAUUUCCACCAUAAAUCCAACAACCCAUUUACAAAAUUAAUUCUAAACACAAUUAAAAUCCACCUCCUCGUGGGAUCGACACUCGUCACCAUAGAUCUAUACUACAAUAGAUUCGUGCGCUUGCGAGUACAUUAAAAUUUGCACAACAGGGCCUGCCAUUUGUGAUGAGGGAUGUCAUCAAAUGUAAACCAUGGUGAAGAAGAUGGUUUGGAAGAAUUUUCAGAGACUGGGGGAACCGGUGGAACCGGUUCUGUUUGGGAGCCUUAGUCAGCAUUAUCAACAUCAGAAGAUUCAUUGACAACAGGAGUAGAUGUACUAGGAUCUUCUGUUUUUGUGGCCAUUAGAAGACCAGAAAUGUCAGCAUUUUGGGACUCUAAGUCUGAAGAAGUUUGUUAAGAUGAGCUGAGAGUAUCAGUGGAGGGUAAACUUUCGUCUGAGGUUGAACCUGAGUCAUUGUUUUGGGACUCAAUUUGCUGAUAAUGGUAUUGGUAAGCUGGAGCUUUGUCUUUCUUUGGAGGCUUAAGAGUGAUUGUCAGGUGUGGGAAGAUCUAAGGCAUGAUUUUGAAGCCUAUAGACCAACUGAUGGUGUAAGGUAGCCAUUUUUGCUGAGGAGAUUUAUUCUGCUCCUUAAAUUUGAACUUGAACUUUCAAGGCAGUUGACAUGUUGGUAUCUUGGAGAGAUAGAUUGAAAUUGGGGUAGAAAGUGAGAAGAACACUUCCUAGAUGUAAAGUGGUCAGGACAGUACCAACUAUUGCAUCCUGAUACUGUUUGAAUCUGGUGUCGAGCAUAGCAAUUCUGGCUGUAACAGGUAACCCUUUUCUUCCAUGGAAGGUAAGGAUUAACCUUACUCCCUCAAGAUGGAGAUGAGUAUAACCCUCCCUUUUCCAGUUGGAAAUCAAUUCUGGAAGUAUUUCCAAAGUAACAUAUUGCUCAGCUAUAGUAGCUUGAAGAGUGCACUGAUCUAGUCUAGAGGACUGGAUGUAUUCUUUUGGAUGAGGUCUUUUAGUAGAGAUAAGGGUUCUUAUACUUCUAGUAAAAGAGUUUCCUCUCUUGUAGAGCUGAUAAGGACUAAGAAGAGGGAAUGGGGAUAUAUGAGUAUUCAACAAGGUUUUCUAUUUUAUUGGCAGUUUGUUUGGAGUGAUCGUAGAAGUAGAAGCGUCAUUAGAUAAAGUAGAUGCCAUUAGUGAAAAUUUCUCUCUGUUUCUGAAGCCUAACUAUUUUUCAAAGAAAUAGGAGAAAGGAUUUCAUAGUUUUAGGAUGUUCUAAUGCAUAUUAGAUUUGGAAUAAACUUGAGGUAGUUUAUGAAGGUACAAAUCAAGUGGAACAAAAUGAGAGUGGAUAUUGUAAACACUCUAGGAGCCCUAAGAAAUACCUUUUCAAAUAGUGAGAAGGUUAAGAAAAUUAUUAGGUCUUUACCAAAAGAAUAGAGACCUAAGAGAGCUACUAUUAAGGAAGCCAAGGAUUUAAAUACUUUAACUAUUGAUGAUUUAAUUGGCUCACUUAUUUCUUAUAAUGAAGAUUUGAUAGUUGAAAGAGGUGACGAAGAUAAAAAGAAAAAGAGCAUUGCCUUCAAAGCUUCAAAAUCUAAAAGUGAUGAAGAAAACAAAUUUGAAGAUGAGGAUAUGGCAAUGAUUGCCAGAAAAUUUAGAAAAUUCUUCAAGAGAUCCCAUGAGGGAAGAGAGUUUACAAACUUCAAGAAUAAAAAAGGAGGAAAAGGAAGCAAUUACUUACUAUGAACGCAAGAAGCCUGGCCAUAUAAAAUUACUCAACAAACUCAAGAAGAAAGCUAUGGUGGCAACUUAGGAUGAUAGUUAUAAGGAGGAAUCACAUGAAGUUUCAAACUUGGCACUUAUGGCAAUAUGAGAAGAAAUUCAUGAGGUAAAUGAUCUUCCUUCUAAUGAUGAAUUGUUUGAAACAUUCACUGAAUUGCACAAUGAUUUAAAGAAGAUUGGAAUGAAAAAUGUUUCUCUUAGAAAGACAAAUGUAGAACUUUCAAGAGAGAUGAAUCUUUAAAUGCAAAGAUUAAAUGUCUAGAAUUAGAGAAUAAAAGAUUGCAUGAUGAGAUUAUGUUUGACAAAGAAAGCAUCGCAUUUGAGUAUGAAAUGAUGUUGAAAAAGAAAAAUGAAAUGCUAAAGAAAAACAGUAAUGAGCUUAAUGACAUUGUCUUAAAAUUUACAAAUGGUCAAAAGAUUUUAGAUAAUUUGCUUAGUUCUCAAAAAUGUGUUUUUGACAAAGGAGGUAUUGCCUAUAAACCAAAUUUGAAACAAAAAUAUUACAAGAAUUAUUUUGUGAAGGUUACUUCCAUUAAUGAUCAAAUUGUAUGCCAUUAUUGCAAUAGAAAUGGACACAUGAGUUAUAAAUGUCUAGUGAAGAAAAAAAUGCAUAUUAUGGAAUCAAAGUGUUUGGGUUCCAAAAGGAACUAUUGCUAACGCUCAAGAACCCAAAAGUUUUAGGUAUUUAAAACUUGGGAUUUCUUCUGUAGGGAUCAAAGAAGAAGAAAAAUAUAUGGUACUUGAAUAGCAGAUGCUCGAGACAUAUGACAGGCAAUUAUUCUUAGUGAAAAAUAUUGUUUGAAGACAAUUCAAAAUGAAAGAUUAUUAGUAUUGGUAAUGCUAUAAAAAUUCUUCUAUCUUUAUUAAAACUGUGUGUUUAGUUGAAAAUUUGAAACACAACUUGCUUAGUAUUAGUCAAUUGUGUGAUAAAGGCUAUAGUGCCACACACCCAACGCAGAGGUGGUAUCAUUUAUAAUUCUAAGUAAUAUUAUCUGAUCUCCUAGAAGAAGAUUAACCAAACAUGGAAGCAACUUCAUCUUUAAUCUCAACUCCAUCAUCUUCCUCUCAUAUUUCUCUUUCCUCUACUCUAUCUCCUCCAAAGUCAUGUUCCAAACACAUAGCCUCCAAAAUUGAAAACCUUGUUGAAUAUUCCUAUAUCCCCGAGUCUGCCCAAAUUAAUGAAUCUCAGUUCCCCAUCAUGAGUCCUUAUAAUCUAUACAAAUAAAAAACUUCUUUCACCAAAAGUAUCUGAACCCUGAUCUCCACCAAAAGACCACUCCCAAAAGAAUAUAUUCAGUUUUCUAUCAUAGUGAGUAGUAUGUCACUUUAGAAAUACCCUAAGAUCUCGUUGUCAACUGGAAAUGAGAAGGGUAUACGCAUCUCCACCUUGUCGGUGUAAGAUUGAUCCUCACCCUCCAUGGCAAAAAAGGUUUACCUGUUACGGCCAGGAUUGCUUUGUUAGACACCAGGUUCAAACAGUACCAACAUGGUGUUGUAGGAACCGUCCUGACCACACUCCAUGCUGGCAGUGUCUUGUUAACCUUUUACCCAAAUUUCAACCUCUCUCUUGAGGAUCCCAAUCUUCCCACUACCCUUAAGGUCCAAAUCCAGCUCCAAGGAGUAGAACAAACACCUACAUCAAAGAUAGCGACGCUUCAUCACCAAAUAGUGUAUCGAUUAUAGAAUCAUGCACUAGAUCUUCCCACACCACACACUACAUCUGAUGCCUUAAUGAUCCUUGACAAUUCCAACCAUCAUCUAAAUUCCUAAACAAAUCCAGAAACAAGAAUUGUUCAAACUUAUGCCUCUUGAAUGGUUAACCAACUAUGAACAUUUCCACCAAAACUCUGAACCAGUUCAAACAACAAAAGCCACGUUUGAAAGACGACAAAAUGGUCAAGUCAAACUAUCUUUUCAAACACCUGAAACCAAGCCUGUUUCAGGCACUUCACAGCUUUCCUAUACUGCUAUGAUAACAGCAAUUCAAACUGGUCAAGAAAAGAAACUUCCCAUUCAUGGUUUUUCAUCACAAGGAUAUCCAGUAUAUCCAGAUAAAAUCAAUGGUCACUUCUUAUGGGAUGUUCCUGAAGCCCAUAUGUGCAACCCAGAUUGUCCUUGCUUAGAUGAUACGGAUGUUGAUGAUGAAUUGGAAGUUAUAAGGAGAAAGAAAAAGAAGAAGAAAAAAUCCUUUCAUCCAAAAUCAUCUUGCAAAUCCUUUCCUCCACAACCUCCACCAGAUCCCAAACCUCUUGUCCACCAAAUAAGAUCAUGCCUAAUGUUUUCAAGCCAAUCUUACGAGGAAUCAUUUCCUCCGCUUAAAAAAUAGACAGACACACAAACCAGAGUUAUCUCAAAACCUUUUGUCCAAUCCCCAGUAACAGCCUCUGGGCAACUUGAAGAGCCAAAACAGUAUGAAGCUGUUUUAAAUUGGCAAACCAGAAAUGCCAAUGCUCAGAAUCAAACUCUUCACCAACUUGGAAAGAAAAUUGAUCGAGUUGCCAGUCAAGUCUCUCAUACUGAAACUAAAGUUGAUUCAAUCAGCAACCGUCUUGAUCAGAUGUACAUCCAUCUACAAGAGUGUAUCUCUGAGCUAGAUGCCGAUUUGAGACGAAUGAUCAAUAACCACAUCUGGGGUCCAGAGUUUAAUAAAAAAGAAGUAGAGAUCAGAAAGCCCAAAGCUGAAUUAACAAGAAUUGAUGCUAAAAAGACUCGACCUUCCCUUUUUACUCAAACACAAACCCCGCUAGUACCUCCUCCGAUCUUUGAAACUUAUGCACCUUUCUACACACCAUCCAAACCUCAACAACCUGUUUACAAUCAGUUCUUUGGAUUCUCACACCUUCAACCAACUCCUCAACCAAAACCAUCUUCACUUAAAAAAUCAAAAUCGAAAGUCAAGAUCUCAGAACCAAAGUCAAAGGCCACUUCAUUUUCAUUUGUUCCUCCGGUACCACUAGAAGAUUCACCAAAAGCCACUCCUGAACCUCCCCAAAAAGACAAAGGUCCAAUGGAUCAGUAUCAUUAUCAUACUGUCCAAAACACAUCUUCCGACUCCUCUGAGCCAGAAACAAUCUAUGAGUCAAACCCAUCAGAGUCCAACUCAUCUUCCUCUUCUUCAUCCACAAACUCAGACGGUACUUCCACUAACUUUGAAUCUGAAUAUACUGACAUUACAAGCAUAUUAAUGGCCACUAAAACUGAAGAUCCAAGCACUUCAACUGCCACAUCUAUUGUUAAAGACAAUUCUUCUGAUGCUAAAAAUAAAGCAUCUCCCACAGAACCAGAGCCAUCAAUGCCUCCAUCGGUUCCUAAUCACUCAACAAAAUCAUCUUCAACAUCUUGGUUCACAUUUGAUGACAUUCCCCGUCAUAAAUGGCCUGCUCGACUUCAAGAAUUUGCCGCAUGGAUUGACCUUCAAGGAACCAAACCUAAUGCUCAACUUCAAGUUGUUCUCCAUGAAUUCAUGGCCCGAUCAACCGGUUCUUUACGUGAUUGGUUAGAAAGCUUGGGAGAAUACCGUCAGCUCCAAUUCAUGCAAUCUCCAAUUGGCACAACACUCAAUAUCAUUCAUGAACAAUUCAUCGGAGAAAAAACUGCUUCUACUGAUGCAGACAGAAAAGAGUAUCAUCAGAUGAAAUGCUGCUCGCUCAAAAGACACCUUUUGGAAUCUCAUUACAAAAGGAUGAGUAUUAUUUUUUAUAAGCUGAAUGGGUUCAAUGAGCCAUCUCUCAAACAUAUCUUCAUAGCCUCACUUCCUUCUGAGUUACAACCUGAUCUCCAAAGAAAACUCACAGCCACUAAUCUCAGCAUAGCUGAUAUCUCUUUGGGAAAAUUUUUUCAAAUGGCCAUGUUAUGUCUUGACAAAAUCUGUGAGCAAAAGGAAUUCUUAAGGGACCUCAUGGAAGACAAAAAAUCCUUUUCUCAAGCUUGUAAAAAACCCUAUCUCAAGAUAGAGUGCAAAGAUGAAACGAAGUGUGUUUGUCCAACCAAAAAGAAAAGACAUUUUCAGAAACACUUCCACAAAAAAUCAUCCUCCAAAAAACCUCUCCAAUAUUUCAGGAAAAAAGAUGCUUCCCAGUACAGAUAGAAAAAACAUAACCGUUGUUUCAUCUGCAAGAAACGCGGUCACUUUGCUCGAAACUGUGCUCACAAGUCUACCAAAGCUGUUCGUCUCAUACAACAUCUUCAACAUUCUUCACUGUUAUCUGAGAAUGAAGAUGUUGAACUAAAUUUUUUAGAACAGUCAGAACAAGAUGAUCAGACUGCUUUCAUUAUCACAGAAUCUUAUGAUUCUGAUGAUAUUUCAGUCAUUUCUACAGUUCAAAUUGUCAACCAUGUUUCAACCAUUUCUAGACCUUCUCUAAAAAUGUCAAUCCUUCCUUCCAAAUUUCAUAAACCUGUUCUUGUCAUCGGGUUUAUUGACACUGGUGCAGAUACCAGUAUGAUUGAUCCUUCUGUCCUUCCCUCUGAUUGUUAGGAAAAACACUUGAAACUUUUCCGAGCAGUUAACAGAGAAACUUUUCAAACCACUUUGAUUACCAAAAAACCCAUUGGUAUUCAAUCCUUUCCAAAUUGCAUAAUUUGGAAAAAGAUUAUAGCAUCCAAAAUUCCAGACAAAGAUUUACUCAUAGGUUUUGACAUUCUUCAUUUGGUUAAAAACCUAUUCCUCACCAGUUCUGGAGUUUGCUACAAACAAAUGUUCUUACCAUAUACAGAUACACUACGUCUAUAUGCACUUUCAGAAACACCAUCUCCAUACAGUCAUAUUUCACAAAAGUUCUUAUAGUUUUGUCCAGAAAACUAUUCACAGUUCCACCAUCCUUCACCUCUUUGGAAGAAUACCAAAUUCUUCAUUCACCUUCCUUUCAAACUUAACGAAGACAUAAACCCCACAAAAGCAUCACACCCGGGUAUGUCUCCUUUCGACCUCCUACUUGCUAAGCAAGAAUGUUCUCAGUUGCUUCAGCAAGGUCUUAUUGAACCUAUUGAUUCAGAUUAGGCUUGUCAAGCCUUCUAUGUUGAAAAAAGAUCUGAAUUAGUUCGCGGUAAAAAAAGGUUAGUUAUUGAUUACCAGCCACUUAAUUCUUUCCUUAAGGAUGAUAAGUUCCCCCUUCUAAAAAUCCAGACCCUGUUUGUCCAUCUUCAAGGGGUUCGUAUCUUCUCUAAGUUUGAUCUAAAAGCUGGUUUUUGGCAACUUGGUAUUUCACCAGUUGACCAUCACAAAACUACCUUCUGCAUCCCUGAUGCCCAUUAUCAAUGGAUUGUUAUGCCUUUUGGUCUUAAGGUUGCCCCUUUAUUAUUUCAAAAAGCCAUGGAAAAAAUCUUCAGUCCUAUCCUUCAUCAUGCUUUGGUAUACAUUGAUGAUAUCUUAUUAUUUUCCUCUGACCAUGAGAGCCACCAGAAGCUCCUUUUGGAUUUCUUUCAUAUUGUGCAGGAACAUAGAAUCAUGCUUUCUGAAAAGAAAAGCAGCAUAGCAAAAGAAUCAAUUGACUUUCUUGGCAUGGUGAUUAAAGAUGGCCAUUACCAACCUGGUCCACACAUUGAAACUGAAUUAUUAAAGUUUUUGAACACGCAUCUCAAUACAAAGCAGAGCCAACAAUUCCUCGGGAUUGUUAAUUAUGUCCGUGAUUUCAUCCCUAAAGUUGUAAUCCACACAAGCCAAUUGUCUUGCAUGCUCAGAAAACAGUGCCCUCCAUGGGGACCAGCACAAACAGAAGCUGUCCAACAACUAAAGGUGAUAGCCCAGUCACCUCUCCAAAUUCCCACAACUGGACAACGCAUUCUACAAACCGAUGCCAGUGAUGAUUACUGGAGUGCCAUCAUUCUUGAAGAGAUAAAUGGUGUACGUCACUUCUGUGCACAUGCAAGCGGACAAUUCAAAGACUCUGAAAAAGAAUUACCAUGUGAUCUACAAAGAGAUUUUGGAGGUCAAGUAUGGAAUCAAAAAGUUUAAAUUUCAUCUAAUCAACCAUAAAUUCCUUAUCAACAUGGACAGCUCCUCUUUUCCUCGAAUCUUUGACUUCAAGAAUAAGUUACUCCCUGACAAACAGUUGCUCAACCUCAAAAACUGGUUUGCUAAAUAUGAUUUUACUGUCCAACACAUAAAAGGCAAACAGAACCUCAUCCCAGACUUCCUUACACGUCCGGCUAUAAAUAAACCUUCAUUUAUUUCCUCCAUCCACACCAUCCCAGUUAUAGCCAUGAAUCAUCAACUUCCUUUCAAAGCUCUCAACCAGAGAACCUUUCCCAUGAACAUUCCUUUUCAUUCAGCCUACCAGAUCCAAGACUUUGCAACAAAAUUCCUUUACUGGUAUUUCUUUAAUGUUCAAAGCAAAAAGCUUGAUCGCUUUCUUUCCCUCUGUAUGGAAAACCUGUUUCUCAUAGGUCUUACCAUGUCUUCUCUCACCAUCUGCGAAGAUGAGUUAUGGUACAUGUGGUGUCUCACUACCCUGUAUGCUACCAAACUGGUUUUUCGUGUUAAGCCAGUCCUCACCCACAUCACCACUCCUGAGUUCUCAUCAGAUCUUCUCUGGACUCUUCUUGCAUGGUAUUCACCACUCACGUGGUGGCGAAAACAACUAAAAAAUCUAUGUACUUUUCACAGAUUAGACAAAAUGCCAAAACAAGAAGCCAACAUGUUUACUACAGUCUUCAUCGUUCAUAGACCUUACUUCCAGCACCUAGAAACAAGAGACUUCUGGACACAAGAUAUGGCCUAUGAAUGGAAAACUUAUCCCCAUCCUUAUACCCUCAUCCAUGAUCCAUCUGUUACCUCUAUUCUCAAGUCAUACCUAAUGGAACACAACAAUGUUCAGCCACCUGCCAUAAACAUCCACCACACCUCUGUUGGACCAUCACACACCUUAGAAAUUGUCCCAAAGACACAAACUUGUACUCCAGGUUCCAGUUCCAGUCCUCAAGGAAUCGUUGUCAUGGAACAAUGUCUUGAUUACACUAACGUCUUAUUCCAAGACGCUCAGGAUCCAUGGGAAGAUUUUCAGUCUCUUCUCCAUACUGAAAAUCCCCAUUACACUACCACAGACCCUCCUGCUACAUCAGCCCCAAAAGAGAUGACUAAUAUUGAUGAAGAAGCCUAUCUGCAAGCUAAAGCUUAUCUUGAUCACAGACAAAUCCGUCGUGCCAAACAACAAUAUGAGAAAGAAACUGGCGAUGUGUCUCCAUCACACUACCCAUCCACUCCAUGCUUGCCGACAUGCAUGGGAAUCACAAAAUGUGUUAUUGAGAUUGCAUGUGAUGGUAAAGUGUUGUUUAUUGGAAAGAUAUGUGAAUGUAUACAUAAUUGAUAACACAUGAUAAAUGUUUUUCGACAUUAAAUGAUGAUAGUAGGUUAUGGCUUAGAAGACUAGGUCAUGCAAGCAAGAAUUUGAUUUCAAAAAUUUCAAAGAACAAUUUAGUUAAAGGUCUUCCAAAAAUUGGUUUUGAAAAAGAUAGAAUUUGUGAAUCUUGUCAAUUUGGAAAAUAAAUCAAAAUUUCUUUAAAAAACAAAAAUCAUGUUUCCACUUCAAAACCACUUCAACUUCUUCACAUGGAUUUAUUUGGACCUUCUAGAUAUGCAAGUCUAAGUGAUAAGUAUUAUGCAUUUGUAUUGUUGAUUAUUCUAGGUACACAUGGAUUUUGUUCUUAGCUAAUAAGGAUGAUGCCUUUGAUGCUUUUAAAAUCUUUUGUAAAAAGGUUCAAAAUGGAAAAGAUUAUGCUAUUUCUUGUAUUAUAAGUGAUCAUGGUGGAGAAUUUGAAAAUCAUGAUUUCAAAAAUUUUGACAAUAACUUUGGUAUAUAGAACAUCAAUUUUCAUCACCAAGGACUCCACAGCAAAAUAGAGUCAUUAAGAGAAAUAAUAGGUCUAUUCAAGAAAUGGCUAGGACCAUGUUGAAUGAAAAUGCAUUGCUUAAAUAUUUUUGGCCUGAAUAUGUUAAUACUGCAUGCUAUGUUUUGAAUCGUGUUUUAAUUAGACCCUAUCUCAAUAAAACUCCCUAUGAGUUUUGGAAAGAUAGAAAACUCAACAUUGGUUAUUUCAAUGAUUUUGGAUAAGAUAAUCUUGGAAAAUUUGAUCCAAAAUCUGAUGUUGUUAUCUUUCUUGGAUAUUUAAAUACAAGCACUACUUAUAGAGUGUGUAACAAAAGAACCUUAGUUGUUGAAGAAUCUAUGCAUGUCACAUUUGAUGAGUUUAACCCUUCCUCUACGUAGGAAGUUGUUGUUAAUGAUGAUGUAGAUGAAGAGUUACAAAAAAAAAAAAGCCUUCAAAUGACAAACAAGAAAAUGCUCCAUGUGAGAAUCAAAAGGAGCGACAAGAAAAACAAACUAAUAUGGAGCAAAAUGACGGUAAUUCUCAAACACUCCCCAAGGAAUGGAGGCAUGUUUCUUAUCACCCUAAAGAAUUAAUCUUAGGAGAUCUUUCACAAGGUGUAACCACUGGAUUAUCAUUUAGAAAUACUUGUGAACAUAUUGCAUUCAUAUCUCAAUUUGAGCCAAAUCCUUUUCAGAUGCGAAAAAUGAUGAAUCUUGGAUUAUGGCCUAGAUCAUCAAUCUGUUAUUAACAUAGGAUAUGUGGUUGUUUGGCAUAUGCUGAGCACUCUUAGGGUAAGUAACAAGUUACUUCCAUAUGGCAGUAUAAUUACCAAGAUUCUUAGACAUUUGUGAGUUCCUAUUAUUGAGCCAAUAUUUGUAGAUACCAAGAGGUUGGCAGGAGAAAUUAUUACUAGUCUGGGUUUUUUGGAAGAAAUAGAGAAUGGGUGAAGACAUCAAGUGUUAAGAACCAAAAUACCCUUGUUGGCCCCAAGGAUGAUAGGAUGCUGAAUGACAUAUAUCCAGCUGAUCAGUUACUUGAUUUGCACUAGAGCUCAGGUUCCUCAACCUCCAGCAGCAACACAGCCUCCAAUACAGCCUAGUUUUGAGGAGCAUGAGAUGGAUACUUAUCAACCUCCAGCUAUAAACAAUCAUCCAGUCCUUGAAGGCCUUGUACAGCAGCUGUUGGGUGAGGUUUGAUCGCUCUCUGAUCAGCAGCAACAGCUUCAGACUCAGUUUACUACCUUUAAGCUUUAGCAGCAACAGAUCUUGAUCAGCAAGAGCAGCUUCUGGGUGGCCACCAGUGCAUUUUCACUUCUCUUGUCAUUCCACCUUCAUCAACUUCAUCCCAUCCUUUGAAGUAGUUCAUUGUUGGUUUCUAGAUUUAGAUUUCUCACAAACAUCUUGAUGCAUUAUUUUAUUAUGACAUUUUGACUUUAUUAUACAUUUUAAUACUUAUAUGUGAUUGGUUUUCAUAUUUUGAUUAGUGUGUUGAUUUUGUGAUAAUUUUGGGAUGUUGAUUGUUGAUUUAAGUAUGAUAUAUCUAAAGUGUUUCUUGAAGUGAUGCUUGUUGAUAGGGGGAGGUUUUGCUGAAAUUUCUACUUGGACGGCAUGGGUAAAAAUCUAUUUUCUCAUUGUUUCUCUUUCCCUUUUCACUCUUUUGUUUUCUUUUUAACAGUGAAGGGCGAGAAGAAUACAUAUUUUUAUGCUUUAAGUUUGUUGUUAAAAAAGUGAUAUUUGUUAAAUUGGAAACUAUCUUAAACUUGAUACUUGAAUUAUAUAGGGGGAGCUUAAAUGUAGGGAGAGUAAUUCUUGCAAAUUUUUUCAAAUACUUGUAAGGUUUGUCAUCUUCAAAAAGGGAGAGAAUGUUAACAAACAUAUUUCUAUAAUGUUGAUUUUGAUAAUAAAAAACUGGAUUAACAAUAUUGGAGUCUUUAAAACUGAUUAAUUUUAAGCCGUAUGAAGUUUUUAGACAAGAAUAAGAUUUUGGAAAUAAAUAGAUAACCGUUAAUCAUUAGUCGGGAAACCAUUUUCUGAAGGAAAUUUUAUAAUUUUUUAUUCUGAAAGAUAACAGUGAACCGUUUAUUAGAAACUGUAAUAUGAUAAAUUCCAAAGAGCAAAUUCUUUGGAACCGGUGAACUGGUUUACUGAAAACAGUUAAUCGACAAAUUCCAAAAAGCAAGUUAACUCAAAACUUUAAAUUGAUUACUAGAAAUAGUUAGCUAAUUUGACAAGAAAACGGUAUGGUUACUGGCAUUAAUGUUACUAGCAAACGGUAAGCCGACUUCAAACAGAUUAGCUUUUGGAAUUUAAAGGUAAACCUACAACUCCAAACGGUGAACUAACUAUUCAAAUUUCAGCAUAAUGGUAACUUGGACAAAAUCAAAACGAAGAUCUGACAGUAGUUAACGGUGAUUUGAUUAUGAACAGAAAGUCAACAACAACUAGUUUUCUUCUACAACUAUAUAAAGGCUCAAUCAACUUCAAAUAAUAACAAAUUCUAGAUUCAUUAUUGAGCUUGUUAUUGUGUAUUCAACGUCUCUUGUGCUUAAAACUUGUUAGAUCACACAUUGGGCUUUCAUUUGAAAACACACAUAUUGUGUUAAAGAAAAUUUUGUGUAUUCUUCGUUUCAACAUCAAAUUGAGUGUUUAAGAGUGUAAGAAACACUUUGGUUAAGAGGUUUGGAAUAAUGUCUUGUUGUAAAGGUUGAUUGAUACCUUGGAAGCUAAUUGUAAAGAUUUUGAAGACUUAGGGUAAGCCUAGUGAGCUUAGAGGUGUGGACAUAGGCCGAGUUUGUCUAGCCACGUAAAAAUCUCAUGUUUAAUUUUCUUUCCCUUCUCUCUUUACAUUUUGAUUGUUUAUAUUUAUUUGUUUAUUAUUUGCUUGAUUUUAUUAGAUAUAUGCAUUGAAUUUUGAUUUAAGUACUUUAUAAUUUUAAAAACAGAAUUCACCCCUUUUGUGUUGCUUAGCUAGUAUUUCAAUGAGCACUUCUUCGGUAAGAUCUCCAUGCAAGAAAGAAUUUUUUAGAUCAAAUAGAAGAAGUGGCUAAUCUCGAUUGGUUGCCACUGACAAGAGCACUCUUAUUGUAUGAAGUUUAGCAACUGGUGCAAAAGUCUCUUGAUGACCAAUCUUAUAAGAUUGUGUAUACCCUUUUACAACUAAUCAAGCUUUCUAUGUUUCAACAGUUCAACCUAUGUGUAUGUUUGAUUGUAAAUACCCACUAAAACUCACGUUCCUCUUUCCUUUAAGUAAAGACACGUUUUCAAGUAGCAUUUUUUUUAAGUGCUAUCAUUCUUCCGCUAUUGCUUUGGUCCAUCUAGCAUCUGCUAAAGCUUCCUACAAUUUACUAAGAAUAGAGGCUGAUGAUAAUUGUAGUACUCAAGACACAUAUAUAUGACUUGGACAAUUUUUGGGAAGAUACAUAAUUACUAGUGGGGUAUCUAACUACGAUUUUAGGAUCAUGUUCACAUUUAAUAGGUGAUAUUGGGACGAUUAGGACUUAAGGUUAAUACUAUCAACAAAUGUAGGAUUUAAGAGUACCUCUAAUGGAUUCUCAGGAGAAGAUUGACUCAACAUUUUAUUGAAGUGCUAGAGGACGAAGCCUCUGAUGAAUUCUCAAGAGAAGAUUGGCUCAAUAGUUUUGUUGAAUUAUAAGAAGAUGGGACUAGGAUCCUCUCCUGAUCGAGGCUCUCUUUGUACCACCUGUAUUUAGUGCUACUAUAUGAUUAAGAUUUAAAUACCUUUAUUUUGUUAAUUUGUUAUCCACUAAUUAAGUUAAUAAAAUUUGCUCAGAAGAAGAUUAGAUCGAGAGAGAAUCCUGAUCUAAGAAGAUGAUGUACUAUCAUGGAGUGGAUCUAUUUUAGCUAUUAUAAAUGGGAUAAUUAGAGGUGUCGCCUCUACUCAUUUAAUUACUAGAUGAAUCUGGACUCAAGUGAAAAAAAUUGCAAGUCUUUAUGAUUAAGCACUUCAUCUGGACUCUCUGUUUGAAGUGAUGAAUCAAUAGUCAGUGAUAUGUACAAGAGUUUUGAUUAGUGUUAAAAAUUAUAUAUUUACUAAGGAGUAGAUGUUAUUUUGUGCUUAUAUUAUAAUUACAUUUAUAAUUAUGUAACAUAUAAAUUUUUUAUUAUGUUUCUAAAUAUAGGAUCUUGUGUAUUUUUGUGUAUUUAUUAGGUAAAAUAAUAAUUUCACACAACUCAAGGAGGUCCAAAAAAGUUAGGUCAUUGUUGAGGAGGAUCCGUGUUGUGAAAUUAUAAGUUUUUACCAUGUAAUAAUUGUUACUAGAAUAAGUUACUGCCAUGUUAAAUGCGGUAAUUGUUAGUAGAAUAAGUUGGGUGUGUUUGAGUGGAUUGAGUUAUGUUUAUGUUUGGUUAGUGGAGUAAACAUAUAGCCAUGAAAUAAUUUGCUUUAUUUAUGUGUGGUGUGGAUUGAUCAUGAACUAAUAUAAUGGAGAGGAACUCCUACACACCUCUCUACACCUUUUUUCACUUCUUUCUCUCCAAAUUCUUCACCCAUCUUUCUAUCUUAAUUGUGUUUUAAUAUUUUGUAAUUUAUUUUCAAUAAAUAAAUUUAGUUUUAUUUCAAAUUUUUAGUUUUAUUUAUUUCUUUUAAUUAUGUAUAAUUUAUUUUUUACAAUUAUUUUUAUUUCAAUUAAAAUUAUGAUUUAAUUAAAUUCAAUUUUUAAUUUUUUUAUUUGCAGUUUAAUUUAAGAGAGUUUGGUACAAUAAAUUCUUAAUAUUUUAGUAUCGAAUACGGUAAAAUAGUAUUUUAACUUAUUAUAUAAUUAAUCUUUUUGGAAAAUAAAGAAAGAAAAUAAUUUAUUAAAUUAUAUUUACUACUAAGAGUAGAUCCAUAGCCCUAACUAAUUUAUUUGUGUAGUUUCUUUAAAUUAUGUUUAGAUAAACUAAAAGAAAAUUAAAAAAUUAAUUUUUUUCCUUAUGGAUCGAUCUCGGACUCACCGAGUUAUAUUAUAACAAGACACUCUUAUAAUUGAAUCGUGUCAAGUUCAUUUUCAUUAAAGACACAUGCAUGGAAACAUAAAUUUUUUUAGAAGAUGGAUGAUAGCAUCAGUAGCCUUUUGAUUAGUCCCAUACCCAACAAACACACACUUUUAGGGUUAAGAAUCAAGCUCAAUAUGUUGCUAUGGAUGUAUGUGAACAUAUAUCACACACCAAAAACUCGAAGAGCCAGAAGAACGAUUUGAGGAAGAGUAUAGUGAUCAGAGAGAGGAUCCAAUGUAUUCUAAAUGAGAGGGAAUAUGACCAUAUUAAUCAAGGGGCACUAAGUGACUUCCAAAGAUGUCUAAUUUUUCACUCUACAACACCUUCAGUUGAUGAGAAUAAGAGCAGGUUGUUUGAUGAAUAACCAAAUUCAUGAAUUGCGUCAAUUCUUGCUUGAAGCACUUACCCCAAUUAUCAUAACGAAAGACUUUUAUUGGAGUACAAAUUAUAUAAUCACUAUCUGAUAAAACCACGAAAGACUAAGUGAGCAUCACUCCUAUGCUUCAAUUGAUAAACCCAUGUCAUCCUAGUGCUACCAUCCACAAAUAAAAUAAACCAUUUUAUUUUUAUGAGUAGAAAGUGGUGCAAGAUUCCAACAUUUGAAUGUAUUAAUGAGAAAGGAAGAUUUGCUUAAAUAUCACUCUAAUGAAAAAUAGUAGGUGGCCUUUUGCCGUUACACAAGUCUGACAAAUAAAAUUUGAAAUAUUGAAACCACUAAAUAAAUAUGGAAACAAUCUUCUAAGAUAACCAAAUAAGGGAUGUCACCCAAGUUUUCAUUCACCAAGCAAGCUUGCCCUUCUCUGUUGGAUUGAUGAAACCUAUGCUCCAAAUAGUACAAUUUAGUUUGGAUCUUUGAUAGUUCAUGUAGGAGAUAGAUGAACUCUAUAAUACACCAUUGAAUUGGUAAUGGUAGUUUUUGAACACCUAGGUGAUAAUUAACUAAACUUAUGUUGAUCACAAAUAAUAUCAAUUAUCCAAUCACUAUUUUUAGUAAAUGACAAAAGCUUAACAGUAGAGUUAGAUACCUGACUUGUUAGCAAAUCCUAUAACUAUGGUUAGAUUUUCCUUCGAGCUAGAAUCAUUCGCCUUAGAAUUGCAGGACACUUGAAAGACCUUCUUGUCUUUUAGAUGUCAAUUUGAAUAGCCAUGGAAGUUUGAAGCAUGUAUAUGCCAUAUUAUCACCAUUACAAUGAGUACACUUUCUAAAACCCUUUUUGGUGGUCGAUGUUUUUUAAGAAGCCAUCACAACUACUUCAUUUAUUGUUCCUCCAAUUAUAGCAUGGCAUAAGCGAUUUUUGUGGAGUGGUAUAGUAGCAAUUACACAAACACGAACCCCAUCUAAUGAUGAACCUCACAAAGAUAAGUGAGACCCUGCACUCAAUGAGAUUCCUUUUUCCAAGGAUCGUUCUAAUUCAGAUUCAAACAACUAUAAAAUAAAGACCUUGACCCUUUAUCUAUAAAGAUAAAAACCAAUGGUAUAGGUAAUAUAGGGUUGACACCACUUAAGAAAAAAGAGAAAGAUCGUGAGUGAUAAGUCAAGAAAUAACGCCAUGAAAUGAAAUCUUGAUAAGUUUUGAAAGUUUUUUGAAGAACCAAAGAGAAAAAACUCUCAUGAUUAUUAUAAACUUGGAUAUGAAAUUUUCAACAGGUUACAUGGGUUUAUAUGGUUGAAUUUUACUAAUGGAAGAAGGUUUUCCUUAUUGCUAAAUAUAACUUGAAGUAAAAGGAAAAUAAAAGUUCGAAAAGUAAAAAAAAAAAGAAAUAAAAGAUCACAUGGGUCCUAAUGUAGCAGACGUACAAAGAUUCCCUAGUAUAUAUCUCAAAAACUUUAUUAUUACAUAAAGUUAAGAUAUUUAUUUUUAAUAGAAACAAUGUUGAGCCUAUCAUACCCAUAUGCACUUCGCCUCGGUUGGGACUUGGCAUCAGCUUGCCCUACUCAUCAUUACCUGCAAUGUAAGGACUUUAUGAGCUAAUGCCUAGUAAGAUAACACUUGAUGCAUGUAUAAAUUAUUUUGCAUGUAGAUGACCAUAUUAAGUUUUUAAAAGAAAUACAAAACAACUUUAUUAGGGCCUUGAGUAGUUGCCCUUGGGCCUAAUUAGUUGAUCUUUUAGGCGUUACAUAUUGCCAUCCCCGAAAGAUUAUCUUUUACUAAGCUUGGACGGGUUUCCCUCUUUGGGAACUUUACCACCUUGUAGUACAACAACGCAUUUUUCAGAAAUUCAUUUUCUAAAACAUCUUCUUAUAAAGUAAUCCAUGAAAAGCAUGCAUUCAAUGCAACUUAUAUCAUAACAUGUGAAGUUCCUAGAUGUACAACAAAAUCAAACCACAAUGCUUUUUAAGGACAACAAUCUUUAAUACAGGUGGUAGUGCCAUCCAUAUAGAGAUUAAACAAAAUAGGAUUAUAAUUAAGUAAAAGUAUCACAGAAUAGGCAACAUAGUCGACCAUACGAGGAGUAAAUAAGAAAAUAUCAUAAUAUAGGCAGCAUAGCCGUCCAUAUAAGGACAAGUAAGGAAAUACCACAAUAUAGGCAGCAUAGCCGUCUAUAUAAAAAUUUAGAUUAUAACCAAUCACAUUAUAAUAGGCAUCACAAGAUAAAGGAUUAGUUAAAGUUGAAGUUAAGUAUGAAAAUAAUUUUGUCCUUACAUUGUAGAAGAAGUGCUACUUAUCUUUUUACCUUGACUUCUCUAUACCUUUUUAACUUGAGGAUUUCUCUACUCUUAAUGUUAUGACUUAAAAUAGAAAAGGAUUGAAUUUCUAGGGUUGUAUAAAAAAUGAAAGGGCUAAGGGUAUUUAUAGGAUUUCGUAAGGCUAAUGGAUGGUAGGAUUUGCCACCAUAACUGUUGAUUAAUGGUUGAGAUUAUCCCUACAUAAAUAUCUUAGUAAAUUCUAGAAUUCCUAUCUCUACAAACAUCUCUUAUUGGUUUGAAAGUCUAGGCGAAUACAGACAACUCCAAUUGAUCCAAACCACUGUUCCAAUAGCCCUUGCGGUUAUUUAUGAGCAGUUUCUUAGAGAACUAGCAGCAGACAUUGAAGCAUCUCGAAAAGAAUAUCACCAAAUGAAAUGUUGUUCUCUUAACCGAAAUCACCUGGAAAUGCAUUACAAAAGGAUGAGCAUGCUUUAUUACAAGCUAAAUGGAUUCAAUGAUCCAUCCUUAAAGCAUGUCUUUGCUUUAUCUUUACCAUCAGAGCUUCAGCCAGAGCUUCAAAGUCAAUUGACAACCUUUAACCUUGACAUAACAAAUGUCUCCCUUGGAAAAAUCUUUCAAUUAACCAUGUUAUGCCUCGAUAAGAUCUGUGAGCAAAAAGAUUUCUUCAAAGACCUUAUUGAACACAAAGAACCCUUUGCCUCAGCCUGUAAAAAACCCUACCUCAGAAUCCAAUGCAAAGAUGACAAAAAAUGCACUUGUCCAACCACCAAAAAGAAGCACUUCCAGAAACAUUUCCACAGAUCCUCUUCCAAAAAACCAAAGAAGCCCUACAGAUACUUCAGAAAAAAGGAUCCUUCCCAAUUCAGAUAGAAGAAACACAAUCGCUGCUUUAUUUGCAAAAAACACGGACAUUUUGUCCGCAAUUGCCCAAAUAAGUCAGCAAAAGUUGUUCGUCUCAUUCAGCACCUACAGCAAUCUUCUAUCCUUUUUGACAACGACGAAGUUGAAUCCAUCUUCUCAUAACAAUCCGAGAAAGAUGAUUAUACAUACAGGCUUCAUUCUUGUUGAUUUAACAGAUUCAGAUCCAGAUGACAUUUCUGUGAUCUCCACUAUUCAAGAGAUUAACCACAUUCGCCCCACACUUUCUGGUCCACCAAUAAAAAUUUCAGUUAUCCCUUCUAAAUUCCAUAAACCUAUCUCAGUUAUUGGUUUCCUUGAUACUGGCGCACAACGCAGUAUGCUCAAUCCUAAAAUCCUUCCUCCAGCCUAUUGGGACAACCAUACUGAAUACUUCAGAGCUGAAAAUGGAAAAGUUUUUGAAACUUCCCUCAUUACCAAAAAACCCAUUGGUAUCCAGUUCUUCCCCAACUGUAUCAUUUGGCAAAAGAUUGUUGGUUCAGAUUUACCAGACAAAGAUCUCCUCAUCGGAUUUGAUAUCCUCCAACUGGUAAAAAACCUCUUCAUUAUGCCAACAGGCAUUAAAUUCAAACAAAUGUUUAUGCCAUAUACAGAUGUUAUCCGUCUGCAUACAUUAUUAGAUACAGAUCCUCCUUAUACCUCCAUUUCUCACAAGUUCCUUGAACUUUGUCCCGAAAAUCACUCACAAUUCACUCAUCCAUCACCGCUUUGGAAAAAUACACACUUUUUCAUAGGGGUGGGCAUUUUACCCAACCCGACCCGAUAAAUUUCGGGUUCGGGUUGGGAUUGAAACCCGAUCGGAUUGAAAUUUAACAACCCGAUCAGGUUCCCAAAAAAAAAAAAACCUAAGCUAACACUACACACAGCACACAGCCACACACCCAUACGUUGCUGCACAGCACACACACAUAUGUUACAAGCUACACAGCACACAGCCACACACACAUACGCUGCUCGGCUGCUGUACACACACAACACAAGUCACAAGCUGCACACUUGCACAGCGUACACACAGAACAGAACAGAACAGAAGUCACAAGCUGCACAACACAUUUAGUGAACACACACGAGCUGCACAGUAGCAUACACACAUGCUGCACAUAGUCACUCAAGUCUCAACAAUUCACUCGCAAACUUAACACACACACACACGCUGUCAGCCACAACUUCACAAAUCACAACUCACAAGUCCAAACAAGUAAACAAACACAAACAAGUGAACAACUGAACAACAGAACAAGGCAACCGCAACCCGCAAGUCUGCAACCAGCCACCACAAGACGCGAUCUGUUGCUGCCAACUGUUGAAAUCAUGAUCUAUUGCUGCCAAGUGAAGUCGCGACCAGCAGUGAGCCGUGGGCCAUCCACAUCUCCGUGAUCUGCUGCUAAGUGAAAUCCCGUCCGUCCAGCCUUGAGUCGUGGCCACCGAUCUGCUGCUUGAAGGCCGAAUCCUCUCCACCCAAACCCAAUUUUGAAGCUUUCCGGUUUCCACCUUCCACUUUCAAGUUUCAAGCUUCAACUUUUUUCAAGUUUCCCAAGUCGUUUCAAUUUUCAAUUCACGGUUUAUAUACACUAUAUAAUUAAUUAUUUAUAUAUGCUAAAUAGUUUAUUAUGUAAUUCAGUAAUUGGUUAUUAUUUAAUUGUUGUAAUUAACUAAUUAUGUAUUUAUAAAUAUUAGUAAUAAAAUCAAGGAAAUUUUGUUAAUUAUUGAGCUCAUCAGAAUUUUUUUUUCAUAUAUAAAAAGGAAUUGUUGAUUGGUGGGUUUUGUUUUUUAUUUCAUUGAUUAUUAAUUUGUUAUCGUUUGCUCUCUUUAGCGAAUAGACUAUAACAAUCAAGCAUAAAUGACAUAUGAAAAUGGUGUUAGCUAGCGAAUAACAAAAAUGUUGUUAAUUAUUAAUAAUUGAAAUAAUAUUAAUUGAUAAUUGUUAAUAAUAGUUAAUAAUUGAUUUUUUAUGAAUAAAUUAGUACAUUAGGUAGAUUAAAUAUUAAAAUUAGUCAUUAUGUUGUAUAUUUUUUAUAAUUAUAAUGUGUUAUGUAAUUAUGUGUACUUGUGCAGUAGCUUCAAGCUUUCAACCAUAAAAAAUUAAUAAAUUCAAUUAAUAUUUUAUUGUAUGUUAAUCAUUCGUUAAGUUGUUAAAUUAAAGGAUUUAAUUUAUAACAAGAAAUAAGAUAUAGAUAGACAAAUAAUAUCAUAUUAUUAUGGGGAAUGGACAAUUGGAUAUUAUAAAUUAAUUAAUUAAUCAUGAAUUUCUUAUUUUUUGUUUAUAGAGCAUGAACAACUUGAAUUGAAAUUACUAAUUUUUGUUUAUGGAUUAUGUUAAUAAUAUUUUAUGUGUUUUGAUUUUUGAAUUAAUGAUUAUUAAUAUUAUUUUGAAUAUUCAGAUGCUUGGACACUCAAGAUCGAAUUCGAUGAGUGACGAUGAACCCAUAGAGGAAAGGAAAAGGCGAAGCGGAAAAGACCGCCAAUGAAGAAAAGAUCGGCAGUAUGGAAUCAUUUCACUUUACUCGAAGAUAAUCCAAACAAAUGUAUGUGCAACUAUUGUGGUAAGCAAAUCAAUGUCAUUCAAGGCUUGAUGGGAUUACAAAUAUAACAAGCCAUAUAAAGACAUGUGAAUCAUACAAGACAUUUCGGGCACAACAAAGUGGAAGUCAACAAAAUUUGACAUCCGAGGGCGGUGAAGAAAAUGCAAGUAAUUUGAUUUUGGGUAAAGGAUGGAGUCAAGACGCGUGUCGAAGGGCAGUAACUAAAAUGAUUAUUAUGGGUGAGUUGCCGCUCAGUUUUGUAGACAACAAAGGAUUUAGGCAUUUCUGCAGUGUAGCUAUCCCUCAGUUUGUUAUGCCAUCUCGAAGAACAAUUGGUAGAGAUGUUAUGGAGUUAUUUUUGGAGGAAAAGGCAAUUUGCAACAACAAGCAGUGGGUUGUUAUGGACUUCUGUUCAAAACAUGAGCUACAUAGUGAUUACAGCUCAUUUUGUUGAUAGCGAUUGGUGUUUGAAUAAGAGGAUUAUUAGUUUUAGCGCAAUCGAAGAUCAUAGAGGGAAGUCGAUUGGUAAAAAGAUUGUGGCUUGCUUAAUUAGAGGAAUGAUGAUGCACUUGUGUUGGCAGGACAAUAUAUGUAUGUGUAUUGAUGUGCACACAUUUUGAAUUUGAUUGUUGUUUCAGGAUUGGGAGAGUUGCAUGCUAGUGUUACCGUUAUUCGAAAUGUAGUGAAGUACAUGAGAUCCUCCAGCAUGAGCCUGCAGACAUUUAAACAAUGUGCUGAGCAAGUGAAUUGUCCAAAAGGAAUUGUUGUUUUGGAUUGUCCUACUAGGUGGAAUUCCACUUAUUUGAUGUUGAUGACUGUGCUGAAAUUUCAAGCAGCAUUUGAUAGAAUGGCAGAAGUGGAUAAACCUUAUGAGGCAUACUUUACUGAGAAAGAAAAUAAUGUUAGAAGGGUGGGCCCACCUGGACCGGAUGACUGGGAGAGUGCUGAACGAAUUGUUAAGUUUUUGAAGGUAUUUUAUGAUGCCACAUUAUUGUUUUCUGCCUCUUUGAGUGUGACUUCUAAUCUUUGUUAUGGUACUAUUGGCUUAAUUGAGAGUUCAUUGAUUGCACUGCAUGAAAGUAUAGAUCCUUGGGUGUCCUCUAUGGCUUAUAGUAUGAGGGAAAAAUUUGACAAGUAUUGGGAGUCCACAGGAAAAAUAAACAAAAUGUUGAUUAUUGCCUCUAUUCUUGAUCCACGAGCGAAAAUGUAUUUUGCUAAACAUAUUUUUGAGAUCAUUUUUGGCAAUGAUAGUUUGAUGGUUGAACAAAUGACCAAAGCAGUGAAGGACUUGUUGAAUGAGUUUUUGAUGCAUAUAGUGCAUUCUCCGCUAGUUCCACACCAUCAAUGUAUGGUGAGAGUGGUCUUAGUGGUAGCUAUGGAGGUACAAGUUCUUCUCAACGUUUUACAACUGAGGCUAAUUUGGUGGAUGUUGCUGGUGGUGAAUGUGAUGACGCUUUUCAAGUAUCUCGCCCUUUCCUUGGAUAUGCCAGGAAGGUUUCUGUUCAGAAUGAGAGUAGAAGAGUAGUAUCUGAGGUGGAAAGGUACUAGAAGGACCCAGUUGAAGAUACCAGCAAUCUUAAACUUAAUGUUUUGCUUUGGUGGAGGGUGAAUGGAUCGAGGUAUCCAAUUCUUGAGAAAAUUGCAAGAGAUGUCCUUGUUGUUCCUAUUUCCACAGUGGCAUCUGAGUCUGCCUUUAGCACCGGGUGUCGUAUUAUUGAUGAGUAUAGGAGUUCUUUAACUCCGGCUAUGGUUGAGGCAUUGAUAUGCACUGAAAAUUGGUUGCAGUCUAAACUUUUUGCCAAUCCCAUCUACAACCUCCAAGAAGAUAUCAAGGAGCAAAUGUUUCAUAUGGAAUUACAAGAAGGUAAUGUUUUUAAUUUUUUAUCAUACAUUAAAUACAUAAUAUAUUUAAAAUGCAUUAUAACUUUAAUUUUUUUUAUUUUAUAGAGCUUAUAAGAUCGCAAGCUUUGACAGUGGAAGCGGUGAGCGCCGACAUUGGUGUUAUGGAUGUUUGAAAGGUAAUUUUUAAUAUAUAUUAUUAUUCAUAAUUUGAUAUUAUAGUACUAUUAGUAUUUAGUUGUAAUUUAAGCUAUAAUUAUAGUUGUUAUAGUUUUAAAUUUCAAGUCUAAUUUGUAAUUGUUUUAGUUAGACAAGUUUGUUGAUAGAAUGUUAUUAUUGUCUAGUAUUAUUAUUAACUUGAUUUGGUGAUGAAUGCCAUAAAAUAAGCAUGAUAUAAUAAAAAUAUAUAAUCAAGUGUGUAUUGAAAAAUUUGGUAAACAUAUAUAUUAGAAAUUAGAAAUUAGAAAGAUUGUAACACCCCUUUAGCUUAAUUAAAGAUAUGAAUUGGAUUUAUUUAUUUGUGUUUGUAUUUGAUGUGUAACCUUAUAAAUUUGGUUUAUUUGCUCAAUUUUUUAUUUGAAUUUAGAACUUGUCAACGACUCAAAGUGCUUGCAUGAAGCCAUGGAGGAACCAAAAAAUCUUAUUUAGUUUUAAUGUUUGAACUUUGAACUUUGUGAUUUAUGUUUCUAAACAAUUUAAUUUUGUUACUUUGUGAGUUUGUGUUUCAAACUUUUAAAGACUAAUAUUUGGAAAUUGUGCUUUGGACUUUGUAAGUUUGUAUUAAUUUUAACUUUUAUUAAGUUUUGAACUUUGGAUUUUGUUGGUUGAGCAAAUAAUAGUCCUAAUUCUAUUUCUACCCUCCAAGCCAAUAGGCAAAUAAUCCUAUUAUAGCAUUUUAACUUUAUUCAUUUGAUUUAAUAACAUUGUUUUCUUUUUUUCAGUUGAAAAUUAGUAAAAAUGACUACAAUUAAGAAAAAUGUCUUAAAACUUUCAUAAAAACUACAAUAAUAGGAAAAAAAAGAGCUCAAAAUUGCAUUAACCGAAUUUGACCCGAACUGACCCGAAUUGACCCAACCCGAAUUGACCCGAUUUCAACCGACUCGAACUGACCCAAUUUGAUCCGAACUGACCCGAUUUGACCUGAUUUAACCCGAACUGACCUGAUUUGACCCGAACUCAAUCAUACCCAUUUUAAAUCCAACCCGAUCCAACCCAAACAUAACUCGAAUUAUUGACCCGACCUGAACCGGGUCGGGUCUUUAAUUCAGGUUAUGUUCGGAUUGGUUCUUGUCUAACCCGAAAUUCGAUCGGGUUGACCCGAACCCGAUUCGAACCUGAUUUUACCCACCCCUACUUUUUCAUUCAUCUUCCUUUCAAACUCAAUGAAGAUGUCAAUCCUACCAAAGCCACACAUUCGGGGAUGCCUCCAUCUGAUCUCACUCUCGCCAAGCAAGAAUGCACACAAUUGCUUCGGCAAUGUCUCAUAGAACCCACUGCUUCAAAUUGGGCUUGUCAAGCUUUCUAUGUUGAAAAAUGAUCUGAAUUAGUUCGUGGAAAAAAGAGAUUAGUCAUUGAUUAUCAGCCACUUAAUGCUUUCCUUAAAGAUGAUAAAUUUCCUCUUCCAAAGAUCCAGUCCCUAUUCAUUCAUCUUCAAAGUGCAAAAGUAUUUUCAAAGUUUGAUCUUAAAGCUGGUUUUGGGUAACUUGGCAUUUCUCCAGAAGACUGUCCCAAAACAGUCUUCUGUAUCCCUGAUGCUCAUUAUCAGUGGACAGUUUUACCCUCCGGUCUCAAAGUUGCUCCAUCCUUAUUUCAAAAAGUAAUGGUUAAGAUCUUCUCUCUGAUCCUCCAUCAUGCUUUUAUCUACAUUGACAACAUCCUGUUAUUCUCCCAUGACCACCAAACACAUCAACAACUCCUUUCAGAUUUCCUGGAAAUCGUGCAGACACAUGGCAUCAUGCUUUCUGAAAAGAAAAGUAGCAUAGGAAAGGAAUCUAUUGACUUUCUUGGCAUGGUCUUAAAAGAUGGUCACUACCAUCCAGGACCACACAUUGCAGCAGAAUUAUUAAAGUUUCCCGACAUCAAUCUCACCAAAAAGCAAAUUCAAUAGUUCCUUGGAAUUGUUAAUUAUGUCAGAGACUAUUCCUAAAGUUGCAGUCCACACCAGCCAUCUAUCAUGCAUGCUCAAAAAGAGCUCUCCACCAUGGGGUUCGGCUCAGACAGCAGCUGUAAAGCAGCUUAAAAAGAUAGCCCAAUCACCUCCUCCACUCAAAAUUCCCACUACCGGACAACGCAUUCUCCAGACAGAUGCUAGUGAUGACUUUUGGAGUGCUAUCCUCUUGGAAAAGAUCGGUGACUCAGAGUCCUAUUGCGCUCAUACAAGUGGACAGUUCAAAGAUUCAGAAAAGAAUUAUCAUGUGAUUUAUAAGGAAAUUCUUGCGGUAAAAUAUGGAAUCAAGAAGUUUGAAUUUCAUCUCAUUAGCCACAAUUUCCUCAUAAGAAUAGACAACAGUUCUUUUCCAAAGAUCUUUGACUUCAAGAACAAAUUGCUUCCUAACAAGCAAUUACUCAACUUAAAGACAUGGUUUGCAAAGUAUGACUACACAGUCCAACACAUCAAAGGUGAUAAAAAUCUUAUCCCUGAUUUCCUCACCCGACCAUCUAUAAAAAGCCAUGUUCUCAUCUCUUCCAUCUAAACCAUCCCCAUAAUAGCCAUGUAUCGAUCACUUCCCUUCAAAGCUCUCACUCAAAAGGCUUUUCCUCUAAACCUCACUUUCCGAUCAGCCUUCCAAAUCCAAGACUUUACAAAGAAAUUCCUUUACAUGUAUUUCAUGAAUGUUCACAGAACCAUACCCGAAACGUUUCCCUCUCUAUGCUUAGAACAUCUGUUCCUCUCUGGUUUUACCAUUGUUCCCAGUCUCACCAUCUCUAAAGAUGAGUUAUGGUACAUGUGGUGUCUCACAGUCCUGUUUGCUACAAAACUUGUUCUUCCUGUUCGACCAACUCUUAGGCAUAUCUCCACACCAGAUCAUGUACCCACACUUCUCUGGACACUCCUUGAAUGGUUUUCACCACUCACUUAGUGGCGUAAACAAUUACAAAAUAUAUCUAACUUUCAUCAGUUAGAUCGAAUUCCAGAUCAAGAAGCAGAUAUGUUUACUUCGGUAUUCAUAGUCCACGGGCCCUAUUUCCAACAUCCUCAGACAAAAGACUACUGGACACAGGACAUGACGUAUGAAUGGAAAACAUUCCCUCAUCCUUUCCCUCUUGACCAUGAUCCUACAAUCAUCUCCACUCUCAAAGCCUUCUUGUUAGAACUCAACAAUAUUCAACCUGUCCCAACAAACAUUCACCACACCUCCAUUGGUCCUUCCCACACUCUUGAGAUUCUACCAGGCACUCAAAUAUGUACUCCAGGAUCCAGUUCCAAUCCUCAUGGCAUUCUUGUUCGAGAACAAAGACCUGACUACACCAAUGUUCUCUUCCAAGACGCUCAAGACCCUUGGGCAGACUUUCAAUCCUUAUUACAGACCCAAGACACUCAGUACACCGUCACUGAACCAGGCUCUUCCUCUAUUACACCUCAAGCACAACGACCAGCAAGCCCCGAAUUAGAUGAAGACAUCCUAAUUUACCAAGAGAUCCAAAGAGCAAAAGAAGAAUAUGAAAAUGAAACUGGUGACAUGUCCCCAUCCAGAUUUCCCUCAACUCCAUAAUUGCCUAACAUGGCUACAGAGUCAUCCGAAAAUCUCAGCUUUUCCUGCUUUCAAUAAAAGACAUGGGUCCUACCUUGUCUAAAGUGUGUUUUAGCUUUUAUGCUUUUGCUUUUGCUUUAAUUAUGGUUUGCUUUUGCUUUAUGCUUAAAGAAAAGAUAAGGGUCCUGUCUUAUCUUUAUCUUUCUCUUUACUUUAGCUUUCCAGCUCUAUUUAAGAGCUCUUCGGUCCUUGUAAAAUUCAUAUUGCCAUCAAUAAUAUUUCUAAGUUUUUCUUAAACUUCUAUGGCUUACUAAGUCUAUCUUCUUCUUCUAGGUAACGAAGAAAAUACUUGAGUUAUUAAACUAAGAGCGUUCAUCUCUAUUUUCUAUACUGAGUAUGCUCUACACUUGCCUUGCUUCAAGGAUCCUGUGUAUUAGAAAAGCCCUGAUUUAUUUAUAAAAUUGAUUUAAAAUAAAACUGUUUUCUCACAACGUUCACCCUCUUUGAAGGUCAGAGAUGACCUGUUUUCGGGUGGUAUCAUGAUCAAUGGUUUUUUCUUUUUUGGAUUUUAUAUCUCAGGGAUUAUAGGUAUAUCGGCUGGAAACCAGAACUUGUGGACUACUGGUCCAAAGGAUAGUCUAGCACUAUCAUAGUUCAAGUAUAACAACGCCACGUACCUGUUUCACCCAGUGGUAUCAGAGCCACUUGUUCUUUUAGCCAAUAAUGAUGAUAUAUAUAUUGCCAUUAUGUACUUAUGCUUUGCUUAAGUUUUGAUGAUAAAGAAUGUGCUUUGAUGAUUACAUUGUAUUUGAUGAAGUUUGAUCUUAUGGGAUCUAUGAUUGGUGAAUGAAUUCUUUAUUGAUGUAUUGUUGAAUAUGCAUUAUUUGCUUUAAAUGAUGUUGAAAGGGGGAGAAAUACAUGUACUUUGAGAUUUUUAAGCAUAUAAGAUUCUUUAAGUUAUAUUGAAAUGUCACAGUACAUCUUUGAUGAGUUUAGUUGUCUUGAUUUCUAAAAUGUGAUUAGUAUCUAUGGAGCUUGGAUAGUUUGAUAAUAUGCUCUUAUGACUUUUGCAUGCCUUACUUAGUCUAUUACUUGUUUUCUUGAUUAUUGUUAGGGGGAGUUGUCUUAGCAACUCUAUUUAGUUCUUGUUGUUUCUAUUUUGGAUAAUAUGCAUUUUGAACAUUUUUGUUGUCCAUAGGGGGGGAGACAAAGUAAAAUACCAUUUUGAUGAUAAGGGGGAGAAUAACAUGCACUUUCAGCAUUCUUUUGAAAAUAUGUGAUUAUGGUGAAAUAUGAUGAUGAUUUGAUUACAUGGUUGUUUUAUAUGAUGAUUUUAUGUUAUGAGUUGCUGAUUUGGUAAUUGAUGGAAUGAUGGUUCAUGAUCUUUUUAUGGUUGAUGGAUUGUGUGAUGAUUUGUGUAUAGAGUUGGUUUGUAUGAUGAUUUAUGAUAAUAUGGGAGUGAUAUUACUAAACUUGUAUUUUUGAGGUGAUGCUUGUUGUUAGGGGGAUAUAUGUCGAAAUUUCUACUCGGACAACAUGGGGCAACAAAUUUGUUGCUCUUUUUCUUUUCCACUAAGUUUUCUUUUUGAUAAUGAAGGGGGAGAAGAAUACAUGUAUUUAAAUUUGUUAAUUUAGCUGAUUGGAAGAUUGUUUAAACUUAUAAUAUACUCAAGGGGAGCUUACAUUUAAAGGGAGCAAUUUGUGCAAUCAUUCUUUAAAUACUUUUAAGGCUUGUCAUCAUCAAAAAGGGGGAGAUUGUUAACAUAUAUUAUUCAUAAUGUUGAUUUUGAUGAUAAAAAAUAAGAUUAAGAAUGAUUAAGUUUUCAAAAGCUCAUAUUAUUUUUCAUACAUUUUAAAUAAAUCAUUAUUUUAAUAAUAUAAAGGUUUUAUACUUAAAAGGAAAAAUGAUUUUAUGAAAUUUGUUGUUUUUUAAGUUCAUGUUCUAAUUGAAAAAGUUUUGAAAACUUUGAAAUCAACAAGUAUUGCUUGAAAUUCUAGAAAUGGACUUACUUGAAAAGUUACAUAAAGUUUGGGCUAUAGUAUAAUUACAAAAUGUUUUAGGUCAAAACUAUAAUUUUGAAAAAUAAUGUCACUAUAGCAAACGACAAACCGACAUCAAACAUAAUUGAAGAUUAACUUCUGGACACUAAGGCGAUCUGACAUCUUGAUAACGGCUAACCGACAUCAAAUAGAUUUGAAGAUUAGCUUCUGGACACUAAUGUCGAUCCGACAUCUGGUAACACAACGAUAACUUGCUCAAGUUAAAACGAUGAUCCAAUAAUGCUUAACGACAAUCCGACUCUAUGCAGAAAGUCAAUAACAACUAGUUUUUCAUAGGGAUGGCAAUGGGGAGGGGAGGGGAGGGGACCAAUCUCCCCAUACCCAUCCCCGAUAUUUUGCAUAUGUCCCCGUCCCCUCCCCGUCCCCGUCAGAAUUACUUGAGAGAAUCCCCAUCCCCUCCCCGAAUAAUAACAGGGGAUCCCCGAGGGUCCCCGGUCCCCGAAUAACUAAUAGUCUAAUACAUUAUUUUUAUUUUCGAUUUUAAAUUAAUCAUAUUAAAAUAAAAAAUUCAGAUAAAAAUAAAGUUCAAAAUAUAUCUUACAUUAAUAUUGAUCCAUUACAAAGUCACAUUCAAAAUAUAAAUUAUUAAAAUAAUUAUAAAACAAUGAAAAUAAUAUAAGUAAAGUAACUUAUAAGUGCAAAUAUUAAUAACUGUAUAAUAUAAUCACAAUGUAAAAUAAACUCAUACUGUUAUUGUAAGCUCGUAACCAACUUUGACAGCACAUUAAGGCCUCCAAUGUGCUUGGAUGAAGUUUGUUACGGUGUGGGCUCACAACUCUACCACCGAUGCUAAAAGCUGAUUCAGAAGCAACUGUUGUAAUUGGAAUUGUCAAAAUAUCUCUAGCAAUUCGAGCUAAUGUAGGAUACCUAUUAGCAUUUAAUAAUAUAAAUAUUUUGAUAUUUAUUAUUUUUAACAAUAUUUAUAAUUUUGUUAUUUAUUUAUUAGUAAUUUUAAAAAUAAAAAUAAAAUUAAAAAUUAAAAUGGGGAAAUGGGUAGGGGAUGGGGAUUCCACCUCAUCCCCGUCCCCUCCCCGCAUAAAAAAUUGGGUAAAAAAUUUUCCCCGUCCCCUCCCCGAAAAAAAAAUUGGGUAUAAAAUUAUACCCGUACCCUCCCCGAAUGGGGAAAAUCCCCGAGGGUACCCGUCCCCGUGGGGAUUUUUGCCAUCCCUAGUUUUUCAGCUCCAACUAUAAAAGGGUUACAUCAGAUCCAAAUCAAAGUGAAUCCAACGAACAUCAGAGAGCAUAUUAUUGAGAAUAGAAUAUUUCUUGAGCUCUAAUUUGUUCAUUCAUUCUUUAAAUCACACCUUGGCAUACAUUUGUAAACACAUAGAUUGUGUUUGAGAAAAUUCUUGUAUUUGAGAAAGUGUGAGUGUGGGAAACACUUGGGUUAAGAGAGUUGGGAUAAUCUCUUGUUGUAAGGGUUGAUGAACACCUGUGAAGUCAAUUUUAUAAGUUCUUGAAGCUUUGGAGGCUUGGAUAGUGGAAUCCUCAAGCCUUCACAAUAGGAUUUUACCAAAAAGCCUUGACUUGACCCUUGACCUUUAAAUUAAUUUUUAAAAUUAAAAAAUUCAACACUUAACUAUUAAAACACAGAAACCAUAAAUGUGGUCACAACUCAAUCCACUAAUAGUUGUUUCUAUUUCAUAUAAAUUUAGUGUUUUGCAUUUGAUUUACUUGUUGUUGUUAAAGCUAAAUAAAAAAUAAUUUAUUAAAUUCCUUACAGCCAGAGUCAACAUAAAAAUAGAAUAAUAAUAACAUAAUAUUAUUAAUAAAGAAUGAAGAAUUAGAGUCUAUUCUAAAAAAGUAUCUAAAAAUUAAAAAAAAAAAAGAAAAAACUUAUGGUCAAGAUCGGAUAAAACCUGAGCUUGACCUUGACGUGACAAGCCCUUAGUUUGAAGGGUUAGGCUUUCUAAGGGUAAGGACCUUUUAUUUUAAUAACAUGGUCGGGUUAGGCUAGUCCAACCUAGCCCACUGCCUAGCCUACUAAGGAAAAUUAAACAAAAACAAUAAAUUAUUUUAAUUACACCUCUAUUAUUUUAUAGAGUUAGGCUAUUAGAACCCCUCUAAUCUCCUCGUGAAAUCCCUUUUUCUGCUAUAGUUAUUUAUUUCCAAAAAUAUUCUUUUCUUCAAAUAUACUUCUAAUUUUUUACUUGAUUUUUUAUUGUUAAAUUACGCUCAAAGUAAUAUUGUGUUAUUUAUCAUUUCUUUUGCAAUCUUAUUAUUAACCUAUAGACAAAUUAAAAUUUGUUUUGAAUGUUAAUCAUUAGCUUAAAUUACACAUAUUUAAAUUAUAAUUUAAGAGCAAUCUUAAGUACAAAAAUAUUUUAUCAAUAAGAAAUACAAAAAGAAUAAUAGAUUGUUCUAAAUUUUAUGUAAUUUAUUUUAGUUCAAUAGGAAAUAAUGGUAGAAACUUAAAAAAAAAAAAGAUUGAUUAUGAAUGUAAGUAAUUUGUUGGGGAAAAAAAUCUGUGUUUAAGUCUUAUUUGUCCUUAAUUGUAAUUCUAUUCAAAGUGAGGUUUUUUAAGGAUAAUGAAAGGGUGCCAAUAGCUUUACUCUAAGUUAUAACCCCCUCAUAGUUAUUAUAAUGAUAAAGAGGUUUUACUGUAGAAAAUUUUUAUAAUAUAUGCCCAAAAUAGUCUUCUGCGUAAAUUCCUCUAUACAUGCGUUAUUUAAUGAAUUAUUUUUUUGUUAGAAAUUUUUUCUUUAAUGAUUCAUUAUUUUAAAUGUGUAAUUGUUUUAUAAUUGGAAGUUAAUUUUUUUUUAGGCAAAACCUGAAGGUUUAAGAGGUGGUGAUGAGAAAAAGAAAAAGAAAAAGAAGAAGAAAUUAGAGAAUAAAAUCGUUAAGGAGAGGAAAGAAAAAAAAAUUAAUGAUUUAUUAUCAAUGCCAUUUUAUUCAUUGGAUCACACAACUAAUGUCUAUAAUUGUGUUUAAAUUUGUGUCUAAAGGAGCUAAAAUUUUUAACUUCAAAAAAAUUUGUAGUUGUGGAUUGAUCUUGGAGCUAGCAUGGUACCUGCAAAAGACAAUCCAAUGCCCAAGCUAGUGCUUUUCUAAGGCCAUGAAGAAAAAAGAAAAAGAAAUUGGGAGAAAAUGAAAGUGGACUUUAUUUAUAGAAAAUGGGAUGACAAUUUUGAGGACACAUGUCACUAGUUCAGAUGAAUACAUGUGUUCUAGAUUCAUGUGUAGGAAUUUUGUACAUUAUUCUGUGUAUGUCCUUUUUCCCUUCCAUUUUGCUCGUGAUUAUGAUUUUCUUAUGUGAUAGAUCUAGAGCCAUGUUGAACCUAGCUCAUCCUUCUAUUUUUGUUUUCCUCUGUAAUUUACUUAGGACGUCUAUUCUAGAUGUCAUCUUAUCCGAAAUGAUCACUCUUGUGUUACUUGACGUGGUUCCUGUGACACGAUUCAAAAGUAUUACUACUUCCAAGUAUUAAAGUGUCUAGUUCCAGUGAGUCCGAGGUCGAACUAUAGGGAAUUUAAAAUCUAGUGGCCAAUUUGUUAAAUAAAGAAAAUUAAUUGCGGAAAAAGAAAUUACUAGGAAUCAAUUUAAAAAUAUGCUAAGGUUACCGGAUCUACUCUUGGAUUUCAAAUUACAGUUAUUAUGCCAUUUAAUUCUUAACUAACUUAAAGUGUGAUAAAUAUGGGACCAAUUAUCUAAUGUGCUAAAACUAUAUUAAAGUGUCGAAAUUAUAUCAAAAUACCAUAUAAAUCUAAAGUGAUCUAGAUCUAUAAAUUAACAUGACAUAAAAGAAAUUGGUAAGGAAGAAAAAUACAACAAAUAAAAACUUUAAGCCUCACUUGAGAGAGUAAUUAAUUCAAAAUUUGAAUCCUUGAGCUUUAUUCUUCACCCCAGCUUAGAAAAUUAGCCACUCAUACUGAGAAACAAAAUACUCAUUUUAUUUCACAGACUUCUGGAAUAAACUACAAGGAUAUUGAUUACACCAGAAAACAAGAAAAGAAAGAAAGAUUUCAUUAGCCUCACUCCGUUCUCUCCUCCCCAGCUCCCCCUCUUUGCAAAAGCUUCUUCUAUUUAUAGGCGGUAGUCAGCUUCAACUUCUUUUAUUCUAUUAUUAUUUCUUAUUAAUAUCACAUAAACAAACAAGCAAAACAUGGGUGAUGGUCAGGUGGCAUAAUGGCCUCCUGACCAUCACCAGCAUGAUUGCCCACUUUUUCUCUUUUUUUUUUUAUAUUUAUUAUUUUUAAUUAAUUACAUCUCUUCAAUAAUGCUUUCCAAAUAGCUCUAGCAAUUCUUUUUUAUUUUGCGCGUCUAGUUCCAACUCCUUUUUAUUCUUAAAAUAUAUCUGCAUAUAAAAUAAAAAAUAAAAAUUAACAUGUUACAAAUUAAUUUAAAAUAUAUUUGGGGAGUGUUAGAUAUUUAGAUAUGAGUGCAUAUCGAUAUGUAGUGAAAACUGAUAUUUAUCUAUAAAUGACACUUUUCGUGUCAAUCACCCCCCUACAGUUAUUGCUAGACCUAACAAUUUAAGUGAUAAAAAAUUAGCAAAUUUUCAAACCAAAUUGAAUUUUUUUAAAAAAAAAUUGUGUUUACUUCUUUCAUUGGAUUUGUGACAAUAAUCAAAUAAAAUUAUAAGCAUUAUCUUCAACUUAAAGAAAAUCACACCUACAUGAAUUAGUUAAAUAAAAUCAUGUAAAAUAAUCAAUUAUUAGAGCCAAAUUUAUCAAGCCACUUUUAAGAGUGAUAUGUCAAACCCCAAACCUCACGGUUAAGAGUCACUCCCUCAAGAAAAAAUAAACCCCAGAAAAACAGUCACUCUAAGAAGUGGUAGAUUGAAAGAAUAGUAAAACAAUAUCACACACUCUCACCAAGAUGAAAGAAUAAUGCCUCUAGCUUAGAAAAAAAUGAUCUCAACUCAAAGAAAUUAUUAGCCAAACUAAUUUAUUUCUAUUUUUAUGCAUCACCACAUCUUUUAGUCCAUAUUACCAGCUUUAACAUCAGACUAUAGUUCCCUAAAAUCAAGAAGGACUUUCAUUAGGAUAAAAUAUAUGUUUGAAAAAUAGGAGACUUUUUGAGAUUACAAGGUACUUUUCGCUUGGAUAAUUUUUCUUUUUUCUUUUUUUAUUACACACACACACACACACACACACACACAUUCAUAACACUGUUAUUAGGAAUACAUAAUCAUCCCUAUUUUCAAGCAUAAUUGGGUGGUGGAAAAUAUAAAACAUAAGGUGAUACUCCACAUUGGACUGGAACAAAAUGAUAUAUAUAUAUAUAUAUAUAUAUAUAGGCUCAAAGGGGUUAACUAUGGAUACUUUAUAAUAGGUUUGACUAGAAAGGCUCAAAUGGAUUAAAGAUAGCAUUUCCGUAAUCUUUUAGGGCUCUAAAUAAUCUUUCAUAUCUACUAGCUCAAUGGACUUUCAGAUGCGGCUGUAAAUUUUUUUUUAACUUUUUUUUUUACUUUGAGGAAAAAUAUAGAGAUCUUAUAUAAUAAAUUGUGAAGCUGUAUAGGUAAACAAGGUUACUCUCCACAGAUAGAAGGCUCAAAAACUCACUUGAACUUAUCAUGAUAUAUACAUUCCUUCAAAUGACUUAAUCUGUUUCACUCAUCAAAUUUCUCAAUUUACAUUUCAACAUGCAAAGUGAAAAACACGGUGUAACAUAACUAAAGGCCAAAGAUAAUACAAAUACCAAAAUUUAGAAGUUUUCAUGUUUCCAAUGUUAAAAGAUCAUACAGAGACGAAGAAAAAAAAACUUUUUUUACCUUUUUUCACUAAAGAAAACAUAAUAAAAGAAGAAGCUAAGCGAUCAUAACUAACUUGAUUGCAGAAAGUUAGAGGAGAUGAUUAAAAAAAAAAGAGAAUAAUUUUUUUUAGAAACAAAACUCUAAAAACUCAGAAGAUGCAUUUCUAGAGCCACUGCACUCCAUAUUCAGCCAUGUUCGACUCAUAUUUUAUCCAAAGUUAGUAUUUACAACAAAAAUUAGUAAAAGCAUCACUAGGACUGAGACAUUCCACACUGUCAACUAUUCCCUCCCCCCAACCUGAAGGAGACAUUGUCCUCAAUGAGUUAGAAGAAAGAAGUAGAGUUUAGAAGACAUUACCUGGCCACUACUAGAAAAUAUUUACAAAUGGAGAGUUAAGUCUAAUUUACAUUUCUUACGAGGGUUAUUGCCAUCAUCAUCAGUUGACCAAUCCAACGCCAAAGUCAUGGGAUCUGGCUUUGGUUUGUAAGCUUAUAAGAGAUCAAAUAACUCGUUAGCAGUAGGAGCACAAAUAAGGAGUUUUUUCAUUGAGGAUGGAAUGAAAUAAUUUUUGAUUGCAUGAUUAAGAAAUGCUAUUAAGCCAUCAUAAAAUUUAUUAACAUUUAACAAACCAAUGGGUUUUUUAUGGAUAUUCAAAUGAGCCCAAGAAGCAAAUGUAAUUAGCGCCUCUAAAGUUGUAAGAUCUCCUAGCAAGAAAAUGAAGGCAUCAGCAUGAUUUAAUAUUUCAGGUAUUCUUUCUUGCAUACUUGAGACAACUAACUCUUCUCCAAUUGGUGGACUAGGCAGACAUCCUAAAGGUUUAAAGGCUUUUGGAAUAAUCCCUAGCACUUGGCUUCCUUAAACAAAAAUGGCUUCUGAGACAAGUUUUGAUAACCCUCGAUCAUCUCUUCUAUAUACAAGAUGUAGUUUUCUCUACUAUAGCACGACCAAGAUCUAUGGCUGCCUGAACGAACUCCUUAUACUUUCCAUAGUGAAAUUCAAAAACCAUACAAAUGUUCUUAAGUUGUAUGUUUGAAGUUGCUGCCAAUGAUACAAUUCUAAAAAAAAAAUUGUGAGUGCUUGAAAAAGAGCUCCUAUUUAAAGAUCUUGGUGGCAGACAUAAUAAUACAUAGUUGUAAAGGGGUGGUGCGUUUAUCAGAUGAUGCGUAAAGCUUUUGGCUCCAUAAUUCAAAAAUAAACAGUGAAAAGAAAAAGAAAAUAGUAAUUAGACAUAAAAUCACACAAAUAAUAAUAAUAAUAAUGCAAAAUAUAAAAGAACAGUAAAAUAAAAGGAUAUUUACUAGUAGUUGUAAUUGUGGCUCACAUCUUCCUCUAGUUUUACGUCUAGUAACAACUCGAACACCCUCGAUGGGUUGAGGAUUGGCUUUUCAUCCAAUUUUCUUAUAAAGUGCAAACAAGGUCUUUUAAAGUCAGAUUCCCAAGACUAAAUUGUGCACUUUCUUUUUGGAAUAGUUUCCAUAAAUUAUGAAUCUCAUGUUGCACGUAUCAGCUUGGAUGCAUCUCCAGAGAUCGUAAGAUAUCAUCUAAUGAUUCUUUAUGCCAUCCUUAGCGAAUUUGAUUUUUUUUCAUGAUUUAUUGAAACCAUUCCCAAAGUUUUGAAACAUGGUUUAUUGCAAGUAAGUCUUAUACAGUAAGGACAUUUAAAGCCAAGCUGCAUAGAUCUUCUUUUUUUAGCAAAUGUGCUUUUACUAAAAUAAGGCAUGUAGGAAACAAAUGGAUCAGAAAACUCACUUGCUAGUUAGACCUUUGCUUCAAUUAACCAAUGAAUGUCAGUAAGAAUCCCAUUGAUCAUUAACAAAUGCAGUCAUUCACAACAAGCUUUGUAAAUCUUCUUAAAAGCAUUUUGAGGGAGAGAAGAAAAAUGCUUAUGCAAUUUAUGUUAUAUUUCUUCCAUGCCUGAUUUUGGGGUUUCAGUUAUUAUGGGAAACUGAACAUACCGACUUAAAAAGUCAUGGAGUAUCGUUAUCCGCCAUUUAUAUGGGAAAGUGAAUCGAAACAUAUCAAAUAAAUGAAUCAAGUCUGUAAAAUCAAGUAAAAAGAGAAGGCAAACAAAACAACAUGAAAACACACAAUGAAUAUAAUCAAACAUGGAACUCACCUUUAACCUUUUAUCGAAUUUACCUCAAGUUCCAAUUGGAGUUCGUAAAUACCAUCCUCAAUCUUUGACCAUUAACUUUAAAAGUGACACCGUUCUUUAGAUUCUCAAUUUCUUUGGCCCUUAUGGAUAUACAUUUUUUUACAACAAAUGGGCCACUCCAAUUUGACUUUAACUUAUCUAGAAAUAAAUGAAGAUGAGAAGCAACACUUUUUGACCAAUCUCAAAUGUUUUUCAAAAAAUUCUUUUAUCAUAAAAAACUUUUGUUCUUGACUUAAUAAUUCUAGAAUUCUAAUAUGCAUCAUUCCUUAACUCCUUAAGUUCAUUCAAUUACAAUUUACGCACAUUGCCAACAUCAUCAAGAUUUGAAGUAAAAGCUUUAAUAGCCCAAAAUGAUUUAUGUUCAAGUUCAAUCGGUAAGUGGCAAGGUUUACCAUAAACAAUCCGAUAGGGUGACAUUCCUAAAGAUGUUUAAAAUGCAGUACGGUAUGCCCAAAGUGUAUCAAUUAGUCGAAGAGACCAAUCUUUACGGUUUGGGUUAGCUGUUUUUUCUAAAAUUUGUUUUAUCUCCCUAUUUGCUAAUCCAACUUGACCACUUAUUUGAGGGUGAUAAGGGGUGGCAACUUUAUGUGUAAUUCCAUAUUUCUUCAUUAAUGACUCAAAUGGCAACUUUAUGUGUAUUCCAAAUUUGAUCAAAAAAUUUUCUUUUAAAAAGAGGAUUACAAUCUUGUGAUCAUUGUGCCAAUAAGGAAUCGCCUCAAUCCAUUUCAAAACAUAAUCAACAGUAACCAAAAUAUAUACAACUCCAAAUGAUAAUGGAAAAGGGCCCAUAAAAUCAAUUCCCCAAUAAUCAAAUAUUUCAAUGACAAGGAUGGGGUUUAAGGGCUUAUUCGCUUUGAAAUAGACCCUACCAUUUGACAAUUUUUAAACACUUUGCAGAAUUCAUGUGAAUCUUUGAAAAUUGUAACCCAAUAAAAUCCACACUGCAAUAUGCUUCAGAAUGACAGAAUUGAAUGACCCUACUUACCUCAUCUUCUGGUAUGCGUCUUUGAAAAUUUUGAUCAAAACAGUACUGACUCAGAGUCAGUGGAGGCGUUUGAUGAAUCAUAAGAGGAGGACGAAGAUGAAUUAUGUGUUUCAGGCUCAGAAGAGUCGGAGGAAUCUGAAGAUUGGAUCUGGACAGUAUGAUAAUGAUACUGGUCCAUAGGGCCUUAAGAAUUUUUUCUUGGCUUGGGAACUUUAGUCGCAUGGCAUUUUCACCUGUUGUAAGAUAAUUAAUAAUAAUAGCAUACCAAGGCAUUUUGUUUAAAGAAAACAAAAAUUCAUGAGGGAAAGAAUCAUUUAUGAGUGUUGUAUCAAUUGAAAACUCAUUUAUAAGUCUUGAAAGAUGAUCUACAACAACAUUUUUGGCGCCAUUUUUGUCCUUGAUUAUCAAGUUAAAUUCUUGAAGGAGCAAAAUCCAUCGUAUCAACCUUGGCUUGGCAUCCUAUUUAGACAUUAAAUAUCUAACAAUAUCAUGAUCAAAAUAAACAAUGGUAGAUGAACUAAUUAAAUAUGAACGAAAUUUAUCCAGUGCAAAUAUUACAGCAAGGAGUUCUUUUUCAGUUGUGGUGUAAUUCAUCUGUGCACUAUUCAAAGUUCUACUUGCGUAAUAGAUAACAAAAGGAUUACAUUCCUUUCUUUGUCCCAAAACACCACCAAUGACAUAAUCACUAGCAUCACACAUUAGCUCAAAAGGCAAAGACCAAUCAGGGGGUUGCAUUACUAGAGCUGAUGUCAAAAGACUAAUUAUCUUUCAAAAGCCUGUUGACAAUCUUUAGUCCAUUCAAAUGGCGUCUUUUAUUAGGAGGUUACAAAGUGGUCUAGAUAUGGCACUCAAGUCUUUUAUAAACCUCUUAUAAAACCCUGCAUGUCCUAAAAAGGAACGGAUUUCUCUAAUUGUAUUUGGUGAGGGUAAUUUUGAGAUGACUUCAACUUUGGCUUUGUCAAUUUUAAUUCCUUUUGAAGACACAACAUGGGCUAAGACAAUUCCAGAAGUGGUCAUGAAAUGGCAUUUUUCCUAAUUUUAAACUAGUCAUUUUUCUUUGCACCUUUCCAAAACUCUUUCUAGAUUAUCAAGACAUGUAUCAAAAGAAUUACCAAAUAUAGUUAAAUCAUCCAUAAAAGACUCUGAACAAUUUUCAACCAUGUCACUAAAAAUGCUUAGCAUGCAUAUAUGAAAUGUUGCAGGAGCAUUACAAAGUCCAAAAGGCGAGACUCUCCUAAAUGCAAAUGUUCCAAGUGGGAAUGUGAAUGUGGUCUUUUCUUGGUCUUCUAAGGCUAUAGGAAUUUGAUAAUAGCCAGAGUAGCAAUCAAGAAAGCAGUAGUAUGGGUGUCUUGCUACUCUCUCGAUAAUUAGGUCUAAAAAUAAAAUUUACCAGCCAAUUAAAUUUCAAUUAUUGGGCCUUAAUGGUUAUUUUAAAAGUCCAAGUUCAUGUCCCUUAUGUCUACCAAAUCAAAAAGUACAACAAAUAAGGCAAGUCCAAUUCGGUUUUAGGGACCGAUUUGCAGCAAUGCUUGGGCUAAAAUGAAAUUCUUCACAAGUUUCAUGGCAAUUCUAUGAUUACGAAAUGAAUUAUUAGAAUCAAACAAAGAAAUAUUAAUUGACAAAACAUAAAUAAUAAUUGAGAAAAUAAAAAAUAAAAUGACACUAAAUUUAAGAAACUCUUUGGCAACGACGCCAAAAACUUAACACAACUCAAAAGUGUUAUUAUUCCCAAGUAUAAGAGUGUCUAGUUAUAAUAUAACUAGAUGAGUUCGGGGUCGAACUACAAGGAAUUUAAAAUCUAGUAGCCAAUUUGUUAAACAAAGAAAAGAAAUUACUAGGAACUAAUUUAAAAAUAUGCUAAGAUUACGGAUCCACUCUCGGAUUUCAAAUUGUAGUUAUAACAACUCUCUCACAUUCGUAUUUUGCAUUCAUUUCACAAAUUAAUUAUUAUGCCAUUUAAUUCUUAGCUAACUUAAAGUGUGAUAAAUAUGGGACCAAGUACCUAAUGUGCGACAACUAUAUUGAAGUGUCGACAUUAUAUCCAAAUACUAUAUAAAUCUAAAGUGAUCUAGAUCUAUAAAUUAACAUGACAUAAAAGAAAGUGGUAAGGAAGAAAAAUGCAACAAAUAAAACUUUAAGACUCACUUGAGAGAGUAAUUAAUUCAAUAAUUUGAAUCCUUGAGCUUCACUUUCACCUCAGCUUAGAAAAUUAGCCACUCAUAUUGAGAAACAAAACACUCAUUUUAUUUCACAGACUUCUGAAAUAGAUUACAAGGAUAUUGAUUACCCCAUAAAACAAAAAAAAGAAAGAAAGAAAGAUUUCCUCAGCUUCACUCGUUCUCGCCUCCCCAUCUCCCCCUCUUUGUUUAUAGGUGGCCGUCAGCUUCAACUUCUUUUAUUUUGCUAUUAUUUCUUAUUAUUAUCACAUAAACCAACAAGAAAAACAUGGGUGAUGGUUAGGUGGCAUAAUGGCCUCCUAACCAUCACCAGCAUGAUUGCCCACUUUUUCUCUUUUUUAUUUUUUUUAUUAUUUUUAAUUAACUACAUCUCCUCAAUAAUGCUUUCAAAAUAGCUCAAGCAAUUCUUCUUUAUUUCCCGCUUCCAGUUCCCACUCCUCUUUAUUCUUGAAAUAUAUAUACAAUAUAAAAUUAAAAUAAAAUUAACAUGUUACAAAUUAAUUUAAAAUAUAUUUGGUGAGUGUUAAGAUAAUUUAGGAAUAAUGAGCGCAUUAAUUGACACUGUAAGUGAAAAACUGAUAAUUUUAUCCUUAUUAAAUGUACGCUUUUUAGUGUCAAUCACCUUAGGAAAUUGGGUACCACACCACUCGACCUUCAAGUGUAUUUUAAAAAGAAAAAAUACUUUGAUUGGGAUAGGUAGUCCUAGCUUUUGUUUGACUGGCCACUUGGCCUUUUCAAAGGAAGUAACUAUUCCUUUGGUGUUUGAAUAUAUUUUGGGAGGAGUGUUAUUAGUGAACUUUUCUCUUCGUUGAUUUAAGGAAAAAUAAAAUAUUUCCUCUGAACUAAAGUUCUAAGAUGAAAUGUUAGCUCUUUGAAUUUUUCCUUUAAGCUAAAGUUCCAAGAGGAAAUGGUAGUCAUUCUUUGAACUUUUCCCUUGAACUAAGGUUUUAAGAGGAAAUAUCAAUUUUUGUUUGUAUCGAUGGAAUUGAUUGGAAUCAUGUAAACCAUUCCAUUGACUUUUUCCUUUGAAUUGAAGCUUCAAGAGGAAAUGUCAGUUUCUUGAACUUUUUUUUCUUGAACUGAAGUUUUAAGGGGAAAUGCAAAUUUUCCCUAGGCAUUUUGAUUGGUUCGGAAAUGGUUUAUAGAAAUUUUGGUUUUUAUUAUAAAAUUUUGGUAUAUAGAUAUUAUCUACCUUGGUUUAACUUGAAUCCUUUUUGUCUUGCCUGGCAUAGGGUUGGUCACUCCUUAAUUUGGCUUUCUCUUGUUGGCUUUGGCUUUUAUUUUCCCUGUUUAUCCUUUGUCUUUAUUUUUUCCUUAGCUUUUAGUUUAGCUUGCUCGGCUCUGGCCUUUUUUUGGCUUGCCUUGGUCUUUGGGCCAUGGCAUUUGUUUCUCUUAGCUACCUAUUGCCUUAGCUUUUAUUUAGUCUUUGUUUGCCUUGCUUGGCUCUAGCUUUUUCUUAGCUUGGCUUGCUCUUCUUCCCUUGACUUUUAUUUACCUAGGUUUGUCCUUAAACUUUGUUUCCAUUGCAGAGCAUUGGCAUUUUCUUGGCUGGGCUUGCACUUAUGGCCUUGGUUUUUGUUUGGUUCGAUUUUCCUUUAGCCUUUGUUUACCUUAUUUGGCAUUGGCCUUGGCUUUUCCAUGAGUGCCUUUAAAAUUCUAGAUGGAUGUUGCCCUAAAGAUCUGGCUAAGCCAAUUGAUGUAUUUUCUGAUGUCGAACAUGUCUUAUUCUAGAUUUAUCUUUAUUUCUGGAGGCAGAUUUUUCUUCUCAUGUCUAUUUUUAUUCUUAUUGUAGUCCAUUCUUAAACUUAGAUUAUGUGCAUAUUUGAUUACUUGGAUAGGUUCUCUUUAUCCUCACACUAUUCUAAAGAAAUUUUAUUAAAGAAAUUUUCCUCCUUGUUGGUAUAGGAAAAAGUGAACUAUUCUCUAAAUUGAAGUUUUGGGAGAAUUUGAAUUAUUUCUUGAAUCAAUUUCGAAAGGAAUGAUUACAAAGCAAUGUUAUUAGGGAACUUUUCCUCCUUGUUAUCCUAGAAAAAAUUUCCCCCUUAUUAGUGUAAGGAAAAGUAAGUUAUUUCGUAAGAAUAUUAUUAGAGAACCUUUCUCCUUAUUGGCUAAGGGAAGUUACUUUGAAAUAGUAUUAUUAGGGAAGUUGUCCUCCUUCUUAGUCUAAGGAAGUUUUUCCUUCUUGUUAGUGUAAGAAAAAGUGAAUUGUUAUUGAGAAAUAUUAAUAAGAAACUUGCCAAGGCACCAAACUACACCCACAUGUCCAUAAGAAAGGAAAAUAUUCCGGGGGAAUAACAUCCAACCCAUUCCGAGGGAAUAACGCCCAAGGUAAAAUUCCCUAGGAGCUUAUGAAAAUGAAAAGAGAGGAAAAGAUUAUUCCAAUCUCGUAUUCCAUGAUCUAAAGAAACUAUGCCUAAAGUUAUGAGAAACCUUAAAUUCAUGUCGGCCAUCAUCUAUAAAUAGGGACAAUUUUAAUAAGAAAGAAAAAACAUUGGCCUCCAAGAACACUGUUCUCUUUUAAAGAAAGAAAAACUUAAUCUUAUUCAUUCUUCUUCUUCCCUUAAAUCUUAAUCAAACACUGACUUGGGUGUCAGGGUGCCUUUUUCAUGUAUCCACCUUGCUGGAUUCAAGAUCAACAAGCAUCACAAGUUCUCUACAAACCAAAAAUACAUAUGAAGGUAAAUUUCUGCCCCUUUAUUGGCGCUGUCUGUGGGAACGAAACUAGAUAAAAAUUUUGUCUCUCACUAAACCAAAUGAACACUACUUUAUCAUCAUCCUUUUUAGAUUAGAUUUGGUUGUGUAUAGUUGAAAAAAGAGGUAAAUACUCACACUUAUGAAAAAUGGGUUUAUGUGUGAGACUUAAACCUCAAACAUCCCUAAAAAGGCAUUAAAGCCAAUAAUCCAAGAGCAAAAAUGGAGAUCACUCCUUCAAAUGACUCGCUGGAAAAAAAAAAAAGCAAAGAAGGUGAAGAACCCAUUUGGUCAACAUAAAAUUUGACCAAAAAAAGAAAGUAAACGAUAAUCAAAACAGGUUAAAAUAGUCUCUACAACUACACCCAAGACUAAUUUAUUAUUCAUUUUAUUUUAUCUUCAUUUUCUUUUUAAUUAUGCUUAAUCCUGAUAGUUAUGCCCACUUAUAUGCAGGUUGUUAGGCCGACAUGGAUUAACAUAACUCUAUGUUCUGACGUAACAAUUGCGAUUCUGCAUUUAACAUAUUAAUACAUUUUAUUUUUAAUUUUCUUAUGCUCUGAUACCAGUCGGGGUCAGAGUACGUGGCAUUGUUAUACCAGAACUAUAGCAGUUAAAACUGCUCUUUGGACCAGUAGUCUGCAAGUUCGGGUUUCCAACCGAUAUACUCUAAUCCUUCAAAUAUCAAACCAGUGGGAGAAAACCACAACCCACGAUACCACCCAAGGAUGAGUCAUUUCCUAAACUCUUGGAGAGGGUGAACGUUGUGAGAGAAUAGUUUUGAUAAAACUGGUUUGAAGAUAAAUCAUGACUUUUCUAAUGCACAGGAUCCUUACUCAAAGGCAAGUGCAGAGCAUACUCAGUAUAGAGAUAGAGAUGAACGCUCUUAGAAUAAUUGCUCAAGUGUUAGCUUGCUUCCUAAAAGAAGAAAUGGAUUUAAAGAGACAUCGAAAGAUUAUGAACAAACAUUCAAAUAUUAUUGAAGAUGUUCUGCUUAAAACAAGGGCUUGAGAGCUCUUAUAUAGAGUAACUAAAAGCAAAAGAUAAGACAGGACCCUUAUUUUUAGAGCAAACGACAAAACUCUUAAAGAGAAAGCAUAAAGAAAAAGUACACACGUGAAAAACAUAAAAGCACACUUGAGACAUGACAGGACCCCUGUCAUCUUUUAUUAAAGCCAAGAUUCCUGGAAAGCUUCUGUAGCCAUGUGAAAACCUAGAAACUUUACGGAGUAGAGGGGUAUGUGAAUGGAGAUAUGUCUCCUGUCUUUUUUUCAUAUUGCUUUCGAGCUUUGCGUAUCUGUUGGUGGAUUAGAUAAUCUUUAUCGAGCUCAUCUUUUUCUGCUACAGCCGUAGCUGGCUGAGAGAUUGGCUCAUUAGGUAAACAUUGAGACUCUUGAGAUAGGAGAAGUGAGUGAAAGUCUGCUCAAGGGUCUUGAGCAUCUUGAAAAAGAACAUUCGUGUAGUCAGGGCCUUUUUCUCUGACGAGAAUACCCUUUGGACUAGAACUUGAUCCUGGAGUGUUUUCUUGAAUUUUUGGUAAAAACUCAAGGGAGUGAGAUGGUCCAAUGGACGUGUGACAAAUGUCCAUGGGAGGUGGUUGGACAUUUUUGAGUUCUAAAAGAAAAGCUUUAAGAACUAAGAUGAUAGGUGGAUCAUGAUUGAGUGGAAAUGUUUUCCAUUCAUAUGCCUGGUCUUGUGUCCAGUAAUCCUUUGUAACUGGAUGCUGAAAAUAUGGCCUAUGAAUGAUGAAAACUGAGGUAAACAGAUCUGCUUCUUAGUUAGGAAGCCUGUUUAGCUGGUGAUGGUCUGAAAUAUUUUGAAGUUGUUUACGCCACCAUGUGAGUGGUGAAAACCAUUCACGUAAUGUCUAGAGGAGAGAUGGUGCAUGAUCAGGAGUUGUGAUGUGUCUGAGGGUAGGUUGAACAGGGAGGACAAGUUUAGUGACAUACAGAACUGUGAGGCACCAAACAUACCAUAAUUCAUCUUCUGAAAUGGUUAAGUUUGGAUUGAGAGUGAAUCCUGUAAGGAAUAUGUGUUCUAGGUGAAGGGAUGGAAAACAGAGUGGUUCAGUUCUGUAGACAUUCAUGAAAUAUCUGAAAAGGAAUUUCCUGGCAAAAUCUUGGAUUUGAAAAGCUGAACUGAAUGAGAGAUUUAGGGAAAAGUCUUUUGGGUUAAGGCUUUAAAAGGAAGAGAACGAUUCAUGGCUAUUAUAGGUAUAGUCUGCAUGGAAGUGAUGAGAGUGGGCUUAUUUAUAGAUGGACGGGUGAGGAAAUCAGGGAUCAGAGUUUUAUCACCUUUUAUGUGCUGGACUGUGAAGUCAUACUUGGCGAACCAAGCUUUUAAACUGAGCAAUUGUUUGUCUGGAAGUAAUUUGCUCUUAAAAUCAAGGAUCUUCGGGAAAAAGGAGUUGUCCAUUUUGAUAAGGAAGUUGUGGCUAAUCAGAUGGAAUUCAAAUUUCUUGAUUCCAUACUUGACUGCUAAAAUCCCCUUGUAAAUGACAUGAUAAUUCUUCUCUGCAUCCUUGAACUGUCCACUUGCAUGAGCAAUAGGAUUCUGUUUCUCCAAUUUUCUCUAGAAGAAUGGCACUCCAGUAUUCAUCACUAGCAUCUGUCUGGAGAAUUCUUUGUCCAGCUGUGGGAAUCUUGAGUGGUGGUGGUGACUGAGAAAUCUUUUUAUUGAGAUCUGUGUCUGCUCAGGGCCCCAUGGUGGGGAUUGUUUCUUUAGCAUGCGUGACAAUUUGCUGGUGUGGACCGCAACUUUGGGAAUAAAGUCUCAAAUAAUUCACAAUUCCAAGGAACUGUUGAAUUUGCUUUUUAUUGAGAUCUGUGUCUGAGAACUUUGUCAAUUCUUGUGGAAUGUGUGGUCCUGGAUGGUAGUGACCAUAUUUUAACACCAUGCCUAAAAAGGCAAUAAAUUCCUUUCUGAUGCUGCUUUUCUUUUCUGAAAGCAUUAUGUCAUGUGAUUGCACGAUGUCAAAGAAAUCUAAAAGCAAUUUUUGGUGGGUCUGGUGGUUGGUGGAAAACAACAAGAUGUCAUCGAUAUACACCAGACCAUGAUGAAGUAUAGGAGAAAAUAUUUUGACCAUUGCUUUUUGGAACAUGGAAGGAGCAACUUUGAGACCAAAAGGCAUUACCGUCCACUGGUAAUGGGCAUUAGGAAUAUAGAAAGAUGUUUUAGGUCUAUCAGAGGGAGAAAUGUCGAGUUGCCAAAAACCAGCUUUAAGAUCGAAUUUUGAGAAAAUUCUGGCGGCUGGUGUUGUGCAAAUUUUAAUGUACUCGCAAGCGCACGAAUAUAUUGUAGUAUAGACUAAUGAUGAUGAGUGUCGAUCCCACGAGGAGGUGGAUCUUAAUUAUGUGUAGAAUUAAUUUUGUAAAUGGGUGGUUGGAUUUGUGGUGGAAAUGAUUUGGAAUAUGCUAAAACUUAAAUUAAAAUGGCGAGAAUAAAUUCUAAAAUUGGAAUUGAAAUGACAAGAAUAAAUUGAAGAGAAUUCUAAUGAGAUGACGUACUUGGGUAUCUGGAUCCGUAUCAACAUGCAUCAUGGGCUAAAUAAUCCGUAUUAAUGCCAAUUAAAUCAUGAGGGGGGAAUCCACACCUCAUGAACCACACUCUAAUCAAUAUGGUGCUAAGGGCUUAUCGUGCCAAAUAAUAAUAACCUUGUACUAGAGGGCCGGUGAAACCAAGGCGGUAUUAGACAAGAUUAGUAUUAUUUGUCGACGAGAAGUCAAAACAUCCACAAAAACUAGAGGGGAAGAGAAAAUAAAUUUACCAAAUUAAGCCCCUGACACAUGUUGAGAUUUCACCUUCAACCCAAGCUUGAAAGAAAAUUAGCCACUCAUAAUUGAAAUAGGGGCAAAAUGGGAAUUUAUUAAAAUACGAAGAAAAUACAAGAUGGAGAGGGAAUUAUAGAAAAUGGAUCCCAAAAAUAGAUUCAGAGCUAUCAAAUUAGGGGGGAGAGGCCCCCUUUUUAUAGAUACAUAGAGUAAAUCAUGGCCAUCGGAUUAAAAACACUUUGGACGCUCAAGAUUGCGCCAUGUCAUCAGUCAACAGUACGCGGUUUGACCACGUGGAUGAACAGUAACACGAUUUGACCCAGAUGAACAGUAAUGCGGUUUGGUUGAAAAUAAUCCUGUGUGAUGCAUGUACCGUACACGAGAUUUUUCGUCCACUGAUAUGCUGCCAUGUCACCAUCAACAGUACAUAAGAAUUUUAGCCCAACAGGAUCGUGAUACCUCAUCAGUCAAUGCCACAUCAUCGGUCAAUGCCACGUCAUCGUCCGUCUAUGCGAACAGUGUCGUGAACAGUAACGUAUACAGUACCGUACAUGUGAACAGUGCCAUUUUUCCUUUUAUGCUCCUCCUAAGGUUUUCGACCGUCCUGAGUUCAAAAGUGAUGUCCGUUUUGCCAUCUGAUCUCUAGUUUAUUGUGAAAUGACUAUGAUACUCCUAAAAUACAUAAAAUACUUAAUUAAAAUUAAAACAAACGGAAUUAAAUAAAAAGAAGGUUAAAUUCAUAAAAGUAAAGGUGUUAGUAAGACUUGAAAUAUAAAAUGACGGUUUUCUCCUUUAUAAAUAUGCAUUUUCUAACACUCAACACACCCCCCAACCAGCUUAUUGCUAGUCCCUAGCAAAUGAAGCGAAAAUAAAAUUCAAAUUCAAAUUCAAAAUAAUUUAUUUAUUUAUUUUAAUUUAGAAACACCCGUGUUUAUUCAAUCAGAUUAAUGAUAGCAAUCAAAUAAAAGUAUAAGCAUUAUCUCCAGUCUAAAGCAACAUCACACUCACAUCAACCAUCCACAUGAAUUAGCCCAGUAGACUUUGUUAUAUCUACUUUCAAGAAUGACAUGUCAAACCCCAAAAUCUCACUGGAAGUAGUGACACUCUCACAAAUAAAUUAAACCCACUAAAAAUAGUCACUCCAAUGAAUGGUAAUUGAGAGAGAAAAUAAUAAAGAAGUGAUAUCACAUGCUCUCACCAAGAUGAAAUAAAUAUGCCCUCAGCUUAGAAAUAAUACGAUCUCAAGUCAAACAAAAAUGCUAGUCAACCCACUUUAUUUAUCUUUUUUUUUUAUGCAUCACUACAUCUUUUUAGCCCAUAUAACUAGCUUCUACUUCAAACUAUAGUUCCCUAAAAUUAAGAAGGACUUUUAUUAGGAUGUAACGUAGGCUAGGGACAUGGCUAACAAAGAAGGGAAAUAAGGAAAACAAAGUGUAUGUUUGAGAAAAAUGCAGAGAAUUUUUUUUUUUUUGAAAGUUGCAAGGUGGAUUUCACCUAUUAUUUUUAUUUUUAUUCUUUUGAAACAACAACUUUUGUUUUUUUUUUGUUUUUUUUUUUGGCAUAACUUCACUGAACAAAAUAAUUAUUUACAUUUUUCUCAAACAUAAAUAGGUGAUGGAACUUAUAAGAUAUCGGGUAAUACUCCAAAUCGGAGUGGGUCAAGAUGAUAAGUUGACAAAGAAAAGUUUUUUUUUUUUAAAGGCUCAAAAGGGUUAACUAUGGAUAUUUAAUAAAAGGGAUGGCUAGAAAGGCUCAAACGGAUCAAAGAUGACCUUUCCAUCGUCUUUUAGAGCUCUAAAUAAUCAUCCAUAUCUACUAGUUAGAUGGGCCUCCCAAUGUAGCAACACAUAAUUAUUUUUUUUUUAGGGAUAAAUCAAAAGAAAUCUAGAGAUCGUAUAUAAAAUAAUAAACUGCUAAGCUGUAUAAAGAAUGGGCAAAAGGGUUACUCUCAAAGAAAAAUGAUAGGCUCAAAAACUCACUUGGUACUUAUUAUGACAUGUUCAUUCCUUCAAGCAACUCAUAUUUGUCUCCGACAUCAACAUGUAGAGUAGCAAACAUAAUGUAACAUCACUGAAUACCAAAGAUAAUACAAAUACUAAAAUUUGAAAUUAAUAAUGUCAUCCAAUGUUAAAACAAAUCACAAAAUUUUUUUUUUAACAACAUUCUACCCCCCAACCUAUUCUAAGCAUGAAAGGAAACUAUGCAUGCAGAAAUGUGAAAAUGAUGCAUAAAAAAUAAUUUGAAAAGUUACACGUAAAAUGAUAGAAAACGAAAAUGAUUUUUUUUUUAAAAGAAGAUGCGUUUCUAGAGGAACUACACUCCAUAUUCAGCCAUUUUCGACUCAAAAGUUGGAAAAUGUAUAUUUAUAGAGGAGAAAUUAAAAAGAAGAAGAAAAAUGAACAUCAAAACUUAAUAAAGAAAAAGAAAUUUUUUUUUUAAUUAAUUUUUUUUAAACAAUGAAGAUGCGUUUCUAGAGUCACUACCCUCCAUAUUCAGCCAUCUUCAACACAAAAAGUUAGCAAUAGUUAGUUUCUACAACAAAAAAUUAGUAAAAACUUAACCAAAAUUCCACAAUUGUCGACUAUUCCCUCCUCCCAACCAAAACGAAACAUUGUCCUCAAUGUUUGAAAGGAAAAAAGUAGAGUUUAGAAGACAUCACCUGGGUGGUGCAACACAAAAGAAAAUAUUUACAAGCGAAGAGUUAAAUCUAAUUUGUACUUCUUACUGCGGCUACUGUUACCAUCAUUAUUUGGGCGUUCCAACACAAAGGUCCAGGGGUCUGGCUCCGGUUUAUAAGCUUGUAACAGAUCAAGUAGCUCAUUAGUAGUGUGAGCACAAAUAAAAAGUUUUUUCACAUUAGAAGGAAUGAAAUAGUUUUUUAUUACAUGGUUAAGAAAUGCGAUAAAGCCAUCAUAAAAGUUAUUGAUAUUUAACAAAUCGAUGGGUUUCUGGUGGAUGUGCAGAUGGGCCCAAGAUGCUAGUGUGAUAAGUGCCUCUAGUGUUGCAAGAUCUCCUGGAAGGAAAAUAAAAGCAUCAGCAUGAUUAAGCAUUUCAGUUAUUCUUUCUUGCAUACCUAAGACGACUAGCUCUUCUCCAGUUGAUGAGUCAGACGAACUGCCCAAUGGUUUUAAGACUCUGGGGAUGAUGCCUAACACUUGACUUCCUCUUAUAAAAGCUGCUUCUGAGAUCAUUUUUGAUAACCCUCGAUUACCUCCUCCAUACACCAAGUGUAAUUUUCUCUCUGCUAUACUUUGACCAAGAUCGAUGGCUGCCUCAACGAACUCUUUAUGUUUGCCAUAUGUAAAUCCAGAAAGCACACAAAUGUUCUUGAAUUGUCUAUUGGGAGUAGCUGCCAUUGUGAUACUUCUCAAAAACAAUUUGUGAGUGCUUGACAAAAAAGAAAUCACAUUUAAGAAUCUUGGUGACAGUGGAUCACAGUUGUGUAUGAGGUAACAUGUCAGUGUCAAAUAACACGUAAAGCACGUGGCUCGCUAGUAAAAAAGAAAACAGUAAAAGGGAAAAAAGCAAACAGUAAUAAAAUUAUUAAAGAUAAUAAUGCACACAAUAAAACAAUAGUGAAAUAAAAUAACAGUAAAGUGAAAGGAUAUUUACAGGUAGUUGCGACUGUGGCUCACAUCUUCCUCUGGUUUUACGUCCAGAAACGGCUUGAACGCCCUCUAUGGGUCGAGGAUAGGCUUCCCAUCCAGUUUUCUUAUAAACUGACAAACAAGGUCGUUUAUAGUCAGAUUCCCGAGACUAUAUCGUGCAUGCUCUUUCUGGAAUAAUGGCCAUAACUGGAGAAUCGCUCCUUGCACAUAUCCACUGGGAUGCGUUUCAAGAGACAAAAGGAUAUCAUCCAAUGACUCCUUAUUCAAGCCAUCCCUAAUGAAUUGAAUCUUAUCUUCCUAACAUGGGUUUUUAUUGCAACUCAUUCUGGCACACUUAUGACAAGCAACAGAAAUUCUUCGAGCUCGUCGUUUUCUUGCAUAAUUUCCUUUACCACAACCAGGCAUGUAUGCAAUAAAUUUUGGAGGUAACUCACCUGCCGAUCGUACUUUAGCCUCGAUUAACCAACGGAUGUCAGCAUGUAUGUUAUUCCUCAUGAGUAAUCGCAUGCGUUCGGACCGAGCUUUAUAGAUCGUAAGGAGGGCAUUCUGAGGAAGUGAAGGGAAUCGCUUGUGAAGCUUCGCUAGAAUCUCGUUUCUGUCCAUACUUUCGCCUCAGAAUAUUAGUUAUUAUGGGAAACUGAAGUAACCGACUUGAUUGUCACGGAGUACCGUUAUCCGCCACUUCAUCGGGGUAACAAACUAAAGCACACAAACAGAGAAACAAAUUAAAACACACAAAGAAAAUUAAAAUCGUCCUCUUAUUGAAUUUACCUCAAGCUCCAAUUGGAUGUCGUAAACACUUCUCUCAAUGUCUCUGAGUUGGCUUUCUAAACCCUCAACAUAGGCUACUAACCCUGGUGGUUGUAGAGCCCAAAUGCGAUGUGUUUUACAAAAUUGAAUCUGCCUUUUGAGAUGCGUUUUGACACGUUGAAGUGGUUUAAGAAUGUUCAGGAGGAACGGUCUAAGUAAGGUACUCAUGAUUAAAAAUGAUAAGAGAAAACUUAAUAGUUAAACAAACACACUUAUGCAAAAUUAAUUUCAAUUAGCAAAAGAAUAAUAUAAAGAAAGAAAAAAAAUCAAAUCACCGAAAAAAAAAUCAAUUCAAAUCUGGUGGGUCACUCAAAUUUAUUUCGGUGUUUUCUCCAUGUGGUUGGUAUUCUAGAUAUGGCUUUAAUCUUUGACCAUUAACUUUAAACGUGACACCGUUCUUUGGGUCCUUAAUUUCAAUUGCCCCAUGUGGAAAAACAGUAUGUACAAUAAAUGGGCCAGACCAACGAGAGCGUAACUUACCUGGGAAUAGGUGCAAGCGAGAAUUGAAUAAAAGCACUUUCUGACCUGGAGUGAACGAUUUUCUCAUAAUUUGCUUAUCAUGGAAGACUUUAAUUCGUUGCUUGUAAAUCUUGGCAUUUUCGUAUGCAUCAUUGUGAAUUUCUUCAAGUUCUGCCAGUUGUAAUCUUCUUUCUGAGCUGGCUUGCUGCAUGUCAAAAUUGAAUUUCUUGAUGGCCCAAUAUACACGAUGCUCGAGUUCCACAGGUAGGUGGCAAGCUUUUCCAUACACUAGCCUGUAGGGUGACAUCCCAAUCGGGGUCUUGAAAGCCGUUCUGUAUGCCCAUAAUGCAUCAUCAAGUCUUAAUGACCAAUCUUUCCUGUCUGGCCUCACCGUUUUUUCUAAUAUGUGCUUUAUUUCUCGAUUGGAUAUCUCAACUUGGCCACUGGUUUGCGGAUGAUAUGGGGUUGCCACUUUGUGUGUGAUUGAAUACUUUGUCAAAAGAGCUUUGAAUGCUUUGUUACAAAAGUGGGCACCACCAUCACUGAUUAUUGCUCGAGGGAAUUCAAAGCGUGAGACAAUGUUGCUUUUCAAAAAUGCUAUCACCACCUUGUGAUCAUUGGUUCUACAUGGAAUUGCUUCUACCCAUUUCGAUACAUAGUCAACAGCAACCAAUAUGUAUUGAUGGCCAAAAGAAGGGGGAAAGGGUCCCAUGAAGUCGAUACCCCAUACAUCAAAAAUCUCAACCACUAAAAUUGGAUUUAGUGGCAUCAUAUUUCUUCGCGUAAUGCUCCCCAUUCGUUGACACCUAUCACAUGAAGAACAGAAAGUGUAAGCAUCUCGAAAUAUAGUUGGCCAAUAGAAACCACGUUGUAAAACUUUAGUUGCUGUUUUCUUAGCACUAAAAUGGCCUCCACAAGCUUGUUCAUGGCAGAAUGAAAGAAUAUUCUGAAUUUCAUUUUCUGGGACACAUCGUCUAACAAUUUGAUCAGCACAAUACUUGAACAAAUACGGGUCAUCCCAAAAGAAAUUCUUUAUCUCUGCAAAGAAUUUAGCCUUGUCUUGCUUGGUCCAAUGCUCUGGAAGUUUACCUGUAACAAGAUAAUUAAUUAUAUCAGCAUACCAAGGCAAUACUUCCGUACUCAUUAAUUGUUCAUCUGGAAAUGACUCAUUCAAUAUUAAUGACUCUGUAAUUGUGUCAAAAUGGAGACGAGAGAGGUGGUCUGCCACAACAUUUUCUGUCCCUUUCUUAUCUUUGAAUUCCAAGUCAAAUUCCUACAAAAGUAACGCCCAACGAAUUAGUCUAGCUUUUGCAUCUUUCUUUGUGAGAAGAUAUUUAAGAGUAGCAUGAUCUGUGAAUAUAAUUAUUUUACAACCAAUGAGAUAAGAUCGAAAUUUUUCUAAUGCAAACACUACUGCUAGCAUUUCUUUUUCAGUAGUUGAAUAAUUCAACUGUGCAUCAUUCAAUGUCAUAUUAGCAUAAUAAAUAACAUGGGGAAUUCGAUCAACUCUUUGUUCUAAUACUGUUCCUACUGCAUAAUCAGAUGCAUCACACAUGAGCUCAAAUGGUAAGCUCCAGUUUGGGGGCUGAAUGAUGGGUGAUGAUGUCAACAACUGUUUUAACUUUUCAAAUGCCACAAGACAUGAAUCAUUAAAGACGAAAGGUACAUCCUUAGCAAGUAAAUUGCAUAAGGGUCUAGAAACUUUGCUAAAAUCUUUAAUGAAAUGUCUAUAGAAACCAGCAUGCCCAAGGAAAGAUCUUACUUCUCUGACUGUUUUAGGUGGAGNNNNNNNNNNNNNNNNNNNNNNNNNNNNNNNNNNNNNNNNNNNNNNNNNNNNNNNNNNNNNNNNNNNNNNNNNNNNNNNNNNNNNNNNNNNNNNNNNNNNUGAGAUCCACCUUGGCUUUGUCAACCUCAAUACCUUUGCUCGAAAUGAUGUGACCGAGAACAAUACCUUGUUUUACCAUAAAAUGGCAUUUCUCCCAAUUUAAGACCAAGUUCUUCUCGAUACAUCUCUGCAAAACUAGUGUUAGAUGAUGUAAAUAUUGAUCAAACGAAUCAUCAAAGACAGAAAAGUCAUCCAUAAAGACUUCAAGGAAUCGUUCAACCAUAUCAGAAAAAAUGCUCAACAUGCAUCGUUGAAAUGUAGCAGGUGCAUUACAUAAUCCAAAUGGCAUUCUCCUAUAUGCAAAUGUGCCAAAAGGGCAAGUGAAAGUAGUUUUCUCUUGAUCUUUUGGUGCUAUGGGAAUCUGAUUAUAUCAUGAGUAGCCAUCUAGAAAGCAAUAAAAUUCAUGGCCUGCUAAUCUAUCAAGCAUUUGAUCAAUAAAUGGUAAAGGAAAAUGGUCUUUACGUGUGACAGAAUUCAACUUUCUAUAAUCAAUGCAUACACGCCAUCCUAUAGUUACUCUAGUGGGUAUAAAUUUAUUAUCAGCAUUCGUAACUACUGUGACUCCUGACUUUUUGGGGACAACUUGCACAGGACUGACCCAUGAACUAUCAGAAAUUGGGUAAAUGAUACCUGCAUCUAAUAGCUUAAGGACUUUAGUUCUAACAACUUCUUUCAUGUUAGGAUUUAACUGACGUUGCAUCUCCCUAGUAGUUUUAGCAUUUUCAUCAAGGUGAAUGUAAUGCAUGCAAUCUACUGGGUUUAUACCUUUAAUGUCUGCUAUGGUCCAUCCUAAUGCUCCUUUGUGCUCUUUUAAAACAUCCAAUAACUUACCUUUUUGUUCGUCAUUUAGGGAUGAUGAGAUGAUUACCGGCAGAGUAUUUUCUUCUCCCAAAAAUGCAUAUUCCAGAGUGUUGGGUAAUGGUUUGAGCUCGAGUUUCGGUGGUGAUUCUGAUGAUGGGAUGAGUUUCUUCUCUGAUGGUGCUAGUUGUUCAACUCUUGACUUUCAUUUAUUAGUGUCCAUAGAUGGUGCUGAGUCAAGCAGGGCGUUGACCUCAUCAACCGAUCUGUCAAUAUCAAAAUCAAAACCAAAGUGAGUUAAACAUGUUUGUAAAGGAUCAUCACUAAGGUUUGAAAGAAAAGUGUCAUCAACUAAUGUUUCAAUUAAAUCCACAUCAACAAUUCCAUCAUCUCCAUUGUGAGGUUGUUUGGCAAUGUUGAAGAUGUUCAACUCCAUAGUCAUGUUGCCGAAGGACAAUUGCAUAUUUCCAGUCCUGCAUUGAAUGUGAGCAUCCGCAGUUGCCAAGAAAGGUCAAUUACAAUGAAAUCAACAGGAAACUAAAACUUGUCUACCUGGAUAAGCACGUCCUCCACAAUACCAUGAGGUAUUUUCGUGGACCGAUCUGCAAGCUGUAACACUACCGGAGUUGGGUGUAAUUCUCCCAGUCUAAGUUUCAAAAAUACUGAGUAAGGCAACAGAUUUACACUAGCUCCUAAAUCCAACAAAGCAUUCUCAAUUGUGUGGUUCCCUAUACUACANNNNNNNNNNNNNNNNNNNNNNNNNNNNNNNNNNNNNNNNNNNNNNNNNNNNNNNNNNNNNNNNNNNNNNNNNNNNNNNNNNNNNNNNNNNNNNNNNNNNNNNNNNNNNNNNNNNNNNNNNNNNNNNNNNNNNNNNNNNNNNNNNNNNNNNNNNNNNNNNNNNNNNNNNNNNNNNNNNNNNNNNNNNNNNNNNNNNNNNNNNNNNNNNNNNNNNNNNNNNNNNNNNNNNNNNNNNNNNNNNNNNNNNNNNNNNNNNNNNNNNNNNNNNNNNNNNNNNNNNNNNNNNNNNNNNNNNNNNNNNNNNNNNNNNNNNNNNNNNNNNNNNNCAUUCACAGGUACAUUUUGAUUUUCUUUUAUCACCGGCAUCUCCACUUUAUUGUCGACUUCUUUUCCUUUUCGCAAGGUCAUGACGGCUUUGACUUCUCCAUGCUGCUGUGGUGAACUGGUACUUGCUUCAUGCACUCCUUUAGGGUUAGGCACUGGUUGACUUGGAAAUUUACCUUUCUCAACGGUCAUUGCCAAGGUCUGAACUGAAAAAGCAAGUUGUCCCACCAUCUUCUCAAGGCUUGAAACUGAUUGGGCUUGUGAAUUGAAGCCUGCUCUCAACUCAUUUCGUAGUCCAUCAAUGGUGCGGUUCUGUUGCUCAAUCGUAGAGUGAGUAAGAUUCUUGAAAUUUUGGAAUGCAUCCUCCCAUGGUCUGGGUUGAGAGUGGUUCUGGUUCUGAUUGUAUGAUCUGAAUGGUGGCUGAGAGGCUUGAGGAUUUUGAGGAAUUUGUUGCAUUGGUGGAGCUGGAGUUGCUGGUCCAUUCUAUUGGAGUCCUUGAGACCAUGAAAAAUUGGGGUGGUCUCUCCAUCCAGGGUUAUAUGUGUUGGAGUAUGGGUUGUAAUUAGAUGGUUUUCUCAUUACACCUAUGGCAUUGGCUUGAUCUGAGUAUGAGUCAUGGUCAUGUGGCUCUGUUGAUUUAGCAGUCGAUAACGAUGCUAUUUGUCGAGAGAGACCUUCAAUUAUCGCUUUGACUUCUUUAAUUUCUGAAGUUGACUCGCCAAUGUGAACCUCAUUUACUCCCUUAAUUCUUCUAGUAUUCCUGAGUGAUCGACUCCGUUGUUGGGAAUUAUCCGCUUGUCGCUGGAAGAAUUCCCAAAUCUUUGAUGCACUUUUUGACAUUAGCUCUCCUCCACUUGUUGCCAUUAGCCAUUCUUGCACAUUCGGUAAUAAUCCCUCCAAAAAGUAUUGGCAUUGGUGCCAUUUCUCGUACCCAUGAUGUGGACACUUCAAGAGUAGCCCAUUGAAUCGCUCCCAUGUUUCGAAAAACUGCUCGUCUUCUCUCUGUGUAAACUCUGAAAUUUCCCUGCGAAUAGCAUUGGUUUUAUGCACUGGGAAAUAUUUAUUCAAAAAUUUCGUUACCAUUUGUUCCCAUGAUGAAAUGCUAUUAGCAAGUAAACUAUUUAACCAUGAACGAGCUCUAUCCUUUAAAGAAAAUGGGAAUAGUCUAAGUUUAACAUCAUCGUCUGAAAAAUUUUCAUAUUUAAAAGUUUGACAAAUGGCAUGAAAAUCAUUUAGAUGAUUAUAUGGAUCCUCAUUUUCUAGGUCAUAGAAUGUUGGGAGACAAUUUAUCACACUAGGUUUUAGUUCAAAACUCCUAGCAGCUACAUUUGGGUAUCUUAUGCAUGAUGUGCUCAAAUUAGCUAAGGGACUAAAAUAGUCCUUAAAUGGCCUCUCAUGUGGUGCUUGUAAAUCCAUUCCAAAUUUAUUUUUAAUGUGCCUGUGUGUGCAAAGUGUUUUUUUCUAAUUCAAGGUCUAUAGGUUUAAGAUUAGGUAAUAAUGACCUACGACCAUGCAUGCAAAACAAAUAAAAUAAAAAUAAAGAUGGGAACAAAACAAAUAAAAAUAAAAAAGAGGGAGAAAUUACGAUACUAACCUUAUUGCACUAUUACAACCUUUCUAUAAAAAUACACAAAAAUAAAUACGUGAAAUAAAUUAACUAAAAAUAAAUUAAUAAGAUAAACAAAAAAAAAAUUCAAAGAAAAAUAAAUUGAAAUUAAAUUACAGAAUUUUAAAGAAGAGAAAAAGAAAAGAAAUACUAACCUUUAAAUGUAGAUUCACUUUUUUUUUCUUUUUCUUUUUUUUAAUAAAAAAAUACAAGAAAACAAAUAAAAGAAAUUAUUCAAAAAAAUUAAUUCUAUGAAUUAAAAUUACUUACCUCCCCGACAACGGCGCCAAAAACUUGUUGUGCAAAUUUUAAUGUACUCGCAAGCGCACGAAUCUACUAUAGUAUAGACUAAUGGUGACGAGUGUCAAUCCCAUGAGGAGGUAGAUUUUAAUUAUGUGUAGAAUUAAUUUUGUAAAUGGGUGGUUGGAUUUGUGGUGGAAAUGAUUUGGAAUAUGCUAAAACUUAAAUUAAAAUGGCGAGAAUAAAUUCUAAAAUUGGAAUUGAAAUGACAAGAAUAAAUUGAAGAGAAUUCUAUUGAGAUGACGUACUUGGGUAUCUGGAUCCGUAUCAACAUGCAUCAUGGGCUAAAUAAUCCAUAUUAAUGCCAAUUAAAUCAUGAGGGGGGAAUCCACACCUCAUGAACCACGCUCUAAUCAAUAUGGUGCUAAGGGCUUAUCGUGCCAAAUAAUAAUAACCUUAUACUAGAGAGCUGGUGUAACCAAGGUGGUACUAGACAAGAUUAGUAUUAUUUGUAGACGAGAAGUCAAAACAUCCACAAAAACUAGAGGGGAAGAGAAAAUAAAUUUACCAAAUUAAGCCCAUGACACAUGUUGAGACUUCACCUUCAACCCAAGCUUGAAAGAAAAUUAGCCACUCAUAAUUGAACUAGGGGCAAAAUGAGAAUUUAUUAAAAUACGAAGAAAAUACAAGAUGGAGAGGGAAUUACAGAAAAUGGAUCCCAAAAAUGGAUUCAGAGCUAUCAAAUUAGGGGGGAGAGGCCCCCUUUUUAUAGAUACAUGGAGUAAAUCAUGGCCAUCGGAUUAAAAACAGUUUGGACGCUUAGGAUUGCGUCACGUCAUCAGUCAACAAUACGCGGUUUGACCAUGUGGAUGAACAGUAACAUGGUUUGACCCGGAUGAACAGUAACGCGGUUUGGUUGAAAAUAAUCCUGUGUGAUGCAUGUACCGUACGCAAGAUUUUUCGUCCACUGAUAUGCUGCCACGUCACCAUCAACAGUACAUAAGAAUUUUAGCCCAACAGGAUCGUGACACCUCAUCAGUCAAUGCCACAUCAUUGUCCGUCUAUGUGAACAGUGUCGUGAACAGUAACGUAUACAGUACCGUACAUGUGAACAGUGCCAUUUUUCCUUUUAUGCUCCUCCUAAGGUUUUCGACCGUCCUGAGUUCAAAAGUGAUGUCCGUUUUGCCAUCUGAUCUCUCGUUUAUUGUGAAAUGACUAUGAUGCUCCUAAAAUACAUAAAAUACUUAAUUAAAAUAAAACAAACGGAAUUAAAUCAAAAGAAGGUUAAAUUCAUAAAAGUAAAGGUGUUAGCAAGACUUGAAAUGUAAAAUGACGGUUUUCUCCUUUAUAAAUAUGCAUUUUCUAACACUCAACAACUGAAUUUUUGGGAGAGGAAAUUUUUCAUCUCUGAGAAAAGCAUUUAGAGGCUGAUAAUCAAUUACCAAUCUCUUUUUUCCUCGAACUAACUCAGACCUUUUUUCAACAUAGAAGGCUUGACAUGCCCAAUAUGAAAUUGUUGGCUCAAUGAGACCUUGCCGAAGCAAUUGAUCACAUUCCUAUUUGGCUAAGAGAAGGUCAGAAGGUGGCAUUCCUGGGUGAGUUGCUUUUGUUGGAUUGAUAUCUUCAUUUAACUACUUGUCAUUUUUCCAAAGAGGGAAAAGAUGACUAAACUGAGAGUGAUUUUUAGGACAGAACUGAAGAAGUUUUUGAGUGAUUGGAGCAUAAAAGGGGGUUGUAUUGGAGAGAGUAUGCAGACAAAGAAUAUCUGUAUAAGGCAAAAACAUUUGUUUGAACUUGAUGCUAGUUGGUGUAAUGUGGAGGUUUCUUACCAGAUGUAGGAUAUCAAAUCCUAUGAGAAGAUCUUUGUCUGGUAAAUCUGAACCAAAGAUUUUUUGCCAUAUGAUACAAUUUGGAAAAAACUGAAUCCCAAUGGGUUUUUUUUGGUAAUCAGGGAUGUUUUGAAGAUUUCACUAUUGGCUGCUUUGAAGAAUUCAGUGUGAUUUUCCUAACAAAAAGGAGGAAGGACUGUGGGAUUGAGCAUACUGCGUUGUGCACCAGUAUUAAGAAAACCAAUAACAGGGAUGGGUUUAUAAAACUUGGAAGGAAGGACUGAAAUUUUUACUGAAGGAGCAGUAGGCUUAGAAUUGACCUAGUUAACUUCUUGAACAGUAGAAAUAACAGAAAUUUCAUCUAUCUCAGAAUCAUCUAUUGACUCUGUGAGGAUGAAGGUUGUAUGAUCAUCAUAUUCUGUCUGUUCAGGGAAAUUGGACACAACAUCUUCUUGAUCAACAAGGAUUGAAGAUUUUUGUAGAUGUUGAAUGAGACAAACAGCUUUGGCAGACUUGUUUGGACAAUUUCUGGCAAAAUGUCCUCUUUUCUUGCAAAUGAAACAACGGUUAUGUUUCUGUUUUCUGAAGUAUCUGUAAGGCUUUUUGUCUUUUCGGGAAGAUCUGUGAGGAUGCUUUUGGAAAUGACCUUUCUUUUUGGUUGGACAAGUGCAUUUUUUGUCAUCUUUGCACUGGAUUUUGAGGUAUGGUUUUUUGCAAGCUGAGGCAAAAGGUUGUUUGUUUUCAAUGAGGUCUUUGAAGAAGUCUUUUUGUUCACACAAUCUGUCAAGACACAACAUAGUCAACUGGAAGAUUUUUCCAAGAGAAAUGUUGGCUAUGUCUAGGUUGAAGGCUGUCAGCCGUCGUUGGAGCUCUGGUUGAAGUUCUGAUGGAAGAGAAGCAAUGAAAACAUGCUUCAAAGUUGGAUCGUUGAAUCCAUUUAACUUGUAGUAUAGCAUACUCAUUCUUUUGUAAUAAAUCUCCAAAUGGUUGCGCUUGAGAGAACAACAUUUCAUCUGGUGAAAUUCUUUUCUUGAUGCUUCAUUUACUAUAGCUGGUUCUCCACUGGUAUCAGAGCCACACUUCCUUUUGCGGUGGUAUCAUUAGUAAUUUGAAUAAUCUUAUUUGAUCUCCUAGAAGAAGAUUCAUCAACCAUGGAAACAAACACAUCUUCAACUUCUACAUCAUCCUCAUCUCAUAUUUCUCUUUCUUCUACGUUAUCUCUUCCCAAAUCCUGUUCUAAACACAUAGCCUCCAAAAUUGAGAAUCUUGUUGAAUAUUCUUAUAUUCCAGAAUCUGCUCAAAUCAAUGAGUCCCAGUUUUCCAUCAUGAGUCCUUACAAUCUCUAUAAACAAAAAACUUGUUUCACUAGAUGUAUUCGAACCCUCAUCUCCACUAAAAGACUACUCCCAAAAGAAUAUAUCCAGUCUUCUACACUGGAUCAGUGUGCUCUACAAGCCUCACAGAGUGAACAAUAUGAUACGAAUCCCACAAUGAAACUUUCAAUCCUACAAUUAAUUUGUAGUUUCAACUUCCCAAGAAAGUUCUAAACAGAUUUAUGGCAAACAAAAACCUUGACCCAAUGCUUAAGAAAACAUGAACCAAAGGUAUAGAGAAGGGUAUUGACGCCACACUCAAGAAAAAGAUGAGAAGGUGAGUGAUAAGUCUAAAUUUGGAACACCACAAGAAUGUAAAUUCUUGAUAAGUUCACUAGUUCUCAAAAGAACCAAAGAAAGAAUAAUCUUUCAAAUUCAAAAUAACAUUUUUCUCCUUACAUACCAAGGUUGCUGAAUUUAAAUAGGCUAAAAGGAACCCAAGAUCCUAAAAAUACAAAUGAAAACAUUGGAAUAACCCUCCAAGUAAGUUUGUCAAAAGAUGUUUCAAAAGUCUUCACCAACCCACCAUGAUCAAUGCUAUCUUUGACAAACUUAAUGCUAGCCUACUAUAAUUAAUGCUAUCAUUGACAAACUUGAAACAAAACAAACAAAUAAGUUGAAAAACAAAGGAUUCGUUGAAAAUCCCAAGUCUGAACAAGCUGUAAAGAAUUGGUCAUAACUCCUUCUAGAGAACUCCAAAUCUAGCUUUGUAAAAUUUAUUGGAAAGCUAACUUAAUUAUCUUUCCAACGGUAUAUAGCUUGCAUUUUAAUUCUGGCUCAAUCAAUACAGUUUUUAUUCCGAAUUUGACCUUUCUGCAUUUGAUACAACUUGUGUAUUUGGCUGCCCAAUGACUUGAAUAAUGCCCACAAUGCCUUGUCUUCUCUUCAAGCCCAAUUCAUGAUGUCUUGCAUCUUGAAUUGCAUUUUCAAUCCAUAUUUUCUCAAUUAAUCCAUUUAAAGCAGCUUGCAUCUUUUUGGCUCUUGCUCUUGUAAUUGGGCCUCCAUGAAUGUGCAAAGGAUCACUUGAAGUUUUAAUGGUCCCUUGAUGGUUCUCAUCACAAUAUGUCACUAUGGAAAUACCUUCAGAUCUCGUCGCCAACUGGAAACAAGAAGGAUACACACACCUCUAUCUUGGUGGUGUAUGAUUAAUUCUCACUCUUCAUGGUCGAAAAGGCUUACCUGUUAUAGCUAGAAUUGCUCUCCUAGACACCAGGUUCAAGGAGUACCAACACGCUCUUGUAGGAACCAUUCUGACAACCCUUCAUGCUGGCAAUGUCUUAUUAACCUUUUACCCCAAUUUCAAUCUCUCUCUUGAGGAUCCCAAUCUUCCAACAACCCUUAAAGUCCAGAUCCAGCUCCAAGGAGCAGAACAAACACCCACAUCUAAGAUUGCAACCCUCCAUCAUCAAAUAAUGUAUCGAUUACAAAAUCAUGCACUAGAUCUUCCUACACCAUACACAACUUCUGAUGCCUUGAUGAUAUUGGCGGACACAGACACAAUUCCAACCAUCAUUCAAAUCCCCAAACAAAUCCAGAAACAAGAUUUGCUCCAACUCAUGCCUCUUGAAUGGCUAACCAACUAUGAGCACUUUCACCAAAAUUCUAAACUAGUACAAACCACAGAAGCCAUAUUUGACAGACGACCAAAUGGCCAAGUCAAACUGUCUUUUCAAACUCCUGACUCCAAGCCCAUUUCAGACAGUCCCCAGCUUUCUUAUACUGCUAUGAUCACAGCAGCUCAAACUGGUCAAGAAAAGAAACUUCCUAUUCAUGGUUUCUCAUCAGAAGGGUAUCCAGUAUAUCCUGAUAAAAUCAAUGGUCAUUUUCUAUGGGAUGUUCCUGAAGCCCAUAUGUGCAAUCCGGAUUGUCCUUGCUUGGAUGAUACGGAUAUUGAUGAAGAAUUGGAAGUUAUGAGGAGAAAGACAAAGAAGAAGAAAAAAGCUUCUUAUCCAGCAUCAUCCUGUAAAUCCUUUGCUCCACAACCUCCACCAAAUCCCAAACCUCCUGUCCAACCAAUUAGAUCAUGUCUUAUGUUUUCAAGUCAUUCCUAUGAGGAAUCAUUUCCUCCACUUGAAAAAUAGAUAGACACACAAACCCGGGUCACAUCAAAACCUUUUGUUCAAUCUCCAAUUACAGCCACUGGGCAACCUGAAGAACCCAAACAACAUGAAGCUGUUUUGAAUUGGCAAACCAAAAAUGCCAAUGCUCAAAAUCAUACUCUUCACCAACUCGAUAAGAAAAUUGACCAUGUUGCCACUCAAGUCUCCCAGACUGAAACUAAAGUUGAUUCAAUCAACAGUCGUUUAGAACAGAUGUAUAUACAUCUUCAAGAUCAGAUUUUUGAACUAGAUGCCGAUCUCAGACGAAUGAUCAACAAUCAUAUAUGGGGUCCAGAGUUUAAUAAAAAAGAAGCUAAAAUCAGAAAACUCAAAGCUGAAUUGUCCAGGAUUGAUGCUGAAAAAACUCGACCUUCCCUUUUUACUCAACCACAACCUACACCAGUAUCUCCUCCAAUCUUUGACACCUAUGCAUCUUUCUACACAACAUCCCGACCUCAACAACAUGUUUAUAAUCAGUUCUUUGGUUUCUCCCACCUUCAACCAACUCCUCAACCAUCUUCACCCAAAAAAUCACGAUCUAAAGUCAAAAUCUCUGAACCACGUCCAAAGGCCACUUCCUCCUCCUCGACCUCUACAAUCCCUCUAGAAGAAUCACAACAAGACAUUCCCAAGCCUCUUAAAAAAGAUAAAAGCCCAAUGGACCAAUUCCAUUAUCAUACUGUCCAGACCGAAUCCUCAGAUUCCUCUGACUCUUCUGAGCCUGAAACAAAUAACUCAUCUUCGUCUUCAUCCUAUGACACAUCACAAGCCUCCAUUGACUCUGAGUCUGAAUAUGCUGACAUUACAAGCAUAUUAAUGGCCACUGAAACUACAGAUCCAAGUGCUUCUACUUCAACACCUAUUGUUGAUGACAAUCCUUCUGAUCAAGCAUCUCAAACAAACCCAGUACCACCACCAGUUCAUGACCACUCAACAAAACCAUCUUCAAUAUCUUGGUUUACAUUUGAUGACAUUCCCCGUCACAAAUGGGCUGCUAGACUUCAAGAAUUUGCUGCUUGGAUUGAUCUUCAAGGUACCAAGCCUAAUGCUCAACCUCAAGCCGUUCUUCGUGAAUUCAUGGCCCGCUCCAUAGGUUCUUUACGAGGCUAGUUAGAAAGCUUAGGAGAAUACAGACAGCUCCAAUUCAUGGAAUCUCCGAUUGGUACAACCCUCAAUAUUAUUCAUGAGCAAUUCAUCGGUGAAAAAACUGUUUCCACUGAAGCAGACAGAAAAGAAUACCAUCAGAUGAAAUGCUGUUCUCUUAAAAGACAUCUUCUGGAUGCUCAUUACAAAAGAAUGAGUAUUCUAUUCUACAAGCUAAAUGGGUUCAAUGAGCCAUCUCUUAAACAUGUCUUCAUUGCCUCUCUUCCUCCGGAGUUACAACCUGAUCUUCAAAGAAAACUCACAGUCACUAAUCUGAGCAUAGCUGAUAUCUCUCUGGGAAAGAUUUUCCAAAUGGCCAUGCUAUCUCUUGAUAAGAUCUGUGAACAGAAAGAAUUCUUCAAAGAUCUCAUGGGAGACAAAAAACCCUUCUCUGAAGCUUGUAAAAAACCUCAUCUCAAGAUGGAGUGUAAAGAUGAAAAGAAGUGUGUUUGUUCGACUAAAAAGAAAAAAACAUUUUCAGAAACACUUCCACAGAAAAUCAUCCUCCAAACAACCUUUUCGGUAUUUUCGAAAGAAAGAUGUUUCUCAGUACUGAAAGAGAAAAUCCAACCGUUGUUUCAUCUGCAAGAAACACGGUCACUUUACCCGAAAUUGUCCUCACAAAUCGACCAAAGCUGUUCGUCUUAUCCAACAUCUUCAACAUUCUUCCCUGUUAUCUGAAAAUGAGGAUGUCGAAUCAAAUUUUUCCGAACAGUCAACCCAAGAUGAUCAAACUGCCUUUCUUAUCGCAAAAUCUUUAGAUUCUGAAGAUAUUUCAAUCAUCUUUACAGUCCAGACUGUUAAUCAUGUUUCCACUAUUCCCAGACCUUCUCUCAAGAUGUCCAUCCUUCCUUCCAAAUUCCAUAAACCUAUUCCUGUCAUCGGGUUUCUUGACACUGGUGCGGAUACCAGUAUGAUUGAUCCUUCUGUUCUCCCCUCCGACUGUUGGGAACAUCAUUCCAAGCUCUUCCGAGCAGUUAAUGGUGAAAUCUUUAAAACCACUUUGAUUACCAAAAAACCCAUUGGUAUUCAAUUCUUUCCGAAUUGUAUAAUUUGAAAAAAGAUUAUAGCCUCCAAACUUCUAGAUAAGGAUUUACUUAUAGGUUUUGACAUUCUUCAUUUAGUUAAAAACCUAUUCCUCACUAAUUCUGGAGUUCGCUAUAAACAGAUGUUCUUGCCUUAUACAAAUACACUACGUCUGUAUACACUUUCUGAAACACAAUCUCCAUACAGUCAAAUCUCACAAAAGCUCUUAGAGUUCUGUCCAGAAAACCAUUCACAGUUCCAUCAUCCUGCACCUCUUUGGAAAAAUGAACAAUUUUUCAUUCACCUUCCUUUUAAACUCAACGAAGACAUAAACCCCACAAAAGCCUCACACCCGGGUAUGUCUCCUUCAGAUCUCUUGCUUGCUAAGCAAGAAUGUUCUCAGUUACUUCAACAAGGUCUUAUUAAGUCUACUGAUUCAGAUUGGGCUUGUCAAGCCUUUUAUGUUGAAAAACAAUCUGAAUUAGUUCAUGGAAAAAAGAGAUUAGUCAUUGAUUACCAGCCACUCAAUUCUUUUCUUAAAGAUGAUAAGUUUCCCCUUCCAAAAAUCCAGACCCUAUUUGUCCAUCUUCAAGGGGCUCGUAUCUUCUCUAAGUUUGAUUUAAAAGCUGGUUUUUGGCAACUUGGUAUUUUACCAGUUGACCAUCACAAAAAUGCCUUCUGCAUCCCUGAUGCCCAUUACCAAUGGACGGUUAUGCCUUUUGGUCUCAAAGUCACUCCCUCUUUAUUUCAAAAAGCCAUGACAAAAAUCUUUUGUCGUAUUCUCCACCAUGCAUUGGUCUACAUUGACGAUAUCUUGUUAUUUUCUUCUGACCAUGAGAGCCACCAGAAGCUCCUUUUGGAUUUCUUUCACAUUGUGCAGGCACAUGGCAUCAUGCUUUCCGAAAAGAAAAGCAGCACAGGAAAGGAAUCAAUUGACUUUCUUGGCAUGGUGAUUAAAGCCGGCCAGUAUCAGCCUGGUCCCCAUAUUGCAAUCAAAUUACUAAAGUUUCCGGACACACAUCUCAACAGAAAGCAGAUACAAUAAUUCCUCGGAAUUGUUAAUUAUGUCCGUGAUUUUAUCCCAAAAGUUGCAAUCCACACCAGCCAGCUGUCACAUAUGCUAAAAAAACAGUGCCCUCCAUGGGGCCCUGCUCAGACAGAAGCUGUCAAGCAGCUAAAGGUGAUAGCACAAUCACCUCCUCUAUUAUGAAUUCCCACAAGUGGACAACGCAUCCUCCAGACUGAUGCCAGCAAUGAUUAUUGGAGUGCCAUUCUUCUCGAAGCCAUUAAUGGCCUACGUCAUUUCUGUGCACAUGCAAGCGGACAGUUCAAAGACUCGAUCUACAAAGAGAUUUUAGCAGUCAAGUAUGGAAUUAAAAAAUUUGAAUUCCAUCUCAUCAGCCACAAAUUCCUUAUCAACAUGGAUAAUUCUUCUUUUCCCCGAAUCUUUGACUUCAAGAACAAAUUGCCACUCGAUAAGCAAUUACUCAGCCUCAAAACCUGGUUUGCUAAAUAUGAUUUCACUGUUCAACACAUAAAAGGCAACCAAAACCUCAUUCCAGACUUCCUCACCCGUCCAGCACUCAUCUCCUCGAUUCAAACCAUUCCAGUUAUAGCCAUGAAUCGCCAACUUCCUUUCAAAGCUCUCAACCAAAGAAAUUUCCCCAUGAACAUCUCUUUCCAAUUGGCUUACCAAUUGCAAGAUUUUGUAAAGAAGUUUCUUUACCGGUUUUUCUUUAAUGUUCAGACUAAAAAACCUAACCGAUUUCCUAAUCUUUGCAUGGAGCACCUAUUUCUCAUAGGCCUCACUCUAUCCUCUCUAUCCAUCUCCGAAGAUGAGCUUUGGUAUAUGUGGUGUCUCACCCCCUUGUAUGCUACAAAGCUAGUUUUUCCCAUCAAACCAGUCCUGACUCACCUUUAACCACUCCAGAGUUCUCCCCAAACCUUUCUAUGGACUCUUUUUAGAAUGGUAUUCACCCCUCACUUGGUGGCGCCAGCAAGUCCACCAUUUUGUAAUACGUUUCUCGGAAUUGGACUAAUGCAAAACAGAAGCUAACAUGGUGGACUAUAGCCAUUCAUCGUCCACAGGCCUUANNNNNNNNNNNNNNNNNNNNNNNNNNNNNNNNNNNNNNNNNNNNNNNNNNNNNNNNNNNNNNNNNNNNNNNNNNNNNNNNNNNNNNNNNNNNNNNNNNNNAUGGAACUUAACAAUGUUCCUCCACCUGCCACAAACAUUCACCACACCUCCAUUGGACCAUCACACACCCUUGAAAUAAUUCCAAAAACACAAGGCUGUACACCAGGUUCAAGUUCAAGUCCUCAAGGAAUCCUUGUCAUGGAACAACGUCCUAACUACACGAAUGUCUUAUUCCAAGACGCUUAGGACCCAUGGGAAGACUUUCAGUCCCUUCUCCAUAUUGACACUCCCCAUUAUACUGUCACCAACCCAGACUCUCCGGCUGCAUCUACCCCACAGCACAUGUCUGAAGCUAAUGAAGAAAAAUAUCAGCAAACUGAGGCGUAUCUCGACCAGAGACAGAGGCGUCAGCACAAGCGACAAUAUGAGACAGAAACAGGAGACGUGUCACCAUCACGCUAUCCAUCCACUCCAUAGACGUGUCACCAUCGCGCUAUCCAUCCACUCCAUAAUAAUUUCUUUGAGCCCUAGAAGAGGGUGAACUUUGUGAGAAAACACUUUUAUUUUCUCAAAAUUGAUUUUAGAGGAUAAAACAGGACCUUUCUGAUGCACAGGAUCCUUAGGCUUAAGGUAAGUGCAGAGCAUACUCAGUAUAGAAAAUUAAAGGCGAGCGUAUCAUUAUUAACCCAAAUAAUUUCUUUGAGCCCUAGAAGAGAGAAAAGAUCUAGAGAUACAUGAUGUAAGGAAACUUAAAUGUUUAUUUCUGAUUAACUCGUGCCUACAACGGAAGCAUAAGGUGCCUUAUAUAGAAAAUCAUCCAGGACAGGACCCCUUGAAUGAUUAUAAUCGACAAAUAGGCACAUGCUGUUAGAAAAGUAAAGCACACCUUUUUAGAAAGUAAAGCACACCAACUAAGACUUUUGCAUAAGACAAAGGAAAACAGAAAGUAAAGCACACCGACUAAGACUUUUUACAUAAACAUUCAAAGCAAACGGGAGACACAUGGGCUUAUUGCAUUAAAAGCAAUGUGAUGGGGACAAGUUGUCAUUAUGGAGUGGAUGGAUAGCGCAAUGGUGACACGUCUCCUGUCGCUUUCUCAUAUUGGCGCUUGUGCCGACGUAUCUGUCUCUGGUCGAGAUAUGCCUCAGCUUAAUAAUAUUUGUCUUCAUCAGUGUCAGUCAUGUGCGGUGAAGUAGAUGCAGCAGGAGAGUCUGGGUUGGUGACGGUAUAAUGGGGAUUUUCAGUAUGGAGAAGAGACUGAAAAUCUUCCCAUGGGUCCUGAGCGUCUUGGAAUAAGACGUUGGUGUAAUCAGGGCGUUGUUCCAUGACAAGGAUUCCUUGAGGACUUGAACUUGAACCCGGAGUAUAGCCUUGUGUUUUUGGAAUUAUUUCAAGGGUGUGUGAUGGUCCAAUAGAGGUGUGGUGAAUGUUUGUGGCAGGUGGAGUAACAUUGUUAAGUUCCAUGAGGUAGGCUUUGAGAACGGAGGUGACCGAUGUAUCAUGGAUGAGGGUAUAAGGAUGAGGGUAAGUUCUCCAUUCAUAUGCCAUGUCUUGUGUCCACUAGUCUCUUGUUUCUGGGUGCUGGAAGUAGGGCCUGUGGAUGAUGAAAAUUGUAGUCCACAUGUUAGCUUCCUGUUCUGGCAUGCUUUCUAAUCCAUGAAAGGUACACAUAUUCUGGAGUUGUUACCAUGUGAGUGGGGAAUACCAUUCGAGGAGAGUCCAUAGAAGGUCUGGUGAGAACUCAAGAGUGUUAAGGUGAGUCAGGACUGGUUUGAUGGGGAAAACUAGCUUCGUAGCAUACAAGGUGGUGAGACACCACAUGUACCAAAGCUCAUCUUCACAGAUGGAUAGAGAGGAGAGAGUGACGUUGGUGAGGAACAAGUGUUCCAUACAAAGGUUAGGAAAACGGUGUUGAGUGUUAGAAAAUGCAUAUUUAUAAAGGAGAAAACCGUCAUUUUACAUUUCAAGUCUUACUAACAACCCUUACUUUUAUGUAUUUAACAUUCUUGUAAUUUAAUUACGUGUGUUUUAUUUUAAUUAAGUAAUUUAUGUAUUUUAGGGGCAUUAUAGUCAUUUCACAAUAAAGGAGAGAUCAGACGGCAAAACGGACAUCACUUUUGAACUCAGGACGGUCGAAAACCUUAGGAGGAGCAUAAAAGGAAAAAUGACACUAUUCACAUGUACGGUACUAUUCACGUAUACGGGACUGUAUACGUUACUGUUCACGGCACUGUUCACAUAGACGGAUCGAUGACGUGGCAUUGACCGAUGAUGUGGCAUUGACUGAUGAGGUGUCACGAUCCUGUUGGACUAAAAUUCUUAUGUACUGUUGAUGGUGACGUGGCAGCAUAUCAGUGGACGAAAAAUCUCGCGUACGGUGCAUGCAUCACACAGGAUUAUUUUCAACCAAACCGCGUUACUGUUCAUCCGGGUCAAACCGCGUUACUAUUCAAAGUUGGGUCAAACCGUGUUACUGUUCAUCCGCGUGGUCAAACCGUGGACUGUUGACUGAUGACGUGGCGCAAUCCUGAGCGUCCAAACUGUUUUUAAUCCGAUGGCCAUGAUUUACUCCAUGUAUCUAUAAAAAGGGGGCCUCUCCCCCCUAAUUUGAUAUCUCUGAAUCCAUUUUUGGGAUCCAUUUUCUGUAAUUCCCUCUCCAUCUUGUAUUUUCUUCGUAUUUUAAUAAAUUCCCAUUUUACCCCUAGUUCAAUUAUGAGUAGCUAAUUUUCUUUCAAGCUUGGGUUGAAGGUGAAGUCUCAACAUGUGUCAUGGGCUUAAUUUGGUAAAUUUAUUUUCUCUUCCCCUCUAGUUUUUGUGGAUGUUUUGACUUCUCGUCGACAAAUAAUACUAAUCUUGUCUAGUACCGCCUUGGUUUCACCGGCCCUCUAGUACAAGGUUAUUAUUAUUUGGCACGAUAAGCCCUUAGCACCAUAUUGAUUAGAGCGUGGUUCAUGAGGUGUGGAUUCCCCCCUCAUGAUUUAAUUGGCAUUAAUACGGAUUAUUUAGCCCAUGAUGUAUGUUGAUACGGAUCUAGAUACCCAAGUACGUCAAUUUAAUAGAUUUUCUCUUCAAUUUAUUCUCUCAAUUGCAAUUCCAAUUUUAGAAUUUAUUCUCGCCAUUUUAAUUUAAUUAUUAGCAUAUUCCAAAUCAUUUCCACCAUAAAUCCAACUACCCAUUUACAAAAUUAAUUCUAUAUAUAAUUAAAAUCCACCUCCUCGUGGGAUCGACACUCGUCACCAUUAGUCUAUACUACAAUAGAUUCGUGCGCUUGCGAGUACAUUAAAAUUUGCACAACAAACGGUCAGGUUUUUUGGUCUGAACAUUAAAGAAAUACAUGUAAAGGAACUUCUUUGCAAAAUCUUGUAGCUGGUAAGCGGAUUGGAAAGAGAUGUUCAUGGGGAAGUUUAUCUGAUUGAGAGCUUUGAAAGGAAGUUGGCGAUGCAUGGCUAUUACUGGAACGGUUUGGAUUGAGGAAAUGAGUGAGGGUUUAUUUAUAGCUGGACGUGUGAGGAAGUCUGGAAUGAGGUUUUGGUUGCCUUUUAUAUGUUGAACAGUGAAAUCAUAUUUAGCAAACCAGUUUUUUAGACUGAACAGUUGCUUGUCAGGGAGCAACUUGUUUUUGAAGUCAAAGAUUCGGGGAAAAGAAGAGUUAUCCAUGUUGAUAAGAAAUUUGUGGCUGAGGAGAUGAAAUUUGAAUUUUUUAAUUCCAUACUUGUUUGUCAAAAUCUCUUUGUAGAUCACAUGGUAGUUCUUUUCAGAGUCUUUGAAUUGUCCGCUUGCAUGUGCACAUAAAUGACGCACGCCAUUGAUUUCUUCGAGAAGAAUGGCGCUCCAGUAAUCAUCGCUGGCAUCAGUCUGGAGGAUGCGUUGGCCAGAUGUGGGAAUUCGGAGUGGAGGAGGUGAUUGGGUUAUCACCUUUAGCUGCUUGACAACUUCUGUCUGUGUUGGGUCCCAUGGAGGGCACUAUUUUUUUAGCAUGCGCGACAGCUGGCUUCUGUGGAUUGCAACUCUUAGGAUGAAAUCACAGACAUAAUUAACAAUCCCGAGGAAUUGUUGUAUCUGCUUUUUGGAGAGAUUUAUGUCCGGGAACUUUAAUAAUUCAGUUGCAAUGUGUGGACCAGGUUGGUAGUGGCCAUCUUUAAUCACCAUGCCAAGAAAGUCAAUGGAAUCCUUGCCUAUGCUGCUUUUCUUUUCGGAAAGCAUGAUGCCAUGUGUCUGCACAAUAUUAAAGAAAUCCAAAAGGAGCUUCUGGUGGCUCUCAUGGUCAGAGGAAAAUAACAAAAUAUCAUCAAUGUAGACCAGAGCAUGGUGGAGGAUAGGACUAAAGAUUUUUGUCAUGGCCUUUUGAAAUAAUGAAGGAGCAACUUUAAGACCAAAGGGCAGAAUGGUCCAUUGAUAAUGGGCAUCGGGAAUGCAAAAGGCAGUUUUGUGACGGUCAACUAGUGAAAUACCAAGUUGCCAAAAACCAGCUUUUAAAUCAAACUUAGAGAAGAUACGAGCCCCUUGAAGAUGGACAAACAGAGAAGAUACUUCGGCACAAGCGCCAACAUGAGAAAACGACAGGAGACGUGUCACCAUCGCGCUAUCCAUCCACUCCAUGAUGACAACUUGUCCCCAUCACAUUGCUUUUAAUGCAAUAAGCCCAUGUGUCUCCCGUUUGCUUUGAAUGUUUAUGUAAAAAGUCUUAGUCGGUGUGCUUUACUUUCUGUUUUCCUUUGUCUUAUGUAAAAGUCUUAGUCGGUGUGCUUUACUUUUCUAACAGCAUGUGCCUAUUUGUCGAUUAUAAUCAUUCAAGGGGUCCUGUCCUUGAUGAUUUUCUAUAUAAGGCACCUUAUGCUUCCGUUGUAGGCACGAGUUAAUCAGAAAUAAACAUUUAAGUUUCCUUACAUCAUGUUUCUCUAGAUCUUUUCUCUUUUCUAGGGCUCAAAGAAAUUAUUUGGGUUAAUAAUGAUACGCUCGCCUCUAAUUUUCUAUACUGAGUAUGCUCUGCACUUGCCUUAAGCCUAAGGAUCCUGUGCAUCAAAAAGGUCAUGUUUUAUCCUCCAAAAUCGAUUUUGAGAAAAUAAAAGUGUUUUCUCACAAAGUUCACCCUCUUUGAGGCCAUAAGUGUUGUGUGUUUAGGUGAUAUCGUGAAAAACUAUUUUCAAAUAUGAUUUUUGGAUUUGGUAUUUGAUGGAUAAGUGUAUAUCGGCUGGAAACCAGAACUUGCGGGCUAUUGGCCUUAAGGACAGACUUCGUUAUGUUAUAGAUCUGGUGUAACAAUGCCACGUACAAUUACCCACUGGUAUUGCUCCUUCAUUAUUUCAAAAGGCCAUGACAAAAAUCUUUAGUCCUAUCCUUCACCAUGCUCUAGUCUACAUUGAUGAUAUUUUGUUAUUUUCCUCUGACCAUGAGAGCCACUAGAAGCUCCUUUUGGAUUUCUUUCAUAUUAUGCAGGCACAUGGAAUCAUGCAUUCCGAAAAGAAAAGCAGCAUAGGUAAGGAAUCCAUUGACUUUCUUGGCAUGGUGAUUAAAGAUGGCCACGACCAACCUAGUCCACACAUUGCAACUGAAUUAUUAAAGUUUAUGGAUACAAAUUUCUCCAAAAAGCAGAUACAACAAUUCCUCGGGAUUGUUAAUUAUGUCCGUGAUUUCAUCCCAAAAGUUACAAUCCACACAAGCCAACUGUCAUGCAUGCUCAAAAAAUAGUGCCCUCCAUGGGGCCCAACACAGACAGAAGCUAUCAAGCAGCUAAAGGUGAUAGCCCAAUCACCUCCUCCACUUCGAAUUCCCACAUCUGGCCAAAGUAUCCUCCAGACUGAUGCCAGCGAUGAUCACUGGAGCGCCAUUCUUCUUGAAGAAAUCAAUGGCAUGCGUCAUUUCUGUGCACAUGCAAGCGGACAAUUCAAAGACUCUGAAAAGAACUACCAUGUGAUCUACAAAGAGAUUUUGGCAGUCAAGUAUGGAAUUAAAGGGCAGAAUGGUCCAUUGAUAAUGGGAAUGCAAAAGGCAGUUUUGUGACGGUCAACUAGUGAAAUACCAAGUUGCCAAAAACUAGCUUUUAAAUCGAACUUAGAGAAGAUACGAGCCCCUUGAAGAUGGACAAACAGGGUCUGGAUGUUUGGAAGGGGAAACUUAUCAUCUUUAAGAAAAGAAUUAAAUGGCUGGUAAUCAAUAACUAAUCUUUUUUUACCACGAACUAAUUCAAAUAGUUUUUCAACAUAGAAGGCUUGACAAGCCCAAUCUAAAUCAGUGGGUUCAAUGAGACCUUGUUGGAGUAACUAAGAGCAUUCUUUCUUGGCAAGCAAGAAAUCUGAAGGAGACAUACCCGGGUGAGAAGCUUUUGUGGGAUUUAUGUCUUCAUUGAGUUUGAAAAGAAGAUGGAUAAAAAAUUGUUCAUUCUUCCAAAGUGGUGAAGGAUGGUGAAACUGUGAAUGAUUUUCUGGACAAAAUUCUAAGAACUUAUGGGCAAGAUGACUGUAUGGAGAUGGUGUUUCUGAAAGUGCAUACAGACGAAGAGUAUCAAUAUAGGGUAAGAACAUUUGUUUGUAGCGAACUCCNNNNNNNNNNNNNNNNNNNNNNNNNNNNNNNNNNNNNNNNNNNNNNNNNNNNNNNNNNNNNNNNNNNNNNNNNNNNNNNNNNNNNNNNNNNNNNNNNNNNAGGAAUAGGUUUUUAACAAAAUGAAGAAUGUCAAAACCUAUGAGUAGAUCUUUAUCAGGGAGUUUGGAGACUACAAUCUUUUUCCAAAUUAUACAAUUCGAAAAGAAUUGAAUACCAAUGGGUUUUUUGGUAAUCAAAGUGGUCUCAAAAGUUUCUCCAUUAACGGCUCUGAAAAGCUUUGAAUGAGGUUCCCAAUAGUCUGAGGGAAGAACAGAAGGGUCAAUCAUACUGGUAUCUGUACCAGUGUCAAUAAACCCGAUGACAGGAACAGGUUUAUGAAACUUGGAAGGAAGGAUUGACAUUUUGAGUGAAGGUCUGGGAAUGGUGGAAACAUGGUUGACAUUUUGAACUGUAGAAAUGACUGAAAUAUCCUCAAAAUCUGAAGAUUCUGUGAUGAUAAAAGCAGUUUGGUCAUCUUGUUCUGAUUGUUCAGAAAAGGUUGAUUCAACAUCUUCGUUCUCAGAUAACAGGGAAGAAUGUUGAAGGUGCUAUAUGAGACGAACAACUUUGGCAGGCUUAUAGGGACAGUUUCAAGAAAAGUGACCGCGUUUCUUGGAGAUGAAACAACGGUUAUGCUUUUUCUUUCUGUACUAGGGGACAUCCUUUUUUCUGAAAUACUGGAAAGGUUUUUUGGAGGAUGAUUUUUUGUGGAAGUGUUUUUGAAAAUGUUUUUUCUUUUUGGGCGAGCAAACACACUUCUUUUCAUCUUUGCACUCCAUCUUGAGAUAAGGUUUUUUACAAGCUUCAGAGAAGGGUUUUGCCUGCCAUGAGAUCUUUGAAGAAUUCCUUCUACUCACAGAUUUUAUCUAGGCAUAACAUUGCCAUUUGGAAAAUCUUUCCCAAAGAGAUGUCAGCAAUGCUGAGAUUAGUGGCUGUGAGUUUUCUUUGAAGAUCAAGUUGUAACUCGGAAGGAAGAGAUGCUAUGAAGACAUGUUUAAGAGAAGGUUCGUUGAAUCCAUUCAACUUGUAAAAUAGAAUACUCAUUCUUUUUAAAUGAGAUUCCAAAAGAUGUCUUUUGAGAGAACAGCACUUCAUCUGAUGAUACUCUUUUCUGUCUGCAUCGGUAGAUGCUGUUUUUUCACCAAUGAAUUGUUCAUGGAUGAUGUUGAGUGUGGUACCAACAUGUGAUUGCAUGAAUUGGAGUUGUCUAUAUUCUUCCAAGCUUUCUAAGCAAUCUCUCAAAGAACCCGUAGAUCGGGCCGUGAAUUCAUGAAGGACAGCUUGAGAUUGAGCAUUUGGCUUUGUUCCUUGGAGAUCAAUCCAUGCAGCAAAUUCUUGAAGUCUAGCAGACCAUCUGUGAUGAGGAAUGUCAUCAAAUGUGAACCAAGAUGCUGAAGAUGGUUUUGUGGAGUGAUCAUGAGCUGGUGGUGGCAUAGGUGGCACUGGUUCUGUGUGAGAUGCUUUAUGCUCAUCAUCAGAAGAACUAUCUUCAACAAUUGGUGUAGAAGUUGAAGCACUGGGAUCUUCAGUUUUAGUUGCCAUCAAUAUGCUCGUAAUGUCAGCAUAUUCUGAUUCAGAGUCAGUGGAGGUACUGGUUGAGUUUGUGGAUGAGGAGGAUGAGUGUGACUGACGGAUUGGACUCACAUACUGUUUCUGGUUCAAAGGAUUUAGGAGAUGAGUCGUAGACAGUUUGAUAAUGAUACUGAUCCAUUGGUCCUUUAUCUUUUUUAGGAGGGUCAGGAGUUACUUGUGGUGAAUCUUCGGGAGGUACCGGAGGAGUAGAUGAGGAUGAAGUUGGCUUUGUUUUUGGUUCUGAAAUUUUUACUUUGGACUUUGAUUUUUUAGGUCAAAAGGGUUUUGGUUGAGGAGUUGGUUGGAGAUGUGAGAAACCAAAGUAUUGGUUGUAAACAGGUUGGCGAGGUCUGGGAGGUGUAUGAAAAGGUGAAUAGGUUUCAAACACAGGAGAAGGCACAAGUGUGGAUUGUGUCUGGGUGAAAAGUGUUGGACGAGUCUUUUCAGCAUCAAUUCUUGCCAAUUCAGCUUUGAGCUUUCUAAUCUCUGCUUCUUUAUUGUUAAACUUGGGACCCCAGAUAUGAUUAUUGAUCAUUCGUCUGAGAUCGGUAUCUAACUCAGAGAUACGGUCUUGUAGAUGUAUGUACAUCUGAUCAAGAUGAUGGCUGAUUGAAUCAACUUUAGUUUCAGUCCGGGAGACUUGACUGGCAACUCGAUCAAUUCUUUUUCCGAGUUGUUUGAGGGUUUGAUUCUGAGCAUUGACAUUUUUGGUUUGCCAAUUUAAAAUAGCUUCAUACUGUUUUGGCUCUUCAGGUUGCCCAGAGGCUGUAACUGGGGACUCGACAAAGGGGUUAGAGACAACUCUGGUUUGAGUGUCUGUCUGCUUUUCAAGUGGAGGGAAGGACUCUUCAUAAGAUUGACCUGAAAAUAUUAGGCAUGAUCUUAUUGGUUGAACAGGAGGUUUGGAUCUGGUGGAGAUAGUAGAGGAAAAGAUUUGCAAGAUGUUUUUGAAUGAGAAGGUUUGUUCUUUUUCUUUUUCUUUCUUCGCAUGACUUCGAGUUCAUCUUCAAUAUCCAUAUCAUCCAAGCAAGGACAAUCCGGAUUACGCAUAUGGGCGUCAGGGACAUCCCAUAGAAAAUGACCAUUGAUUUUAUCAGGAUAUACAGGAUACCCUUUGGAGGAGAAACCAUGAAUUGGAAGUUUCUUUUCUUGAUCAGUUUGGACUGCGGUAAUCAUAGCAGUGUAAUAAAGCCUUGGAGUGUUCUGAACAGGUUGUGAUUCAGGUAUUUGGAAAGAUAGUUUGACUUGACCAUUUUGUCGUCUUUCAAACGUGGCUUCUGUUGUUUGAACUGGUUCAGAGUUUUGGUGGAAUUGUUCAUAAUUGGUCAACCAUUCAAGAGGCAUGAGUUUAAGCAAUUCUUGUUUCUGAAUUUGUUUGGGAAUUUGGAUGAUGGUUGGAAUUGUGUCUGUGUCAGCAAGGAUCAUUAAGGCAUCAGAUGUGGUGUAUGUUGAGUGUUAGAAAAUGCAUAUUUAUAAAGGAGAAAACCGUCAUUUUACAUUUCAAGUCUUACUAACACCUUUACUUUUAUGAAUUUAACCUUCUUUUGAUUUAAUUCCGUUUGUUUUAUUUUAAUUAAGUAUUUUAUGUAUUUUAGGAGCAUCAUAGUCAUUUCACAAUAAACGAGAGAUCAGAUGGCAAAACGAACAUCACUUUUGAACUCAGGACGGUCGAAAACCUUAGGAGGAGCAUAAAAGGAAAAAUGGCACUGUUCACAUGUACGGUACUAUUUACAUGUACAGUACUGUAUACGUUACUGUUCACGACACUGUUCACAUAGACGGACGAUGAUGUGGCAUUGACCGAUGAUGUGGCAUUGACUGAUGAGGUGGCACGAUCCUGUUGGGCUAAAAUUCUUAUGAACUGUUGAUGGUGACGUGGCAGCAUAUCAGUGGACGAAAAAUCUCACGUACGGUACAUACAUCACACAUGAUUAUUUUCAACCAAACCGCAUUACUAUUUAUCCAGGUCAAACCGUAUUACUGUUCAUCCGCGUGGUCAAACCGCGUACUGUUGACUGAUGACGUGGCGCAAUCCUGAGCGUCCAAAUUGUUUUUAAUCCGAUGGCCAUGAUUUACUCCAUGUAUCUAUAAAAGGGGGCCUCUCCCCCCUAAUUGGAUAGCUCUGAAUCCAUUUUUGGGAUCCAUUUUCUGUAAUUCCCUCUCCAUCUUGUAUUUUCUUCGUAUUUUAAUAAAUUCCCAUUUUGCCCCUAGUUCAAUUAUGAGUGGCUAAUUUUUCUUUCAAGCUUGGGUUGAAGGUGAAGUCUCAACAUGUGUCAUGGGCUUAAUUUGGUAAAUUUAUUUUCUCUUCCCCUCUAGUUUUUGUGGAUGUUUUGACUUCUCGUCGACAAAUAAUACUAAUCUUGUCUAGUACCGCCUUGGUUUCACCGGCCCUCUAGUACAAGGUUAUUAUUAUUUGGUACGAUAAGCCCUUAGCACCAUAUUGAUUAGAGCGUGGUUCAUGAGGUGUGGAUUCCCCCCUCAUGAUUUAAUUGGCAUUAAUACGGAUUAUUUAUCCCAUGAUGCAUGUUGAUACGGAUCCAGAUACCCAAGUACGUCAUCUCAAUAGAAUUCUCUUCAAUUUAUUAUGGUAAUUUCAAUUCCAAUUUUAGAAUUUAUUUUAAUUUAAGUUUUAGCAUAUUCCAAAUCAUUUCCACCACAAAUCCAACCACCCAUUUACAAAAUUAAUUCUACACAUAAUUAAAAUCCACCUCCUCGUGGGAUCGACACUCGUCACCAUUAGUCUAUACUACAAUAGAUUCGUGCGCUUGCGAGUACAUUAAAAUUUGCACAACAAGUUUUUGGCGCCGUUGCCGGGGAGGUAAGUAAUUUUAAUUUAUAGAAUUAAUUUUUGUGAAUAAUUUCUUUUAUUUUUUUCUUGUAUUGUUUUUAUUAAAAAAAAAAAAAGAAAAAAAAAGUGAAUCUACAUUUAAAGGUUAGUAUUUAUUUUCUUUUUCUCUUGUUUAAAAUUCUGUAAUUUAAUUUCAAUUUAUUUUUCUUUGAAUUUUUUUUGUUUAUCUUAUUAAUUUAUUUUUAAUUAAUUUAUUUCACGUAUUUAUUUUUGUGUAUUUUUAUAGAAAGGUUGUAAUAGCGCAAUAAGGUUAGUAUCGUAAUUUCUCCCUCUUUUUUAUUUUUAUUUGUUUUGCAUGCAUGGUCGUAGGUCAUUAUUACCUAAUCUUGAACCUAUGAACCUUGAAUUAGAAAAAAUACUUCGCACACACAGGCACAUUAAAAAUAAAUUUGGAAUGGAUUUACAAGCACCACAGGAGAGGUCAUUUAAGGACUAUUUUAGUCCCUUAGCUAAUUUGAGCACAUCAUGCAUAAGAUACCCAAAUGUAGCUGCUAGGAGUUUUGAACUAAAACCUAGUGUGCUAAAUUGUCUCCCAACAUUCUAUGGCCUAGAAAAUGAGGAUCCAUAUAAUCAUCUGAAUGAUUUUCAUGCCAUUUGUCAAACUUUUAAAUAUGAAAAUUUUUCAAAUGAUGAUGUUAAACUUAGACUAUUCCCAUUUUCUUUAAAGGAUAGAGCUCGUUCAUGGUUAAAUAUAUCUGCUAAUAGCAUUUCAUCAUGGGAACAAAUGGUAACGAAAUUUUUGAAUAAAUAUUUCCCAGUGUAUAAAACCAAUGCUAUUCACAGGGAAAUUUCAGAGUUUACACAGAGAGAAGACGGGCAGUUUUUUGAAACAUGGGAGCGAUUCAAUGGGCUACUCUUGAAGUGUCCACAUCAUGGGUACGAGAAAUGGCACCAAUGCCAAUACUUUUUGGAGGGAUUAUUGCCGAAUGUGCAAGAAUGGCUAAUGGCAACAAGUGGAGGAGAGCUAAUGUCAAAAAGUGCAUCAGAGAUUUGGGAAUUCUUCCAGCGACAAGCGGAUAAUUUCCAACAACGGAGUCGAUCACUCAGGAAUACUAGAAGAAUUAAGGGAGUAAAUGAGGUUCACAUUGGCGAGUCAACUUCAGAAAUUAAAGAAGUCAAAGCGAUAAUUGAAGGUCUCUCUCGACAAAUAGCAUCGUUAUCGACUGCUAAAUCAACAGAGCCACAUGACCAUGACUCAUACUCAGAUCAAGCCAAUGCCAUAGGUGUAAUGAGAAAACCAUCUAAUUACAACCCAUACUCCAACACAUAUAACCCUGGAUGGAGAGACCACCCCAAUUUUUCAUGGUCUCAAGGACUCCAACAGAAUGGACCAGAAGCUCCAGCUCCACCAAUGCAACAAAUUCCUCAAAAUCCUCAAGCCUCUCAGCCACCAUUCAGACCAUACAAUCAGAACCAGAACCACUCUCAACCCAGACCAUGGGAGGAUGCAUUCCAGAAUUUCAAGAAUCUUACUCACUCUACGAUUGAGCAACAGAACCGCACCAUUGAUGGACUACGAAAUGAGUUGAGAGCAGGCUUCAAUUCACAAGCCCAAUCAGUUUCAAGCCUUGAGAAGAUGGUGGGACAACUUGCUUUUUCAGUUCAGACCUUGGCAAUGACCGUUGAGAAAGGUAAAUUUCCAAGUCAACCAGUGCCUAACCCUAAAGGAGUGCAUGAAGCAAGUACCAGUUCACCACAGCAGCAUGGAGAAGUCAAAGCCGUCAUGACCUUGCGAAAAGGAAAAGAAGUCGACAAUAAAGUGGAGAUGCCGGUGAUAAAAGAAAAUCAAAUUGUACCUGUGAAUGUUGAGGACUCAUCACCGGAGGAGAGAGAAGAAACCAACCCACGAGAAUACAUUCCUAAAGCUCCAUUUCCUCAGAGGUUAGCUAAAGGAAAAAAGGAAAAAUCCACAGGUGAGAUUCUUGAAAUCUUCAAACAGGUAAGUGUUAACAUCCCUUUACUUGAUGCUAUUAAACAAGUUCCAUCUCAUGCCAAGUUUCUUAAAGACCUUUGUACUAAAAAGAGAAAUAUGCAUGUUCAAAAGAAGGCAUUUUUAAUAGAAAAUAUUAGUUCUAUACUCCAACAUAAAAUUCCUUUAAAAUANNNNNNNNNNNNNNNNNNNNNNNNNNNNNNNNNNNNNNNNNNNNNNNNNNNNNNNNNNNNNNNNNNNNNNNNNNNNNNNNNNNNNNNNNNNNNNNNNNNNNNNNNNNNNNNNNNNNNNNNNNNNNNNNNNNNNNNNNNNNNNNNNNNNNNNNNNNNNNNNNNNNNNNNNNNNNNNNNNNNNNNNNNNNNNNNNNNNNNNNNNNNNNNNNNNNNNNNNNNNNNNNNNNNNNNNNNNNNNNNNNNNNNNNNNNNNNNNNNNNNNNNNNNNNNNNNNNNNNNNNNNNNNNNNNNNNNNNNNNNNNNNNNNNNNNNNNNNNNNNNNNNNNNNNNNNNNNNNNNNNNNNNNNNNNNNNNNNNNNNNNNNNNNNNNNNNNNNNNNNNNNNNNNNNNNNNNNNNNNNNNNNNNNNNNNNNNNNNNNNNNNNNNNNNNNNNNNNNNNNNNNNNNNNNNNNNNNNNNNNNNNNNNNNNNNNNNNNNNNNNNNNNNNNNNNNNNNNNNNNNNNNNNNNNNNNNNNNNNNNNNNNNNNNNNNNNNNNNNNNNNNNNNNNNNNNNNNNNNNNNNNNNNNNNNNNNNNNNNNNNNNNNNNNNNNNNNNNNNNNNNNNNNNNNNNNNNNNNNNNNNNNNNNNNNNNNNNNNNNNNNNNNNNNNNNNNNNNNNNNNNNNNNNNNNNNNNNNNNNNNNNNNNNNNNNNNNNNNNNNNNNNNNNNNNNNNNNNNNNNNNNNNNNNNNNNNNNNNNNNNNNNNNNNNNNNNNNNNNNNNNNNNNNNNNNNNNNNNNNNNNNNNNNNNNNNNNNNNNNNNNNNNNNNNNNNNNNNNNNNNNNNNNNNNNNNNNNNNNNNNNNNNNNNNNNNNNNNNNNNNNNNNNNNNNNNNNNNNNNNNNNNNNNNNNNNNNNNNNNNNNNNNNNNNNNNNNNNNNNNNNNNNNNNNNNNNNNNNNNNNNNNNNNNNNNNNNNNNNNNNNNNNNNNNNNNNNNNNNNNNNNNNNNNNNNNNNNNNNNNNNNNNNNNAGUUCAUGGGUCAGUCCCGUGCAAGUUGUCCCCAAAAAGUCAAGAGUCACAGUAGUUACGAAUGCUGAUAAUAAAUUGAUACCCACUAGAGUAACUACAGGAUGGCGUGUAUGCAUUGAUUAUAGAAAAUUGAAUUCUGUCACACGUAAAGACCAUUUUCCUUUACCAUUUAUUGAUUAAAUGCUUGAUAGAUUAGCAGGCCAUGAAUUUUAUUGCUUUCUAGAUGGCUACUCAGGAUAUAAUCAAAUUCCCAUAGCACCAAAAGAUCAAGAGAAAACUACUUUCACUUGCCCUUUUGGCACAUUUGCAUAUAGGAGAAUGCCAUUUGGAUUAUGUAAUGCACCUGCUACAUUUCAACGAUGCAUGUUGAGCAUUUUUUCUGAUAUGGUUGAAUGAUUCCUUGAAGUCUUUAUGGAUGACUUUUCUGUCUUUGGUGAUUCAUUUGAUCAAUGUUUACAUCAUCUAACACUAGUUCUGCAGAGAUGUAUCGAGAAGAACUUGGUCUUAAAUUGGGAGAAGUGCCAUUUUAUGGUAAAACAAGGUAGGUAUUGAGGUUAACAAAGCCAAGGUGGAUCUCAUUUCUAAUCUUCCUCCACCUAAAAUAGUCAGAGAAGUAAGAUCUUUCCUUGGGCAUGCUGGUUUCUAUAGACGUUUCAUUAAAGAUUUUAGCAAAGUUUCUAGACCCUUAUGCAAUUUACUUGCUAAGGAUGUACCUUUUGUCUUUAAUGAUUCAUGUCUUGUGGCAUUUGAAAAGUUAAAACAGUUGUUGACAUCAUCACCCAUCAUUCAGCCCCCAAACUGGAGCUUACCAUUUGAGCUCAUGUGUGAUGCAUCUGAUUAUGUAGUAGGAGCAGUAUUAGGACAAAGAGUUGAUUGAAUUCCCCAUGUUAUUUAUUAUGCUAGUAUGACAUUGAAUGAUGCACAGUUGAAUUAUUCAACUACUGAAAAAGAAAUGCUAGCAGUAGUGUUUGCAUUAGAAAAAUUUCGAUCUUAUCUCAUUGGUUGUAAAAUAAUUAUAUUCACAGAUCAUGCUGCUCUCAAAUAUCUUCUCACAAAGAAAGAUGCAAAAGCUAGACUAAUUCGUUGGGUGUUACUUUUGUAGGAAUUUGACUUGGAAUUCAAAGAUAAGAAAGGGACAGAAAAUGUUGUGGCGGACCACCUCUCUCGUCUUCAUUUUGACACAAUUACAGAGCCAUUAAUAUUGAAUGAGUCAUUUCCAGAUGAACAAUUAAUGAGUACGGAAGUAUUGCCUUGGUAUGCUGAUAUAAUUAAUUAUCUUGUUACAGGUAAACUUCCAGAGCAUUGGACCAAGCAAGACAAGGCUAAAUUCUUUGCAGAGAUAAAGAAUUUCUUUUGGGAUGACCCGUAUUUGUUCAAGUAUUGUGCUGAUCAAAUUGUUAGACGAUGUGUCCCAGAAAAUGAAAUUCAGAAUAUUCUUUCAUUCUGCCAUGAACAAGCUUGUGGAGGCCAUUUUAGUGCUAAGAAAACAGCAACUAAAGUUUUACAACGUGGUUUCUAUUGGCCAACUAUAUUUCGAGAUGCUUACACUUUCUGUUCUUCAUGUGAUAGGUGUCAACGAAUGGGGAGCAUUACGCGAAGAAAUAUGAUGCCACUAAAUCCAAUUUUAGUGGUUGAGAUUUUUGAUGUAUGGGGUAUCGACUUCAUGGGACCCUUUCCCCCUUCUUUUGGCCAUCAAUACAUAUUGGUUGCUGUUGACUAUGUAUCGAAAUGGGUAGAAGCAAUUCCAUGUAGAACCAAUGAUCACAAGGUGGUGAUAGCAUUUUUGAAAAGCAACAUUGUCUCACGCUUUGAAUUCCCUCGAGCAAUAAUCAGUGAUGGUGGUGCCCACUUUUGUAACAAAGCAUUCAAAGCUCUUUUGACAAAGUAUUCAAUCACACACAAAGUGGCAACCCCAUAUCAUCCGCAAACCAGUGGCCAAGUUGAGAUAUCCAAUCGAGAAAUAAAGCACAUAUUAGAAAAAACGGUGAGGCCAGAUAGGAAAGAUUGGUCAUUAAGACUUGAUGAUGCAUUAUGGGCAUACAUAACGGCUUUCAAGACCCCGAUUGGGAUGUCACCCUACAGGCUAGUGUAUGGAAAAGCUUGCCACCUAUCUGUGGAACUCGAGCAUCGUGCAUAUUGGGCCAUCAAGAAAUUCAAUUUUGACAUGCAGCAAGCCAGCUCAGAAAGGAGAUUACAACUGGCAGAACUUGAAGAAAUUCGCAAUGAUGCAUACGAAAAUGCCAAGAUUUACAAGCAACGAAUGAAAGUCUUCCAUGAUAAGCAAAUUAUGAGAAAAUCGUUCACUCCAGGUCAGAAAGUGCUUUUAUUCAAUUCUCGCUUGCACCUAUUCCCAGGUAAGUUACGCUCUCGUUGGUCUGGCCCAUUUAUUGUACAUACUGUUUUUCCACAUGGGGCAAUUGAAAUUAAGGACCCAAAGAACGGUGUCACGUUUAAAGUUAAUGGUCAAAGAUUAAAGCCAUAUCUAGAAUACCAACCACAUGGAGAAAACACCGAAAUAAAUUUGAGUGACCCACCAGAUUUGAAUUGAUUUUUUUUUCGGUGAUUUGAUUUUUUUUCUUUCUUUAUAUUAUUCUUUUGCUAAUUGAAAUUAAUUUUGCAUAAGUGUGUUUGUUUAACUAUUAAGUUUUCUCUUAUCAUUUUUAAUCAUGAGUACCUUACUUAGACCGUUCCUCCUGAACAUUCUUAAACCACUUCAACGUGUCAAAACGCAUCUCAAAAGGCAGAUUCAAUUUUGUAAAACACAUCGCAUUUGGGCUCUACAACCACCAGGGUUAGUAGCCUAUGUUGAGGGUUUAGAAAGCCAACUCAGAGACAUUGAGAGAAGUGUUUACGACAUCCAGUUGGAGCUUGAGAUAAAUUCAAUAAGAGGACAAUUUUAAUUUUCUUUUUGUGUUUUAAUUUGUUUUUCUGUUUGUGUGCUUUAGUUUGUUACCCUGGUGAAGUGGCGGAUAACGGUACUCCGUGACAAUCAAGUCGGUUACUUCAGUUUCCCAUAAUAACUGAUAUUCUGAGGCGAAAGUAUGGACAGAAAUGAGAUUCUAGCGAAGCUUCACAAGCGAUUCCCUUCACUUCCUUAGAAUGCCCUCCUUACGAUCUAUAAAGCUCUGUCCGAACCCAUGCGAUUACUCAUGAGGAAUAACAUACCUGCUGACAUCCGCUGGUUAAUCGAGGCUAAAGUACAAUCGGCAGGUGAGUUACCUCCAAAAUUUAUUGCAUACAUGCCUGGUUGUGGUAAAGAAAAUUAUGCAAGAAAACGACGAGCUUGAAGAAUUUCUGUUGCUUGUCAUAAGUGUGCCAGAAUGAGUUGCAAUAAAAACCCAUGUUCUUUAGGAAUGGUGUCUGAUAACAGGGAAGAUAAGAUUCAAUUCAUUAUGGAUGGCUUGAAUAAGGAGUCAUUGGAUGAUAUCCUUUUGUCUCUUGAAACGCAUCCCAGUGGAUAUGUGCAAGGAGCGAUUCUCCAGUUAUGGCCAUUAUUCCAGAAAGAGCAUGCACGAUAUAGUCUCGGGAAUAUGACUAUAAACGACCCUGUUUGCCAGUUUAUAAGAAAACUGGAUGGGAAGCCUAUCUUCGACCCAUAGAGGGCGUUCAAGCUGUUUCUGGAUGUAAAACCAGAGGAAGAUAUGAGCCACAGUCGCAACUACCUGUAAAUAUCCUUUCACUUUACUGUUAUUUUAUUUCACUAUUGUUUUAUUGUGUGCAUUAUUAUCUUUAAUAAAUUUAUUACUGUUUGCUUUUUCCUUAUUACUGUUUGCUUUUUUCCCUUUUACUGUUUCCAUUUUGACUAGCGAGCCGCGUGCUUUUCGCGUUAUUUGACACUGACAUGUUACCUCAUACACAACUGUGAUCCGCUGUCACCAAGAUUCUUAAAUGUGAUUUCUUUUUUGUCAAGCACUCACAAAUUGUUUUUGAGAAGUAUCACAAUGGCAGCUACUCCCAAUAGACAAUUCAAGAACAUUUGUGUGCUUUCUGAAUUUACAUAUGGCAAACAUAAAGAGUUCGUUGAGGCAGCCAUCAAUCUUGGUCGAAGUAUAGCAGAAAGAAAAUUACACUUGGUGUAUGGAGGAGGUAACCGAGGGUUAUCAAAAAUGGUCUCAAAAGCAGCUUUUAUCAGAGGAAGUCAAGUGUUAGGCAUCAUCCCCAGAGUCUUAAAACCAUUAGGCAGUUCGUCUGACUCAUCAACUGGAGAAGAGCUAGUCGUCUCAGGUAUGCAAGAAAGAAUAACUGAAAUGCUUAAUCAUGCUGAUGCUUUUAUUUUCCUUCCAGGAGAUCUUGCAACACUAGAGGCACUUAUCACACUAGCAUCUUGGGCCCAUUUGCACAUCCAUCAGAAACCCAUCGGUUUGUUAAAUAUCAAUAACUUUUAUGAUGGCUUUAUCACAUUUCUUAACCAUGCAAUAAAAAACUAUUUUAUUCCUUCUAAUGUGGAAAAACUUUUUAUUUGUGCUCACACUGCUAAUGAGCUACUUGAUCUGUUACAAGCUUAUAAACCGGAGCCAGACCCCUGGACCUUUGUGUUAGAACGCCCAAAUAAUGAUGGUAACAGUAGCCGCAGUAAGAAGUACAAAUUAGAUUUAACUAUCCGCUUGUAAAUAUUUUUUUUGUGUUGCACCACCCAGGUGAUGUCUUCUAAACUCUACUUCUUUCCUUUCAAACAUUGAGGACAAAGUUUCGUUCUGGUUGGGGGGAGGGAAUAGUCGACAAUUGUGGAAUUUUGGUUAAGUUUUUACUAAUUUUUUGUUGUAGAAACUAACUAUUGCUAACUUUUUGUGUUGAAGAUGGCUGAAUAUGAAGGGUAGUGACUCUAGAAACGCAUCUUCAUUGUUUAAAAAAAAAUUAAUUAAAAAAAAUUUCUUUUUCUUUAUUAAGUUUUGAUGUUCAUUUUUCUUCUUCUUUUUAAUUUCUCCUCUAUAAAUAUACAUUUUCCAACUUUUGAGUCAAAGAUGGCUGAAUAUGGAGUGUAGUUCCUCUAGAAACGCAUCUUCUUUAAAAAAAAAAUCAUUUUUGUUUUCUAUCAUUUUACGUGUAACUUUUCUAAUUAUUUUUUAUGCAUCAUUUUCACAUUUCUGCAUGCAUAGUUUCCUUUCAUGCUUAGAAUAGGUUGGGGGGUAGAAUGUUGUUAAAAAAAAAAAUUUGUGAUUUGUUUUAACAUUGGAUGACAUGAUUAAUUUCAAAUUUUAGUAUUUGUAUUAUCUUUGGUCUUCAGUGAUGUUACAUUAUGUUUGCUACUCUAUAUGUUGAUGUCGGAGACAAAUAUAAGUUGCUUGAAGGAAUGAACAUGUCAUAAUAAGUACCAAGUGAGUUUUUGAGCCUAUCAUUUUUCUUGGAGAGUAACCCUUUUGCCCAUUCUUUAUACAGCUUAGCAGUUUAUUAUUUUAUAUACGAUCUCUAGAUUUAUUUUGAGUUAUCCCUAAAAAAAAAAAAAUGUGUGUUGCUACAUUGGGAGGCCCAUCUAACUAGUAGAUGUGGAUGAUUAUUUAGAGCCCUAAAAGACGAUGGAAAGGCCAUCUUUGAUCCGUUUGAGCCUUUCUAGCCAUCCCUUUUAUUAAAUAUCCAUAGUUAACCCUUUUGAGCCUUAAAAAAAAAAAAAACCUUUCUUUGUCAACUUAUCAUCUUGACCCACUUCGAUUUGGAGUAUUACCCGAUGUCUUAUAAGUUCCAUCACCUAUUUAUGUUUGAGAAAAAUGUAAAUAAUUAUUUUGUUCAGUGAAGUUAUGCCAAAACAAAAAAUAAAAAACAAAAAAAAAACAAAAGUUGUUGUUUCAAAAGAAUAAAAAUAAAAAUAAUAGGUGAAAACCACCUUGCAACUUCCAAAAAAAAAAAAAAUUCUCUGCAUUUUUCUCAAACAUACACUUUGUUUUCCUUAUUUCCCUUCUUUAUUAGCCAUGUCCCUAGCCUUUGUUACGUCCUAAUAAAAGUCCUUCUUGAUUUUAGGAAACUAUAGUUUGAAGUAGAAGCUAGUUAUAUGGGCUAAAAAGAUGUAGUGAUGCAUAAAAAAAAAAGAUAAAUAAAGUGGGUUGACUAGCAUUUUUGUUUGACUUGAGAUCGUAUUAUUUCUAAGCUGAGGGCAUAUUUAUUUCAUCUUGGUGAGAGCAUGUGAUAUCACUUCUUUGUUAUUUUCUCUCUCAAUUACCAUUCAUUGGAGUGACUAUUUUUAGUGGGUUUAAUUUAUUUGUGAGAGUGUCACUACUUCCAGUGAGAUUUUGGGGUUUGACAUGUCAUUCUUGAAAGUAGAUAUAACAAAGUCUACUAGGCUAAUUCAUGUGGAUGGUUGAUGUGAGUGUGAUGUUGCUUUAGACUGGAGAUAAUGCUUAUACUUUUAUUUGAUUGCUAUCAUUAAUCUGAUUGAAUAAACACGGGUGUUUCUAAAUUAAAAAAAAAAUUAAAUUAUUUUGAAUUUGAAUUUGAAUUUUAUUUUCGCUUCAUUUGCUAGGGACUAGCAAUAAGUUGGUUGGGGGGUGUGUUGAGUGUUAGAAAAUGCAUAUUUAUAAAGGAGAAAACCGUCAUUUUACAUUUCAAGUCUUACUAACACCUUUACUUUUAUGAAUUUAACCUUCUUUUGAUUUAAUUCUGUUUGUUUUAUUUUAAUUAAGUAUUUAUGUAUUUUAGGAGCAUCAUAGUCAUUUCACAAUAAACGAGAGAUCAGAUGGCAAAACAGACAUCACUUUUGAACUCAGGACGGUCGAAAACCUUAGGAGGAGCAUAAAAGGAAAAAUGGCACUGUUCACAUGUAUGGUACUAUUCACAUGUACGGUACUGUAUAUGUUACUGUUCACGACACUGUUCACAUAGACGGACGAUGACGUGGCAUUGACCAAUGAUGUGGCAUUGACUGAUGAGGUGUCACGAUCCUGUUGGACUAAAAUUCUUAUGUACUUUUGAUGGUGACGUGGCAACAUAUCAGUGGACGAAAAAUCUCGCGUACAGUACAUGCAUCACACAGGAUUAUUUUCAACCAAACUGUGUUACUGUUCAUCCGCGUGGUCAAACCGCGUACUGUUGACUGAUGACGUGGCACAAUCCUGAGCGUCCGAACUGUUUUUAAUCCGAUGGCCAUGAUUUACUCCAUGUAUCUAUAAAAGGGGGCCUCUGCCCCCCAAUUGGAUAGCUCUGAAUCCAUUUUUGGGAUCAUUUUCUGUAAUUCCCUCUCCAUCUUGUAUUUUCUUCGUAUUUUAAUAAAUUCCCAUUUUGCCCCUAGUUCAAUUAUGAGUGGCUAAUUUUCUUUCAAGCUUGGGUUGAAGGUGAAGUCUCAACAUGUGUCAUGGGCUUAAUUUGGUAAAUUUAUUUUCUCUUCCCCUCUAGUUUUUGUGGAUGUUUUGACUUCUUGUUGACAAAUAAUACUAAUCUUGUCUAGUACCGCCUUGGUUUCACCGGCCCUUUAGUACAAGGUUAUUAUUAUUUGGCAUGAUAAGCCCUUAGCACCAUAUUGAUUAGAGCGUGGUUCAUGAGGUGUGGAUUCCCCCCUCAUGACUUAAUUGGCAUUAAUACGGAUUAUUUAGCCCAUGAUGCAUGUUGAUACGGAUCCAGAUACCCAAGUACGUCAUCUCAAUAGAAUUCUCUUCAAUUUAUUCUGGUCAUUUCAAUUCCAAUUUUAGAAUUUAUUUUAAUUUAAGUUUUAGUAUAUUCCAAAUCAUUUCCACCACAAAUCCAACCACCCAUUUACAAAAUUAAUUCUACACAUAAUUAAAAUCCACCUCCUCGUGGGAUCGACACUCGUCACCAUUAGUCUAUACUACAAUAGAUUCGUGCGCUUGUGAGUACAUUAAAAUUUGCACAACAGUGUAAGGUGUAGGAAGAUCUAGUGCAUGAUUUUGUAAUCGAUACACUAUUUGGUGAUGAAGAGUGGCAAGCUUUGAUGUGGGUAUCUGGUCUGCUCCUUGGAGCUGGAUCUGAACUUUGAUGGUUGUGGGAAGGUUGGGAUCCUCAAGAGAAAGGUUGAAAUUUGGAUAGAAGGUUAAGAGGAAACUACCAGCAUGGAGUGUGGUCAGAACGAUUCCUAUAACAGCAUGUUGGUACUGUUUGAACCUGGUGUCCAGGAGAGCAAUUAUGGCUGUAACAGGUAAGCCUUUUCGGCCAUGGAGAGUCAGAAUCAAUCUAAUACCACCAAGAUGAAGAUGGGUAUACCCUUCUCGUUUCCAGUUUGCUACAAGAUCUGAGGGUAUUUCUAAAGUGACAUACUGUUCACUUGGAGAGGCUUGUAAAGCACACUGAUUGAGUCUAGAAGACUGGAUGUACUCUUUUGGGAGUGGUCUUUUUGUGGAGAUGAGGGUUCUAAUACUUCUAGUGAGAGAAGUUUUUUGUUUGUAGAGGUUGUAGGGACUUAUGAUAGGAAACUGUGAUUCAUUGAUUUGGGCAGAUUCGGGAAUAUACGAAUAUUCGACAAGGUUUUCAAUUUUAGAGGCUACAUGUUUGUGACAUGAUCUUGGAAGAGAGAGACUGGAGGAAAAAGAAAUAUGGGAUGAAGACGAUGAAGGUGUUGAGGCUGAAGAUGAAGUUGUUUCCAUGUUUAGGUAAUCUUCUUCUAGGAGAUCAAAUAAUUAUUUGGAAUUCCUAAUGAAGUGUGGGUUACCUGUUAUAAUUUCAAUCAAAUAAUCAGAGCCACACUUCACGCUUCCAUUCAUCUUCUUAUUUCAUUCUAAUAUGAUGAUAUCCACUUUUCAGAUCAACUUUAGAAAAUACACAAGACCCAUGUAAUUCAUCAAGCAUACCAUCUAGCCUAGGAAUGAGAUGUCGAUACUUUACCGCUAUGUUGUUGAAAAGGGAAGGAUACACGCACCUCCAUCUUGGAGGAGUUUGUUUGAUUCUUACCCUUCACAGUUUAUUAUACACGAACCUCUAGUUGUAAAGCAGCUUACCUAUACAACUUCACAGUUUAUUAUACAAGAUCUCUAUAUUUUCUUUAAAGUCAACCAAAAAAGUGAAAAAAAUUAUGCAACUGCAUCUGAAAGUCCAUUGAAUUAGUGGAUAUGAAAUAUUAUUUAGAGUUCUAAAAGAUGAUAAAAAGGCCAUCUUUAAUCCAUUUGAGUCUUUCUAGCUAUCCCUAUUAUAAAGUAUCCAUAAUUAACUUUUUAAGCCUACAUAUUAAAAAAAAAUCAUUUUCCUUUAGUAACCUAUUAUCUUUUCCCACUCGAAUGUGGAGUAUCACCUUAUCAUGUAUUCGUGAAAAUGGUGUAUAAAAAAAUAAAAAAAAUAAAAUAAUAAAUAAUAUGAAAAAAAAAGAAAAAAAUCCAAGUGAAAAGUACCUUGGAAUCUCCAAAAGUCCUCUAUUUUUUAAACAUAUAUUUUGUUUUUCCCAUUAUCUUUUCUUUGUUAGCCUAUAUUAUUUUUUUAGGAACUAUAGUCUGAAGUAGAAGCUAGUAAUAUAGACUAAAAGAUGUGGUGAUGCAUAAAAAUGGAAAUAAAUUAGUUUGGCUAGUAAUUCCCUUGACUUGAGAUCAUUUUAUAUCUAAGCUAUGGGCAUUAUUUUUUCAUUUUGGUGAGAGCGUGUGAUAUGUUUAUUAUUCUCUCAAUCUACCACUUCUUAGAGUAACUAUUUUUUGGAGUUUAUUUUCUUUUGACAAAGUCACUCUUAACCUGUGGUUUUGGGGUUUGACAUGUCAUUCUUAAAAGUGACUUAACUAAUGUAGCUUCGAUAAUUAAUCAUUUUGCAUGAUUUUCUUUAGGCCAAAGAUAAUGUUAUACUUUUAUUUGGUUGUUGUCAUUAAUUUGAUGAGAGAAGUAAACACAAAAUUAAAAAAAAAAAAGAAAAAGAGAUUUCAAUUUGGGUUUGAAAUUUUGCUAAAUUUUUAUUGCUUAAAUUGCCAAGGCCUAACAAUAAACUGGUUGAAGGGUGUGAUAUUGACACUAAAAAGUGUAUAUUUAAUAAGUCUAAAAUUAUCAGUUUUUCACUUAUAGUGUUAAUUAAUGUACUCAUUAUUCAUAAAUUAUCUUAGCACUCUUCUAAUAAUUUUUUAUGUUAAAAUUAAUUUGUAGUAUGUUAAUUUUUAUGUUGUAAAUAUUUCAGGAAUAAAGAGGGAAUUAGAACUAAAAGCGAGAACAAAGAAGAAUUGUUAGAACCAUUUGGAAUACAUUAUUGAGGAGACGUAGUUAAUAAAAAAAUAAAUAUUUCAAAAAAAAAGGCAAAGUGAGCCAUGACUAUUGUGAUAGUCAAGUGGCCAUUUUGCCACCUGACUAUCACACACACACACACACACACACACACACACACAUAUAUAUAUAUAUAUAUAUAUAUAUUAUAAAAAUAAAAUAAAAUAAUAAUAAAAUAAAAGAAGAGGAUGCGUUUCGGACGCAAGUAGAGAAGGCGGGUAGGAGAGAAGAGAAGAGAGGAAGCUAAGACUAAGGUUUAUAAAAAUUUCUUCUAUUGUGUUGUUCAUUCUCUUGUAAUAUAUUUCAGAAGUUUGUUAAAUAAAAUGAGUGUUUUUUUUUUUCAAUAUGAGAGGCUAAUUUUCUAAGAUAGGGUGAAAGGUGAAGCUCAAAGGUUCAGAUUAUUGAAUUAAUUACUCUCUUAAAUGAGUCUCAAAGUUUAUUUAAUCUGUUGUAUUUUUCUUUCUUACCAAUUUCUUUUGUGUCAUAUUAAUUUAUAGAUCUAGUUAUCACACUAAUUGUUAGUUAUGAAUUAAAUGACAUAAUAAUUAACCGGAAAAAAAAAUGCAAAAUACAAAUAUCAGAGAGUUGUUAUAACCAUAAUUUGAAAUCCAAGAGUGGAUCUCGUAACCUUAGCAUAUUUUUAGAUUGAUUCCUAUUAAUUUCUUUUCCUACAUUUAAUUUUCUUUGUUUAAUAAAUUGACUACUAGAUUUUAAAUUCCUUAUGGUUCGCUCUUAUACUUGGGAGUAAACAACACUUUUGAGUCGUAUCACAUUUUCCUAGUAUGUUUAGCAUUUUCGUCAAUGUGAGUAUAAUACAUGCAAUCUACUGAGUUUAUAACUUUUAUGUCAACUAUGGUCCAUCCUGAUGCUUCUUUGUACUCUCGUAAAAUACCCAACAACUUAGUCUUUUGCUCGUCAUCAAAAGAAGGUAAAAUGAUUAUUGGCAAAGUAUUUUCAUCUCCCAAGAAUCCAUACUCUAAAGUGUCGGGUACCAAUAUGAGCUCGAGCUCUGAUGGUGAUUCCAAUGAUGGGCUAGGUUUCUUCCCCAAUGGUGUCAAUUGCUCUAUUCUUGACUUUCAUUUAUUGGUAUCUAUGGAUGGUAAUAAAUCGAGUAAAGCAUUGACCUCAUCAAAUAAUAUGUCAAUAUAAAAAUUUAAACCAAAGUGGGUUAAACAUGUUUGUAAAGGAUCAUCACUAAGGGUAGAAGGAAAAGUAUGAUCUAUUAAUUCUUUAUCUAAAUCCACAUCAACAAUUCCUUCAUCUCUAUCAUGAAUAUUCAACUCUAUGGUCAUGUUACCAAAAGAAAAUUGCAUAUAUUAUAGUCUUGCAUUGAAUGCGGGCAUUAGCAAUUGCCAAGAAAGGUUGACCUAGAAUAAUAAGGAUGUGCUCUUUGAAUCCUGUACUGGUUGAAUGUCAAUUACAACAAAAUCAACAAAAAAAUAAAACUUGUCUGCCUGAAUAAGCACGUCCUCCACAAUACCGCAAGGUAUUUUCAUGGAUUGAUCUAUAUGCUGCAACACAACUGGGGUUGGCAGUGAUUCUCCUAAUCUAAGUUUCACAAAUACUAGAUAGGGCAAAAGAUUUCCAUUAGCUCAUAAGUCAACCCAAAGCAUUCUCAAAUAAGUGGUUACCAUUACUACAUAAGAUAGUGGGGGAGUCUGGUCUUCGAAUUUUGGAGGAAUUUUAUGUUGAAGAAUGGAACUAAUGUUCUAUGUUAAAAAGGCCUUCUUUUGAACAUGAAUACUUUGCCUUUUAGUGCAAAAGUCUUUAAGAAACUGCUCAUAAGAGGGCAUUUAUUUUAUAACAUCAAGCAAAAUGUUAAUACGUGUUUGUUUAAAGAUCUCUAUAAUCUCACUCAUGGAAUUUUCCUUCUUUACUUUAACUAACCGCUAAGGGAAUGUAGCUUUAAGGAUAUAUUCUCGUGGGCUUUUUUCAUCUUUCUCCUUUGGUGAUGAGUCCUCAGAGUCUAAAGGUUCAACAUGAAUUGUCUUUUUCACCAGCAUCUCCGCUUUGUUGUCGAUUUUUUUACCUUUUUGCAAGGUCAUGAUGGCUUUGACCUCUUCGUCCCACUGGAGUAAUGCUAUUUGGCGAGAAAGUCCUUCAACUAGUUCUUUGAUUUCCUUUAUCUUUUAUCUUGACUCGCUAAUGUGGAUUUCAUUUACUCCUUUGAUUUUUCUCACAUUCCCCAAUGAUCGACUUCGCUAUUGGGAAUUAUCCACUUGUCACUGGAAGAAAUCCCAAAUUUCUUAUGCGUUUUAAGGCAUUAUCUCACCUCCACUUGUUGCCAUUAGCCAUACCCAUGAUGUGGACGCUUUAAAAGUAGCUCAUUGAAUCGCUUCCAUGCUUCGAAAAAUUGCUCAUCCUCUCUAUGAGUAAACUCUGAUAUUUCCCUACGAAUAACAUUAGUUUUAUCCACAAGGAAAUUUUUUUUAUAAAAUUUAGUUUCAAUUAAUUCCCAUGAUCGGAUACUAUUAGCAGACAAUGUAUUGAACCAAGAACGAGCUCUAUCCUUUAGAGAAAAUGAAAAAAGUCCUAGCUUAACAUCUUCAUUUGAAAGUUCAUCUUCAUCUGUUCAAAGGCCACUUCAUCGUCAUUUGAAAUCCACUCCUGAACCUCUUCAUCUUCAUCUGUUCAUCUUCAUUUGAAAUCUUCAUUUGAAAUCUUUAAGUCAAAGGUCACAUCAUCUUCGUCUGUUCCUUCGCUACCACUAAAAGAUUCACCAAAAGCCACUCCUAAACCUCCCAAAAAAGACAAAAGCCCAAUGGAUCAGUAUCAUUAUCAUACUAUCCAAAACACAUCUUCUGACUCCUCUGAGCCCAAAACAGUCUAUGAGUCAAACCCAUCAGCGUCCAAUCCGUCAUCCUCUUCCUCAUCCACAAACUCAGUUGCAACCUCCACUGACUCUGAAUCCGAAUAUGCUGACAUUACAAGCAUAUUAAUGGCCACCAAAACUGAAGAUCCAAGCACUUCAACUGCCACACCUAUUGUUGAGGACAGUUCUUCUGAUGCUGAAAAUAAAGCAUAUCUAACAAAACUAGAGCCAUCAAUGUCUCCACCAGUUUUUGAUCACUCAACAAAACCAUCUUCAGCAUCUUGGUUUACAUUUGAUGACAUUCCCCGUCACAAAUGGCCUGCUCGACUUCAAGAAUUUACUGCAUGGAUUGAUCUCCAAGGAGCGAAGCCCAAUGCUCAACCUCAAGCUGUCCUUCAUGAAUUCAUGGCCCGAUCCACGGGUUCUUUAUGUGAUUGGUUAGAAAGCUUGGGAGAAUACCGUCAGCUCCAAUUCAUGCAAUCCCCAAUUGGUACAGCACUCAAUAUUAUUCAUGAACAAUUCAUCGGUGUAAAAACAGCGUCUACUAAUGUAGACGAAAUGUUGUUCUCUCAAAAGGCAUCUUUUGGAAUCUCAUUACAAAAGGAUGAGUAUUAUAUUUUACAAGCUGAAUGGGUUCAAUGAUCCAUCUCUCAAACAUGUCUUCAUAGCCUUACUUCCUUCUGAGUUACAACCUGAUCUUCAAAGAAAACUCAUAGCCACUAAUCUCAGCAUAGCUGAUAUCUCUCUGGGAAAGAUUUUCCAAUGGCAAUGCUAUGUCUCAACAAAAUCUGUGAGCAAAAAGAAUUUUUCAAAGAUCUCAUGGAAGACAAAAAAUCCUUUUCUGAAGCUUGUAAAAAACCAUAUCUCAAGAUCGAGUGUAAAGAUGAAAAAAGGUGUGUUUGCCCGACCAAAAAGAAAAGACAUUUUCAGAAACACUUCCACAAAAAAUCAUCCUCCAAAAAACCUUUCCGGUAUUUUAAGAAAAAAGAUGUUUCUCAGUAUAGAAAGAAAAAGCACAACCGUUGUUUCAUCUGUAAGAAACGCGGUCUCUUUGCUCGAAACUAUCCUCACAAGUCUGCCAAAGCUGUUCGUCUCAUAUAGCCUCUUCAACAUUCUUCACUAUUAUCUAAGAAUGAAGAUGUCGAAUCAAAUUUUUCAGAACAGUCAGAACAAGAUGAUUAGACUACCUUCAUUAUCGCAGAAUCUUCUGAUUUUGAUGAUAUUUCCGUCAUUUCUACAGUUCAAACUGUCAACCAUGUUUCAGCCAUUCCUAGACCUUCUCUAAAAAUGUCAAUCCUUCCUUACAAAUUUCAUAAACAUGUUCCUGUUAUUGGGUUUAUUGACACUGGUGCCAAUACCAGUAUGAUUGAUCCUUCAAUCCUUCCCUCUGAUUGUUGGGAAAAACACUUGAAACUUUUCCGAGCAGUUAAUGGAGAAACUUUUGAAACCACUUUAAUUACCAAAAAACCCAUUGGUAUUCAAUUCUUUCCGAAUUGCAUAAUUUGGAAAAAGAUUGUAGCAUCCAAACUCCCAGAUAAAGACUUACUCAUAGGUUUUGACAUUCUUCAUUUGGUUAAAAACCUAUUCCUCACUAGUUCUGGAGUUCGCUACAAAUAAAUCUUCUUACCUUAUACAGAUACAUUACAUCUGUAUACACUUUCAGAAACACCAUCUCCAUACAGUCAUAUUUCACAAAAGUUCCUAGAGUUUUGUCCAGAAAACCAUUCACAGUUCUACCAUCCUUCACCUCUUUGGAAAAAUGAACAGUUCUUCAUUCACCUUCCUUUCAAACUCAACGAAGAUAUAAAUCCUACAAAAUCAUCACACCCAGGUAUGUCUCAUUCCGAUCUCCUACUUGCUAAGCAAUAAUGUUCUCAGUUGCUUCAACAAGGUUUUAUUGAACCUACUGAUUCAGAUUGGGCUUGUCAAGCCUUUUAUGUUGAAAAAAGAUCUGAAUUAGUUCGUGGUAAAAAGAGGUUAGUUAUUGAUUACCAGCCGCUUAGUUCUUUCCUUAAAGAUGAUAAAUUUCCCCUUCCAAAAAUCCAGACCUUGUUUGUCCAUCUUCAAGGGGCUCGUAUCUUCUCUAAGUUUGAUUUAAAAGCUAGUUUUUGGCAACUUAGUAUUUCACUAGUUGACCGUCACAAAACUGCCUUCUUCAUCCCUGAUGCCCAUUAUCAGUGGACUGUUAUGCCUUUUGGUCUUAAGGUUGCUCCUUCAUUAUUUCGAAAGGCCAUGAAAAAAAUCUUCAGUCCUAUCCUUCAUCAUGUUUUGGUAUACAUUGAUGAUAUCUUAUUAUUUUCCUUUGACCAUGAGAGCUACCAGAAGCUCCUUUUGGAUUUCGUUCAUAUUGUGCAGGAACAUGGAAUCAUGCUUUCUGAAAAGAAAAGCAGCAUAGCAAAAGAAUCAAUUGACUUUCUUGGCAUGGUGAAUAAAAAUGGCCAUUAACAACCUGGUCCACACAUUACAACUGAAUUAUUAAAGUUUCCGGACACACAGCUCAACAAAAAGCAGAUCCAACAAUUUCUCAGAUUGUUAAUUAUGUCCGUGAUUUCAUCCCUAAAGUUGCAAUCCACACAAGCCAGCUGUCCCACAUGCUCAGAAAAUAGUGCCCUCCAUGGGGACCAGCACAGACAAAAGCUGUCCAACAACUAAAGGUGAUAGCCCAAUCACCUCCUCCUCUCCGAAUUCCCACAACUGGACAACGCAUUCUAUAGAUCGAUGCCAGUGAUGAUUACUGGAGUGCCAUCCUUCUUGAAGAGAUAAAUAGUGUACGUCACUUCUGUGCACAUGCAAGCGGACAAUUCAAAGACUCUAAAAAGAAUUACCAUGUGAUCUACAAAGAGAUUUUGGUGGUAAAGUAUGGAAUCAAAAAAUUUGAAUUUCAUCUAAUCAGCCAUAAAUUCCUCAUCAACAUGGAUAAAACCUCUUUUCCUAGAAUCUUUGACUUUAAAAAUAAGCCGCUCCCUGACAAACAGAACCUCAUCCCCGAUUUCCUUACUCGUCUGGCUAUAAAUAAACCUUCACUUAUUUCCUCUAUCCACACCAUCCCAGUCAUAGCCAUUAAUCGUCAACUUCUUUUCAAAGCUCUCAACCAGAGAACCUUUCCCAUGAACAUUCCUUUCCAUUCAGCCUACCUUUACCGGUAUUUCUUUAAUGUUCAAAGCAAAAAGCCUGAUCGUUUUCCUUCCCUCUGUAUGGAAAACCUGUUUCUCACAAGUCUUAACCUCUCUUCCUCAACCAUCUGUGAAGAUGAGUUAUGGUACAUGUGGUGCCUCACUACCCUAUAUGCUACAAAACUGGUCUUCCCUAUCCAACCAGUCCUCCGCCAUCUCACCACUCCUGAAUUCUCACCAGACCUUCUGUGGACUCUCCUUGAAUGGUAUUCCCCACUCAUGUGGUGGCGUAAACAACUCAAAAAUCUGUGUACUUUUCACGGAUUAGACAAAAUGCCUGAACAAGAAGCCAACAUGUUCACUAUAGUCUUCAUCGUUCACAGACCCUACUUCCAACACCUAGAAACAAGAGACUUCUGGACACAAGAUAUGGCCUAUGAAUGGAAAACUUAUCCCCAUCCUUAUAUCCUCAUUCAUGAUACAUCUGUUACCUCUAUUCUCAAGUCAUACCUAAUGGAACUCAACAAUGUUCAGCCACCUGCCACAAACAUCCACCACACCUCUAUUGGACCAUCACACACUUUGGAAAUUGUCCCAAAGACACAAAAUUGUACUCCAGGUUCCAGCUCAAGUCCUCAAGGAAUCCUUGUCAUGGAACAACGUCCUGAUUACACCAACGUCUUAUUCCAAGACGCUCAGGAUCCAUGGGAAGAUUUUCAAUCUCUUCUCCCUACUAAAAAUUCCCAUUACACUGUCACCAACCCAGACCCUUCUACUCCAUCAGAACCAAAAAAGAUGACUGAUGCUGAUGAAGAAGCCUAUCUGCAAGCUGAAGCGUAUCUUGACCAGAGACAAAUCCGUCGUGCCAAGCACCAAUAUGAGAAAGAAACUGGCGAUGCGUCUCCAUCACACUACCCAUCCACUCCAUGACACGCAUGGGAAUCUUUAGCUUUUGCUUUAAUAAUUAGACAAGGGUCCUGUCUUGUCUAAAGUAUGUUUUCUUCUUUUUCUAGUUUGGCGUAGUGUGCUAUAAUAAUUAUGCUUUUGUAAACGAUAAGGGACCCACCUUAUCCCAUUGAAAGUACGUGACUUGUUAUCCGACAGUGCAGACCAGACUAGUGCCUAUUCAGGGUCACCUCUGGAAUUUACGUCGUCGGUUUCCCGUCGAUAUACUCAAAUGGGGAAUCAGAAAAACUUUUAAAUAAUUUUUUAUCUCGAGUUAUAUAACCCAAAACAGACUUUCUUUUAGUCUAAAACUGGGUACCAAACUAGAUAAGAAAUCAUCAUAAGUUUUCUGAUGCACAGGAUCCUUGCUAGAGGCAAGUGCAGAGCAUACUUCCUUAAGUUUCAAAAUGAACAAAUUUAAUUCUUUAUUCUUUUUCUUUCUCUAGAGAGCUUCAUUUGCAGAGAGAGGAGAGAGGUUUAGAGAUUCACAGUGAUAAAAACACAUGAGAGUUUAUUGCUUCAAACUUCUAUAUCUUACAAGCAAGGGGAGAAUCCUUUAUAUAGGAGAAUUCUCAGGAAGAUAGGAUAGGACCCCUCUCUUUUACAAAAGCAAAAGCAAAAGACACAUCAUGACAUAGCUUUAAUUAUUACAAAAUGACAAAGUGUUCUUUAAUAAUUAAAGCAUGACUUUGACAAAAGCAAAAGCUUAAAGUAAAAGCAAACUUUAAUAAUUAUACAAGACAAAAGCAUAAAGCAAGACAUAAUGAUUACAUCAAGACAAACUACUUUAUGGAGAGCGGAGAUUCAUGUAGUCGUCUUCUAAUGAGCUUUCUGUUUCAUAGGGAUUAUCACAAGGGGUUGGUGGGAAAAAGGUUUUGGAGAGCUUUGGAUGCUUAUAGUGGGGACCACGGCUAGGUGGAUAAGGAGAAUCUUUUCGGCAUCCUGGUUUGGAGGGUGAUGACUGGGACUUAGGACUAGGCAUUUGAGUGGCCUUGUCAACUUUGGAGGGUUGAGAUGAUGAUCCUGGUUCAUACAUGGUUGGUUGUGGAAAUUGUUGGAGAUCUUGACUGAGGGGAAGGAAUUCUUCCCAUGGGUCUUGUGAGUCUUGGUAAAGGAAGUCGGUGUAGUCUGGUUUUUCUUCUUUAAUGAUGAUGCCUGUGGACUUUGGUUUAGAUAUGACGGAUGGAGUGGGGAUCAUGAUGAGAUCGUGUUGUGGUCCUAAGGAGGUGUGGAAGAUGUCUUUGUGUGGUGGAGUUUGGUGGUUUAAUUGACAAAGAUAAUUGUGUAGGUUGGAUUGGAUUUCAUUGUCAAUGACAGCUGGGUGAGGGGCAGUAAACCAUUCAUAUACCUGGUCUUGAGUCCAAAAGAGAUUUGUGUCUGGAUGUUGGAAGUAUGGCCUGUGGAUGAUAAAAACUGAGGUAAACAGUUGUGCUUCAGAGGCAGGCAUACGUUCAAGAUUGUAAAUCUCUGACAGGUGUUGUAGCUUUUUUCUCCACCAUGGGAUGGGGGAAAACCAUUCAAGUAGUGUCCAGGUAAGAGAGGUGGCUUUGUCCGGAUUAAGAAGAUGUUCCAAAGUGGGAGUGAUUGGUAGGACUAACUUGGUGGCAUAAAGGAUUGUUAGGCACCAAAUGUACCCAUAACACAUCUUCAAUGGUUUCUCUGGAUGGAUCAAGGGUUAAACUUGUAAGGAACAGAUUUUCUGGGUGGAAGUAGGAAAAUGGAAAAGGUUCUGUGACAAGGUAGGCUUUCAUGAAGGAACGAAAAAGAGCUUGUUUUGCAAAUUCUUGGAUGGCAUAAACAGAGGAAAAGUUUUUGUUAAAGGGAAAAGUUUUCUUGGUGAGAGCUUCUGGGGGUAAUGAUGUAGCCAUGGAGAUGAUCGGAAAGUGGUAUGUAGUGGAAAACAGGGUGAGAGGGUUUUCUGGUUUUGAGAGUCCGGAUAGCAUAUCAGGGAUGAGGUUCUGGGAUCCCUUUAUAUGCUUGACCGAAAAAUCAUAUUUGGAAAACCGAUCUUUUAAUCUGAGUAACAUUUUUUCGAGAAGAGUUUUACCUUUGAAAUUGAGAAUAUUGGGGAAGGCUGAACUGUCCAUUCGGAUGAGAAAAUGGUGUCCAAUCAGAUGAUACUCAAACUUUUUGAUGCCAUUCUUUACCGCUAAGAUUUCUUUGAACACGCUAUGGUAAUGCUUCUGUGUGUCAGAAAAUUGUCUGCUAGCGUAAGCGAUAAAGUAUUCUUUUCCAUUGAUUUCUUCAAGGAGGAUGGCACCCCAUGAUUCAUCACUUGCGUCUGUCUGUAAUAUGCGCUUUCCAUCAGUAAUCAACUUUAAAGGAGGCGGAUUUUGCGUAAUUUGUGUGGUUAGCAUUCCAUUCUGGGGGCUUCUUUUUUAAUAAAGCUGAGAGGUGGCGAGUGUAGUGGUCCACAUGUGGGAUGAAGUCUCUGAUAUAAUUGAUGAUGUCGAGAAACUGUUGAACUUGCUUUUUGGAAAGUUGCUGAUGGGCAAUAUGCAUUCCUGGCUGAUAAUGGCCAUCUUUUAUGAUCAUACCAAGGAAUUCAAUAUUGUCGGUAGCAAUGGUGCUUUUCUUGGCCGAUAACAUAAUUCCAUGAUUUUGGACAAUAUCAUAGAAUUGAGUUAACAGCUGGUGAUGUUCAUCAUGUGCUCCUGAAAAAAGCAAGAUAUCGUCAAUGUAAAUCAAUGCAUGAUGCAGGAUGGGCUGAAAGAUAUGGACCAUGGAUUUUUGAAAAAUGGAUGGGGCAGUUUUGAGGCCGAAAGGAAGGACUGUCCAUUGAAAAUGGGCAUUUGGGAUACAGAAUUCAGUUUUGUAACGCUCAGAGGGUUCAAUGCCUAAUUUCCAGAAGCCUGAUUUUAAAUCAAAUUUUGAAAAGAUCUGGGUAUUUUUGAGAAAAGUAAACAUGCUUUGUCUAUGGGGCAAGGGAAACUUGUCAUCUUGCAAAAACAUGUUUAACGGCUGGUAGUUAAUGACUAGGCAUUUCUUUCCUCGAACAAUUUCAGAAUACUUUUCAACAUAAAAGGCUUGGCUAGCCCAUUGAGAAUUCGUGGGCUCAAUUAGACCUUGGGCUAACAAUUGGGAACAUUCUUGUUGGGCUAGGAGUAAGUCAGAAGGACUCAUUCCUGGGUGGGUAGCUUUGGUUGGGUUAAUAUCUUCAUUGAGUUUGAAAGGUAACUUAAUGAAGAAAGAUUUAUUUUUCCACAGUGAGUUUGGAUGGGUGAACUCAGAAUGGGACUCUGGACAAAAACUCAAAAGUUUGGUGGAAAUAUCCUGGUAGGACUGGGGGGUUUCAGACAGAUUGUAGAGUUUCAGAAUGUCUGUGAAAUGUUUGAACAUGGACUUGACUCGAAUUCCAGUGGGAAUGAUUUGGAGAUGUUUGAUCUAGUGAAUGAUGUCAAAACCUAAUAAGAUAUCCUUAUUAGGAAGGGUUGAACCAAUAACCUUGGUCUAAAUGAUACAGUUGGGGAAGAUUUGAAUACCAAUGGGUUUUUUGGUAAUCAGAGAAGUGGUGAAUAAUUUGCCAUUGACAGCUUUGAAAUGUUCUUCAUAUUCUAUCCAGUAUUCUGGUGGAAGAAUAUGUGGGUUUAACAUACUUCGUUGGGCACCGGUGUCUAUGAGACCAAUUGCUGGAACGGGCCUUUGGAAUUUUAAGGGCAAGAUCUGGAGUUUGAUGGAUGGUAUGGGAACAGUAGUGUCAAGAGACAGUAACUGUUGGUGAAAAAUGACUUGGGACUGAUCACUAUCUGAAUCAUCAGAGGAGUUCUGCAGUGCGAACACUGUUUCAUCAUUGGGUUCAUCUUGUUCAGAGAAGUAGAAUUCCAGUUCAUCCUUUUCUGGAGAGUAAUCUGUAAUGGCUUGGAGAUGCUCAACUAACCGAAUAGAUUUUUCCCGUUUGUUGGGACAAUCUUUGGCAUAAUGGCCUUUCUUGCAGAUGAAACAUCUGUUUGAUUUUCUCUGUUUAAAAUCUCUGGAAGAAGAUGACUUCUUUCGGAAGAAUCUGUAAGGCUUUCUGGAUCUGCGAGGUCUGGAUGAAUGAUCUAGAUUUUUGAAUUUCCUAAAAUGCCUUUUCUUUUUAGGACUGCAAUCACAAUCUUUUUUCUUCUGACAUUUGAUCUGCAAAUAAGGCUUUUUGCAAGCACUCCAGAAUGGUUCUUUAUCUUUCAAUAGUUCUUUGAAAAACUCUUUUUGCUCGCAAAGUUUGUCAAGACAGGUUUUGGCAAGCUGAAAGAUUUUGCCGAGAGAGAUGUUGUCAAGAACAAGAUUGGAUGCGGUGAGUUGUCUUUGUAUGUCUGGUUGGAGUUCAUCUGGUAGGGAGGCCAGAAAGACAUGCUUUAAUGUUGGCUUAUUGAAUCCAUUAAGCUUAUAGAACAGCAGGGACAUUCGCUUGUAAUGGAAAUCAAGAUCCUUAGCAUUGAGGGAACAACAUUUCAUGUUGAGAUAGUCUCGGCGUGCAGCUUCAAAGACUGCAGAGGGUCUCCAAGGAAUUGAUCAUGGAGAACAGCAAGAGCACUUGAGACUUCUGGUAGAUCAGCAAACUGUAAUUGGCGGUAGCGACCUAAGGAAUCAAACCAAUCUCUUAGAGCACCCGUAAAACGAGUAGCAAACUCUCUAAGGACUGAUUGAGUUGUGGCUCCUGGAUGUAGCAUCUGAAGGUCAAUCCAGGCAGACAUUUCAUGAAGGCGAUCACGCCAUUUAUGAGAUGGAAGAUCAUCAAAUGUGAACCAUGGGCCAUUGGAAGAUUUUUGACUAGGUGGACUAGUUUGGGCUUGAGCUGGAGGAGGUUGGUUUGUGGCAGAAGAUUCAGGCAUCUCUUGGUCAAUGUCUGAGGGAAUAUCAACAUAUGGUUCGGUAUGAGAAAUUUGGCCUUGAGGAGGUUGAUCAGGUUGGGCCAUCAAGAUUCUGGUGAUAUCAGCAUAGGACUUUUCAGAAUCACUAGUGGAUACUGAAGAUUCUGUGUCAGUCUCAGUAUGGCUAUCAGAAACAGCUAGAUUUGAAUCAGAAGUUUGGUCAUCUGUAGUAGGAGAGUGGUUGACUGUAUGGGCACUAAACUGGUGCAUUGGUUGUUUAUCUUUGGAUUGAGAAGGUGGUUGGGAUAAAGGAGGUGAUGGAGGUACUGGUGGGGGUGCUGGCGUCGGCGUAUAACCAGGGGAUUGUUGGCCAGGGAUGGAAAUGGAGGACGGAUGUAAUAUGACGGGUCGUGGUUGGGGUUUAGGCUUUGGUUUAGGUUUAGGUGGUGGUGGCAAUGGAUUAUCCCGAAAAAGAGUAUGAGUUAUACCAAAUAACUUGGAAGGAUCAUACUGUCUGAUGGGGGAAAGCAUAGAGGUAAAAGGAUGAUAAGUUGGACCUAUGGAAGGGAUAGGAGGUGAUGUGGUAAAAAGGGUAGGUCUUUGUUUUUCAGAUUCAAUCUGAUCAAGUUCAGCGUUUAAGCGUCUGAUUUCCCUUUCCUUUUGGUCAAAUUCUGGGCCAUAGUAGUGCUGGGCAAGCAUAGUUCGUAGUUCAGAAUCGAGUUGAGUAAUUCUAGACUGGAGAUUGUGGUGGAUCUGCUGCAUCUGUGCAGCGAUGGAGUCAACUUUUGUCUCAAGUUGUUCAGUUCGUACAUUGAUGUUCUCAACUUUGGAGUUGAUAUUCAAUAAAGUAUCAUUUUGAGCUCUGGCAUUUUGAGUUUGCCAGUUGAGAAUUGAUUCAAAAGGUUUGGGAGGUUCUAGGUGGCCGGAUGAGGUAAUUGGUGAAGAGACAAAGGGUUUGGACAUGACAUUUCGUUGGGAAUCGGUAUGGGUUUCUAAAGGAGGAAAAGAGGAAAAAUAGUCUGAGACGAAAACAUCAUACAAGUCAGUGGUGGUGUUGGAAGUGGGAUUGGUGAUGUAAGGUGGCAAUUUUGGCAGAACAAAUUUGUUCAGCACCUUGGAUCUGGACUUGAACCUUCAAGGUUGUGGGCAAGUUGGGAUCUUGAAGAGAAAGGUUGAAGUUUGGGUAAAAGGUGAGUAAAACACUACCGGCCUGAAGAGUUGUGAGGACAGUGCCAAUAACAGCAUCUUGGUACUGUUUAAACCGGGUAUCAAGCAUAGCAAGGCGAGCUGUAACCGGUAACCCUUUUCUUCCAUGAAGAGUAAGGAUUAAUCUGAUGCCUCCAAGAUGAAGAUGAGUAUAACCUUCUCAAUUCCAGUUGGAGAGCAACUCGGAGGGAAUCUCCAGAGUGACAUAUUGCUCAGCAGAAGUGGCCUGGAGAGCAGACUGAUCCAGGCAGGAAGACUAGAUAUAUUCUUUAGGGUGAGGGCGUCUGGUAGAGAUGAGGGUGCGGAUACUGCGGGUAAAGGAGCUAGGUCGUUUGUACAACUGAUAAGGGCUAAGAAGAGGGUAAGAGGACUCACUGAUUUGGGCUGAUUCAGGGAUAUAGAAAUAUUCGACAAGGUUUUCAAUCUUAUUGGUGGUAUGAGAAGUGCAAGAUCGGGGCAAAGAAAGAGUAGAAGAAAGAGUAACAGGAGGGGAAGAUGAAGUGGAAGCCAUGAAUGAAAAGUUCUCUCUGCGCCUGAAGUUCUAGAGAGCAAAAUAGAAAAAGCCUUAAAUUAUACCAUUUUGGUCAGGAAAACGUGGAUUUACAAAACAUGAAAGUUUCAAGGAUGGGUAUGGCUAUAUAAGGAUCUCUCUAUCCCUUUGUAAGGGAGGAGUUAAUCAAAAAUAAAAUUCAGGUUUUCUUUACAUCAUGUUUCUCUAAAACCAUUUCUCUCUUCUAUGAAUCAAAGAAAUUGUUUGGGUUAAUAAUGAUACGCUCACCUUUAAUUUUCUAAACUGAGUAUGCUUUGCACUUGCCUUAAGCCUAAGGAUAGGUCCUGUUUUAUCCUCCAAAACCGAUUUUUGUAAAAUGAAAUUGUUUUCUCACAACAUCCACCCUCUUUGAAGGCCAAGAGUGCCGUGUUUUCGGGUGGUAUCGUGAAAAACUGUUUUCAAAUAUGAUUUUCAGAUUUGGUAUUUGAUGGAUAAGUGUAUAUCGGCUGGAAACCAGAACUUGCGGGCUAUUGGCCCUAAGGACAAACUUUGUUCUGUUACAGAUCUGAUGUAACAAUGCCACAUACAACUACCCACUGGUAUCAGAGCCACACUUAAAGUAGAGGUAGUAUCAUUAGUAAUGUCAAAUAAUUUUAUUUGAUUUCCUAGAAGAAGAUUACACAAACAUGGAAACAUCUUCAUCUUCAAUUUCAAUUCCUUCAUCGUCUUCAUCUCAUAUCUCUUCCAAAAUCAUGUUCAAAACAUAUAGCCUCCAAAAUUGAAAAUCUUGUUGAAUAUUCCUAUAUCCCUGAGUCUGCCCAAAUCAAGGAAUCUCAGUUUCCCAUCAUGAGUCCUUACAAUCUAUACAAACAAAAAACUUUUUUCACCCAAAGUAUCCGCACCUUGAUCUCCACUAAAAGACCACUCCCAAAAGAAUAUAUUCAGUCUUUUAGACUGGAUCAAUGUGCUUUACAAGCCUCUCAGAGUGAGCAGUAUGUCACUCUAGAAAUACCUCCAGAUCUCGUAGCAAACUGGAAACGAGAGGGGUAUACGCAUCUUCAUCUUGGUGGUGUUAGAUUGAUUCUGACCCUCCAUGGUAGAAAAGGCUUACCUGUUACAGCUCGAAUUGCUCUAUUAGACACCAGGUUCAAACAAUACCAACAUGCGUAAUCAGAACUGUCCUAACUACACUCCAUGCUGGCAAUGUCUUAUUAACCUUUUACCCAAAUUUCAACCUCUUUCUUGAGGAUCCCAACCUUCCCACAACCCUUAAGGUCCAAAUCUAGCUCCAGGGAGCAGAGCAAACAUCCACAUCAAAAAUUGCAACCCUUCAUCACCAAAUAGUGUAUCGAUUACAAAAUCAUGCACUAGAUCUUCCCACACCAUAUACUACAUCUGAUGCCUUAAUGAUACUAGCAGACACAGACACAAUUCCAACCAUAAUUCAAAUUCCCAAACAAAUCCAGAAACAAGAAUUGCUCAAACUUAUGCCUCUUGAAUGGUUAACCAACUAUGAGCAUUUCCACCAAACCUCUGAACCAGUUCAAACAAUAGAAGCCACGUUUGAAAGAUGACAAAAUGGUCAAGUCAAACUAUCUUUUCAAACAUCUGAAACUAAGCCUGUUUCAGACACUUUACAGCUUUCCUACACUGCUAUGAUUACAGCAGUUCAAACUGGUCAAGAAAAGAAACUUCCUAUUCAUGGUUUCUCAUUAGAAGGGUUCUCAUUUUCUAUGGGAUGUUCCUGAAGCCCAUGUGUGCAAUCUAGAUUGUCCUUGCUUGGAUGACACAAAUGUUGAUGACGAAUUGGAAGUUAUGAGGAAAAAGAAAAAGAAAAAAACUUCUCAUCCAAACCUCUUAUUCACCAAAUAAGAUCAUGCCUAAUGUUUUCAAGUCAAUCUUAUGAGGAAUCCUUUCCUCCUCUUGAAAAAUAGACACACACACAAACCAGAGUUAUCUCAAAACCUUUUGUCCAAUCCCCAGUUACAGCCUCUGGGCAGCCUGAAGAACCAAAACAGUAUAAAGUUGUUUUAAAUUGGCAAACCAAAAAUUCCACUGCUCAGAAUCAAACUCUUCCACAACUCGGAAAGAAAAUUGAUCGAGUUGCCAGUCAAGUCUCCCAGACAGAAACUAAUGUUGAUGCAAUCAGUAAUCGUCUUGAUCAGAUGUACAUACAUCUACAAGAUCGUAUCUCUGAGCUAGACACCGAUCUCAGACGAAUGAUCAACAACCACAUAUGGGGUCCAGAGUUUAAUAAAAAAGAAGCGGAGAUCAGAAAGCUCAAAGCUGAGUUGGCACGAAUUGAUACUGAAAAGACUCGUCUGUCAUUUUUUACUGAAACACAAACCGCACCAGUAGCCCCUCCAAUGUUUGAAACUUAUGCACCUUUCUACACAGCAUCCAGACCUCAACAACCUGUUUACAAUCAGUUCUUUGAAUUCUUGGAAAAUAGCAUGAAAAUCAUUCAAAUGAUUUUAUAGGUCUUCAUUUUCUAAGCGAUACAAUAAUAAAAGACAAUUUAGUAGAGUAUGUUUUAACUCAAAACUCCUAGCAGUUACAUUUGCGUAUUUUAUGCAUGACAUGGUCAAAUUAGUUAAUGGACUGAAGUAUUCCUUAAAUGGCUUCUCUUGUGGUGCUUGUGGUUGUUGCUCCAAAUCCAUUUCAAGUUUAUCCUCGAUUUUAACUUUUGAUGCAAUGUGUCUAUGUGAGCGAAGUGUCUUUUCCAGUUCAAAAUCUAUAAGCUCUAGAUCAUGUGAUUGUGAUAUUGUGACCUUUGACCGUGCAUACAAAGAACACAUAAAAAUUAAAAAAAACUAAUAAAAAUAAAGAGAGGAGAAGUUACGAUAUUGACCUUAUCACCUUGGUACGUAGCGUUGUUAUACCUGAACUAUGAUAGUGCUAGACUAUCCUUUGGACUAGUAGUCCGCAAGUUCUGGUUUAUAGUAAAAAAAAGUAGAUACCUUGAAAAUGGGUAAACUCAUCACUAGAUUCUCUAUCCUCUCAUUUUGAGUUAAUCUAAUUGGUUUAUAUUUUUUAUAUUUAUAGUAUAACUAGGUGGUUAGAAACCCUUUAUUUUUUCACUCCAAUCGGUCUUUUGAUUUUGAAAAAAAAACAACUAUAUCGAUCAAUAUAUUGCUUCUUCUACACAUUCAGCUACAACCCAUAAUAGGGACUCGCAAAUACUUAGGACUCAUUAAAUAAAUCAAUAAUCCCUCACGCACUCAAAACCUGCACACAAAAUUAUUUACACAAUGUUUACAAAGAAACUUAACUCUAUAAAUUAAAAUGACUAACCUCCCCAACAAUGGCGCCAAAAACUUGUUGUAUAAAUUUUAUUCUACUCGUAAGUGCAUGAAUCUAUUGUAGUAUAGAUUAAUGUUGACGACUAUGGAUCCUACGAGGAGAUAGAUUUGAUUAUGUGUAAGGUUGUUCUGCUAUAGCUUCCUCUUCUGGUUCAUUUGUGUCAGUAGCUUCUUCACCAACUUUUACUGGAGCCUUUGUAGCGUUGGUAUCAAAACUGUAUUGCUGGAGCAAUGAAUCAGGGAAAUUACGGUGGGUACUUUUCAUAUAUACAACAAAUUGGUGUAGAUGGCUUUCCAGGUGCUGUAAAUAGCUCCAAAACCAAUUGUUUUCCUUUUGCUGAGCUUCAGCACAUUGAGUGAUGCUGGUGCUCAGUGCUUGGAUUCUCUGUUCUAACCCAAUAGCUCUUUUUGCCCCUGUUACAGUGGCUGGUUCAGAUGGGGCUCUAGCAACUUCACCAGUAAUUCUCUCGAUGGUGCAUGCAGUAAGGGCACCAUCAUUCUUGGCAUGCUCAUCUUUUGCACCGAGACGAACUCCCGAUACUACACAGAUGCUGGUGAUGAGCGAAGGAAAUAGCAAGACAGCUGCUUUGUGGUUUUUCAUGGCAUAGUCUUGAAUUUCUUUUUCGAUAAUGCUUCCCACAUCUAUGGGAAGCCCUCUAACAAGAACAUACAACAGUACCAACAUUUCUUAUGAAACAGUAGUGGUGUGGGUGGUUGGCAUAAGUCUGGAUUUCAGAAAUUUCACCCAUACCUUAGCAUUGAGUUUUAAAUAUAUCCUAUUAGCCCAAGAUGCACCCUCUACUAUAAGUGUUGUGAAAAUUUUAUUCCAUCUUUGCGGGGUUAAUUUGUCAAGCAACUUGGCAUACUCGCAAUUAAUUUCAGCAGGUAAAUUAUAGAAAGCAUUUAUAACUCAAGAAUCUAAUGGACAAGCGAGUUUCUUACCCAAAUAUUGUGCUGACCACGGCUUACUAAAUUGGCGUAAAAUUCUUUCACUACUGGCAACACAGGGUCUCGAGCGUGGUUAUAAAAUUCUAGCCACCCGCGCUUUGCUGCAGCAUUGUAUAAACCUUUUUUCCUCCAGAAUCUUUCGCGGUUCAAUGAAUUCCUCAUAUUUUUCUUCCACAUGGUAACUUUGGAAUCGUGAGGGAUCUUUUAGUCAGCUGGCUGUCCUUUUGUACCUUGGCAUUGGUAGAGCAGUAAGAAUUCGAUGGUAAUAUACCCAAUAGUAAAAUGAGAAAAAGAGGUUACAGAGUACUGGAGUUGUAACUGCGAAGGGGAGAGAAAAUAGUGUUAGAGGUCAAUAUGCACAGUGAUGCCCUUAUAUAGGUGGGAUUAAAUGAAAACAAAUUCGGUAAAAAGAGAUAAAUUAGGGAAGAAUAUUUUUUAAAAAUUCAUUAAGCAUAUCCCAUAAAAAUAGGUCAGAGAAAUUAAUGUAUUAAUUUAAGAGAUAUUCUUCCUCAAUUUCUAUCCAAAUCCAUCCACCCAUAUGUCACAUAUUAUCUCCAACGGUAAGUGAGAGGCUCCAUGAUUAAGUUACUGUAACAAAAAUAUUGUUUGCUGCAGCACUCAAUUGUUUGCUCUAGCAAUGGUUACAUACUCUCCUCAAAUAGCUGCUGACACGUGGCUUGCCUCUGUACUAUGUACAGCCCUAAUUAUUAGUAUUGAAUCCAACUUCAAUAAGUACGUGAGUUGGCAAAAAAAAAAAAAAAUUUUUUACAUAAAACAAGAAAAAUAAGCAUUAAACAAUCCUAAAUAAGGGAAAUAAAAAAAAUAACAAUAAAUAAUAAUAAAUAAAAAAAGAAUAAAAUAAAAUAAGAUGAAAAAUGGUUAACAAAACCAAGGAGGAUCCAUCUCAUUUGAAGUGACUGCCUCCGCAAUGGGUUGCCUCCCACUAAGCGCUUGAUUUAAAAUCCUUCAGCCUGACCUUACUUGAGUGCUUAUACUCUCAGUUCUCUAAGGAGUAAGACCUCCUUUGAACAAUCUACUGCUAAAUGCAUGUAAUGCUUAACUCUGUGCCCACUGACUUUGAAUUCCUAGCCUGUCUUUUUAUCUAAGAGAUCAACAGCCCCAUGAGGAUAAAUUCUGAGCAGCUUGAAGGGUCCAGACCAUCGAGAUUUCAGUUUUCCUGGAAAUAAUAAUCUUAACCUCAUAUUAUAGAGCAGUACUAGUUGACCAAGGCUUAAUUUCCUGUGUUGGAUAUGUUUGUCAUGCUAGUGUUUUGUCCUCUCUUUAUAGAUUCUUGCAUUUUCAUAUGAAAACAAUCGUAAUUCAUCAAGCUCACAUAGUUGAAGUUUCCUUUGCUCUACUGCAGCAUGUAUAUCCCAUUUUAAUUGCUUCAGUGCCCAGUAUGCUUUGUGCUCUAGUUCAAGUGGCAGGUGGCAAGCUUUCCCAUACACAAUUCGGUAGGGAGACAUGCCUAAUGGUGUCUUGUAUGUUGUUCUGUAAGCCCAUAGGGAGUCAUGGAAGUGCAAGGACCAAUCCUUUCUUGAUGGAUUCACCACUUUUUCUAAGAUCUUUUUAAUCUCUCUAUUAGACACUUCUGUCUAACCAUUGGAUUGUGGGUGAUAUGUUGUUGCUACUUUACCAUAGCUGCAGCAAAUACUUUGUUGUAGAAAUGAGUACCUUCAUCACUAAUAAUUGCUCGUGGAGUGCCAAACUAGGAAAAGAUGUUUUUCUGAAGGAAGUUCACUACUGCUCUAGCAUCAUUUAUAGGUAAUGUUGCAGCUUCUACCAAUUUGGAGACAUAAUCCACAGCAACCAGGAUAUAUAAGUUCCCAAAGGAUGGUGGAAAAGGACCCAUGAAGUCUAUUCCCCAUACAUAAAAAAUCUCCACUUCCAUAAUGUCCGUCAAUGACAUUUCAUGUCUGUGAGUUAUGUUUCCUGUCCUUUGACAUCUGUCACAACAUUUAGCAAACUCAUAAGCAUCUUUAAAAAUAGAAGGCCAGUAAUAACCUGAUUGCAGAACCUUAGCAGCUGUUCUGUGACCACCAAAAUGUCCUCCAUAUGCUGCAGCAUGGCAGGAUUCCAGUAUAUGAGGAAUUUUUUCCUCUGAAGCACAUCUUCAUAUUACUUGAUAUGAGCAUAGCUUAUACAGAUAUGGGUCAUCCCACUGGUAGCUUCUAACAUCAUGAAGAAAUUUCUUUUUCUGAUGAAACUUCAACUCAGAUGGUAGCGAUCCACUUACUAAGUAGUUAGCAAAAUCUGCAUACCAUGGAGAUCUUGAUUGCUAUAGCAUCUGUGCUUGCUGUAUUACUAACAGUUGUUCAUCAAGAAAAGUUUCAGUGAUGUCUUUUUUUGUCAAUGUGCUUGUGUAUACUUCUAGCCUAGACAGAUGAUCUGCUACUUGAUUCUUAGUCCCCUUUCUAUCUUUAAUUUCCAAAUCAAACUCCUGAAGCAAUAAGAUCUAUAUUAUUAAUCUUGGUUUAGCAUCCUUAUUUGCGAUUAGGUACUUGAUGGUUGCAUGGUCUGUGUACACUGUCACUUUAGUACCCACCAAGUAAGCUCGAAACUUAUCGAAAGCAAAUAAUACUGCCAGUAACUCUUUCUCUAUAGUGGUGUAAUUAAUCUGAGUUUGAGUAAGAGUCUUGUUAGCAUAGUAUAUAGAGUGGAAAAUCUUAUCCUUCCUCUGCCCCAAUAGAAUGGUCACUAGCAUCACACAUCAAUUCAAAUGGUAGAGUCCAAUCUGGUGAUAUAACCACUAGUGCAGUGAUCAAAGCUUUCUUUAAUUCCCCAAAGGCUUGAAGACAGUCUUUAUCAACAUGAAAAGGCUUGUCAUGUUCUAGCAAUGAGCAUAGUGGUUUAGCUACUUUGGAAAAGUCUUUUAUGAAUCUUCUGUAAAAUCUAGUAUGACCCAAAAAACUUAUAAUCCCCUUGAUUGAAGUGGGAGUUGGCAGUUUAUCUAUCACUUUUAUCUUUGUUUUAUCUACCUCUAUGCCAUUCUUGGACACCUUAUGACCUAACACUAUGCCUUCUUGCACUAUGAAGUGGUAUUUUUCCUAAUUGAAUACUAAGUUAGUCAUCUCAGACCUUUUAAGAACUUCUUCCAAGUUGUGUAAACAAUCAGUAUAUGUCUCUCCAAAGACUGAGAAAUCAUCCAUGAAGACUUCCAAUGUUUACUCCACCAUAUCUAAGAAAAUAGACAUCAUACAUCUCUGAAAAGUUGCUGGAGCAUUGCACAAACCAAAGGGCAUCCUUCUGAAGGCAAAAGUUCCAUAAGGGCAUACAAAUGUAGUCUUUUCCUAAUCCUCUAGAGCUAUAGCAAUUUGGUUGUAGCCUGAAUACCCAUCUAGGAAACAAUAGUAUUGUUUUCCAGCAAGUCUGUCCAAUAUUUGAUCUAUGAAUGGAAGUGGGAAGUGAUCCUUCCGAGUAGCUUUGUUGAGCUUUCUGUAAUCCAUACAUACCCUCCAUCCAGUCACUGUUCUUGUAGGAAUAAGUUCAUUCUUCUCAUUUGCUAUCACUGUUAUUCCUCCCUUCUUUGGAACACAUUGAACUAGGCUUACCCAUGAACUAUCUGAUAUUGGGUAUAUGAUCCCAGCAUCCAACCAUUUGAUGAUUUCUUUCUUCACAACUUCCUUCAUAAUGGGGUUUAACCUUCUCUGUUGCUCUACUGAGUUACUGUAACAGUCUUCUAACAAAAUUUUAUGCAUGCAUAUGGAUGGGCUGAUCCCUUUAAUGUCUUUCAUGGUCCAUCCAAUAGUUUUUCUAUAUUUCCCAAGCACAUCUACCAGGCGCCGUUCUUGACUUGCAUCCAAAGUAAAUGAAAUGAUUAUAGGGAGUGUGUUGUUUUUACCAAGAUAAGCAUACUUCAAAUGUGAGGGUAACAAUUUUAAUUCAAGACUAGAAGGUGAUUCAAUAGAUGGUAAAGUUCUCUUUACUUCCCUGUUUGAAAGAUUUAGAUGUUCAACAAAUCUGUUAUGUCUAUUAGAUUGUCUUCCUUCCAUCCAAUUUAUCUGGUUUGCUGCAACAUCUUCUUUUUCAAAGUUCUCAAAGGUGGCAACUUUGAUGACCUCAUUACUGCAGCAUUUGUCGAUUCUGUCUGCUAUAAAAAAAUCCACAACACUCAGGAAAUUGCAAUCUUCUGUCUCAUCAGGGUUCUUCAUAGCCUCUAAUACAUUGAAUGUGACUUGUUGGUCAUUCACCCUCAUUGUUAGCUCUCAUUUUUGCACAUUUAUCAGAGUUUUUCCGGUUGCUAGGAAAGGUCUUCCAAGUAUAAUGGGUACCUCUUUAUUAGCCUUAAAGUCAACCUUCACCAGUACAUCCUCAAUUUUUCCUUUAGGAUAUGCAUGAGAUCUGUCAGCUAAUUGCAGAGUGACUGUUGUUGGCCUACAUUCUCCUACUCCCAAUUGCUUAAAUACAGAUAAUGGCAUCAGAUUAAUGUUGGCUCCCAAAUCACAGAGUGCUCUACCAUUGUACCUAGGUCCAAUGGAACGUGGUAUUGUGAAGCUUCCUGGAUCCUUCAAUUUUUGAGGAAUCUUACUUUGGAGCAUAUGACUGCUUUCCUAUGUUAAAGCAACAAUUUCAAAUUCUCCCAACCUUUUCUUUCUUGCUAGGAUGUCUUUUAGAAAUUUCACAUAAUUAGGCAUUUGCUCCAAUGCUUCCACAAAAGGUAUGUUGAUGUGUAAUUGCUUUAGCACUUCCAAGAAUUUACUAAACUGCUUGUCUUGUUUUUGUUUCUGGAAUCUCUGUGGGAAAGGAGAUGGAUGCCUAAAUUGCUGGGUAGCUUCAGGAGGUAUUAAUCUCUGCUCAUUUGGUUUAUUGUAAGUUGUUACCAUUGGUGUUACAACUUCUUCUUCAACAUUUAUUGGUUGAUUCCCUUCCAUAGUUGCUGCAGCUUGACCACUAACACCAGUAAUAUGCUCUCAUCUUGAGGUGGUUCUUGUGAGGAGUUAAGUUCCAACCUUUUUUUAGUCACAUCAACAAGGAUAUCAACAUUCUUUUCAGAUCUUAAGUUGAUUACUUUGCAGUGUUCCUUUCCCUCUCUUCUUGGAUCUUCUGUGUUGCUAGGCAGGCUUCCCUGAGAUCUGCUACUCAUUGCUGUGGCAAGCUGUCCAAUUUGGUUUUCCAGGUUUCUUAGUAAUACAGCUUGACUUUGCACAAUUGCUUCAUUUUUCGCAAUGUAUCUUUUAAUCAGUGUUUCCAAUGAAGCAAGUGGAUUAUGGCUGGUGUGUUUUUGCCCUUAAUUCUACUGAUGAAAACCAGGUGGUUGAGUAUUUCUGUUCUGUCCACCUAGUGCUGGAACAGUUUGAUUCUGAUUGCUCCAUGAGAGGUUUGGGUGUGGCUUCCAUCCAGAGUUGUAAGUAUUUGAGUACGGGUUGUUUUGAGACUGUCGGUUGAAAUUACCCACAUAGUUUACUGAUGCUGGAUUUCCAAGACAGUUGUCAAAUACAUGUUCUUCACCACAAUACACACAAGACAGUUCAGCAACUUCCUUUACUACUGUUGGAGCAGAAGUCAUGGCUUUCACCAUGUUAGUCAAUAAGAUUACUUGUGUUGAUAAUAUUGUAAUUGCAUCUAUAUUAUGUACCCCCGCUGCUCCUCUUGCUGCCGGCUGUCUAGUUGAUGGCCACUGAUAAUUAUUGUUGGCAAUUCUCUCCAAAAUUUCAUAAGCUUCAGUGUAAGAUUUAGAUAACAAAGCUCCAUUUGCUGAAGCAUCAACCAUCAAUCUAUAUGCAACAAGGAAUGCCAUAAUGAGGACACCUUCUGAGUAGUUCUUUAAAUCUCUCCCAAGCCUCAUACAAACUCUCAUCUUCAAGUUGAUGAAAAGAAGUGAUCUCAUUCCGCAAGUGAUCUCAUCUCAGGAUCAAAUUGGAAUACAACAGAUCUGUCUUUGUGCAUGCAAGUGUUGAUAUGUCAAUAAAUAGAACAAAUUAGAUUAAGUUGGCACUAUCAAGAUUUACUUCACACUUCGAAAAUAAGCAAUCAAUCCCCGGCAACGUCGCCAAAAACUUGUUAGUGGAUUUUUACUCAAUUGCUAUUGAUGCCAAUAUGCAAGUGUACACAACAAGUAAUAAAGUGAUGAAUAUUCUAGAUUGUCUCCACAGGGACUGAUGUUACUAGAAAUGUUAUCGCAAUCACAAUAGUGCAAUCUACCUUUAUUUCAAGAUGAACCUAGUUAAAGUUGAUCACUACCGAAAUUAACAAUUGUAAGGAAAUAAAACAAAUAACAGCAGUAUGAAAUAGAUUAGAUAAAUUGCGUAAAAGAAUCGAAUGAUAAUGAAGUAGCUGAAUGAUCAAACUCUCUUCAUGGGUUGACUGCUUUUCCUUAAAUUAACAUCAGUUGCUACAACAAUUCCUAUAGCAUUGGGCAGAAUCACUUUGCAUCCUCAGCUGUCGCGUGUUGGACUUCUCAUACCCUUAAGUAUCCUAACAAUGACCAAUUGCUAUUCUACCUAAGGUAUGGCAUUAUAAACAUCUACUCUUUACCCUGCAAGGUGCAUGUCUAGUUUUUCAUAAAUCUUAACUUCAAGUAUAGCCCUUACGGGAUUCAAGAAAAACUUAAUCCAUGAAACUCAAAUUAAGAUCAAGUAUUACUCCGAUAAUAUCCACUAAGACAGUCCCUUUUGCGGCUCUAUCUUAACUCGAACCAUUAAAUAACUAGUCUAAUAAUAACUAUUAGAGUAACAUGCUACAGCAAUCGUACGGCAACUCAUAAGGACAGUCAAAUACCCAUUUAGAUUGUUUGUCACUCAACUACAGGCAAAUUUAGUUCAAACUUUGAAAAAGAAAAACAAAUAACAAAAUAUUGGUCAUGAAAUACAUCGGUCUAAUUUAAGAGUAAAGAAAUAAACAAGUAAGGAACGAUGAAAAUUGAAUCCAAAUAACUCUGCUGGAUUCUUCACUGAUGCAGACUUGGUUCCCUUCAAUUCUGAUUAUUUUCUUCUCUUCCUCUCGAUUUUUCCAAUGUUAAUUCCUUUUCGUCGUUUUAUGUGAUGCGCACCCCUUUUUAUAACUGAAAACUAGGGUAAACAAAACCCUAGGGCGCGCAUGAGUCAGAUUAGGAAACUACAGAUCGCAAUUCUGCAGAUAUCCCACGCUAAGUUUUUCUGUCGUUAUUCCAGGAUUGCUACAGCAAUGGUUGCUCCAGUAACGGCUACAACAUUGCACUGCUCCAGAUUUUGUUUCACUUCUUUUGUGGCCAUAUUCUUCCUCCUUUUUGCUAGCCUACUGCAUCAACAUCCCUUCCAUGAAUUAUAAGCUUCUGGAAACCUACAAUUAUGCACAUGAUUUGAGCACGAAUUACUUUAAAGCAAGUAAAACUUAUUAAGACUAAACUAAAAUGAAUGUUUAUGCAAAACAUAACAAGAAUGCAAUAAAAACACAUCAUUUACUCUUUAAGUGAUCUUGAUUUAAGUCUAGAAUUGCCAUAAUAACUCUCAUUUCAUAGAGUUAUCAAAAACCCUAGGUUUGGCCGAGGUUAUUUCUCUAAAAUUGAGUCCUCAUUCACUUCUUAUUGCUGAAAUUACUCAGCCACAUUGAUUUCAAAACCAUUUACGUGUUAUUUAAUCAGUUCAUCUUCACCCAAAACACAAUAUUUUUUAUUCAAAGUAAGAUUUUAGUUUCCACGGCAGGUGGUGAAACUUAUGCUGCAAGCAGCAGGUGCUGCUUAUUCUACAUAAGCAGGCAACAACUAUUGCUUAUGCAGCAACUGCUGCUACUGUUACUGCAUAAACAGCAACUGUUGUUGCUGUUGCUUAAAUUCCAGCAGUUGCAGCAGGCAUAAGCAAUAGUAGUUUGAGAAUUAUAUGACCUAGUGAUUUAUCAUGUAUUUUCUUAUUGAUAACCUUGUGAUUUAUCAUGUAUUUUCUUACUGAUGUUUGCUUAAUUAUCUUUUCCUUUUUUAGUGAUCUCCAUAAUCAAGAACCAAGAUAUCAAGUUUUGUUAAUCUUUUAAUUUAAUAGUAUUUUAAGAAUUAUUGGCUUCCAUCUUACAUUAAAAUAAUCACCCAAUGAAAAAUCAUUGUUUUAACAUUAAAUUUCAUUAUUUUAACAUUAACAAUUCCACCAUCAUCCAAAUUCCCAAACAAAUCCAGACACAAGAAUUGCUCAAGCUUAUGCCUCUUGAAUGGUUGACCAACUAUGAGCAUUUCCACCAACAUUCUGAACCAGUUCAAACAACAGAAGCCACGUUUGAAAGAUGACAAAAUGGUCAAGUCAAACUAUCUUUUCAAACACCUGACACCAAGCCUGUUUCAGACACUCCACAAAUUUCCUACACUGCUAUGAUAAUAGUAGUUCAAACUGGUCAAGAAAAGAAACUCCCCAUUCAUGGUUUCUCAUCAGAAGGAUAUCCAGUAUAUCCUGACAAAAUCAAUGGUCAUUUUCUAUGGGAUGUUCCUGAAGCCCAUGUGUGCAAUCCAGAUUGUCCUUGCUUGGAUGAUACGGAUAUUGAUGACGAACUAGAAGUUAUGAGGAGAAAGAAAAAGAAAAAGAAAAAACCUUCUCAUCCAAAAACAUCUUGCAAAUCCUUUCCUCCACAACCUCCACCAGAUCCCAAACCUCUUAUUCACCAAAUAAGAUCAUGCAUAAUGUUUUCAAGUCAAUCUUAUGAGGAAUCCUUUCCUUCGCUUGAAAAACAGACAGACACACAAACCAGAGUUAUCUCAAAACCUUUUGUACAAUCCCCCAGUUACGGCCUCUGGGCAACUUGAAGAGCCAAAACAGUAUGAAGCUGUUUUAAAUUGGCAAACCAAAAAUGCCAAUGCUCAGAAUCAAACUCUUCAACAACUCGGAAAGAAAAUUGAUCGAGUUGCCAGUCAAGUCUCCCAGACAAAAACUAAAAUUGAUUGAAUCAGUAAUCGUCUUGAUCAGAUGUACAUACAUCUACAAGAUCGUAUCUCUGAGCUAGACACUGAUCUCAGGCGAAUGAUCAACAACCACAUCUGGGGUCUAGAGUUUAAUAAAAAAGAAGCAGAAAUCAUAAAGCUCAAAGCUGAAUUGGCAAGAAUUGAUACUGAAAAGGCUCACCAUCACUUUUUACUCAAACACAAACCACACUAGUACCCCCUCCAGUGUUUGAAACUUAUGCACCUUUCUACACACCAUCUAGACCUCAACAACCUGUUUACGAUCAGUUCUUUGGAUUCUCACACCUUCAACCAAGUCCUCAACCAAAGUCAUCUUCACCUAAAAAAUCAAAAUCCAAAGUCAAGAUCUCAUAACCAAAGUCAAAGGCCACUUCAUCUUUAUCUGUUCCUCUGGUACCACCAGAAGAUUCACCAAAAGCCACUCCUGAACCUCCCAAAAAAGACAAAGGCCCAAUGGAACAGUAUCAUUAUCAUACUGUCCAAAACACAUCUUCUGACUCCUCUGAGCCAGAAACAGUCUAUGAGUCAAACCGAUCAGAGUCCAACCCGUCUUCCUCUUCCUCUUCUUUUCCUCUUGUUAGUCAUUAUCACCUCUAUAAACGUCCACACUCUUUUACUCACAAUAUCCGAACCCUUAUUUCCACCAAAAGACCGCAUCCAAAAGAAUAUAUCCAGUCAUCCAGAUUGGAUCAGUGUUCCCUUCAGGCUACCACCGCUGAACAAUAUGUCACUCUGGAAAUUCCCCCAGAAUUGAUUUCCCCUUAGCAAAGAGAAGGUUAUACUCAUCUCCAUAUCGGAGGAGUCAGACUAAUCCUAACCUUACAUGGAAGGAAAGGAUUACCAGUCACAGCCAGAAUUGCUAUGCUGGAUACUAGGUUCAUACAUUACCAAGAUGCUGUUAUUGGUACUGUCUUAACCACUCUUCAUGUUGGAAGUGUUUAACUCACUUUCUAUCCCAAUUUCAACCUUUCUCUUCAAGACAUUAAUCUCUCUACUGCCUUGAAAGUCCAAGUGCAAAUUCAAGGUGCAGAACAAAUCUCUUCAGUAAAAAUUGCAACUCUUCACCAUUAAUUGGUCUAUCGACUCUAGAACCAUGCCUUAGAUCUUCCUUCACCUCAGCACCACUCUGAUGCCCUCAUGGUGUUAGUAGAAUCAGAUCAGAUACCAACCAUCAUUCAAAUUCCAAGACAGAUCCCUAGACAUGAACUCAUAAAACUCAUGCCCUUGGAAUGGAUUUCAAAUUAUGAGAAGUUCCACACCAAUACUUCUCCUAUCCAGACAAUAGAAAGUAUGUUUGAAAGAAUAUAUGAUGGAACUGUCCGAAUGACUUUUCGACCUCUACCCGCAGCACCGGAGGAGCCUCCACGACUCUCAUUCACUUAUUCAGCCAUGGUUACAGCUGUUCAGACCGCUCAAGAAAAGCUGCCAAUUACAUGAUUCAAUUCAGAAGGAUAUCCUGUCUACCCUGCCAAACUUAAUGGCCACUUUCUUUGGGAUUCACCAGGAUCAGGAAAUUGUGACCCAGAUUGUCCCUGUUGGGAUGAUUAGGAAGAAGAUUCUGUUAAACCGCAGCGGCAAAGAAAACCAAAAAAGAAAAUACCUAAAACUCCGUGCUCACACAACCAACCUAAACCACCUCAUAAUCCUCCACCACCACCAGCUCGGAUUGUAAAAAAUUGCAAGACUGAAUUUCUUCCUCAUAUCCAAAAUUCCAAACCACCCAUACAGCCUAUGGCUUGUAUGAUGUUUUCAUCCACCUCCUAAGAUUAUUCCUCCAAUUUCCCUGCUCUAGAAACCCAGACUGAUCCACAACGAAAGGUCAUAACCAAACCCUCUAUUCCUUCAGCCAUAACUCCCAUAGGUCACUUAGAAGACCCCAAACCUUUUAAGGCUGUUCUCAAUUGGCAAACCCAAAAUGCCAGAGCUCAAAAUGAAACCUUGGUUGAUAUCCAUAAGAAGGUUAAUCAUAUCAGUUUACGAACUAAUCAUAUUGAGUCUAAGAUGGAUUCGAUCACUUCCCAGAUGCAGCAAAUUUAUCAAAAUCUUCAAUCCAUAAUCUCUCAACUAGACUCAGAAUUAAGUACCAUGCUGAGUCAUAGAUACUAUAGCCUAGAAUUUGAUUAGAAAGAAAAGGAGAUCAGAAAAUUGAAAGCAGGACUUGAAUAGAUUGAGUCAGAAUGGCAAAGGCCAAUAUUAUUUACCACCUCUCCACCAUUACCUACCAUCAGCCCAGCCUUUCAUCCCUUUGCACCUAUGCUUUGUCCCAUAAAACUACAAGACCCGUCCAAAUUAUUUGGCAUGACACAUACUUUAUUUAGAAAUAAUCCUCUGCCAAAACCAUCUAGAUCUAAACUUCAUCCUCGACUAAGACCAGAAAAACAACCUUUUCAACCACCUUUGUCCAUCCCAGAACAGCAACCGUCUCUUUAUACCCCACUUCCUCCUCAACCAACUCCAACUCAGGCCAAAGAUAAAUCCCCAAUGCAACAAUAUAGUGCAUAAAUAAUCCCAGAUCCAUCCGAUACAGACCAAACUUCUGAUUCAAAUCUAGCUGUUUCAGAAGAUCCAUCUGAAUCUGAAACAGAAUCUUCCUUAAAAUCUGCCAUUUCAUCUAGUGAUUCUGAAAAAUCUUAUGCUGAUAUCACUAGAAUUAUGUGAACAAAAACAGUUCUUCAACGAACUGUUAAAAGACAAAGAGCCUUACAGAUCAAUUGCAAGAAAAAGAAAGAUUCAAAAAUCCAGAUUGUUUCCUAGAUCAAAAUCCAGGCAAAAAUCAUACAGGUUUUUCAGGAAAAGAUCUAGUUCUUUCAGAGAAUAGAAAAGGAGAAAGUCAAGCCGAUGCUUCAUUUGCAAAAAGAAAGGCCAUUAUGCUAAAGAUUGCCCCAACAAAAAAGAAAAAGCAAUCAGACUUCUUGAGCAUUUACAGGCCACCACUGAUUAUUCUCCUCACAAAGAUGAAAUCGAGUUCUACUUCUCAGAACAAGAGGAGCCUACUGAUGAAACAGUGUUCGCACUAUAAAACUCAUCUGAUGAUUCUGAAAAUGAUGAGUUUCAAACUAUUUUUCACCAACAACUUUUGUCUCUAAACACUACCAUACAUAUUCCUUCCAUAAAACUCCAAAUCUUACCUUCCAAAUUCCAGAGACCAAUUCCCGCCAUUGGACUUCUUGAUACCGGGCCCAAAGAAGUAUGUUAAACCCAGACAUACUUCCUUCACAGUCAAUGGAAAUUUCUUCACCACCAAGUUGAUUACCAAAAAACCCAUUGGUAUUCAAAUCUUUCCAAAUUGUGUUAUCUGGACAAAAGUCAUUGGUUCCCAUCUGCCUAAUAAGGACAUCUUGUUAGGAUUUGAUAUCAUUCACCAGAUACAACACCUCUAAAUCAUUCCUACUGGAAUUCGAGUCAAGUCCAUGUUUAAACCAUUCACUAAUGUUCUUAAGCUUUAUGGUUUGUCUGAAACCUCUCAGCCUUUCCAAGUCUCAUGCUGACUUUCACCAUCCAAAUCCUCUGUGGGAAAAUCCACAUUUCUUUGUUCAAUUGCCUUUCAAGUUGAAUGAAGAUGUCAAUCCAACCAAAGCCACCCGUCUAGGAAUGAGUCCUUCCGACUUAGUCCUAGCCCACAAGGAAUGUUCUCAGUUGCUGGCCCAAGGUCUUGUUGAACCCACUAGUUCUCAAUGGGCUUGUCAAGCUUUUUAUGUUGAAAAGCAUUCUGCGAUUGUUAGAGGAAAAAAAUGAUUAGUCAUUGACUAUCAACCUCUAAACAUGUUUUUACAAGAUGACAAAUUCCCUUUGCCAAAAAGACAGAGCAUGUUCACCUAUCUAAAAACUGCUCAACUUUUUUCAAAAUUUGAUCUUAAAUCCAAAUUUUAGCAACUUGGAAUUAAACCUUCAGAACAUUACAAAACAACCUUUUGCAUUCCCAAUGCCCACUAUCAAUGGACAGUUUUACCCUUUGGUCUUAAAACAGCCCCAUCUAUUUUCCAAAAAACCAUGGUCCAAAUCUUCCAACCGAUUCUGUAUAGUGCAUUGAUUUACAUUGACGAUAUUUUGUUAUUUUCAGGUACACAAGAUGACCAUCGCCAUUUGUUAAAUCAAUUCUUUGAUAUUAUUCAAUCUCAUGGAAUCAUGUUACCAGCUAAGAAAAGCACAAUUGCUACCAAUAACAUUGAAUUCCUUAGAAUGACUAUCAAAGACGGCCACUAUCAGCCAGGAAAGGACAUUGCUCAAGAGCUCAUCCACUUUCCAGAUCAGCAUCUUUCCAAAAGGCAAAUUCAGCAGUUCCUUGGUAUUAUUAAUUAUAUCAGGGAUUUUAUUCCUCAUGUUGAUCAUCACACCCGCCAGCUGUCAGCCUUGCUAAAGAAGAAUCCACCUUCGUGGAAUAACAACCACACACUUGCUGUCACAAUGUUAAAGCAAAUUGCGCAAAAUCUACCACCAUUAAAGCUCAUCACCGAUGGCAGGCGAAUAUUACAGACUGAUGCAAGUGACGAAUCAUGGGGGGCCGUCCUCCUUGAAGAAACAGGUGGCAAAGAACUCUUUAUUGCCUAUGCCAGUGGACACUUCUCUGACACACAAAUCCAUUACCAUAGUGUGUUCAAAGAAAUUUUAGCUGUCAAGCAUGGUAUUCAAAAGUUCGAGUAUCAUCUUAUCAACUAUCAUUUUCUUAUCAGAAUGGACAACUCAACUUUUCCCAAUAUCAUGAAUUUCAAAGGGAAAAAUGUUCCAGAAAAGAUGUUGCUUAGGCUAAAAGACUGGUUUUCAAAAUAUGAUUUCUCUGUGAAGCAUAUAAAAGGAGACCACAACCUUAUUCCUGAUAUGCUCUCAAGACUUGCUAAACCAGAUAAAUCCUUUUUUUUUCAUAUCCUCAAAACACCAUUUUCCUGUCAUCUUCAUGGCCACUUCACUCCCCUCACAAGCCCUUACCUAAAAAACCUUUCCCCUUGGGAAAACUUUCACCACAGUCUUUGCCAUACAAGAGUUUGCAAAGAAAGUUGUAUUUAAGUUUUUCACGAAAGCCUAUCUCUUAUCAGACUCAUUUUCAUUUUCCACUUUCCAUCCAGAAAACUUGUUUCUUACUGGAUUAACCCUGGAUCCUUCCAGAGACAUUUCAGAAGAUGAAUUAUGGUACAUCUGGUGCCUAACUGUCCUCUAUGCCACCAAACUGAUUGUUCCAAUAACAGCCACCUUAGAACAUUUGUUCAAUCCAGACAAAUCAACCUCACUCAUCUGGAUGCUUCUUGAAUGGUUUUCUCCAAUUCCAUGGUAUGAAACUUCAACAAUUGUCACAAUUUCAUAACUUGGAACGUAUGCCAGCAUCAGAAGCAAAAAUAUUCACAUCUGUGUUCAUUAUUCAUAGACCAUACUUCCAACACCCAGAUACACACUUCUUCUAGACUCAAGAUCAAGUUUUUGAAUGGUUCACCACACUUCACUCAUCCAUCCUUGAACAAGACGAUAAAGUUCAAAAGGAACUCUAUAAUUUCCUUUGUGAACUGAACCACCAACCUACUCCACACAGAGACAUUUCUCACACCUCCCUCGGUCCACAGCAUGAUAUCAUCAUGAUCCCCACUCCUUCAGCAAUUUCAAAACCUAAAUCCACGGGUAUUAUCAUCAAUGAAGAAAAACCAGACUUCACUGAUUUUCUAUACCAAGAUGCACAAGACCCAUGGGAAGCAUUCUUGCCAUUAAGUCAACAUCUUCAAAACCUCCAACAAACUCCACCAACACAUGCCUCAGACGAUCCAACAAAUAAAGCCAGUUCUAGCACACCAACCGGCUCCAAGGAACACCCAUCCUCUUCUUGGCGCAAAAUAUUUUUCCCUUGGCCACCCUGUCGCCCAGAUCAUCAACAUCCACCAGAAACUCCAUAUCCAUCACUCAAAGUCCUCUUUUCAAAAGAUAAAGAUAAGACCGACAGCUCAUCUGAUGAAGACUAUAUGAAUCUCUCAUCUCCGUGAUUCAUGCAAUUUGGCAUCAUUUACUUUUUAAAAGUUUGUAAUAAUUAAAGCAUGAGUCAUGAUUUAAUUUGGCUUUAUUGGUUUUACUUUUCCACAAGCUUGUCGCUCGUAAUUAUGUCUUUGCUUUUAGAAAAGUGAUAGGGGCCCUGUCCUAUCCUUUUCCUUGGUUUUCCUCCUAUAUAAGCUCAGCUUCUCUUUGUUAGAAGCAUAGCGGAAAAUAAUAAAAUCUAUAGUUUUCUAUAAUCAUGAGUUUCUAAUUUCUCUUUUUCUCUCUGUCAAUGAAGCUCUAAAGUUUUUAAAAAUAAGAAGAAAACUUACAUAUGUUCAUUUUGAAACUUAAGGAAGUAUGCUCUGCACUUGCCUCUUGUAAGGAUCCUGUGCAUCAGAAAACUUUUGAUGAUUUCUUAUCUGGUUUGGUACCCUGUUUUAGACUAAAGGAAAGUUUGUUUUAGGUUAUAUAACCCAAGAUGAAAAUGUUCCAAAGUUUUUUGAUCUCAGAGGUAUAUCAGCUGGAAACCCGAACUUGCGGACUAUUGGUCCAAAUAACAGUUUUAACUGUUAUAGUUCUGGUAUAACAACGCCACGAUCUAGACAAGUAUUGGUGUGGAACUUCUCAUAAUUUGAAAUCCAUUCCAAGGGCAUGAGUUUUAUGAGUUCAUGUCUAGGGAUCUGUCUUGGAAUUUGAAUGAUGGUUGGUAUCUGAUUUGAUUCUGCUAACACCAUGAGGACGUCAGAGUAGUGUUUAGGUGAAGGAAGAUCUAAAGCAUGGUUCUGGAGCCUAUAGACCAAUUGAUGGUGAAGAGUUGCAAUUUUUGCUGAAAAGUCCUUACCCUGAUCUCCACCGAAAGACCUCUCCCAAAAGAAUAUAUUUAGUCUUCUCGACUGGAUCAGUGUGUUUUACAAGCCUCUCAAAGUGAGCAGUAUGUAAGAUCUCGUAGCCAAUUGGAAACGAGAAGGGUAUACGUAUCUCCACUUUGGCGGUGUUAGAUUGAUCCUCACCCUCCAUGGCAGAAAAGGUUUACCUGUUACGGCCAGGAUCGCACUAUUAGACACCAAGUUCAAACAGUACCAACAUGCUGUUAUAGGAACUGUCCUGAUCACACUUUAUGCUGGCAGUGUCUUGUUAACCUUUUACCCAAAUUUCAACCUCUCUCUUGAGGAUCCCAACUUUCCCACGACCCUUAAAGUCCAAAUCCAGCUCCAAGGAGCAGAACAAACACCCACAUAAAAAAUAGCAACUCUUCAUCACCAAAUAGUGUAUCGAUUACAGAAUCAUGCACUUGAUCUUCCCACACCACACACCACAUCUGAUGCCUUAAUGAUUCUCACAGAUCCAACAAUUCCUCGGGAUUGUUAAUUAUGUCCGUGAUUUCAUCCCUAAACUUGUAAUCCACACAAGCUAGCUGUCCCGCAUGCUCCGAAAACAGUGCCCUCCAUGAGGAUCAGCAUAAACAAAAGUUGUCCAACAACUAAAGGUGAUAGCCCAGUCACCUCCUCCUCUCCGAAUUUCCACAACUGGACAACGCAUUCUACAGACUGAUGCCAGUGAUGAUUACUGGAGUGCCAUCCUUCUUGAAGAGAUAAAUUGUGUACGUCACUUCUGUGCACAUGCAAGUGGACAAUUCAAAGAAUCUGAAAAGAAUUACCAUGUAAUCUAUAAAGAGAUUUUGGCGGUCAAGUAUGGAAUCAAAAAGUUUGAAUUUCAUCUAAUCAGCCAUAAAUUCCUUAUCAACAUGGACAACUCCUCUUUUCCUCUAAUCUUUGACUUCAAAAAUAAGUUGCUCCCUGACAAACAGUUGCUCAGCCUCAAAAAUUGGUUUGCUAAAUAUUAUUUUACUGUCCAACACAUAAAAGACAAACAGAACCUCAUCCCAGACUUCUUUACACGACCGGCUAUAAAUAAACCCUCACUUAUUUCCUCCAUUCACACCAUCCCAGUUAUAGUCAUGAACUGUCAACUUCCAUUCAAAUCUCUCAACCAGAGAAUUUUCCCCAUGAACAUUCCUUUUCACUCAGCCUACCAAAUCCAAGACUUUGCAAAGAAAUUCCUUUACCGGUAUUUCUUCAGUGUUCAAAGUAAAAAGCUUGAUCAUUUUCCUUCUCUCUAUAUGGAAAACUUGUUUCUCACAGGUCUUACCCUGUCAUCCCUCAAUAUAUGUGAAGAUGAGUUAUGGUACCUUGUAUGCCACAAAACUGGUUUUUCCUAUUAAACCAGUCCUCAUUCAUAUCACCACUCCUGAGUUCUCAUCAGAUCUUCUCUGGACUCUCCUUGAAUGGUAUUCACCACUCAAGUGGUGGCGAAAGCAGCUUAAAAAUCUGUGUACUUUUCACGGAUUAGACAAAAUGCCAGAACAAGAAGCCAACAUGUUCACUACAGUCUUCAUCGUUCAUAGACCUUACUUCCAGCACCCAGAAACAAGAGACUUCUGGACUUAAGAUAUGGCCUACGAAUGGAAAACUUAUCCCCAUCCUUAUACCCUCAUCCAUGAUAUAUCUGUUACCUCUGUUCUCAAGUCAUACCUCAUGGAACUCAACAAUGUUCAGCCACCCACCACAAACAUCCACCACACCUCUGUUGGACCAUCACACACCUUGGAAAUUAUCCCAAAGACACAAACUUGUACUCCAGGUUCUAGUUCAAGUCCUCAAGGAAUCCUUGUCAAGGAACAACGUCCUGAUUACACUAACGUCUUAUUCCAAGAUGCUCAGGAUCCAUGGGAAGAUUUUCAGUCCCUUUUCUCUACUAAAAAUUCCCAUUACUAUCACCGACCCAGAUCCUCCUGCUCCACCAGCCCCAAAAAAGGUGACUGACACUGAUGAAGAAGCCUAUCUGCAAGCUGAAGCUUAUCUUGAUCAAAGACAGACCCGUUGUGCUAAACGACAAUAUAAAACUGGCGAUGUGUCUCCAUCACAGUACCCAUCCACUCCAUAAUUGCAGACACGCAUGGAAAUCUUUAACUUUUGUUUUUUUUCAAAAAGUUUGCUUUAAUAAUUAUGCUUUUGUAAAAGAUAAGUGUCCCACCUCAUCUCUCCUUCCUCGAGAUCUCGAUAUAAGGAUCUCUCUAUCCCUUUGUAAGGCAGAAGUUAAUUUGAAAUACAAAAUCAGUUUUCUUCACAUCAUGUUUCUCUAAACUUUUCUGGUUGGACAGAUACACUUCUUUUCAUCCUUGCACUCUAUCCUGAGAUAGGGUUUUUUACAAGCUUCAAAAAAGGAUUUUUUGUCUUCCAUGAGAUCUUUGAAGAAUUCUUUUUGCUCACAGAUCUUGUCAAGACAUAGCAUUACCGUUUGGAAAAUCUUUCCCAGAGAGAUAUCAGUUAUGCUGAGAUUAGUGGCUGUGAGUUUCCUUUGAAGAUCAGGUUGUAACUCAGAAGGAAGAGAGGCUAUGAAGACAUGUUUGAGAGAUGGCUCGUUGAACCCAUUCAGCUUGUAAAAUAGAAUACUCAUCCUUUUGUAAUGAGAUUCCAAAAGAUGUCUUUUGAGAGAACAUUUCAUCUUAUGAAACUCUUUUCUGUCUGCAUCAGUAGACACUAUUUUUUCACCAAUAAAUUGUUCAUGAAUGAUAUUGAGUGUUGUACCAAUUGGGGAUUAACACGUUCUGCAUGAAGAGUUGUGAGGACAGUGCCUAUAACAACAUCUUGGUAUUGCUUAAAUUGGGUAUCAAGCAUAGCAAGUCGAGCUGUGACCGGUAACCCUUUUCUCCCAUGAAGGGUAAGGAUUAAUCUGAUGCCUCCAAGAUGGAGAUGAGUGUAGCCUUCUCUUUUCCAAUUGGAAAUUAACUCUGAAGGUAUUUCCAGAGUGACAUAUUGCUCAGCAGAGGUUGCUUGAAGGGUACAUUGAUCCAGGCGAGACGACUGGAUAUAUUCUUUAGGUUGAGGCCGUCUAGUAGAUAUAAGAGUACGAAUACUUCGGGUAAAGGAACUGGGGCGUUUGUACAGCUGAUAAGGGCUGAUGAGAUGGUAGGAUGACUCACUGAUUUGGGCUGAUUCAGGGAUGUAGGAAUAUUCUACAAGGUUUUCAAUCUUAUUGUCGGUAUAGGAAGUGCAGGAUUUGGUUAAAGAAAGAGUAGAAGAAAGAGUAAUAGGAUUGGAAGGAGUUGAAGAUGAAGUGGAAGCCAUGAAGGAGAAAGGCUCUCUGCUCCUGAAGUAUUAAAGAUCAAAACAGAAGAAAGACGUAAAUCAUACCAUUUUGGGCAUAAAAAACUAGAGUUUAGAAAACUGAAAAGUUUCAAGGAUGAGUAGGCUCUGAUACCAAAUUAUAAAACGUUUGCAUCAUAAAAUGUUUCUGCAUUUCUUUUCAGGUCAUAUAACCUAAAACAUACUUUCCUUAGUCUUUAAAACAGGGUACCAAACCGUUUAAGAAAUCAUCAUAAGUUUUCUGAUGCACAGGAUCCUUACUGGAAGGCAAGUGCAGAGCAUACUUCCUUAAAGUUUCAAAAUGAACAAAUUUAAUUCUUUAUUCUUUUUCUUUCUCUAGAUCUUCAUUUGCAGAGAGAGAAAAGAGUUUAGAAAUGCAUAGUUUUAUGGAAACACACGAGUUUUAUUUCGAAAAAACUUCUAUAUCUUACAAGCGAAGGGAGAAUUCUUUAUAUAGGAGAAUUCCCGAAGAAGAUAGGACAGGACCCCUAUCUUCUACAAAAGCAAAAGUAAAAGGACACAUCAUGACAGCUUUAAUGAUUACAAAGGACAAAGUGUGCUUUAAUAAUUAAAGCAUGACUUUGACAAAAGUAAAAGCUUAAAGUAAAAGCAAGCCUUAAUAAUUAUAUAGGACAAAACCAUAAUUAUUGCAACAAGACAAACUACUUUAUGGAGAGUGGAGAUUCAUGUAGUCGUCUUCAGAUGAGCUUUCUGUUUCAUCUGGGUCAGUGUCACGGUUAUAUUUUGGGAAAAAGGUUUUGGAGAGCUUUGGAUGCUUAUAGUGGGGACCACGGCAAGGUGGAUAAGGGCAAUCUCUUCGGUAUCUUAGCUUGGGGGGUGAUGACUGGGACUUGGGGCUUGGCAUCUUAGUGGCCUUGUCAGCUUUGGAGGGUUGGGAUGAUGAUCCUGGUUCAUACAUGGUGGGUUGUAGAAACUGUUGGAGAUGUUGGCUUAGAGGAAGGAAUUCUUCCCAUGGGUCUUGGGAGUCUUGGUAAAGGAAGUCAGUGUAGUCUGGUUUUUCUUCUUUGAUGUUGAUUCCUGUGGACUUUGGUUUGGAUAUGGCGGAUGGAAUGGGGAUCAUGAUGAGGUCAUAUUGUGGUCCUAAGGAGGUGUGAAAGAUAUCCCGGUAUGGUGGAGUUUGGUGGUUCAAUUGACAAAGGUAGUUGUGCAGGUUGGAUUGGAUUUCAUUGUCAAUGACAGCUGGGUGAGGUGCGAUAAACCAUUCAUAUACCUGGUCUUGAGUCUAAAAGAGAUUUAUGUCUGGAUGUUGGAAGUAUGGCCUGUGAAUGAUAAAUACUGAUGUAAACAAUUGUGCUUCAGAGGCAGGCAUACGUUCAAGAUUGUAAAUCUCGGACAUUUGUUGUAGCUUCUUUCUCCACCAUGGUAUUGGGGAGAACCAUUCAAGUAAUAUCCAGGUAAGAGAGGUGGCUUUGUCUGGAUUAAGGAGAUUGUUCAAAGUGGGAGUGAUUGGUAGGACUGGCUUGGUUGCAUAAAGAACAGUUAGGCACCAGAUGUACCGUAACUCAUCUUCAGUGAUUUCGCUGGACGGAGAAAGGGUUAAACCUGUAAGGAACAUAUUUUCUGGGUGGAAGGUGGAAAAUGGAAAUGAGUCUGCCAAAAGGUAGGCUUUCAUGAAGAAGCGGAAAACAACUUUCCUUGCAAACUCUUAGAUAGCAAAGACAGAAGAGAAAGUUUUGUCAAGGGGAAAAGUUUUCUUGGUGAGAGCUUCUGGUGGAAGUGACGUGGCCAUAGAGAUGAUCGGAAAUUGGUAUGUUGUAGAGAUCAAGGUUAGAGGGUUUUCUGGUUUUGAGAGUCUGGAUAGCAUUUCAGGGAUGAGGUUCUGGGACCCCUUUAUAUGCUUAACCGAAAAAUCGUAUUUGGAAAACCAAUCUUUUAAUCGGAGUAACAUCUUUUCUGGCACAGUUUUACCUUUGAAAUUAAGAAUAUUGGGGAAGGCUGAACUGUCCAGUCGGAUGAGAAAAUGAUGUCCAAUAAGAUGAUACUCAAAUUUUUUGAUGCCAUUCUUUACCGCUAAGAUUUCUUUGAACACGCUAUGGUAAUGCUUCUGUGUGUCAGAAAAUUGUCCACUAGCGUAAGCGAUAAAGUAUUCUUUGCCGUUGAUUUCAUCGAGGAGGAUGGCACUCCAUGAUUCAUCACUUGCGUCUGUCUGCAGUAUGCGCUUUCCAUCAGUAAUUAACUUUAAGGGAGGCGGAUUUUGCUCAAUUUGCUUGAGGGUAGUGACAGCAGUUGUGUGGUCAGCAUUCCACUCUGGGGGCUUCUUUUUCAAUAAAGCCGAGAGGUGGUGAGUAUAGCGGUCCACAUGCGGGAUGAAGUCCCUUAUGUAAUUGAUAAUGCCGAGAAACUGUUGAACUUGCUUUUUGGAAAGUUGCUGAUCUGGAAAGUGAAGCAAUUCUUGGGCAAUGUGCUUUUCUGGCUUAUAAUGGUUGUCCUUUAUGAUCAUACUAAGGAAUUCAAUGUUAUCUGUGGCAAUGGUGCUUUUCUUGGCAGACAGCAUGAUUUCAUGACUUUGGACAAUAUCAUAAAAUUGAGUUAACAGCUGGUGAUGUUUAUCAUGGGAUCCUGAAAAAAGCAAGAUAUCAUCAAUGUAAAGUAAUGCAUGAUGCAAGAUAGGGUGAAAGAUUUGGACCAUGGAUUUUUGGAAAAUGGAUGGGGCAGUUUUGAGGCCGAAGGGAAGGAUUGUCCAUUGAUAAUGGGCAUUUGGGAUACAAAAGGCAGUUUUGUAACGCUCCGAGGGUUCAAUGCCUAAUUGCCAAAAACCUGAUUUUAAAUCAAAUUUAGAAAAGAUCUGGGCAUUUUUGAGAAAAGUAAACAUGCUUUGUCGUCGGGGCAAAGGAAAUUUGUCAUUUUGCAAAAACAUAUUGAGUGGCUGAUAGUCAAUGACUAAGCGUUUCUUUCCUCUGACAAUUUCAGAAUGCUUUUCAACAUAAAAGGCUUGGCAAGCCCAUUGAGAACUUAUGGGCUCGAUUAGACCUUGGGCUAACAGUUGUGAACAUUCUUUUUGGGUUAGGAGUAAGUUAGAAGGACUCAUUCUUGGAUGAGUAGCUUUGGUCAGGUUAAUGUCUUCAUUGAGUUUGAAAGGUAACUUAAUGAAGAAAGACGGGUUUUUCCACAAUGGAGUUGGAUGGAUGAACUCAGAAUGGGACUCUAGACAGAAACGCAAAAGAUGGGACGAAAUAUCCUGGUAGGACUGGGGAGUAUCAGACAAAUUAUAGAGUUUCAAAAUGUAUGUGAAUGGUUUGAACAUAGACUUGACUCGGAUUCCAGUGGGAAUGAUUUAGAGGUGUGUGAUUUGGUGAAGUAUGUCAAAUCCUAACAAGAUAUCCUUAUUAGGAAGGGUUGAAUCGAUAACCUUGGUCCAAAUGACACAAUUUGGGAAGAUUUGAAUACCAAUGGGUUUGUUGGUAAUCAAAGAGGUAGUGAAAAAUUUGCCAUUAACGGCCCUGAAAUUUUCUUCGUACUUUGUCCAGUAUUUAGGUGGAAGGAUAUUAGGGUUUAACAUGCUGCGUUGGGCGCCAGUAUCUAUGAGACCAAUUGCUGGAAUGGGCCUUUGGAAUUUUGAGGGCAAGAUAUGGAGUUUGAUGGAGGGUCUAGGAAUAGUAGUGUCAAGGGACAGUAAUUGUUGGUGGAAGAUAACUUGAGACACAUCAUUGUCUGAGUCAUCAGAGGAAUUUUGUAAUGCGAACACGGUUUCAUCAUUGGGUUCGUCUUGCUCAGAGAAAUAGAAUUCUAGUUCAUCCGUCGUAGGAGAGUAGUCUGUAGUGGCUUGAAGAUGUUAGACUAGCCGGAUGGAUUUCUCCUAUUUGUUGGGACAAUCUUUAGCAUAAUGACCUUUCCUCUUGCAGAUGAAACAUCUGCUUGAUGAUUUUUUUCUGAAGAAUCGGUAGGGCUUUCUGGACCUGCGGGGUUUGGAUGAAAAUUUUAGAUUUUUGAAUUUCCGAAAAUGCCUCUUCUUCUUAGAACUACAAUCACAAUCCUUUUUCUUAUUACAUUUGAUCAGUAAAUAGGGCUUUUUGCAGGCACUCCUGAAUGGUUCGUUAUCUCUCAACAGUUCUUUGAAAAACUGUUUCUGCUCGCAAAGUUUGUCGAGGCAUGUUUUGGCAAUCGGGAAGAUUUUGCCAAGAGAAAUGUUGUCAAGGUUGAGAUUGGAUGCGGUGAGUUGCCGUUGUAUAUCGGGUUGGAGCUCUUCUGGAAGAGAAGCCAGAAAGACAUGCUUUAAUGUUGGCUCAUUGAAGUCAUUAAGCUUGUAGAACAGCAAGGACAUUCAUUUGUAAUGAAAGUCAAGAUCCUUAGCAUUGAGUGAGCAGCAUUUCAUAUUGAGAUAGUCUCGUUGUGCAGCUUCAAAAACUGCAGAGGGGUCUCCAAGGAAUUGAUCAUGAAUAACCACACGGGCACUUGAGACUUCUGGUAAUUGAACAAACUGUAAUUGUCUGUAUUGGCCUAAAGAAUCAAACCAAUCUCUUAGAGCACCCGUAAAACGAGUAGCAAAUUCUUUAAGGACUGAUUGAGUCAUUGCUCCUGGCCUUAGCAUUUGGAGGUCGAUCCAAGCAGACAUUUCAGUAAGUCUCUGUCGCCAUUUAUGAGAGGGAAGAUCAUCAAAUGUGAACCAUGGACCAUUUAACGAUUUUUGACUUGUUGGACUGGUCUGGGCUUGGGUUGGAGGGGGUUGGUGUGUUGCAGAAGAUUCAGGUAUGUCUUCGUCAACUUCUGAAGGAAUAUCAACAUAUGGUUCUAUGGGAGAGGUUUGGCCGUGAUCAGGUUGAUCAGGUUGGGCCAUCAAGGUUCUGGUGAUAUCAGCAUAGGAUUUUUCAGAGUCACUAGUGGAUACCGAAGAGUCUGUAUCAGACUCGGUAUGGCUGUUGGAAAUAACUAGAUUUGAAUCAGAAGUUUGAGCAAAAGUUUGAUCAUCGGGAGUAGAUGAUGGAUCUACGGUGUGAGCACUAUACUGGUGCAUAGGUUCUUUGUCUUUGGACUGAGUUUGAGGUUGGGAUUGAGGUGGUAGUGGAGGUGCGGGCGGUAGGGACUGUUGUCCAAGAAUGGACAUGGAUGGCUGAUGAAUUUUGACGGGGCGUGGUUGAGGUUUAGGCUUUAGUUUAGGUUUAGGUGGUGGUGGUAAGGGAUUGUCCCUAAAAAGGGUAUGAGUCAUGCCAAAUAACUUGGAAGGGUCAUAUUGUUUGAUGGGGGAAAGCAUAGAGGCAAAUGGAUGAUAAGUUGGACCUAUGGAAGGGAUAGGAGGUAAUGUGGUAAAAAGGGUUGGUCUUUGUUUUUCAGAUUCAAUUUGAUCAAGCUCAGCUUUUAAGCGUCUGAUUUCCCUUUCUUUUUGGUCAAAUUCUGGGCCAUAGUACCUUUGGGCAAGCAUGGUUCGUAACUCUGAAUCUAGUUGAGUAAUUAUGGAUUAAAGAUUAUGGUGGAUCUGCUGCAUCUGUAUAGUAAUGGAGUCAACUUUCAUCUCAAUCUGUUCAGUUCGUAAAUUGAUUUUUUCAACUUUUGAAUUGAUAUGCAACAAAGUAUCAUUCUGGCCUCUGGCAUUUUGGGUUUUCCAAUUAAGGACUGAUUCAAAAGGUUUGGGAGGUUCUAGGUGGCCAGAUGAGGUAAUAGCUAAAGGGAUAAAAAGUUUGGAUACUACAUUUUCGGUGGGAAUCUGUGUGAGUUUCUAAUGGAGAAAAUGAGGAAGAGUAGUCUGAAGAGGUGGAAGAAAACAUCAUACAAGCCAUUGGUUGUACGAUAGGCAUUGAAUUUGGGAUAGGAGAUGGAACCUCAGGUUUGCAAUGCUUUGCAAUCCAUUUGAGUUCUGCUUUGUAGAUGGGUAAUGGAGUUGGUGGAGGUGGAGGAUCUCUUGGUGAUUUGGGUUCACAGUGUUGACAUGAGACUGGAGGUUUUUUCUUUUUGGGUUUCUUUUUGGUGGCAUAAUCAUCAUCCUCUUCCCAGUCAUCCCAACAGGGACAAUUUGGGUCACACAUGCCGGAGCCUGGGACAUCCCAUAGGAAAUGUCCAUUUUGCUUUGCUGGAUAAACAGGGUAUCCAUCAGAAUUGAACCCUGUAAUGGGCAGAUCUUCCUAUGCUGUCUGAAUAGUUGUGAUCAUGGAAGAAUAGGUAAAGGAGAGCCGAGGGGGCUCUUGUGGAGCACUUGGAGGUGGUUUAAAAGUCAUUCAAACUGUUCCAUCUUGUCGUCUUUCAAACAUGCUUUCAGAUGUCUGAAUUGGAGUUGUAUUGUUAUGGAACUGCUCAUAAUUGGAAAUCCAUUCAAGAGGCAUAAGCUUAAUAAGCUCAUGACGGGGAAGUUGUCGUGGGAUUUGGAUGAUUGUGGGAAUUUGGUCAGAUUCUGCUAACACCAUAAGGGUGUCAGAGUGGGGUUCUAGAGUGGGUAGAUCUAAGGCAUGAUUUUGAAGCCUAUAGACCAGUUGAUGGUGUAAAGUGGGCUUGCCAAGCCUUUUAUGUUGAAAAGCAUUCUGAAAUUGUCAGAGGAAAGAAACGCUUAGUCAUUGACUAUCAGCCACUCAAUAUGAUUUUGCAAGAUGACAAAUUUCCUUUGCCCUGACGACAAAGCAUGUUUACUUUUCUCAAAAAUGCCCAGAUCUUUUCCAAAUUUGAUUUAAAAUCAGGCUUUUGGCAAUUAGGUAUUGAACCCUCGAACCGUUACAAAACUGCCUUUUGUAUCCCAAAUGCCCAUUAUCAAUGGACAGUCCUUCCCUUCGGCCUCAAAACUGCCCCAUCCAUUUUCCAAAAAUCCAUGGUCCAAAUCUUUCACCCUAUCUUGCAUCAUGCAUUAAUUUACAUUGAUGAUAUCUUGCUUUUUUCAGGAUCCCAUAAUGAACAUCACCAGCUGUUAACUCAAUUUUAUGAUAUUGUCCAAAGUCAUGAAAUCAUGCCGUCUGCCAAGAAAAGCACCAUUGCCACAGAUAACAUUGAAUUUCUUGGUAUGAUCAUAAAGGACGGCCAUUAUCAGCCAGGAAAGCACAUUGCCCAAGAAUUGCUUCACUUUCCAGAUCAACAACUUUCCAAAAAGCAAGUUCAACAGUUUCUCGGCAUUAUCAAUUACAUAAAGGACUUCAUCCCGCAUGUGGACCGCUAUACUCACUGUUGAGUGUUAGAAAAUGCAUAUUUAUAAAGGAGAAAACCGUCAUUUUACAUUUCAAGUCUUACUAACAACCCUUACUUUUAUGUAUUUAACCUUCUUGUGAUUUAAUUACAUGUGUUUUAUUUUAAUUAAGUAUUUUAUGUAUUUUAGGGGCAUUAUAGUCAUUUCACAAUAAAGAAGAGAUCAGACGGCAAAACGGAUAUCACUUUUGAACUCAGGACGGUCGAAAACCUUAGGAGGAGCAUAAAAGGAAAAAUGGCACUAUUCAUAUGUACGGUACUAUUCACGUGUACGGUACUAACUACGUUACUGUUCACAACACUGUUCACAUAGACGGAUCGAUGACGUGGCAUUGACCGAUGAUGUGGCAUUGACUGAUGAGGUGUCACGAUCCUGUUGGGCUAAAAUUCUUAUGUACUGUUGAUGGUGACGUGGCAGCAUAUCAGUGGAUGAAAAAUCUCGCGUACGGUACAUGCAUCACACAGGAUUAUUUUCAACCAAACCAUGUUACUGUUCAUCCGAGUCAAACUGCGUUACUAUUCAUCCGAGUCAAACCGUGUUACUGUUCAUCCGCGUGGUUAAACCGUGGACUGUUGACUGAUGACGUGGCGCAAUCUUGAGCGUCCAAACUGUUUUUAAUCCGAUGGCCAUGAUUUACUCCAUGUAUCUAUAAAAAAGGGGCCUGCCCCCCUUAAUUUGAUAUCUCUGAAUCCAUUUUUGGGAUCCAUUUUCUAUAAUUCUUUCUCCAUCUUGUAUUUUCUUCGUAUUUUAAUAAAUUCCCAUUUUGCCCCUAGUUCAAUUAUGAGUGGCUAAUUUUCUUUCAAGCUUGGGUUGAAGGUGAAGUCUCAACAUGUGUCAUGGGCUUAAUUUGGUAAAUUUAUUUUCUCUUCCCCUCUAGUUUUUGUGGAUGUUUUGACUUCUCGUCGACAAAUAAUAAUAAUCUUGUCUAGAUACCACCUUGGUUACUUACACCAGCUCUCUAGUAUAAGGUUAUUAUUAUUUGGCACGAUAAGCCCUUAGCACCAUAUUGAUUAGAGCGUGGUUCAUGAGGUGUGGAUUCCCCCCUCAUGAUUUAAUUGGCAUUAAUACGGAUUAUUUAGCCCAUGAUGCAUGUUGAUACGGAUCCAGAUACCCAAGUACGUCAAUUUAAUAGAUUUUCUCUUCAAUUUAUUCUCUCAAUUGCAAUUCCAAUUUUAGAAUUUAUUCUCGCCAUUUUAAUUUAAUUAUUAGCAUAUUCCAAAUCAUUUCCACCAUAAAUCCAACUACCCAUUUACAAAAUUAAUUCUAUAUAUAAUUAAAAUCCACCUCCUCGUGGGAUCGACACUCGUCACCAUUAGUCUAUACUACAACAGAUUCGUGCGCUUGCGAGUACAUUAAAAUUUGCACAACAAGUUUUUGGCGCCGUUGCCGGGGAGGUAAGUAAUUUUAAUUCAUAGAAUUAAUUUUUGUGAAUAAUUCCAUUUAAAUUGUUUUCUUAUAUUUUUUCUUAAAAAAAAAAAGUGAAUCUACAUUUAAAGGUUAGUAUUUCUUUCCUUUUUCUCUUCUUUAAAAUUCUGUAAUUUAAUUUUCAAUUUAUUUUUCUUUGUAAUUUUUUUUUGAUUUAAUUUUUAGUUAAUUUAUUUCACGUAUUUAUUUUUGCGUAUUUUUAUAGAAAGGUUGUAAUAGCGCAAUAAGGUUAGUAUCGUAAUUUCUCUCUCUUCUUUAUUUUUAUUUGUUUUGUUCUCAUCUUUAUUUUUAUUUUAUUUGUUUUGCAUGCAUGGUCGUAGGUCAUUAUUUCCUAAUCUUGAACCUAUAGACUUUGAAUUAGAAAAAACACUUCGCACACAAAAGCACAUUAAAAAUAAAUUUGGAAUGGAUUUACAAGCACCACAGGAGAGGCCAUUUAAGGACUAUUUUAGUCCCUUAGCUAAUUUGAGCACAUCAUGCAUAAGAUACCCAAAUGUAGCUGCUAGAAGUUUUGAACUAAAACCUAGUGUGCUAAAUUGUCUCCCCACAUUUUAUGGCCUAGAAAAUGAGGACCCAUAUAAUCAUUUGAAUGAUUUUCAUGCCAUUUGUCAAACUUUUAAAUACGAGAAUUUUUCAGACGAUGAUGUUAAACUCAGAUUAUUCCCAUUUUCUUUAAAGGAUAGAGCUCGUUCAUGGUUAAAUACUUUACCUGCUAAUAGCAUUUCAUCAUGGGAACAAAUGGUAACGAAAUUUUUGAAUAAAUAUUUCCCAGUGCAUAAAACCAAUGCUAUUCGCAGGGAAAUCUCAGAGUUUACUCAGAGAGAAGACGAGCAAUUUUUUGAAACUUGGGAGCGAUUCAAUGGGCUACUCUUGAAGUGUCCACAUCAUGGGUAUGAGAAAUGGCACCAAUGCCAAUACGUUUUGGAGGGAUUAUUGCCGAAUGUGCAAGAAUGGCUAAUGGCAACGAGUGGAGGAGAGCGAAUGUCAAAAAGUGCAUUAGAGAUUUGGGAAUUCUUCCAGCGACAAGCAGAUAAUUCCCAACAACGGAGUCGAUCACUCAGGACUACUAGAAGAAUUAGGGAGUAAAUGAGGUUCACAUUGGCGAGUCAACUUCGGGAAUCAAAGAAGUCAAGGAGAUGGUUGAAGGUCUUGCUCGACAAAUAGCAUCGUUAUCGACUGCUAAAUCAACAGAACCACAUGACCAUGACUCAUACUCAGAUCAAGCCAAUGCCAUAGGUGUAAUGAGAAAGCCAUCAAAUUACAACCCAUACUCCAACACAUAUAACCCUGGAUGGAGAGAUCACCCCAAUUUUUCAUGGUCUCAAGGACUCCAACAGAAUGGACCAGUAGCUCCAGCUCCACCAAUGCAACUAAUUCCUCAAAUUUCUCAAGCCUCUCAGCCCCCAUUUAGACCAUACAAUCAGAACCAGAACUACUCUCAACUUGGGAGGAUGCAUUCCAAAAUUUCAAGAAUGUUACUCACUCCACGAUUGAGUAACAAAAUCGUACAAUUGAUGGACUACGAAAUGAGUUGAGAGCAGGCUUCAAUUCACAAGCUCAAUCAGUUUCAAGCCUUGAGAAGAUGGUGGGACAGCUUGCUUCUUCAGUUCAGACCUUGGCAAUGACUGUUGAGAAAGAUAAGUUUCCAAGUCAACCAGUGCCUAAUCCUAAAGGAGUACAUGAAGCAAGUACCAGUUCACCACAACAGCAUGGAGAGGUCAAAGCAGUAAUGACCUUGUGAAAAGGAAAAGAAGUCGACAACAAAGUGGAGAUGUCAAUGACAAAAGAAAAUCAAAUUGUUCCUGUGAGUGUUGAGGACUCAUCACCAGAGGAAAAAGAAGAAACCAACCUACGAGAAUAUGUUCUGAAAGCUCCAUUUCCUCAGCGGUUAGCUAAAGGCAAGAAGGGAAAAUCCACAGUUGAGAUUCUUGAAAUCUUCAAACAGGUAAGUGUUAAUAUCCCUUUGCUUGAUGCUAUUAAACAAGUUCCAUCUUAUGCGAAGUUUCUUAAAGACCUUUGUACUAAAAAGAGAAAUAUGCAUGCUCAAAAGAAGGCAUUUUUAACAGAAAACGUUAGUUCUAUACUCCAACAUAAAAUUUCUUUAAAAUGCAAAGACCCAAGCUCUCCCACUAUCUCAUGUAGUAUAGGAAACCACACAAUUGAGAAUGCUUUGUUGGAUUUAGGAGCUAGUGUAAAUUUGUUGCCUUAUUCAGUGUUUGUGAAACUUGGACUUGGAGAAUUACACCCAACUCCAGUGGUGUUACAACUCGCAGAUCGGUCCACGAAAAUACCUCGUGGUAUUGUGGAGGACGUGCUUAUCCAGGUAGAUAAGUUUUAUUUUCCUGUUGAUUUCAUUGUAAUUGACACUCAACCAAUACAGGAUUCAAGGAAGCACAUCCCCAUUAUUCUAGGCCGACCUUUCUUGGCAACUGCGGAUGCUCACAUUCAAUGCAGGACUGGAAAUAUGCAGUUGUCCUUCGGCAACAUGACUAUGGAGCUAAACAUUUUCAACAUUGCCAAACAACCUCACAGUGCAGAUGAUUGAAUUGUAGAUAUGGAUUUAAUUGAAGCAUAAUUUGAUGACACUUUUCUUUCAAACCUUAGUGAUGAUCCUUUACAAACAUGUUUAACUCACUUUGGUUUGGAUUUUGAUAUUGACAGAUCGGUCGAUGAGGUCAACGCCCUGCUUGACUCAGCACCAUCUAUGGACACUAAUAAAUGGAAGUCAAGAGUUGAGCAACUAGCACCAUCAGAGAAGAAACUCAUCCCAUCAUCAGAAUCACCACCGAAACUCGAGCUCAAACUAUUACCCAACACUCUGGAAUAUGCAUUUUUGGGAGAAGAAAGUACUCUGCCGGUAAUCAUCUCAUCAUCCCUAAAUGACAAACAAAAAGGUAAGUUGUUGGAUGUUUUGAAAGAGCACAAAGGGGCAUUAGGAUGGACCAUAGCAGACAUUAAAGGUAUAAACCCAGUAGACUGCAUGCAUUAUAUUCACCUUGAUGAAAAUGCUAAAACUACUAGGGAGAUGCAACGUCGGUUAAAUCCUAACAUGAAAGAAGUUGUUAGAACAGAAGUCCUUAAGCUAUUAGACGCAGGUAUCAUUUACCCCAUUUCUGAUAGUUCAUGGGUCAGUCCUGUGCAAGUUGUCCCCAAAAAGUCAGGAGUCACUGUAGUUACCAAUGUCGAUAAUGAAUUGAUACCCACUAGAGUGACUACAGGAUGGCGUGUAUGCAUUGAUUAUAGAAAGUUGAAUUCUGUCACACGUAAAGACCAUUUUCCUUUACCAUUUAUUGAUCAAAUGCUUGAUAGAUUAGCAGUUCAUGAAUUUUAUUGCUUUCUAGAUGGCUACUCAGGAUACAAUCAGAUCCCCAUAGCACCAAAAGAUCAGGAGAAAACUACUUUCACUUGCCCUUUUGGCACAUUUGCAUAUAGGAGAAUGCCAUUUGUAUUAUACAAUGCACUUGCUACAUUUCAACGAUGCAUGUUGAGCAUUUUUUCUGAUAUGGUUGAACGAUUCCUUGAAGUCUUUAUCGAUGACUUUUCUGUCUUUGGUGACUCGUUUGAUCAAUGUUUACAUCAUCUAACACUAGUUCUACAGAGAUGUAUCGAGAAGAACUUGGUCUUAAAUUGGGAGAAAUGUCAUUUUAUGGUAAAACAAGGUAUUGUUCUCGGUCACAUCAUUUCGAACAAAGGUAUUGAGGUUGACAAAGCCAAGGUGGAUCUUAUUUCUAAUCUUCCUCCACCCAAAAUAGUCAGAGAAGUAAGAUCUUUCAUUGGGCAUGCUGGUUUCUAUAGACGUUUCAUUAAAGAUUUUAGCAAAGUUUCUAGACCCUUAUGCAAUUUACUUGCUAAGGAUGUACCUUUUAUCUUUAGUGAUUCAUGUCUUAUGGUGUUUGAAAAAUUAAAACAGUUGUUGACAUCAUCACCCAUCAUUCAGGCCCCAAACUGGAGCUUACCAUUUGAGCUAAUGUGUGAUGCAUCUGAUUAUGCAGUAGGAGCAGUAUUAGGACAAAGAAUUGAUCGAAUUUCCCACGUUAUUUACUAUGCUAGUAUGACAUUAAAUGAUGCACAGUUGAACUAUUCAACUACUGAAAAAGAAAUGCUAGCAGUAGUGUUUGCAUUGGAAAAAUUUCGAUCAUAUCUCAUUGGUUGUAAAAUAAUUAUAUUCACGGAUCAUGCUGCUCUUAAAUAUCUUCUCACAAAGAAAGAUGCAAAAGCCAGACUAAUUCAUUGGGUGUUACUUUUGCAGGAGUUUGACUUGGAAUUCAAAGAUAAGAAAGGCACAGAGAAUGUUGUGGCGGACCACCUCUCUCGUCUCCAUUUUGACACAAUUACAGAAUCAUUACCAUUGAAUGAGUCAUUUCCAGAUGAACAACUAAUGAAUGUGGAAGUAUUACCUUGGUAUGCUGAUAUAGUUAAUUAUCUUGUUACAGGUAAACUUCCAGAGCAUUGGACCAAGCAAGACAAGGCUAAAUUCUUUGCAGAAAUAAAGAAUUUCUUUUGGGAUAACCCGUAUUUGUUCAAGUAUUGUGCAGACCAAAUUGUUAGACGAUGCGUCCCAGAAAGUGAAAUUCCGAAUAUCCUUUCAUUCUGCCAUGAACAAGCUUGUGGAGGCAAUUUCAGUGCUAAGAAAACAGCGACUAAAGUUUUACAAUGUGGUUUCUAUUGGCCAACUAUAUUUCGAGACGCUUACACUUUCUGUUCUUCAUGUGAUAGGUGUCAACGAAUGGGGAGCAUUUCGCGAAGGAAUAUGAUGCCACUAAAUCCAAUUUUAGUGGUUGAGAUUUUUGACGUAUGGGGUAUCAACUUCAUGGGACCAUUUCCCCCUUCUUUUGGCCAUCAAUACAUAUUGGUUGCAGUUGACUACGUAUCCAAAUGGGUAGAAGCAAUUCCAUACAGAACUAAUGAUCACAAAGUGGUGAUAGGAUUUUUGAAAAGCAAUAUUGUUUCACGCUUUGGAUUCCCUCGAGCGAUAAUCAGUGAUGGUGGUGCCCACUUUUGUAACAAAGCAUUCAAAGCUCUUUUGACAAAGUAUUCAAUCACACACAAAGUGGCAACUCCGUAUCAUCCGCAAACCAGUGGCCAAGUUGAGAUCUCCAAUCGAGAAAUAAAGCACAUAUUAGAAAAGACGGUGAGGCCGGACAGAAAAGAUUGGUCAUUAAGACUUGAUGAUGCCUUAUGGGCAUAUAGAACGGCUUUCAAGACCCCGAUUGGGAUGUCACCCUACAGGCUAGUGUAUGGAAAAGCUUGCCACCUACCUGUGGAAAAGCUUGCCAUCAAGAAAUUCAAUUUUGGCAUGCAGCAAGCCAGCUCAGAAAGAAGAUUACAGCUGGCAGAACUUGAAGAAAUUCACAAUGAUGCAUACGAAAAUGCCAAGAUUUACAAGCAACGAAUGAAAGUCUUCCAUGAUAAGCAAAUUAUGAGAAAAUCAUUCACUCCAGGUCAGAAAGUGCUUUUAUUCAAUUCUCGCUUGCACCUAUUCCCAGGUAAGUUACGCUCUCGUUGGUCUGGCCCAUUUAUUGUUCAUACUGUUUUUCCACAUGGGGCAAUUGAAAUUAAGGACCCAAAGAAUGGUGUCACGUUUAAAGUUAAUGGUCAAAGAUUAAAGCCAUAUCUAGAAUACCAACCACAUGGAGAAGACACCGAAAUAAAUUUGAAUGACCCACCAGAUUUGAAUUGAUUUUUUUUUUCUUUUCGUUGAUUUGAUUUUUUUUUCUUUCUUUAUAUUAUUCUUCUGCUAAUUGAAAUUAUUUUUGCAUAAGUGUGUUUGUUUAACUAUUAAGUUUUUUUUAUCGUUUUUAAUCAUGAGUACCUUACUUAGAUCGUUCCUCCUGAACAUUCUUAAACCACUUCAACGUGUCAAAACUCAUCUCAAAAGGCAGAUUCAAUUUUGUAAAACACAUCGCAUUUGGGCUCUACAACCACCAGAGUUAGUAGCCUAUGUUGAGGGUUUAGAAAGCCAACUCAGAGACAUUGAGAGAAGUGUUUACGACAUCCAGUUGGAGCUUGAGGUAAAUUCAAUAAGAGGACGAUUUUAAUUUUCUUUGUGUGUUUUAAUUUGUUUUUCUGUUUGUGUGCUUUAGUUUGUUACCCCGGUGAAGUGGCGGAUAACGGUACUCCGUGACAAUCAAGUCGGUUACUUUAGUUUCCCAUAAUAACUGAUAUUCUGAGGCGAAGGUAUGGACAGAAACAAGAUUCUAGCAAAACUUCACAAGCGAUUCCCUUCACUUCCUCAGAAUGCCCUCCUUACGAUCUAUAAAGCUCAGUCCGAACGCAUGCGAUUACUCAUGAGGAAUAACAUACCUGCUGACAUCCGUUGGUUAAUCGAGGCUAAAGUACGAUCGGCAGGUGAGUUACCUCCAAAAUUUAUUGCAUACAUGCCUGGUUGUGGUAAAGGAAAUUAUGCAAGAAAACGACGAGCUCGAAAAAUUUCUGUUGCUUGUCAUAAGUGUGCUAGAAUGAGUUGCAAUAAAAACCCAUGUUCUUUAGGAAUGGUGUCUGAUAACAGGGAAGAUAAGAUUCAAUUCAUUAGGGAUGGCUUGAAUAAGGAGUCAUUGGAUGAUAUCCUUUUGUCUCUUGAAACGCAUCCCAGUGGAUAUGUGCAAGGAGCGAUUCUCCAGUUAUGGCCAUUAUUCCAGAAAGAGCAUGCACGAUAUAUGUGUGAAGAUAAUUAUUAUUUUUUAAUAUACCAUAUAUCUUUUUAAAUUGAAUCACGGAAAAUUAAAGACCAAAAAAAUCAAUCAUGACAUGACAUAUUCAAUCAAAAUAGGGCCAUAUAUGUCAUUUACUCAAAUCAACUUGGGUAUAUAGUGGACCUUGUUGAAACAUUUUGGGGCACGGUGACAAAUGUCAAAACAUUUAAGUACUAGCAGAAAAUAACUUUUGUUGAGUUUAAAAUUUUUUGAAAGUAACUAGAGAUAUGAGAUCAGAUGACUUUGACAGUGAUAGAUGAGAAAGCAUAAGGUCUACUCGUGUUGAGUGUUAGAAAGUAUAUAUUUAUAAAGGAAAAAAUCGUCAUUUUACACUCUAAGUUUCACUAACAUCCUUACUUUUAUGUAUUUAAGUCUGUUGUAAUUUAAUUAUGUGUGUUGUAUUAUAAUUAAGUAUUUUAUGUAUAAUUAAGUAUUUUAUGAGAGAUCAGAAAGCAAAACAGACAUCACUUUUGAACUCAAGACAGUGGAAAACCUUAGAGGAGCAUAAAAGGAAAAAUGACACUGUUCAUAUGUAUGGUACUAUUCACAUAUACAGAACGAUGACAUGGCAUUGACCGAUGAUGUGCCAUUGACCGAUGAGGUGUCACGAUCCUAUUGGACUAAAAUUCUUAUGUACUAUUGAUCGUUGACGUGGCAGCAUGUUAGUGGACUAAAAGUCAUGCAUACAGAAUUAUUUACAACCAAACUGUGUGGUCAAACCGUAUACUGUUGGCAAGUGGCGCAAUCCUAAGCGUCCAAAUUAUUUUUAAUCCCAUGGUCAUGAUUUACUCAGUAUAUCUAUAAAAAGGGGGCUUCCCGCCUAAUUUGACAUCCCUGAAUUCAUUUUUGAGUUCCAUUUUCUGUAAUUCCUUCUCCAUCUUGUAUUUUCUAUGUAUUUUAAUAAAUUCUCAUUUUAUCCCUAGUUCAAUUAUGAGUAGCUAAUUUUCUUUCAAGCUUGGGUUAAAGGUGAAGUCUCAACAUGUGUCAUGGGCUUUAUUUGGUAAAUUUACUUUCUCUUCCCCUCUAAUUAAUGUGGAUGUUUUGACUUUUCGUCGACAAAUAGUAAUAAUCUUGUCUAGAUACCGCACUGGUUUAACCGACUCCCUAGUACAAGGUUAUUAUUAUCUGGCACGAUAAGCCCUUAACACCAUAUUGAUUAGAGUGUGGUUCAUGAGGAGUGGAAACCCCUCUCAUGAUUUAAUUGGCAUUAAUAAGGAAUAUUUAGCCCAUGAUGCAUGUUGAUGCAAAUCCAGAUACCGAAGUGCAUCAUUUUUAAUAGAUUUCACUUCAAUUUAUUCCCACCAUUUUAAUUUAAAUUUUAGGAUAAUCAAUUUAAAUUCAACCACCCACUUAGAAAAUUAAUUCUACACAUAAUUAAAAUCCACCUCCUCAUGGGAUCGACACUCGUCACCAUUAAUCUAUUCUAUAAUAGAUUCGUGCACUUCCGAGUUCAAUAAAAUUUGCACAACAACUCACCACUUGUUACUUAACUCUCUAUCACAGCCUUUGUUACAUCUUAACAUGCAUGUAUCUGAUACAUGCAAAGUAAUAAAAAAAGAAAAAAAGCUCUUUAAUUGUUUAGCUACCCAGUUGCAGCCAAACAUUAUAAAAUUAAAAAAAAAAGUAAAUGGAAGCAACCUGUUGUCCUCAAAUAGAAAAAUAUAUAAUAACAUAAUAAAAUAAUUUUGUUAAAUUUAAGUAAUUUCAGGUUUGAUGGUAUUGCCUUUCAUGUUUAUUAUGCUUGAAUAUACUUAAUUAAAUCAUUACAAGUUUAUGAUCCUAAGUUUUAUGGUUAUUGCAGUAAGUUUCAAGUUAGCAUUGGUUUUAUGAUUAAUGGUUCUUAUGUUAAGAUUUAUAGUAAGUGUUUCAUAUUUAUUGUCUAUGAUUUGCAUGAUUUAUAUUAUUACAUGUUUAUUGCACAGAUUUUUAGGUUACCAUUGGUUUCGUGUUCAAUGGUUGACUAUUCAAGAUUAAUAGUUAAGUUUUCAGGUAAUUAUAAGAGGUUUCAUAUUCAAUGGCUAAUAUUCUCUUGUUUAAUGUCCAGAUUUCAUGUCUAGUGCUUGUAGUUUUGGUUCAUUGGUUUUAGUUUCAUGUUGAAUUAUAUAGUUUCAAAUUAAUGGUGUUAGUUUCACCAAUAACUAUUAUUAUUUUAUGUUAAUAGUCUAAUGUGUCAUGGUAGCAUUAAUUUCAUCUUUUAUGAUUUCUAUUGCAAAUUGAAUGAUCUUGUUUCAAGUUAAUUAUCAAAUGUUUCAAGUAAAAAUGGUAGUUAUUGCACGCUAAUAUUGAUCGACUCCAAAUAGAUAAUAGUUGCAUCUUUGAUGAAGCUAGUUUCACAUUUAAUGCUUAUAAUUUCGAGAUUUUGGUGUUUGUUUCAUGUGUAUAUUAGAAGGUUUCAAAAUCAAUGCAAAUAACUUCACUAGCAAUGACAAAUGUUUCACUAUAAUGUUUUAAGGUUUUACGUUAGCAAUAAAUUCAUUUUUACUGAUGCAGUUGGAGGUUAAAUGCUCUUAUUUUCAUGUAUGCAUUAAUUAUGUUCCUACUAAAUGCUCAAAGGUUUUAGGUACAAUGCUUCUAGUUUCAUAUGAAUGGUUAAAUGAUUCAAAUUAUAGUCAGUAUUUCAAGUCUAAGACAACGAGUUUCAGAGUAGUGAACCCAAUUUCAUGUGGACAUUCAAUGGUCUAUAUAACGCCCUUUUCAAAAUAUGAUGAGAUCUACAUUUAAUGGUGUUGGUAUUAGGUAUAAUGGUUAUCGCUUCAAGUUUCUGUUAUAGGUUUCAAAUAUGGAUAUAACGAUUCUGGGUCUCAUGGUAAUUGGAUUCAACUGUAAUGGUUAAAAUUUCAAAUUCAAUGGCAAAAAUACUUCAUGUUCAUCGGAAUCUUAUUAUAGAGGUGAUUUAAAUAUAAAUAUAUUACCAAAUAUUGUAAUUGCUACAAGUUCACAAUGAAUUAUAUUGGUAAGGCAUAUGUAUAUGAUGGUCAAUCUAAACAAGUGCAAGGACUCCCCUUGCCAACAUUAAAAUAGAAAAUAUGACACAAUCUAAUAUGUUCUUUAGUGACUUAUGUUAGUCCUUCACCUUAUGCUAUAAGUACUUAUCAUUUAAAUUUAAUAUUCUAUGAGUCUUAUAGGCAAAGAAAAUUAAAUAUCUAAUAAUGCUAUAAUGUUAGGUAUCAAAAUUAUUUAUUUGUAACUAUUUACAUAUAACAAUAAUUUCAAUAACCAUAAUGUGAAUUCUAUAACAAAAAUAUUACUUGUUAUAUUUACUUAAGUGAGUCAUUUCCAUAUUACUUGCACUCUAACAGGCCACCAAUUAGGCUAUCAUUUUAAGUUAAUAUCAUAUCAUUUAAAAAUACACAAAAAUUAUGUUACCAAUAAUGUAAAAUUACAAUACGAAAUAUCUAUUUUAGUCACAUAAAUAUAUAAAAAUACCAAGUGCCAAUCAAUUAUCUUUGUUUACAUAGAUCAAGAGUUCUUUUAGAUGAUGUAGAUAUUGCAGAGGCUGAAGCACUUCGCUUUAACGUAUGACUCACUAGUGAAACUAGUUUGUCUCCAUUAGUGGUAGAGUCAGAUUCAUUAUGAAUUACUCAAUUUGUUUUAGUAACGUACAAAGUCCAGAGAAUAAUUUCAGUACAACAUCACUUCAGGCUUUGGCAUUAGCUAAAUUUUCUCUAAAGUGUUCUAGAUCUUUCGUUUGGUUAGAGGACUAUCCAAGCCUCUUAAAAUGUUAUCUUUAAUUUUAACCUCUAAAAUAUGAUACCUACUUUCAUCAAAAAAAUAUGAUUGAAUGUAUAAAUAUUUAGCUUCAUGUUGUUAAUUAUUAUAUCAACCAAUCAUAAUUGUCUUAAUUAUUAUUGAAAUUCUAAUUAAUAAUGUAUGCCUUUAAUUUGAUGAUUGAAUCUUGAAAAAUGCCAAACACAAUGAAAGGGUUUCGGCUAGGUUAUGGUGGAAAUUGGGAUUUUUCAGAUUUGAGCAAAAUUUGAGAAAGUGAACUAAUUAAAUUGAAGAUAUAAGUAUGCUAAAGUAAUGUAUGGAUUCAAUUUGAUAAAAAUGUAGAACUAUGUUUGGCUAAAGAAGAGUUUUAACUUUGGAAUUUUUUAAUUUUGUGUGAAGAAUAGUGUUCGAGUUGUUAACAUAUAUGUUUCCAUAAUGUUGAUUUUGAUGAUAAUAAACAAGAUUAAAAAUGACUAAGGUUGAUGAAGUCUUUAAUCGAAUCAAAAUACUUAGGUUGUAUAAUGAAUUGAGCAAAGAAUAAACUUUCUGGAAAUAAAAAGAUAACUAUUGAUAACUAAAUGCCACAUUGAUUAUACAAGGAUAAAUGAAAAAUUGAUUCUAGAAGAAAAUGGUGUGCCAUUUUUUACAAAAUGAUAAGCUGAUAGCAUUCCAAAGAGCAAGCCCAUUACAAACAGUAAACUGUUUAUGGUUGAUGAUAAACCGAUAGCAUCCCAGAGAGCAAGUCAGUUGGAAACGGUGAACUAUUUAUGGUUAACGAUAAACUGAUAAUAAUCCAGAGAGUAAUCACCUUGCAAACGGUGGACUAGCUAGCCAAUAAUUUUGUGCAGGUUUCUGGAAUGAUAACGACAUUCCAACUUCUCAAAAUGGUGAUCCAACUAUUCAAAAUUAUGGCAUAACAGUCACUUAUUCAAGUCAAAAUGGCGAUCCGACAAUGGCUAACGGCGAUCUUAAUUAUGUGCAGAAAGUCAAUAACGGCCAGUUAGCUCCAACUAUAAAAAGGCUCAAUCAAAUUCAAACAAGUUUAGAUUCAACAAUUAUUGUUGAGCUUGCUAUUGAGUAUGCAACCUCUCUUGUCCUUAAAACUUGUAUUCUUUUAUCAAAUCAUACUUUGAGCUUUAAUUUGUAAACACAUACAUUGUGUGAGGAAAAUUUCUUUGUAAACUUAAUUUCAAUAACAUAAUUAAUGAUUGUAAGUGUGGGAAACACUUAGAUUAAGAGGUUUGGGAUAACCUCUUGUUGUAAAGGUUUAUUGACACCUUGUAAGUUAAUUGUAAAGAUUUUGAAGUCUUAGGGUGUAAGGCUUGUAUAGUGGAAUCCUCAACCCAACAAGCUUGGAGGCACAUAAAAAUAUUGUGUUUGCUUUCUUUUCCUUUAUCUCUUUACAUUUGCUAAUUGUUAAAUUUAUCUUUAUCGAAGUCUCUAAGGCAUUAGUUUGAGUUGUUUUGUGAUUUUAUUUGUUUAAGUUUUUAAAAUCAAAUUCACCCCCUCUCUUCGGGUGCUUAGUUAGUAUUUCACGAGUGAGGAAUAAUGAAUGUUUAAGUGAUAAGUAAUGGUUUUGAAUUAUCAAAUGAGCUAAAAACACACAAGAGGAUGAUGACUUUUAGUGAGAUUGAGAUGGAGUUUCAAUCUUAGAGACAGAGAGUGAGUAAGAGUCAAAACUAAUUAGCUCGUUUCUUAGAGCGGCUGUUUGCUAUAACUUAGCAAAGUUACUACCAUCCAAGUGAUUAGUAGCUACAAAUGAGGUGACUAGCUGUUUCACUUAAAUUUCUUGCACCAAUUUUGAUUUUUCAUAUGUCAUAUCUUGAGUUAUAUGUGUCCAUUUUGGAUGUAUGAUAUAUUGUUUUGACACUUGCGACAAAACAAAGUAAAACCAAAAUCACUUGCACCAUUCUCCUCUGUGGUUUAGUCUAAAAUUUUGCUUGUUUCCUAGUCAUUUUUUAGGUUUAUUUUCUUAUUUUUCUUGUUGCUUUUCAAGGUUUUUAUCUUCUUUUUUAAAGAUAUCUGAUUUGAGUGUCGUUUGUUUUGUUUUCCUUAUUUAGGUUAGAAGAAUUUCAUUAUAAAAUUAACAUUUCAGAUUUAUCUAUUUUGGUAAAUUCAUGAUAUUUAGGGUUAGUAUUUUAUUAUAAAAUAAUAAAUCUAAUUUUAUUAAUUCAGACUUUUAAUCAAGAAUGUUGAUUUUUGCCCUUCACAUGAUUUGUUAUCAUUAAAAUCAAAGUUUGUAUGACAUUAUAGGUCAAUAAUUAUCUUUAUUAUAAUUAUUACUGUUAUUGUACAUAUAAUCACAAUUUUAAUUGUAUUGAGUCUUAAUCCAAAGCUCACACCUUAAGAUUUCAAUUAAGCCAAUAUUCAAAAUUUUAAAGUGAAAUUAUUCAAUUGAGUCCAAUAGUCAAAAUCUUAAAUCUAAUGAAAUCAAAUGCUUAGCCCAAAUAUAAUUUUUUUAAUGUUAUAAAUUAAUGAAAUAGUAAAACAAACCAUUCACCAACCAAAAACCUUUUAUUAAUGUGACAUUCAAUAUUUGAGCAUUUUCAUUAUAAUUAUUAAUAAAUUUUGCUUCCUCUUUUAAGCUAAGUUUCAACCAAUUGUCACGAAUAGGUCCUUUAACUUACAAGCAAAACAAAAAUUUAUUAGUCCACUUUCACACCUUCCUCCUUCAACUUUUUGGAUUUUGUCUUGCUGUAGAUAAAACUAACAUAAAUUUACUAUACAUUAACUAAAAUUACUACAUUAUUUAAGUAAAAUAAACAAAAAAUGUUGAAAAGGAUCGACUAGUAACUUACAAGUAAUAUACGUACGAAUACUUGCCCGAACCAGGUGGUUGGAACACUUCCAGAACAAAGGAAAUUUAGUUCCCAAGAUUGAAUCUAAACCAAGAAUUGAAUGGAAGACACCACAAUCAGCUAUGGAUGGUUUGAUUGAUAAGUCAAAAGUUUGAACGCCACAGAAAUCCAAUAAGUUCAAAGAGUUUGUAAAGAACCAAAGAGAAUUAACUCCCUUACCAAUUGCAUCAAAAACAUUCUCUCUUGUUUAUUGGAUUCGAGUACAUUAUAUAGGAUUGGUUACAAGAAUUUUUGGAAAUAAAUCUUAAACCAAAAAUCAAAUAUGAAUCUAAAUCUUCCCUAAUAGGAAAGAAUCUAAAUCAAAUUAGAAUCCUAAUCUAAGUAAAUAGGAAAGAAUCUAAAUCAAAUCAGGAUCCUAAUUGGCUUCAAUGCCUUACAUCAAUUAAAUGGAAACUAGGCGAUUAAAUUAGAAAUAAUUGAUUUCUUUCCCUAAUAGCCUCCUCAAGAAAUGGGAAAUUAUCUGAAAAAGGAAAAUAAUAUAUUUUCCCGCCAUAAUGUGCAAGCCAACUCCCUAUUUCAUGGAAGUGAUUAUUUGGAAACUUCAAGAGCCUAAAUCAUGCAUUUAUCUUGUGCGAUUCCUUCAACAGGCCUCCAUGAAUUUGAUUGAGCCCAAGUUGCUUGAAUCAAUCCAUUAAGCGUUUCUUUGAAUUUCUUUGCUCGAGCUCUUGUAAAGGUCCGACGGGAACUUGAGUAGGAUUUGAAUAUGCCUCAUCCCAUGUGCUUGUGAUAGUUUUACCCUUAUUCUCAUUAUUCCCCUCCUCUUAAAGAGGAUUUAUCCUCACAUACAUCAAAAGGACUCAAAUUAGAAACAUUAAAAGUAGUUAAAAGUAGCACUUACAUUAUACUCACCUGGCAAAUCCAGUUUGUAUGCAUUGUCAUUGAUCCGUGCCAAAACUUGGAAUGGGUCAUCCCCUCGAGGUAAUAACUUAGAUUUCCUUUGUUCUGGAAAUCGUUCCUUGUGUAUGUGUAACCACACCCAAUCGCCAGGUUCAAAGACUAGCUUAUGUCGCCCUUUUUUAGCUUGUGUAGCAUAUUGCUCAGUUCUCCGCUCAAUGUUGAACUUCGCCUUCUCAUGUAUAUGUUUAACAAUUUCAGCCUUUUUCUUGCCAUCUAAGUUAACAUGCUCAGAAACAGGUAAUGGAGUUAAAUCCAAUGGGGUUAAAGGAUUAAAAUCAUAAACAAUUUCAAACAGUGAAUACUUAGUAGCAGAAUGAAUGGAACGAUUAUAAGCAAACUCAACAUGUGGUAAACAACCUUCCCAAGUUUUGUUGUUCUUUUCAAUGAUAGCUCGCAAUAGAGUAGAUAAAGUUCUAUUCACAACUGAUGGUCACUCAACAUGUGGUAAACAAUCUUCCCAAGUUUUGAUGUUCUUUUUAAUGAUAGCUCGCAAUAGAGUAGAUAAAGUUCUAUUCACAACUUUUGUUUGACCAUUAGUUUGAGGGUGAUAAGUAGUUGAAAACAACAACUUAGUUCCUAACUUAGCCCAUAAGGUUUUCCAAAAGUAACUUAAAAACUUAGCAUCCCUAUCAGAAACAAUUGUCCUGAGCAUACCAUGUAACCUUACAAUCUCCCUACAGAAUUGGUCAGCAACAUUAGAAGCAUCGUCUGUUUUGUGGCAUGGAAUGAAAUGUGCCAUCUUUAAAGAUCUAUCUACAACCACAAAAAUUGAGUCUUUCCCUUGUCAAGACCUAGGUAAACCUAGAACAAAAUCCAUUUACCACAUUAGUCCAAGGUGCACUAAGUAUUGGCAAAGGGGUGUAUAAGCCAUAAGGUUGCACUUUCGAUUUGGCUUGCCUACAAGUGACACAUUUACCACAAAGUCUUUCAACAUCUCAUUUCAUAUGUGGCCAGUAGAAGUGUUCCUAUAAAACUGCUAGAGUCUUUACAACUCCAAAAUGCCCCAUUAACCCUCCUCCAUGGGAUUCUCUCACUAAUAAAUCUCACAAAGAACAGUUAGGCGCACAUAGUUUAUUUUCUCGAAAUAAGUAGCCAUCAUGCUUAAAGUAUUUAUUAACUGCGGUCUUUUCACAAGCUUGGUAUUCAACACUAAAAUCAUGGUCAUCAACAUACAAUUCCUUAAUAUGUUCAAAACCAAGUAGUUUAGCAUUAAGUGUUGAGAUUAAGACAUAUUUGCGGGAAAGCGCAUCUGCAACAAUGUUUUCCUUUCCUUGCUUUGUAACGAAUAACAUAUGGAAAUGUCUCAAUGAAUUCUACCCAUCGAGCAUGUCUUUUGUUCAGCUUGUGUUGGCCUUUAAGGUGUUUCAAGGACUCAUGAUUUGUGUGAAUCACGUACUUCUUAGCCAUAGUAGUGUUGCCACGUUUCUAAUGCUCGAACCAACGCAUACAACUCCUUAUCGUAAGUAGGGCAGUUUAAUGCUGCCCCACUCAACUUUUCACUAAAGUAAGCAAUUGGUUGUCCCUCCUGCAUUAAGACUAUGCCAAUAUCAAUACCUGAGAUAUCACAUUCAAUUUCAAAUGUUUUAUUAAAGUUAGGCAAAGACAAUAAAUGAGCAUUGAUCAGCUUGUGCUUGAUUAUUUGAAAUGCCUUCUCUUGCGCUUCUCCCCACUUGAAUCUAACAUCUUUUUUUAUUACUUCAGUAAGCGGUGCGGCUAAUGUGCUAAAGUCUUUCACAAAUCAUUGAUAGAAACUAGCAAACCCAUGAAAGCUUCUCUCAUUACUUGCACUUGUGGGACUCGGCCAUUCUUUGAUUGCACAUACCUUUUCCUCAUCAACUUGUAUACCCUGUGCACUCACAACAAAUCCUAGAAACACAAAUUUGUCGGUGCAAAAAAUACACUUCUUCAGAUUAGCAAACAACUUUUCUUUUCUAAGCACAUCUAAAACUUCUUCAAAUGCACUACAUGAUCAUUUAUGUUUUUGCUAUAAAUGAUCAUCAAAAUAAACAACAACAAACCUGCCAAUAAAAGCUCACAAGACAUGAUUCAUAAGUCCCAUAAAAGUGCUCGGGCAUUAGUUAGACCAAAAGGCAUGACUAACCAUUCAUACAAACCAUAUUUUGUUUUAAAAGCGGUUUUCCAUUCAUCUUAUUCUUUCAUUCUAAUCUGAUGAUAUCCACUUUACACAAGACCCAUUUAAUUCAUGAAGCAUGUCAUCUAGCCUAGGAAUGAGAUGUCGAUACUUUACCGUUAUGUUGAUGGCUCGACAGUCAACACACAUCCUCCACGUCCCAUCCUUCUUAGGAACUAAUAAAAUGAGAACUGCACAUGGACUCAUGCUUUCUUUCACGUACCCUUUUUCCAUCAAUUCAUUAACCUGCCUUUGAAGUUCCUUGGUCUCCUCUAGAUUGCUCCUAUAGGCUGGGUCUAUUUGGAAUGGCUGCACUAGGUACAAAACCAAUCUAAUGCUCAAUCCUUCGGAUUGGAGGUAAACCAUGUGGUACUUCCUCAGGAAAGACAGUUUGAUACUCUUGCAAAAGAUAAGUAAUAGAACUAGGCAAACUAGGGUCAAAUUCAUUAGUGUUCAAAAUUGUCUCUUUGUACAAAAGUACAAUCAUCGGCUGAUGUAAAAACAACGCUUUUUUUUAUCUCACUCACUCUCACGUAGAAAUUCUUUUGUUUUCCAUAUUAUUUUCACUCGAUGGCCGUAUUGUUCUUUGGUUUUUCUCCCACAUUUUCCUCGGCCUCUUUUUUGAAUUUCACUCUCUAUUUCUUUUGCUCACUCUCUCUCUGUAGGCUCACUUAGUCUUCAUAAACCUGAUUUGGUGUCAAUGGAAUGAGAGUGAUGUUGUGUUGAUUAAAUACAACAUCACAAAGCACCUUAUCUUCAUACUUGUCAAUUCGAAAAGUCACUAGUACUUGCUUGUUCACUUUCACCUCACCACUGUCAUUUAACCAUUGUAGUUUAUAUGUAAGUGUCGGAACAUUAGUACUAACUUUUCUACCAUGAUAGUACUAGCAACAUUAGUACAAAUUCCUCCAUCUAUAAUCAUACUAUAUACUUUGUCUUGAACAUAGCACCUAGUAUGGAAAAUGUUUUCCUAUUGCACUGCUUCGUCUUCCUUUACUUGCACACUCAAAGCUCUCCUCGCUACUAAAGUCAAUUCCCCAAGAUCUAUAUACUCUUCAUCUUCGACAUCCUCUAAUUGUGGCAUCUCAUUUUCUUCCGUUUCAUCUUCAGUUACAAUCUUACCAUUGUCUCACAACACCAUAACUCUUUUAUUCACACAUUCACUUGCGAUAUGCCCCCUGCCUUGACAUUUAAAACACUUAAUGUCACGAUACCUUGUGAAUUGUGCUUGGAGGGCUCGAAUCCUAGCUUAGGUGUAGUAGAUGCUUGUGGCCUCUGGUCUCAUUUCACAUAGCUCGACUUCCAAGGAGUGGAACUCGAGCUUGGGGUUGCACGGCUAUUACCCCUCCUCUUGAGUUACUGCUCAAUCUUGAUGGCUUUGUAGACCAUCUCCUCAAUCUCCACAUAAUGUUGCAACUCAACCUUAUCUGCAAUCUCUCAAUUAAGACCAUUUAAGAAUCAUGCGAUGGUAGCUUCUCUAUCCUCCUCCACAUUUGCUCUAAUCAUGGCAAUCUCCAUUUCUUUAUAAUAAUCCUCCACGCUUAGGCUACCCGAUGUAAGGCGUUGUAAUUUUUUGUACAAAUCUCGAUAAUAGUGGCUAAGUACAAAACGCCUUCUCAUCAAUUAUUUCAUUUCAUCCCAUGUCUCAACUGGACACUCCAUAUUUCACCUCAUAUUUCUCCAUUUCUUGUUGAAUACUCCUAUGUUCCUGAAUCUAUUCAAAUCAAUGAAUCCUCUUUACCUCUCAUCAGUCCCUAUCACUUGUAUAAAAAAUCAUCCUUUACUUCCACCAAAGGAUGAUACCACCUCAACAUGUUUCCCUAAACCUCUCUCUCUCUUUUAGGAAUCAAAGAAAUUAUUCGAAUUAAAAAUGAUACGCUCACCUCAAAAUUUCUAAACUGAGUAUGCUCUGCACUUGCCUCAAGCCUGAAGAUCCUGUGCAU
This 317292-nucleotide long non-coding RNA is filed under the name Citrus x clementina. Its description in RNAcentral is "Citrus clementina (C. clementina) long non-coding RNA (CCLE_LNC004096)". The stretch from base 277304 to 277415 matches the Rfam family "Plant small nucleolar RNA R71". Lineage: Eukaryota; Viridiplantae; Streptophyta; Magnoliopsida; Sapindales; Rutaceae. The record is from RNAcentral.